GCUGUGGCUAAACGACCUUCCCAAACUCACAAGUUCGUGCUUUGAAAAUUACUUUGAAUUUCACUGUUUAGCAGAUUUAACACUAAGAAAUUGUCCAUUGCUAAAAACAUUCAUCUCUAAAUGUGUACCCGGAGAUGAACCUCAAAUUGGCCAACAUGUACAGGCAAGUAACUUGGAGGUUCAUAACUCAUCUCUCCUCAAUGAAAAGGUCAUUUCUUCACGGAUUCUCCUUUUAAUUUAUUUUACUUCGAUUUAUCUUAUUCAUUUGAAGUUCUUUCUUUUUCAUACAUAUUUCAGUAUUAACCUAAUGAUAUGAUUUAUUAGGUUGUUUUCCCUAGUUUGAAGAGGCUGCAAAUUCAAAAUUGUGAUUUGUUAGAAGAAAUUAUCGAGCUGCAAGGAGUCAUUGCUGAUGAGUCACAGUCAACAUCAGCUGCUCAAUCUAUUGUGGCUGAAACAGUGACGACCAAGUUUGUAUUUCCCAAACUAAUAAACCUGGGAUUGGAUAAGGUGCCAAGAUUGAAAAGUUUCUACUCUAGGAUGCAUACCACCCACUGGCCUUCAUUGAAAAAAAUGGACAUUAUUGAAUGCCCCAAAGUACAGAUAUUUACUCCACAAUGUCCCGGGAGUCAGGUUGGAAUCUCAAACCAACAACCCUUGUUUUGCGUCAAUGAGGUAAGCUCGCGAACAGUUUCAUAUUCCAUGAUCAUUACUUGAGAUUACCUAUAAAAUGCUUUUUGAAAAAACUAAUAUUCUCUCCUCUUUUAAUUUUAUGAGAGUCUAGUUCUUACUAAUUUAAAACUCUUUCAUCGAUGUCUAAUAUAUUCUUUGCCAUCCAGGACACUUUCCCUGUAUUAGAAGAACUAACUCUGAAGACGAAUGAUAUGGGGAAGGGGAUAUGUGAUGGACAACUCUCAUUGCAGUGUUUCCAAAACCUUAAGCAUCUUAACCUCCAAUUCUUUCCCGAGACAUCCACUACUCUUCCGUAUUCCUUCAUUCGGUCACUACCAGUGCUUCAUAAGCUUGUUAUAGACAAUGCUUCCAUUUGUCAAAUAGUACAAUCUGAAGGACUCAGCGACUAGGAAUGGCAUACAUCAGCAUUCUAUCAGCUAAAGGAAUUAAGUUUGUCUCAACUUCCAGAGUUGACGUUAAAGACUUUUGAACCAUCUUUGCUGUCUUUCAAAAAUCUAACAACACUGAAAGUUUCAAGAUGCCAUGGGUUCAUCAAUUUAAUCGCAUGCUCAACAGCUAAGUGCCUGACGCUACUGGAAAGAUUGAUCAUAGAUGAUUGUGAGAUGAUAGAGGAAAUCAUAGCGUGUGAGGCUGAAGAAAUACAAGGCGGCAUUGUAUUUCCCAAACUGAAGUAUUUGCAACUAAGUUGUCUGCCAUGUCUAGCAAUCUUUUCCUUGGCCCAUCACUUGUUGGAAUUCCCAGUCUUGCUAAUGUUGAUGGUGACAAAGUGCCCCCAAAUGAGGAAUUUCUGCCAAGGAGAUUUAAGCACGCCAAGGCUGGAACAAAUGCACUUAACAAGAGAUGAGGAAGGUGAACUGAAGUGGGAAGGCGACCUUAACACUACCAUAAAACAUAUGUUCGAUGAAAUGGUACAAAUCAUUUAAAGGAUUUAAAUUCAUGUGUUUUUACAUACAUACAUACAUAGUUAAUUGAACAAUUCCUGGUUUGUUAUGAUCAUGCACAGAAUGUGCAAAAUUCUGAGGUGACGGAGGUUACUGAUCAGUUGCCCAAUCUGGAAUAAGGAAAUAUGUUUGGGUGCUUAUGCGAAAAGCUCAAUUUCGUUUGAAUUCAAAACAAACGGUAAUUGACUCCUCUAUUUUCAUCAUGGCUUAACUAAUGCUUUAUAAAGUGACCAUAGAGACGCCCUUUUCAUUGUAGGUUGAGUUGCUCUACUGAAGUACGAGGCUGCAACUUUUGGUAAAAUGUGAAAGGUUAUUUCAGUUUUUGUAAAACUACCAUUUGAACUGUUCCAUUUCACAUUAUACCCUCAAAAUUGAACUUCAAGUGCAUCAUGCUUGGCAUUGGGCUACAAACAUGUAAACUUUUACUAGUAAGGUUGACCCCUGUUUUAAGGAUUUGCCAACUUUUGAUGGUUACCAUAUCAAUGUCAGCUUAAAGCUAUCAAGUAUCUUUACAAAUAUAAUAUAUAUAUAUUAUUCCUUAAUGAAGGAUAAAAGUAGGCAGCUAUCUAUUAAUGGUACGGCUGAUUCUGAAAAGACGGCUGAAAUUGAAUCAAUGGGUUGUUGGUAAUUGCCUGAUGGAAGAACAGGGCCUAAUGUUACGUGGAUCCUGAUCAAGUUUUAAAUUUUCAGUUGUAGGCAUUACUGAUUAUUGCCAUUUGGUUGUUGAUCCUCUGAUUUUACGGUUGACUGUCUUGCUUAUACGUUGCAAGGUUGGCGGGUCUCAAGUAUGAAUUUCCAAGCCGGCUGUCAUCCAUAAUUAACUAAGUGUUCCAAUCUGUUGAAAGGUGGUUAGCAUGCAGCAUUGAAGACCACCAUGCAGAAGCAGCAGUUUGCACGAGAAAGCAAGGAUGUUUAGUUUCAUUUGAAUUUUUUUUUUUGUUUAUGUAAUGUAAUCUAGUUCAUUUUGAACUAUGAUAAGAUGAUAUUUGAUGUAAACUUGAUGGUGAUUGAGCUGUUUACCAGCUUUAUUCAUUUGCACAAGUUAUCAUUCCAAUUUACUAGGAAACUUAGUGGUAGUAGGUAUAGUUUUGGUUAACCUACUGUCUUGACAAGCUAGAAGCUUGAUUUAUGUAUUGGCAUUAAGCCUUUUUUUGAUGAAUGAAUUUAAUCAAGUUUUCAUUCAAAAACUCUCACCAUUCUCCUUGCUUUAUUCUUUUUAGUUUUCUGCUUGUUUCUGCUGCAAGUCACGACACUUGCUGCUCAAGCAAUAGGCUGAAACUUGUUGUUAGUUGCUCUCAGCUCCAACAGAAUCCAUGGAGUUUAUGGUUUAUUAGUGUAACUGUCCAUUUGGUUGUGGAUUGGUUCUUAAGGUGUUUUGAUGCUUGUAUGUUACAGUGCCUGCUCCAAGCAACACCCUUUAAUUUCUAAUGAAUUUUAUUUGUUGAGGAAAAAAAUAUGAGGAUUAAUCUGAUAUUUUAUGUUUGGGUUUAUGAAGAUUUUUGUACCUUUAAUGAAAAAAGCAAAUAAAAUAGAGAGGUACAAGAUCACAUCCAUAGAUCAACAAAGGGGUUUAAUAUUUCUAUAAAAAAAGUUGUCCCAAAAAGGCCUUCUAAUGGGAAUUGAAAAAAAAGCUUGUAAAAAUUUACAAAAGGAAUUGAUGAGAAUCUGAUACAGCCAUCACAUGCGACAGCUUUCCCUUAAAAGCAUUCGUGGCUGAGUCUAGUCUUAAUUUUUAUUUGUAUCUUUUAUAUCCGUUUUAUAAUUCAUAUUUAAGAUUUGUAUUAUGCGCUUAAUAUUUCAUUAUUUGUUGUCUAUGAUGCUCAUUCUUGAAAAAAAAAACAAACAAACAAAUGCAAUGCAUGCAUAAACCAUAAAAAAAAUAAAGAACAUAAGCAACUAAUAAUGAAAUAUAUUAAAAUGAAGACCGGUAAUUGAUUUAAGAAUUACCCUAAUUUCGGUAAAUAUAUUAAAACAUGUGUCCCUAAUCUUUUUCAAUUUUGAUAUUGAAAAAAUUGGUAUUCUUAAAAUUAUGAGAGUUAUUCAAUUAUUUUCAUUUUUGAAAUUGAUAAAUUAAGGACAAUUAAUCACAACGUUAAUGUUUUUAUCAAUUAUAUAUGAUUUUCUUGAUAUAAUGAUAAAUUUAGUCCUCAAAGUUUACACAUUCUAUCAAUUUGUUAUUGAUUUAACAAAUUUAACCCACAAUAUUUACACAUUUCGUCAAUUUGAUCAUGAUUUAACAUAUUUAACCCGUAAUAAUUAUACAUUCUAUCAACAUUUACGCAAAAUAUAUAAUCAUCAAGGAUUAAAUUUGUUUUUAUACUAAUCAAAAUUAUGUAUAAUUAACAGAAACUAUUAGCGCUUGAUUAAUUGUUCGUGGUUACUUUCAAAAAAGAUAAGGAUUAAUUUGUUCAAUAUCAAAAAGAUGUUUUUUAUUUUUAUUUUUUAAUUUCAUAGGUAAGAAAAUCUCAAAAAAAAGAAAAUCUUUGAAAUAAAAAAUAGAAUGUUUUAUAUAAUUAUUUGAAGUUACUCUCACGUUAUUUUUACCCAUUCAAAGCUAGCAAGUCUUUAUGUACAAAAUGGUAUAGCUCUGCAAUUUGGAUUAACAUUUUGGUGACCUCCAUGUGAAGUGAAAGAAAAUUGAGAAUGUCACACAAUUAUUAUUUUUGCCUCCAUACCCCUAUGCCACCAAAGAAAGUUGAAUUAUUAAGGCACAAAAGUACUAAGGAGUAGGAGCUAGAAAAAGAGGGGCAUGAAAAUAAAGAGACUUACAUUUAUUAUUUGCAUAAUACAAAAUCAGUCUUUAAUAUUUACAUAUUUUAUUAAUUUGAAUUUUAUUUUUAUUUAGUUAAAUUUAACUUUAAACCCUUUAAAAAAAGUUAAAUUUGAUCAUCAACAUUUUAAAAAGAGUCAAAUUAUUAUUUAACGGAAAUGUUAAAUUUUGAAAUACAUAUAACAAUUCGCGUGUAUUUCAUAUUAUUUUUUUAAAUUUUUUAUAUUUUUUUGAAAUUUUUAUUUUUGAAUAUUGUUAGAAAAAUAUUUGGAACAUUGUUAGUGGAGUUUUUAACCUCCACCAACAAAAUUAAUGGGUUAAUAAGUGUCUUACAGGGAUAUAAUAAAAUAUUAAUAUAUAUAUAUUAAAAUAUAUAUAUAUAUGUUAAUUUUUUUAAAGUUGUGGAAUAAAAAUAAUAUAUUAUUGGCAUACCAAAUACUCACCUUUUUAAUUAAGAUUUAAAAAUAAAAAAUAGUUAGUAAAAUGAAUGGAUUGCAAAUUGAGAAAUUUGAUAUUGAAUAUUAAAAUUUUCUUAAAAAGAAGACAUAUAGCAAGAUAAGAAAGUUAGUGAUUUAUUUGAUUUAAUUUUAAUUUUUAAAUUGAUGCAUUUUAUUAUGAAUUUUUAUUCUUUGUGUAUUUUGUAUAAUUUGUUUGAAAUUUUCAAUUUUCAAUUUCUCACAUGAGUUUGAGAUAUAAAAAAAAUUACUCUUAGGAUUGGUGAAACAGUGGAUACAAGAGUUCAGCUUAUCAUAUAUUGAUGAUUUUGUUCUUCGAAAUAUUGUCUACAGAUAGGAUAUCAGAGUUCUAUUAAUUAGAGUUCCGUUAAAAAGUCGAAAUUUCUAUUUUAGCCUAGGACUCUAGGAGUUCUGUUAUCGAUAUUCUAAUUAUGAUCAUGAUCUAUAAAAAAUAUGAGUAACAUGUGAUACGUAAAUGAAAAUUUUUAUGAUAUGAUAAGUCAUAAAUUAAGUGAAAAUGUAUGAAAGUGUAUGAUUAUAUGAAAGACAAAAAUAAUUAAUUUAAUUUAAUGAUCUGUAAAAUUGAAAAAUGAAAUACAUGAAUUAUAUAAGAGAAUGUUGACGAUCAAUAUGUGGUAUGUAAAUGAGAAGGAAAAAAUUAUAUGACCAAAUACUAAAAUAAAUGAAUAAUGAAAUUAACUAAAUACUUUGUAAGUUCAAUAAUUUAAAAAAUUGUUAUUUUUCCCAUUCAAAGUUGAAAAGUCUUUUAUGUGAAAAAUAGUGUAGCUCUUCAAUUUGGGUAUAACAUUUUGGUCUUCUCCAUGUGAUGUGGAGGAAAAUUGACAACAUCACACAAUCAAAUCCAUUUUUUCUGCCAUACCCUUGUGCCUCCGAAGAAAGUUAAAUUAUUAAGGCACAAAAGUACCAAGGAGUAGAAGCUACCAAAAGAGGAGCAUGAAAAUAAAGAGAGAUACAUAUAUUACUGGCAUGAAAUAUUUACAUUUUUUAUUAAUUUGGAACUUCUUGCCUUUUACUACUAGCUUGAUUUGUAUCAUCGCUCUCACCUUUUUGAGCUUGUAUCUGAUAGUGAAACCAAAGAUUAGUGAAAGCCUUCGCACCAAAACUGAGUUCUAGGAACUGCAAUAGGAUCAAUUUCAACAACUCUAAUGGGAUAUUAAACAUUCCCAACUCUUAAGAUCACCAUCUCAUCAAUUUUACACAAUUAAAAUGAAUGUUUCCCUUCACAAAAGGUUUAGGAUGAGCAGCACCAUCGUCCACACUAAUAAAACUUCCCCAGUGAUUGGCGAUGUUUUUAAAUGUAGAGAUCGGACAAGCAUGGAUCGGAACCCCUAAAGUUGUUCUAUAAUUAACCAAAAUGUUUUCAGACCAUGACUCAACUUUUGUGAACCACCUCAUCGAAAUUUCAAUAAACUCUUUUAUAACCUUCUCCACCGUUAAACUCCAUUAGCAACUUGGAGGCCACCCUCUUCUAACCGCAGAGCAAGGUUCUCAAGAGUACAUAAAUCUCUACACCAUCCCAUAAUACAAAUUGUAGCUUAGAAAGUUUUUCUUCCUCGAUAAUCCCAUCUAUAGGAAUUGACUCUAUCUCUUUCUUACCUGUAGCCACCUCCUCCAUGAAACAAUUCUUGUUUAUAGCUUUUUCACCUCCGAGGGUUCCACUCGUAUCUAGAGAAUCCUUUGAUACCUCCAGAGCCUUUGAAGCGUGCAAAGUUGACCCAUAUUCUAUGUCCAAAUAAAUGGAACCGUUCAGACGAAGCGUCGCCCUUCUUGCAUCAGUAAAGUUUGCGAAUCUCACAAAACCAAAUCUUUCUCCUUUUUAUGAAGACAUCCAUAACCCUGCCGUGAUACUCGAAUAUCUUCCAAAGACCUGUCCAUUGCAUUCGUGGAGGACGAUUCACUACAAAAACAGUAACACAACUCUGUCCAGUGUCCACCACCCAACCCAUUACUCAUUAAUAAAACUCCUACUUCAUCACUUAACUAAAGCUUUCUUUUUGAUAUUUUUAUAUAUUUUAAUUUUGUUUUGUAUUCAAAUAAUUUGAUAAUUAACUUUUAACAAUUAUCCCAUAGUUUUUACUAUAAAUUUAAGGAAGACAAUCUUGAUAAAAUUAGUUUGAGGUAGGAACAGUUUAUUGGAACAGCGUAGUCUUUUAUAGGAUUAAAAAUAUUAAUGCAAGAAAUAAAAAACAAGUGAUUAAAGGUUUAGAACAAGCAAUCAAACUUAUUUUAUGUUAAAAUUUUCGAACAAUAUGAAAAUAUAUAAUUUUAAUUGUUCUUUUACCAAUUAAAUUGAUUUUUGACAGGUUUAACUAUUGACUUAAAAAAGAGUGUUAAUUUGAAUGGUUAAAUGUAAUGAUGCAUGGUUUGUCUGACAUCGUCACAUGGAAAAUGGGAUUAAAAAUGGAAAUUAAGCAAAGGCAAAAUGAAUAUAUUUAUUGUUUUCUAAUUUGGUGUAGGGUGCCAUAUUUGUUGAUAGCCACUCACUAAUACAUUAUAAAUGGAAUAAUUGCCUAUUUUACCUUUUUCAUGAAAUUUAUUGACAUCACCAGCUCAUUUUUCAACCACAUUACUCAAAUGAUUGACAGAGAGAGGUAAAAGUAAUUUAUAAAUGUAUUUCUUUUUUUUCGAGUAUAAUUUGUAUUUAUUUCUAGCCAUUUUUAUAAAGUUAUUGUUUAAAAAAGGGGUAAUUAUCAAAUUCAUAUAUGAUUUGGAUCCAAUGUACAAUUUGAUACAAACUACAAUUUGGUGUAAUUAUACACAUAAACUUGAAUUGUGAUUCAUAUGAGCACAUGAAACUUUGAUUUUGAUUCAAUUGUAUGCAUUUAAUGAAUGUAUACGUUUAAAAAAAAUGAAUAUUUACAUUUAUUUUCAUAUUUGAUUAUAUACAGGGGCGAAACCAGAAAAUUCUUUUAGGGGGCUGAAAUUAAAUUGUAAUUUUUACGAUAGCAAAAAUGUAAUUUCACCAUUUUAAUGGCCUAUAUCUUUAUAAUUUUUAAAUGAUUAAAUCAAAUUUUAUAUUUUUAGCGGAGCAAAGUACAAUUUUACCUUUACUAAUUUAAAAUUUUAAAAGGCCUAAAUAGAAAAUUCACCAUUUCAAGGGGACUGAGACUAGAGGUGAUCAUGGGUUGGGCCCACCCGAAAAAUAGGAGGGUCCAAGUAAAAAUAUAGACCCAAAAUAUGGGUUUCGGCAAAAAAAGAAGCCCGUUUAAAAAACGGGCCGGGCUCGGGUAAAAAUUUUUUGGCCUAGGCCCAACCCGACCCGGCCCGAAUUAUAUAUUAAAUAUAUAUAGUUUUUAUUUUUAAUCAAAUAUGUAUUAAAUAUAUACUUUUUUGGUGUUGUACAAUUUGAUAUGGGUUGGGCUCGGGCUUAGCAAUUUUCUUUUGGGCCGAGCUUGGAUAAAUUUUUAGGCCCAUAUUUUGGGCCCAGCCAAGCCCGAGCCUAAAAAAUGGGCCUAAAAUUUUGUCUGGGCCCUGCUCAGCCCAUGAUCACCUCUAACUGGAACCCCUGUCAGCCCCUUAGUUUCGCCCCAAAUUAUAUAAUAGUUUGUAUAUGCAAUAUAUCAACGUAAAAUUGUGCUAAUUCAAUAAUAUUGUUAGUGAUUUCUGAAAAUUGAAUCAAAUCAAUAUUUCAUAUAUAAAAUUGUACAAAAUCAAAGUUCAUAUACAACAUAAAUAAAUAAAUAAAAAGUUCAUAUAGAACAAUAUACAUUAAAUCAAAAUUUAUAUAUAAUUUUGAUAUUUAUCUCAUUCUUUAUUAAUUAUAACGUGUGAACGAGGUGAAUCCAAAUUUUGUCAUUUAUUUUCCUACCAUCUUUGCGAAAUAAAUUUCAACUUAAGAAGGAAAAAAUAAUUAACAUUUUCAAAUUCUAUCAAGAUAGACAUGUUCAUAGGUCAGACUCUCGGCUUAGGUUCAAAAGUUCACUAAAAUUUUGGGAGGGUUUGGAUAAAAAUAUCAUACCCAAAGAAUGGACUCGAGCAAAAAAAAAAGACCUGUUUAAAAUAUGGGUCGGGCUCGGGCUUGAAUAUUUAAGGCUAGACCCGUUUUAAGUUUAUAAUUUUUUAUAUUAUGUUAUUUUUUAUAUAUUAUGUAAUUUAGAACACAAUAAAAAAUAAACAUAUAGUAAAUAUAUAAUAUAACUCUAAUGUAAACAUUAAAAUAAUAUUAAAAUGACUAUAUAAAAAAUUUCAAUAAAUAAAAAUGUAUAAAUAUUAAAAUAAUAUAAUAUAAAUACUUUUUAAAAAAAUUAAAAAAUAAUAUAAGCGAACCUAAAAUGGGUUUAGAUUAGUUUUUUGUAAAUAUGGGAGUGUUUUGACAAAAUUUUAGGCCUAAAUUUCAAACCGGACCGAACUUAAACAAAUAUAAAAUAUCUUAAUAUCAUGCUUAAACCAACCUAUGAACACUUCUACAUAAAAAUAAUAUAGACGAAUUGAUGUCGUUUAGUUCCACAAGGUCAAACUUCAAAUUAAUACGAGUGUAUUAUUAAAAGUUUUCGUCCUCGCAUUACUUGUAAUUAGUUUAUGUCUUUUAAUUCAUUGAGAAGUAACAAGCAUGUAUGGAUGUCCAUUGUACAGGCCCAUUUUGACCUAAUCCAUUACAACCCAUAACCCAAGCAAAAACAAAACCUACCCAGGCCCAACUAAGCCUAACCCACCAAAACCAAAGCCCAAAUCAGCAACCCAAUUCAGCCCAAUCUACCUAACCCUAGCCAAUUUGUAGAAAAAAGAAACAGCAGCCACCCUAGGUGCGCCGCACCUAGGGCCUUCGUCCACCUACCCCCUGCCACCGCCUCUGACCAGCGCCGCACCUGCUCUCUGCCAUCGCCCAACUGCACCUGCAAGAAGAGAAACCAACACGCAACAACAAAUAGUAGACAUAGAUAAAAAAAAUGUUAAAAUCGGCUAUAAAAGCCGAAACCAGAGGAAUGUAAAGGGUUCGGCCCCUCUUUGACGAUUAAAAGAAAUAAAAGUUUUUUGAAAAUCUUAAAGGUGACUACUACCUUUUUAGAUCUGUUUUUUUUUGUUCUUUUAAAUAUUAUUUUUGUUUUUAAAUACAAACAAAUUAAAAAUAAGAAUAAAGGAGAAGGCUUUUUACCUUACCUGCGCCGCGACGGAGGUGGAGGAAGGCGAACGGUUUCGCCCCAUUUUUUGGGUCUUCGGCUUUCUAUUCAGGAGAUUCAGCCCCGGAUCUGUGGCCUGGAGGCCAUGGACUUCAAAAAAGGACGAAAAAGGUCCGAUUUUGAACCUCCGGCGGCCACACACGGUGGCUCUGCGGCGGAGACUCGUCGGAAAUCUCGAGCCGGACCAUGGCCGGACCUGAGAGAAAAAGAGAGAGUUUUCUCUCUGUUUUUUUAAAAAGAAGAUGAAACUGUUUCUUUUAGCUUUUUUUAGUAUUUAUAUUAAACGUGAAACGACGCCGUUUUAGCAAAAGGAUCCGCGCGUCGACCCGACCCGACCCGGAGGAUCCGCGUGUUUUCAGUUUUUGGGAUAUUUCGCGUGCAGUCCCCCUGAUUUUGCAGCGUAUUACAAUUUUAUCCUUUUGUUAUUUUCUCUUAUUUUUAAUUUAGCCCCUGCAAUUUUAUUUUUAUUUCGACUUGGUCCAUUUCAACGCUGCGUUUUGGGGCUGUGGUUUAUUUGCAGUUUUGGCCCUUUCCUUUUCAGCGCGCGUUGCAAUUCGGUCCUUCUUGUUUUUUUAUUUCAAAUUUGCCUAGUAUAUUUGUUUUUAUUUUGAUUUAGUCCCUUUUUAGCAAUCUUAUUUAUUUUGAUUAAUUAUUUUAAUGUAUUAUCAUUUAUUAUUAUUAUUGUUGCAUUUAUUAUUCUGAUUAUCAUUUACCCAUUCGCAUCGUUUUUGGAUUUGGUUAUACAUACAUACUUAUAUAUAUUUUUAUAUUUUAUAACUUAUAUACAUAUAUCUAUAUUUAUAUUCUUUACCUUCACAAAUAUAUGUAUACGUACCUAUAUAUAUAUAUUAUUUUAUAUAUAUACAUCCUUUUACAUUUUUAGGUUUUUAUAUUUUGUUCAUUAUUUAUUUAUUUAUUUACAAUUUUGUUAUUAUUUUAAAAGAAUGCUUUAACUUUAUUUGCUUAUAUAUUCAUUUUGUAUGCUAUUGAUUUGUCUUUUUUUAUUUAUCUUAUCUUUGAUGCUAUUGCUCGUGUUAUUUUACUUGCAUUAUCAUCAUCAUUUCAUUAUACCCAUUUUUAUUUAGAUUUCGAAAAAGAAAUUUUAGAAAUAAGUAAUAUUCGGUAUUUUGGAUCUUCGAGAGAAUCGAGCCCUAACGUAUUGGGUUCCGACUUUCUUCGUUGAACUUAAAUAAUUGAGAUUAUUCUUUUAAAAAUGAUAAAAAGCUCGUUACCGAGAAUUCAAUAUGUUGUGUCCUAACGCAUUGGAUGUGACACGUUAUUUUUUCGAAACGAGAAUUUUUCUAAAUAAAUGUAAUAUUCAAUGUUUAAUAUUUUGAGAAAUUGUGCCCUAACGUAUUGGGUUGCGAUUUCUUCAUUUGAUUUAAACAAUUGAAUAUUCUUUUAAACUUUAUUACACGAAUUUUUUCAAACUCAAGUUAAACGAUAUCGGGAAUUAAAAAAAGGAUCGUGUCCUAACUUACUGGUCGCGAUAUCUUUUUUUAAUCCAAGAUAGUUAAAUAUCUUUUAAAUAAGCAUUUUUCAUUCGCGUAUCGGGAAUUCGAGACAUUGUGUCCUAACUUAUUAGAUAUGAUUCUCUUUCUCGAAUAGCGUGAAAUAUGCCCCUUUUUCAGAAAUUUUUCAACGUUUUAAUACAAGGAUCGUAUUUUUAAAAUUCUUCAAAGUUCUCAAUUUUCGACAUUAAGACAUUAAGUAGUCAAUUAGGUACCAAUUUUGGGCGUAUCGAGGGUGCUAAUCCUUCCUCGUGCGUAACCGACUCCCGAACCCGUUUUUCUGAAUUUCGUGGACCAAACUUGUUGUUUUAAUAAAAUCAAACCGUUUAUUAAAAACAACUAAUUUUAAGGUGAUCCAAUCACACCUCAUAAAAAAGGAUUGGUAGCGACUCCCGUUUCUUUUUUCAAAACCCAAGUCGACCCCGUUUUCCAUCCAAAAAAUGGUGUCAACAUCCAUCUUCUACCAUAGUUGUCUUCUAAAGAACUUUAUAAAGGGAAGCUAUGCCACUCUAUUUAAGGGUUGGUUUUGGAGAUUAAAGUGUAAUUUUAUCAUCAUAUUAACUUAAGUUUUUUUUUUAAAUUUAAAAACGUGUAAAUGGUAAAUUUACUAUUUUUGGAAGGUCAAGGCUAUUGCUUCCCCUUAUCUUUGCCCUGCUAGUAGUUGACUAACACGGUCUCAUACAGUAAUACUCUUAUCGAAUAUAAAGCCUUGUUUAAAUGGAGAUAUUUAUAAGAGGAAAAAUACUAAAUAAUGCAAGCUCGCCCAUGCCUGGUCACUGUGAGCCCCUUUGUGAGGAAGCACCUGAUCUUCUCUCGAAGUUACGAGGUUAUUUUGUCAAGUUCUUUAGAGAGAGUUGUCUCACACCCCUAGGUAUUCUCUACCUACCCACUUGUGUCGGUUUUGGGUACACGUACCCUUUUGAUGAAGGUCGUUCAAGCUUUUCCUGGAAGUAUAAUUUUUACUUCCACUUACAAUUUCAUAAAAUAAUAAUUUAUCAAAUCAAAAUUAUUCAAAUACAAAUUCAAAAUAUUUGAAUCAAAAUUAAAUUGGAGCUCCUCACUCAGGCUUCUACUUUUGUGCAUUGAUAAUUCAGUGGCAGCACUUCCCCCUUGCCUUAAUUGUUGAAAAUUGAAUAAAAAUUGUACCUUUCAUUUCCUUCCCUCAGACAAGUUGUUCAUUGUUGCUCCCACUCUUCAGUCUUCUCUAAAAUAAUGUAGGAAUCCCAAGUCACUAUAAUUAGGUGAUGAGGAUGGUACUUACUUUUUUUCCAAUAUCAGGGUAUUUAUCGUUAAUAAUAGUGAUUGAUUUUUUUUGUUGCGAAUUUGUACAAGAGCUUAUGUAAGAGUUUAAUAUAGUUCAAUGAUUAUUUUAUAAUUUUUUAAAGUUAAAUAAUCAAAAUAGAAAUUAAUUAACAAUUUAGCUAGAGAGCUUACACGUAGUUUACCCAAAAACAUAUCGACAUGAUCCCCCAUUGGAGUCCGAAGCCAAAGCUCACAAAUUGGGUUAACAUUUGACAUUUGGGGUUUCAAAUUGAGAAUUAAUUGAAAUAGAUAACAAUUAGCAAUUAAUUGAGAAUAAACAAAUUAUAUUCCAUAUAGUGUAGUAUUGAAUAUAUGUUUACUUCAUUAAAGGUCUCUUUUUUAUUCAAUUAAUUUCUCCAACUCAAAUUUAGCAACUUAUUAUGGUACUAUGAGAUUAUAAGAAUGGUUUUUGGAAGUAAAUCAGUGAGUGAAGUUGUAAAAUUACUGAUUUUCGAUUUAAUUACUUUAAUCAUUGGUCUAGUUUCAAUUAAAAAAUUUAUUCAUGAUUUAGCCUAUAAAUUAUAUAUAUUCUCUCACUUUAGUCUAGUUUAGACUUGCCUAUGGCCCUGCUCGAAUGUCCACCUGAAAAGCGAGAUGAUUUAGGUAAAUAUAUAUGCCCAAAAAGUUGGUCUGGAUAAAAAAAUAAUGCUCGUUUUCUAAACGGAUUGGGUCUCAGGUAAGCUUUUCUUGCUCAACCUGGCCCGAAUUUGCAAAAAAAAAAACUAUUGUUGUUUUUUUUACUAUUUUAUCAUUGUUUUUCUAUCAUUUCGUUAUUAUAUUGCUACUAUUUUAUUAUUAUUGUUUGAAUAAUGCAUAACUCUUGUUUUAUUACUAAUUUUGCUACUAUUUUAGGGAUAUUUACUUUUUAAGUUACACUUAUCUCAGUGUUAUAUAUUUAAGUAUUUUUUUUUAAUUUUCAUUUGUUCGGAAACAUUUAUUUCAAAUUUUUUAGUGUAUUUGAUGAAUUAUUUUUUAAAAUUUAUUUUUAUAUUAAAAAUAUAAAAAAUUAAUAUGGGCAGACUAGGCUUUUAACAUUUUAAUCUAAGUUGGGCUUGGAUAAAAUUUUAAGCCUAUUUUUCGAGCUGAACCGAGCUCAGGCCUAGAAAUUAGGCCUAAAUUUUUUACUUGGCCCUAUCAACCCAUGGACAACCCCAGUCUAGUUUCAGUUGGGAAUGAGAAUUACUACUAUUUUGUUGUUAUUAAAUUGUUAAACCAUUGUUUUUUUUUUUUGGUGCCACUUCAAAAAGCCAUUGGGCCUUAGUCAAGACGAGGUAACAUAGAAUAGUUCAGGGUCCUAACUGGAAAAUAUCCCACAUUGAUUAUUGUGAUGUAGAAAGUGGAAAAUAUGUAACGAGCGUCAUUGGAAAGAUGUAUGUCAAACUAGUGGAGCCAUAAAUUGGUAGUUUUCUAAGGUUGGUUUCAAAAUGAAGGGGGAGCUCCCAAGUCAAAAUAAAAUUGUUUAGUAUUUUUUAGUGUUUCCCUUUUAGACAGGUUAAAUUGUGUAUUUAUAUGUAGGGGUGUUCAUUCGGUUAACCGAUCGGUUAAUCGAAUCGAACUUUUUUAAAAAAAAUUAACCGAACGAAAUUUUUUCGGUUAAUUCGGUCGGUUAAUCGAAAAUUAUAUGUUUUUUUAUUUUUGGUUAAAAAUUAACCGAAUUAACCGAAUUAACCGAAUUCCCGAAUUACCCGAAUUAACCUAAUUGAAUCAUACAUAAUUAAAUUAUUUUUAGACUUUAAUACUUUAGUUUUAGUUUUAGUUUUAGAAUUUGUUUUUAUUUAUUAAAUUAUUUGUAAAUUUUAUGAUUGGGUUGGUUUGGGUAAUUGGGUUGGAUUGAAUACUUGGAUUUGGAUUGGGUUUAGGUGAAUAGUGGACCUAUUUAUAUAUUAAUAAUUUUAUUUAUUAAUUUUUUCGGUUAACCGACCGGUUUCGAACCGAAUUAACCGUUAACUGAAAAUUCAUAAAAAAAUUAACCGACCCCCGACCGAAAAAAUUCGGUUAACCGACCGAUUACCGAAUUUUUUCGGUUUUACCCGAAUUAUGCACACCCCUAUUUAUAUGAUAUGAUUACUGUUCACAGAUAUGAUAUCGUAGGUAGGUUCCCAUGCAAAUCAACGUAUACCCUACUUUAGGUUAACAUGUAUUUAUAUGAGGUGGAUUUACAUAGUGCAAACCCACAUCAUGCUGUCUCGUAGAAGGUUGCAAACACCUUACAUGCGAACUCAAAGUGCGAACUGUAAUGGAUCAGUAAUAGUGAAUAUCAUAACAAAAGUAAAUUAAAAUAUUUAAUUCCUUCCAAAUAUUAAUUUCAAUAAUUAUUCAACUCCUAUUAUUUUAUCCUUUUGUAUAUUGAAUUCCUCUAAGCAAAGAAAAUAUCCAAAUUAAAAUUUUUAAUUUUUUUAGACAUAAUAUCAAAUUUAACCUUCAACGUUUACAUUUUUUUGUCAAUUUGGCAAUUAUUCUUUUUUGAGCUAAAUUUGACCCUUAAUCUUUCAAAAAAGAGUCAAAUAUUUUUUUAUGAAAUCUUUUUUUAAUGAAAACAUUAAUAAAAACAUUAAUUUUUUUAACAAUAAUGGUGUGGCAACCCGCAUGGUAGUCCACGUAUACUUCCAUACUAGUAUGACACUAUUUGUAUUAUAUGUCAUGUCAACAAAUAAUUUUAAAAAAGUAUUUAAAAUUCAAAAAAUUAUAAAAAGCUCAUAAUAUGUAAAAUAAAAAAGCAUGAAGUACAUAUAGAUUGUCAUUCAAACUAUCAUAUUUGAAAAUUUAAUGUUAUAAUCGAAAUUUUUUUUAAAAAAAUAACAAUUUAACUCUUUUAAAAUAUUAAUGGUUAAAUUUAACUUUUUAAAAAAAAUUGAAAGUCAAAUUUAGCUCAAAAAAUAAAGAUUAAACUGACAAAAAAUAUAAAUGUUAAAAGGUUAAAUUUCAAAUUAUAUCAUUAUUUUAUUAAACAAACCUUAUUAAAAAUGUAUUUAAAUUUUAUAAAUCUUAUUAAAAUAAUAUUAAUAAUUAUUCAACUCCUCCACACAAAGAAGCAUCCAAAUUAAAAAUAUAUAUUUAAUUCCUUUCAAAUAUUAAUUUGUUCAACUUCUUAAAUUAAGUAAUUAAUCAAUUUUCGUUUUAAACAAAAAACCGGAUAGGAAAACCAUCAUUUUCUCGGGAAACAAACAGAGAAAGCUGCAAACUUUCCAAAUAUAUACCUUACUCGAAAAUCUGCCACGUCUUAUCCUUGAUAUGAUGGUUUCUAACAUUGCCACUUGGCAAGUUAUUCAGUAACAAUGCCAAUCUGCCACCAUUAUGCUUUUCCUUGCAGUACAAAAUUCCAGGAUGCCUUUACUUCUUUUGCCUCUUGGAUCAGCAUUUACUAUCACCAAAAUCAAAAUCCCAACUUUGAAAAAAAAAAAGUUUAAUUUUUAUCCUUUUUUUAAAAAAAUUUAACAAUUUUUUAUUUUCCAUUGUCAACCUUGUAAAAUUCUUUUAUAUUUUUAUGUUUUUAGUGGGAUUUUUACAUUUGUUCCAAAUUAUCAGUUUGUCAAGUUCUUCAUGCUUUCCAUGUCCCAAAGGAUCACAUUUUAUUUAAGAAAUAGAAAAAGACAUUAUUUUUGUUCUUCAUGCAACUUAUAAGUUAUAGAGAAUGAAUUUCUUUGAUUUUAGCAACUAAUAUUAUGAUUCCAACAUUUAGGGUUUUAUAUGUUUUUUUUUCUGUAUGAAUUUGAACUUGAGUUAGCCAUAAAAACCCCACCUUUAAUCUCAAUAUAUGAACUUGGCUUUGCUUCUUAUGGUUAUUAUUGUUUAAUUUAAUUAAUGUCUUGAAAGGGUAUUCUAGUUUAAUUUAAUUAACUAGUCCAUUUAUUUUGAUUGAUAAUGAUGUUGCAGGUGCUUAAUCUUUCCAUUGAAAUGGAGAAAAUCAACUACCAGGACGAGCUGAAGAAAGAGCGUAGGCUUGUUCGGAGUCUCGUAUACGAGAUCGGUUACAGGAAGGAACAGGUGUCCGAAAUGGAACAUAAAUAUGACAAGACAACCACGGCUUUUCAAGAACUCGUUGAUGGCCUUGUAGCGAAAAUUGACUCCAAGGACAGUAGUUUGCGGGAUUGGGAGCUUCGAUAUAAGGAAAUGGGGAAAUGGUACAUAAAUAUGAUGAGACGACCGCAGCUCUUCAAGGACUCGUCGAUGGCCUUGUAGAGAAAAUUGACUCCAAGGACAGUAGUUUACGGGAUUGGGAGCUUCGAUAUAACGAAACCGUGAGACAAUUGAAGGGCGAGAACGCGGUGUUUCACCUUGUGUUUGCUAAAGGUAUACUUUAGAUUAUAUAUUGCAUACAUAGCGAGCAGAAGACUAUGCAUUAAUCCAAUCGUGUACGAUGAACAACAUGUCGUUUUCGAAGUUCCAAGGUUUGCAUUUAGAGCUUUGAUUGAUCUUUAGGCUAUUUUACACAUCUAGUUGCUUAGUAUUAGAUUCGGUGAAGAAGUUGCAACUUUAGGAUAGUGAAGGAGACAUAAAUGUCAGGAUUCGAACCCCAAACUCUGCUUUUAUAUCUGUUAUCACGGGAACCGGAUGAACUUAUGGAAACGAGGCUUGGAACCUAAAAGGAAGCAUAUAUAUUUGAGAUAUUCCGAUUUUCUUCCUGUUGCUAAUGCUUCUAUCAUACACAUUAGGAUUAUGUGAUCUUAUAUAUAUACACACGCAUAUAUACGAGAUACUGAUGAAUUUCUGCCUCCUGUUAUUGCUUAUAUCAUAUGCUUUAUGGACUGUUGCUUUACAUUUUUUAUGCAGAAAUUCAGAAGGAAAGGGAUGAAAAUCUUAAGCUGAAGUGCCAACCUGGCUUUCGAACCAAGUUGGUCGAAGAUUAUAUAUCUCGUAAUGAUAACGAUAUGGAACGAAGUAGCUUGUUGAAUGAAAUGGAAGGGGUUAGCAUACUCAUCUUAAUUUUGGUUUUCGAUAUAUGAACUAUCUUUUGUCGAGUUUGUACCUUUGUGUAAAUGAAUCCUGUUAUCAUGUUUAGGUUCAACGUUUUUAAUGGUUAUGAUUUGCCGAGUAGACUUUUAACAAUUCGGAUUAUAUCUGAUAUAGCCGAAAGAGAAUGUGGCUUGCCAAAAUCUUAUUGAACUCGAGAAAACUACAAGCGAGCAGAUUACUGCUCUAAAGAAAGAGUUGGAGGAAAAAUCAGAAGCGUUGAAAGAUAUGGAAAACCGAAACAGUUGUCUAACGGUGAAACAAGUCCUAACUAAUCAAGAGCUGCAAGAUGUUCGAAAAGAAUCCAUACGUGUAUUUUUCAUGUUUUCCUUUGCUUCCUCCUAUGUUUCCUCUUCGAAAUCGGGUUUAAACUUGAAAGUGUUAAACCCAAGACUUCUCUGGUUUUUGAUGUGCAGGGUUUGAACGAUUUUCUGAAUAACCAGACUAAUCUUAAGAGUGAAAAGAACGGGAGAGAUUGAUCAAAAAGCAUUCAAAGUUGCUUGCUCGUUGAAGUUCCAGGACGAAGAUUGGCGAGAACCGUGUGCUAAAACAUGUUCAUUAUGUUGUUCCAAUAGGGUCGGAAGCGUGUAAAUUAUUGUACUAAAAAAUCACAAAAAGUUCAAUUCCCAGGGAAGAGAGGUGGAUCACAUGGAUCUCUUAAAUACCAAGUCUUUUCUUAGACAGAAUAUCCCUUCUAUAGUAAUUUAAUAGCACAAUUAAAUACUACUAUUAUACCCUCAAAUAUUGAAAGAAAAAUAGGACAAGAAAGAACACAAGAGAUUUAACGAGGUUCGGUAAAUUAUACCUACGUCCUCGGGCACUAACACCAGAUGAUAACUUUACUAUCCCCAAAGUAUUACAAACAAAUAGAAUUCCUUAAGAAUUCUCAAAUGGGAGAAGAGAGAAAACUAAGAGAGAAAGAUUGGUUGGGAUGAAUUGAAAUGAGAAAUGAGAAGGCCUAUUUAUAGUUGAGGUUCAAGGACCAAACAAUAAAUAGCACAUUAUCUCAAGGACCAAAAAAAAAUUAUCCCUUGCCACUUUUCCAAAGUUGGUGGUUGUCAUUAUUGAUUGUCUCCCAUUAAUGUUAAUGGCAACCAUUAUUAAUUGUCUAUCAUUAAUGUUAACAAUCUCCACCUUGAAGAUUUGAUUAGGAUAAUCACAUCUUCACACACUUCCUUCAACUCCCUAAAUUCGAUAAAGCUAUCUUUUGUAGUGCCUACAAAUGCGCUCUCGAGCGCCAUACACCUGAAGGUGCUCAAAUUCUCAGGAUGUUAAUCAAGUUCAAACAAUGAUUAAACUUGAUUGUUGUUACCACCUUGGUCAUCAUAUCUGCGGGAUUAUCUGCUGUCGGAAUCUUCUAAAGUAGAAUUUUUCCUUUUUCAAAGACUUCUCGCACAAAGUGAUAUCUUACGUCAAUAUGCUUGGUUCUUGAAUGAUAGACUUGAUUUUUCGCUAAAUGAAUAGCGCUCUGACUGUCACAAUAUAAACUUAUGUGACUUUGAACAACUCCUAAGUCUUUCAACAAUCCAUUAAGCCAAAUAGCCUCCUUAACAGCUUCUGUAACUGCCAUAUAUUCUGCCUCUAUAGUAGAUACAGCUACUGUAGACUGUAAGGUAGACUUCCAACUCACUGGGGCUUUCGCAAGAGUAAACAAAUACCCCGUAGUUGAACGACGUUUAUCUAAAUCACCAGCAAAGUCGGAAUCAACAUAUCCAACUACAAACUGACCAAGUGCUUCAUCCUGUUCAAAAAUUAAACCAACAUCUACGAUUUUUCAAAGAUACCGUAGAAUCCAUUUCACAGCUUGCCAAUGUCCUUUUCUAGGAUCAUGCAUAUACCUGCUCACAACUCCAACAGCUUGUGAAAUGUCAGGCCUCGUACACACCAUCACAUACAUCAAACUCCCAACUGCAUUAGUAUAUGGGACUUUCGCCAUAUAUUCUCUUUCUUCUUCAGUUUUCAGAGAUAAUUGAGCACUAAGUUUCAAAUGAGAAGCAAGUGGGGUACUUACAUGUUUUGUGUUUUCAUUUACACCAAAACAUUGUAAUACCUUUUUCAGAUAUUGCUUCUGAUUCAAACAAAGCUUGCCUCUCUGUCUAUCUCUACUUAUCUCCAUGCCGAGAAUCUUCUUGGCCUCACUUAGAUCUUUCAUCUCGAACUCUUGAUUCAACUGAGCCUUCAGCUUAUCUAUCUCUUUUUGGCUCUUCGAAGCGAUUAACAUAUCAUCAACAUACAAGAGUAGAUAAAUGAAAGAUCCGUCAUGCAGCUUCUGCAAAUACACACAAUUGUCAUAUUUGCUUCUUGUGUAUUUCUGCCUUCUCAUAAAGCUAUCAAAUCGCUUGUACCACUGCCUCGGGGAUUGCUUCAAUCCAUAUAGCGAUUUGUUAAGCUUACAAACCCAAUUUCUACCACCAGCAUCUGUGUAUCCUUCUGGCUGAGUCAUAUAGAUCUCCUCUUCUAACUCACCAUGCAAGAAAGUCGUCUUAACAUCAAGUUGAGCUAGCUCUAAAUUCAACUGUGCUACCAAGGCCAACAAAAUUCUAAUGGAGGAAUGCUUCACAACAGGGGAAAAUACAUCAUUGUAGUCAAUUCCCUCCUUCUGAGCGUAGCCUUUAGCUACCAAUCUUACCUUGUAGCGAAUAUCCUUCUUGCUAGGAGAUCCAUCUUUCUUUGCGAAUACCCACUUGCAUCCGAUUUCCCUUUUACCUUUCGGUAAUUGCGCCAACUCCCAAGUAUUGUUCUUCCGGAGAGACUGCAUUUCUUCAUCCAUGGCGCUUUUCCAUUUAUCACUUUCUAAGCUUUGCAUUGCUUCUUGAUAAGUGAUAGGAAUAUCAUCAACAACGGGAAGGGCGUAGGCCACCAUAUCAGUAAAUCGAGCAGGUUUACGAAUUUCUCUCCAUGGCCUUGCAACUGCAACUGGUUCUGGUGUACUUAGUGGUUCUUGGGUCAGAACCUCUUCAACCUCUAAUUCCUCCAUUGUGGCUGGAGAAUUAGACUUAUUAACUGGGCAAAUCCCCAUCUGCUCAAACUCCACCUAUUUUGGAGUACACUCCACCUGCUGUGGAGUAUUGCUCGUCUGAAUAUCUUUAUCUGCUACCUUUUUCAAUGUGGCAGAUUCAUCAAAGGUAACAUCUCUGCUACAGAUCAUUUUCUUUGUGCUUAAGCACCAAAGACGAAAUCCCUUCACUCCAGAAGUGAUUCCCAUAAAGAGAGCUUUUUUUGCCCUCGGAUCUAACUUUGACUCCUUCACAUGGUAAUAUGCAGUGGUUCCAAACACAUGUAAGGAAUCAUAAUCUGUAGCCGGUUUUCCAGACCAUACCUCCAUAGGAGUUUUUCUUUCUAAUGCAGAUGAUGGCAAACGAUUAACAAGAUGGCCAGUGUAUGUCACAGCCUCAACCCAAAAUUGCUUGCCCAACCCAGCAUUGGACAACAUACAUCAAACUUUCUCCAGCAAUGUUCGAUUCAUACGCUCUGCCACUCCAUUCUGUUGUGGUGUAUCCCUAACUGUGAAGUGUUGAACAAUACCAUACUCUUGGCACACAUCGAAGAACGGAUCACUUUUAUAUUCCCCUCCAUUGUCCGUCCUAAGCCGCUUGAUUUUCUUGCCAGUCUGGUUUUCGAUCAUAGUUUUCCAUUUAAGAAAAACUCCAAGCACUUCAUCUUUAGUUUUCAUGGUAUACACCCAAACUCUUCUGGAAAAGUCAUCAACAAAAGUAACAAAGUAGUGUUUUCCUCCCAACGAAGGUGUUUUGGAAGGCCCCCACACAUCUGAGUGAAUAUAUUCCAAAAUACCUUUUGUAUUAUGGAUAGCAGUGCCGAAUUUCACUCUCUUUUGCUUUCCCAGAACACAGUGCUCACAAAAUUUUAAUUUGCAAGCCUUUGCACCUUUCAACAAUCCUUGUUUUGCCAGAAUUUGUAAGGAUUUUUCGCUGGCAUGUCCCAACUUCAUAUGCCACAACUGCAUUGAGUCCAAGUCUUUGUUACCGGAAGCUGCAGCGACUGCUCCAAUAACUGUACUACCUUGGUAGUAAUACAAGUUAUUUUUCCUGAUGCCCUUCAAUAUCACAAGUGCGCCAGAUGUCACUUUCAAAACCCCAUCUCUCAUAGUAACAACUGAACCAUUGGAUUCCAAGGCUCCCAAUGAGAUGAGAUUUUUCUUCAAACUGGGCACGUACUGAACAUCAGUCAGAACUCUGGUUGAUCCAUCUUUAUUCUUUAAUUGGAUUGAACCUAUCCCAACAAUUUUACAGGCAUUGUCAUUGCUCAUAUAAACAACUCCUCCAUUUAGUUCUACUAAAUCAGAGAACCACUCCCGGUUAGGGGACAUAUGAUAGGUACAACCCGAAUCCAAUAUCCACUCAUCUGAAUGGAACGACGAUGAUGAUGCAACCAGUGAUAGUUCAGAGUCACUAGUAUCAUGCUUAGCAACACAAGCAUCUACAGCAGCUUUUCCCUUAUUCUUCAGCUUUGGACAAUUUUUCUUCCAGUGGCCUUUCUCAUGACAAAAAGCACAUUCAUCUUUCCCGAGUCUGGACUUUGACUUUGAUAUCCCCUUUUGAGUUUUCUUCCGAGUGUAUGAACGACCUCGGACUACUAAAGCUUCUGUAUCUCUGAUUGAGUUUUUCUGUUUGUCCUUCUUUCUCUGUUCAUAACUGUAUAAGGCCGCACAGACUUCGCUCAGAGAUAUAUCACUCCUGCCAUGAAGUAGAGUAGUUUCUAGGAACUCAAACUCCUCAGGAAGUGACCCCAACAGCAUCAAAGCCAAAUCUUCAUCUUUGAAUGUCUCAUCCAUAUUCAGCAAAUCAGUGACUAACUGAUUAAAUUUGGUGAUGUGAUCAUUCAUUGUGGUACUUACGUAUGUGAAGCGAAACAGUCUUUUCUUCAAGUGGAGCUUAUUUUGACUGUUUUUCUUCAAAAAAAUUUCUUCAAGUGCCACCCACAACUUAUUUGCAGAAGUCUCCUUUGAAAAAGCAUACAUCUGCUCUCGAGAAAGGCAUGAUCGAAUUGUGCCACAUGCCAACCGAUUGAUCGCCUUCCAAUCUUUCUCCUGUACAUCAUCUGGUUUCUCUUCAUCAAUGGCAAUGUCUAGACCCUGCUGAAAAAGGGCAUCUAGAACCUCACUUUGCCACAUACCAAAAUGGCCCGUGCCAUCAAAGAUUUCCACGGCCAAUCUUGCAUUUGCAAUUGUCGGUCUUGUCCACAUGGACGAUGUUGAAGCUCCUACACCGACCGUUUUCUCCAUAAUCUUUCAAUAUAUCUAAGGAAAUCUUUUCUGAUGUGGAAGAUCAGUUUAAACUGCAACCACAGAGCAUACUACGAUUAACCUUCGGCUCUUGAUACCACUUGUUGUUCCAAUAGGGUCGGAAGCGUGUAAAUUAUUGUACUAAAAAAUCACACAAAGUUCAAUUCCCAGGGAAGAGAGGUGGAUCACAUGGAUCUCUUAAAUACCAAGUCUUUCCUUAGACAGAAUAUCCCUUCUAUAGUAAUUUAAUAGCACAAUUAAAUACUACUAUUAUACCCUCAAAUAUUGAAAGAAAAAUAGGACAAAAAAGAACACAAGAGAUUUAACGAGGUUCGGUAAAUUAUACCUACGUCCUCGGGCACUAACACCAGAUGAUAACUUUACUAUCUCCAAAGUAUUACAAACAAAUAGAAUUUCUUAAGAAUUCUCAAAUGGGAGAAGAGAGAAAACUAAGAGAGAAAGAUUGGUUGGGAUGAAUUGAAAUGAGAAAUGAGAAGGCCUAUUUAUAGUUGAGGUUCAAGGACCAAACAAUAAAUAGCCCAUUAUCUCAAGGACCAAAAAAAAUUAUCCCUUGCCACUUUUCCAAAGUUGGUGGUUGUCAUUAUUGAUUGUCUCCCAUUAAUGUUAAUGGCAACCAUUAUUAAUUGUCUUCCAUUAAUGUUAACACAUUAUGGCAACAUAAUGUGCAGGAUCCGAAUUGGCACCCGUAUAAGAUGAUCAACAUCCGAGGCAACUUGCAUACACCGAUUGCUCAGAAAACCGUACUGUUAUCAAACAUCUGUUGUUCUACGAAAUGCGAGCUGGUUCAUUACUCAAAACUUACAUAUUAAUGGGAUGCCUUCUCGGUAAUGCAGGAAAUAAUAGACAAGGAUGAUGAGAAGCUGAAGGAGUUGAGAAAUGAAUAUAGUGACACAGCGUACGAGGCUGUCAGCACCGCACUGAUGGAAAUGAACGAAUAUAAUGCCAGCGGAAGGUAUGCGAUCCCGGAAGUUUGGAACAGAAAGGAGGGAAGGAGCGCUACCAUGAAAGAAAUCGUUCAGUACGUCGAGCAACUGAAGAUUCACAAGCGUAAGCGAUUUUCUUAAUGCUGAGCUUAGCAGUCCAUUGCUUUCAUGGAAAAUAAGUAGAAUUAUACACAAUCCUUAGGUAGGUAUUAAAUUUUAGAAUUAUAUUUGACAUUAAAAAGAGCUAUUUGUUCAUUCCAGCAUGAGCUCCAAAAUUAGGCUCCAUAUUUACAAACCUAAAUUAAACUUACUCCAUAUUUACAAACAGAAAUUAAACCUACCUACGAUAGUUGCAUAAAAAAAUAUUAUCAAUUUAAAAAAAAAAGUAAUUAAGUUGUUGGUAUUUUUCAUUUAAUUAAAUACUUCACUUUUUAAAAUGUAUCAAAAACUUUCUUUAAAUUUUAAAAAAUAAUAAUUAAAUCUUUGUUUUUCUUUUACAUACUCAAUGGCUACUUCAACUAUCAAAAAAAAAAAAAAAAGAAAAGACUUUUUGACAAUUAAAAGUAACUGCUUUAAUUUUUUUAGUUAAAGUCAUUCAGCGUCACAACCAUACAGGCGUGAUGUGUAAUAAAAAAUUAUAAAAAAUAAAAAUUAAUAAAAUUAUUAAAUUCUAAUAAAAAAUAUAAAAAUAUUUAAAAUUUAUUUAAAAUGUCAUAAAUGUAUAAAUAAAAUAUAUUAAAAAUGUUAUUUAACCACUAACUUUAAUUGUUGACUAGUAAAGUCCAUAAUUUUUUUUUCAAUUAAAGCCAUCAUGUGUCGCAAUGCAAUGUGACCUGUGAUGAAAAAUUAUAAAAAUAAAAAUCAAUAAAAGUUACAGAAAAAUUAAAAAAUAUUUCUUUUGGUACAAUAAUUUUUAUAAUUUUUUUAUAAAUUUUAUAUUUUUAAAUUUUUAUAAUUUUCUUACUAUUUUAUAAAAUUUUAUAACUUUUGCAUUUUUUUAUAAUUUUAAAUAUUUUAUAAUUUUUAAAUUGUUUAUAAAUUUUAACUCUUUUUUAUUAAAAUUUAAUAAUUUUUUAACUUUGAUUUAUUUUUAUUUUUUUUAUAUUUUUUUACAUGUCACACUAUAAUUGUGACCUUUAGUGUUUUACCAAAAUAUUAGGAGUGGUUAAUUUUAACAUUCAACCGCUAAAAUUAACAAUCACAAGACUUUUAACAGUUCAAAUAUUCAAUUGGAUAAAAAAAUUUAUUAUUUAAUAAAAUAUAUUAAAAUAAGGGUUUCGACUCAAAUCAUGAUGAAUUGAGCCAUCGAACUUGAGAAAUUAAAAUGUGAACAGAAAUGGGCUCUUCAAAAACCCUUACCCGAGCCCAAGAAGAUCCCCCAAAAACCUUCAACUUAUAACCCUAAUUUGCCUCUCAACUACACUAUAAAUCCUAUCUUCAACAAGACUCAUUCAGCAUUUAUAUCUUCUAAAAAACCCUUCGUUCGUCUAAGGUUUCUCUUUAGAAAUUUUCUCUUCGCAGAGAGUAAUUUUUGCCUUCAUUUUUUUUUCUCUUUAUUUUCCCAUUUUCAAUCUGGGGUUUUUUCCAAAAUGAGUUAAAAAUCCAAUCUUUACACUAGAUGUGAACCCUAAUCACAUUUAUUUUAUCUGGGUUUUGAAUAAAAUCUACACUUGUUUGUAUACUUAUGAAAUAAAAGAACCAUUUUUAAUGCUUUGUUUCUUAACAAGAGUGCAGAAAUAAAAAGCUUGAUUUUUUGCUUCUUUUAAAACAAAGAAACCAAGGAUUAAGCAGCGGCCAGACAACCGUAGCGAUGAUAUCCACAGAUGAAGGGCUAAUUUCUUCUUUAAUCCCUUUUUUGUCUACUGAUUCCAUCUCACAUUUCGUUUUUUAAGUUUUUAGGGUUCAUCACUUUUGAAUUGAUUGAAAAAGCUCUAAUCAAAGUUGAAACUUGGUUAAAAAAUGGGUUUUUUUAUAUGAUUUUACCAUUUUCAAUGCUUUUUUUUUAUGUUUUUUCAAUUUGUAAAAUCAAAUGAGAAACAAUCUCAAAAAAGAAAAAACGACAUUAAUCUAUCAAUCAAUCAAACUGAUUUUGAUUUGAUCAGAUAAAAAAUCAUUAAAUAUCAUAUUCAUGGGAAUUGCAGAGGUUUACUGUUGUAAUUCUUACGAUAUUUUAUCAGAUAUAUUUUACAUCUUAAUAUAUCAUUAAUAUAAAGUCAAAUUUUUUUAACAGGUUAUAUUUUGAUAUUAGUCCCUAUAUUUUGUUGAAGUUAUGAAUUUAGUCUCUAUAUUUUUUAAAUUUUAAUAUUUUAGUCUUUAUUAAAUGAUAAUUGUUAAAAGUUAAAGUUUUGUUAUUUUUAAAAUCUAUUGCAUCAAACAUAUUAUCACAUGCUCAAUGUCAUGUCAACUUGUUAUUUUCAUGUAUUCUUUACUAAAAAUUUAAGGGUAAAUUAUCAAAAUAGUCACUUUUGUUUGACUCAGGUUACAUUUUAGUUACUUACGUUUGAAAUGUUACGUUUUAGUCACUUAUGUUAUCACGUUGUAACAUUUUAGUCACUGAGCCGUUAGUUUUUGUUAACGGUGCAACAGUAAACUGAUGUGGCACGUUAAAUCAUCAUUUCAAACAAAAAUUCUAGGUUAACUUAUACAAUCGGUCCUCAUAUUUUUUCGUUUUGAGCAAUUUAAUUUUUUUCUUUUAUGUUUUUUUUAACUUUCUUUCUUUUCCAUUCUCUUAUGCUUCUCUCUUUGUUUUCCUCCCUUCUCCAUUUCUUUCAACGUAGUUUUUCUAUGUUUUAUUUUUUUGAACAAUUUAAUUUUUUCGAGUGAGGCGAGCUUGUGGACUAGUUACAAAUGGAAAGCAUAGAAAAACUAUGUUAAAAGAAAUAAAGAAGGGAGGAAAAUAGAGGGAGAAGAAUAAGAGAAUGGGAAAAAAAGUUAGAAGAACAAAAAAGAAAAUUUUUAAAUUGUUGAAAAUGAAAAAAUAUAGGAACCAAUUGUAGAAUUUAACCUAAAAUUUUCGUUUGAAAUGAUGAUUUAAUGUGCCACAUCAACUUAUCGUCCAUUGUCGACAAUUAACGACUCAGUGACUAAAAUGUUACAACACGAUAACGUAAGUGACUAAAAUGUAACAUUUCAAACAUAAGUGACUAAAAUGUAACCUGAGUCAAACAAAAGUGACUAUUUUGGUAGUUUACCUAAAAUUUAAUUAAUAGAUUAACAACUGUUAUUUGAGUCGAAACUAAAAUAUAAAAAAUUACGACUUAAACUGAUCCAAUUAAAACAUAUGGACUAAAUCUACAACUGUGCUUACAAUACAUAAUUAGCAAUUGAAUUUAAACAAUUAGAUUUAACAAUAACUAUUUGUGUUAAAAGACUAAAAUUUAAAAAAGUACAGAGAGUAAAUUUGAAAUUUUGACCAAUUUGAAAAGUACAGAGACUAAAACUAACUAAAUUAAAGUACAAUGACUAAAUCCAUAAUUUUUAUAAAGUACAAGGAUUAAUAGAAAAUUGUAACCUUUUUAAUAAAGUAAUUUUGAUUUUUAUUAAUUUAUUUAUAUCUUUUGCUUUUGUAAAUAUAAUAUUUUUAAAUAUUAUUUUGAUUUUUUAUUAUUUUUCAAAAGUUUUUACUUUUAGAAUGAAUGGUCUAAUUUAACCUUCAGUCCAAUUCUUACAAAAUUGAUAAACACUAACAAUGCAUAAUUUAAUAAAACUUUUCAAGUAAUUUAUAAAAAAACACUCAAAUUAAGUAAAUUAAACACACAUUUCAUUUUAAAUUAAAAUUAUAAAUAUUUAUGUGUUAAAAAAUAAAAAUAAAGUAUCAUCGAAGCUGCGGGCUGCAAUCUUCCCAAGCAACUUCAGCCCCCAUUACUUCCCCACUCUUUUUUUUCUCUUUUUACCAACACUCAGAAAAUCAAAAUUUUACCACACUUUCCCUCAUUUUCCCGGAAAAUAAAAUAAAGAUAUUAAAACCAAACAAAAAUCCAAAAAAGGAACUCGGUGAAGAUUUAGAUUUAGACCCUGAAAUUUUUGCCAGUGAAAGUUUGACCAAAUUGCCAAUGAGAAGGGACAAUGUUCCACGAAGUAGAGGUCCGAUGGUCGCUGCCGGUGACCCUAGACGACAGAGAUUGGCCGACUAAAACGGCGUUGGAUUGCCAGUUUUGGCCUCAGUUUCGGCUCAUGCUCAUCCACUCCGUUUUCGACCCUUUAAUGCUUGCUUUCACGAUAUCGCCGGCGCCGGCCACGUUUGUGAUUAGGACCAAGUUGAAGUAUCGGAAACCGUUGAUUGUGAAUCUGAUUCCUCCUCGUUUCUGGCAUGGCACCCUGAAGAAUCAUACGAAAAAGGAAAUGAAGAUUGGGUCAAAUCUAUUGACACUAAUUGUUGAAGUUCGAAAAUCGGUCUAAUAUUUAAGAAGGUAAAAGCGUUUGAACGGGAUGAGAUCAUCUCAACAUAUUGGUUAGACCGCGAAUCGAUUAAAAUAUCGGAGAAAGUAACUUGAUCAAUUAACUCGAAACUAAUACAAAUCAAGAAAAUUACUAGACAAGUUAACUCGGGAUUUGAUACAUCUAAGUUUGAUUUUUAUUAUAUAUAAUUUUAAUUUCGGUUUUAAAAAUAAAAAGCUAAGGGAAUAUACCUUCUAAAAUAGAGAAUAAAAGGGGCGCAACUGGCUAAUCCUUUGUUCUAUUGGCUAUUGCUAAUGCCUUGGAAGUUGAAAGUGUACCUUACUUUGAUUAGUGAAUGGCCGAAUAUGCUUACAAGAAUAAAUUAAGAAAUUCAACGUGGCUUAACAUACAUUUGUAUUUACUGUCACAUGAAUUUGGAUAACAACGAUUGAGAUGGAGAGAAAAAUCAUAUCCAAUUAUGUUUAACACUAGCAUUACGUACAUAAGCUCACACCGACUGAAGAAAACUUUACAUAUACAAGUAGAAGAAAUUUCCGAAUGAACAAAGUCAGUCUUCGCAUCCUAGUUGUUGUUCCAUUCAAUCUCUGUAUGCCCAAAAGAAAAUGAGAGAAAACAAUUACUACGACUAAUGACAUUGUUGAUAACAGGAAAUAUCAUUGUCAGAGAAUUCAAGACUCAAGAGGGAGCAUAUAUAAUUAAUCUAUACUAUAUUACCAUACAUAUGCCCUCAAAUAUUUUUAAAAUUAAUCGUUCAAAUCUAAAUAUAUAUUUGAAAAGAGUAUACGAUAUUAUAAAGGAUCGUAAAAAUCGAAAUAAUAUUUAAUUCUAUAUCGUCUUCUAGAAAGAACAUGAGCUAUGGUGAUAAAAUAUUCGAAUUAUUCCUCUAAUCUCAUUUAUAUCAUAAUUUAAAUUUGAAGAACUUACGAGUAUCGAUGAGAAAACCCACAGGGUCUUUAAUGAGGGAGUUGUUUUAAUUUCUUGACUUAAAUUCAUUGAUUCUAAGGAAGCCUUUACAAACAGACAUAAUUAUUAAUUGAUCCAAUUUCAACAGCAUAAAGUAGGAUCAUAGGAUAAGGGCUUAGACAGAAACAACUUUAUUCUUUUUCUUUUAUGAGCGAAUCCAAAAAUUUUAUGUUGGGAGUUGUUUUUCCGCAAGUGGUGGGAACGGGCAUCAAUUAUUGCUUAAAAGUUAAGCUUGUAAUUUACAAUCAAGGCAUCCAUCAUUUUCUUCAUCCUGGUUAAUGAUAAUUCGAGAUAAAUGUUCCAUUUCCAGUUAAAAUAAAAAUUUUCUCAAGUUAAUUGUUUGAGGAGUAAAUUUAAAAAUAAUAAUAAGAUUGUUUUCUAAAUUAUAAAAAUAAAGAUACAUCAAAAUUAAAAUUUUAAAAAUAUAAAAAUUUUAAAAAUUAACAUAGAAUACACAUAGAUUGCUAUGUAGGUUGUCGUGUUUAAAAAUUUAACAUUUUAAUUAGUAUUCUAGUUUUUUUUUAAAAAAAACAUCAUUUCAGCUCUUUUUCAAAACUAAUAAAUAAGAUUAGAAAACUAAAAAUCGAAUAAAGAAUCGAAUUUAACUAGAUGUUGAGGCUUGUUUUACACAGUUUCCUUAACACAAAUUUGUCCGCUUCUACGGUACUUGGAGAAACAUUGGUCGACUGUCUCCCAUGAUACAAUAACACGAUGACUGAAAUAGCAUCACCUUUACAUGAAAUUGGCUGAUAUUAUGACGAUACUAGGUAGCAUAGAUAUCAUUAUGGGAGAAGUGGAUCGUUGAAAUGAUAAUUUAUACGACAGAAGUAGAAUAUAUCAAUUCCUUUUACACAUUGGAAUCUUUAAAAGAGGUCUAUGGGAUCAUAUGGAUGUUGGUCCCUAUUUUGACUCUUGUUUUGGGAAUCACAAUAGGUGUACUAGUAAUUGUAUGGUUAGAAAGAGAAAUAUCUGCAGCAAUACAACAACGUAUUGGGCCUGAAUACGCCGGUCCUUUGGGCAUUCUUCAAGCGCUAGCAGAUGGAACAAAACUGCUUUUCAAAGAAAAUAUUUUUCCAUCUAGAGGCAAUACUCGUUUAUUUAGUAUUGGACCGGCUAUAGCAGUCAUAAGAGACCAAUGAACAAACCUUGCAUUUUUCUGUCACCGGAACGUUGGAAAAUAUAGAGAGGAAAAGAGAAGAAUUUUCGAGAGCAAAAUAAACUUGGUUUUAGAGAGUCUUUUAGUGUAAAAAAUUUGAAGAAUUCUUAAGCAUUCAAGAUGGAGGAAUUUUGGAAAUAUCCAUAAUUAAAUAUAUAAAAUUUGUAUUAAAUGAGCAAUUAAAUCAUAAUAUAUGUCUUUUUUAAAUUAGAUUUUAUAUAUAUUUGCUGAGAAAAAUAAAUUUUGUGUUGGGCUUAAAAUAUCUAUCCCUUUUUGGGCCUGACCAGUUUAGACAUUUCACGUUGCCUACGUCGUGCGAGUGCGCUCCAACCCCGAUGGGUUUGGAUCUACACCCCUGCGCGUGAGACAAAGUUUCAAACUUAGUCAUUCAAUCAUCCUUCAAGUGGGUUCUCAUAUAUAGAGACAUCUCACACUUGGUAUUCAAUCAAUGUGAGAUCUAAGCUUUUCUUUUCCUCAACAAAUAUUCACAAGUAACUUACUUUGAGCAUUAAUUUCUCACUUAUCACUCAACCAUUUUGAGCAUACGAUAUACUGUUGUAAAGAUAUCAUUGAGUAGAAUAUAAAAUCAUAAUUUUAUGAUUCAAUUCUCCACCUUUACCAAUUGAGAAUAUGCUUUAAAGUUUCCAAAAAUUACAAUUUUUUCAACAUUUUAUACAUCUAUUUUAAAGGCAUAAUUGAGCCAAGUAGAGCCCGAAUAAUGACAAGUUGAACUUGACUCGAACAUCACUUUUUAAGGUCAAUCUUGAUUUAGAACAUAAUUGAGUUGAUUAAGCUCGUUUAUCAAUUUUUAUAAUCAAACCCAUUCAUAAUUAAGCUCUUUCUAUAUAUCAAGGAUAAAAAUGUAACUUCAUAAAUAAAAAUAUAUUUAAAUGGAAUGCUUAAUUAGGUUUGUGGCCUACUUGAAUCAAGUAUUACAAUAUUUAAAUUCGACUCAACCAAUAGCUCGAGCUCUACUCAAUAAUUUUCAAUAAAAUUUUGAGAUUUUUUGAAUCCAACUCGAAUUGCUUGCAAAUAUUAAUGUAUCACUUAUGCUUUUAAUUUUAAAUUUACAUUUUUAAUUCUUAAAAUAUUAUUAAAACCCAAUCAAUUGAAGGCUUUGUAGAAAGUGGUGGCAAAGUGCAUCCUUUACUUUAGGUCUCACUAUAUCUAAAAAGAAAUUAAUGCGAACCGUAGAAAGUGGUAGGAAUGUGCAUCAUUAUUGCUUUAAAAGAAUUUAAAUCUUUAAACGGAUAGAAUUAAAUUUUCAUAAUUUGGAGGAGUUAAAGUGUACUUCUUUUUACUAUUUUAAAAUUUUAAAAUUUUAAAAUUUUUUAAAGAGUUAAAAUAACAUUUUUUAUUUUAAGAGGGCCGAGCUCCCUGUCAACCUCUAGAUUUACCUCCGUAAAUUUCAAAAUUCAGUUAAAUUAUGUUAUUUUGAAUAAAACGUUAAUUGAUAAAGAAAUUCUUUUAGUUUCAAAAAUUCAAUUUUUCUGUUUUAAAAAAAUAUAUAUUAAAAUUUAAAAUUUAAAAUAUUAAAGUAAUAAAAUUUAAAUAUAUCAAUGUCUUUUUGAUACAUGCAUGAAUGGGGUGAAACUUAUUAGAUUCCAAUCAUCAAAACUGCCAAUUUUCAGGCUCGGAAAAUCAGCAGACUUGCGGCGACUGGAUCCUGGUAUUUUUGGGUUGAGAUGUCUCAUGGCGUUUAAAGAUCUAUCUCUUAGCUUUGAAACGCAUUUUGAAUAACUCGAUUUUGAGUUCGGGAGCUCAAGUUAUGACCGUUUUAGUGAAGACUACGCGAGAAGAAUUUCUGAACGGGAUUAUGACGGGAAUUACAAAUUUCGGGCUUUUAAUUCGAGUUUAAAUCAUAUUGGAUUCGGGUUUUAGACUUAAUUUUUAUUAUAUAUGAGCCCAAUAUUAUAUUUGUCAGAUCUUAUUAUUUUAUUAUUAUUUUAUUCUAAUUUUUUUUAUAAUUAUUAAGUAUUUUAAGUUAUUAGAGUUCUAGUAUUUUAAGCUAUAAAGGCCAGAAAAAUGUAUUCUUGGGGGUGAUUUUUGAAGGUAAAAAAGCAACAGAAAAUCAAUACAAAAUAAUCAAAAAUUUCAAACAAAAAAAGAGAGAUUUAGAAGGUAGUUUUUUUUUCUCUGUUUUUGUUUGUUUUAUUUAUUAUUUUUUCUUUCUUUUUCUAAACAGAAACACAGAAAAUAAAACGGGACCGAAAACUCACCUUUUUAGAGGGAGGGCUGAGAGAGAGUUGAGCAAGAAGAGAAGGAUUUUUUUUUUAAAAAAAUGAGGUUACCAAUGAUUUUUUAAAGUUUUUUUAAAUUAUAUAAACACCCCAAAACGACGUCGUUUUGAGUUUGGCUUCUGACACUUAAAACGGCGUCGUUUCACCCUUGACCCGCGUGCGACCUGACUCGCUCCAUGGGGAUCCUCGUGUUUUCAAUUUUUAGGCUAUUUACGCCUCUGGUCAUCCCGCGUUUUCCGGUUGUUUUAAUUUAGUCCCUUUUUUACUUUUUUUCUCUUUAUAUAUUUGGCCAUUGAUUUUGUGGCGUGUUUUAAUUUAGUCUCUGGCUCGCUAAAAAGGACGCGUGUCAAGGAGAUCGGGUUAUUUUCCCAUUUGGUUCUCGUUUGUUUUCGGGCCUUUCGAAUUAGUCCUUUGUUCUUUUUUUAUCUUAAUUUAUCCUGCUAAUUUAAUUUGAGUAGCAAUCGGGUCCUUUAUUCAUUUAUUUUUGUGUAUCUUUAUUGUGUAUCUUUAUUUAUUUUGCUUUAUUAUUUUUACUUUAUUACUCCUUUUUAUAUAUUUGUUUAAAAUUGGAUUGUGUAUAUGUUUAUUAGUUUUUUUUUUCUUUUGGUUAUCAUUCUUUUACUUUUUAAAUAUUUAAAUCUAAUAUUAUGAACAUUUACUUUAUCUAUUUACUUAUUUAUUUAUUAUUCUUUUACUUUUCAAACGCUUAAAUUUAAUAUUAUUUACAUUUGUUUUAUCUAUUAUUCACUUAUUUUUUCUUUUACUUCUAAAGAAAUUUUAAAUUCGAUAUUAUUCGUAUUUGUUUUAUUAAUUUAUUUUUUAUAUUUCAAUUUAAUGAUAUUUGUUUUAUCUAUCCAUCAAUUUAUUAUAUAUAUAUAUAAUUAGAUACCACUUAUAUUCAUUAAGCAACUUUCAUUUUCAUUUAUAUUUUGAAUUAUUUUAUUUAUUGUGUUGUGGUGUUAUAAAUUGAUUUUUUUAUUAUUGCUAUAUUCACUGUUAUUGCCAUAGUAUUUGGUCAUUUAGUUGUCAUUUAGUAUCCUAAUAUAAAUCGUACUCAUAGUCAUAUCACAUUAUUUCAUUACCAUUGUAUUAUACACUAGGUUCACACAUAUUUAUCCAUUUUUUUAUAGACGAUGCCCGAAUUAAACAUGUAUGCCUUGUAAGUGUUACAUUAAUAUUUUAUUCGGUGCACAAAAAGAAAAUUAUUUUAAAUAAGUAAUAUUUCGUAUUUUAGAAUUCGUAAAUUCGUUCCUUAACUUACGGAGUUUCGAUCUUCUCGAUAAAUCUAAAUAAAUGAACCUUUUUUAAAAACAUAAGUUUUUAAAUAAUCUCAGGAAUUAAGAAGAGAUCGUGUUCUAACUUAAUGGAUAUGGUUUCAUUCUAAAACUGAGAUAAUCGAAUAUCUUUUAAAAUAAAUAAAUUUUCGGUGUUUAUUCUCGUUUCGAGGAUUUAAGGUAUUGCGUCCUAACUUACGGGAAGUAAUCCUUUUUCUCGAUUAACGUAAAAUAUUUUUUUGUAAAAAUUCAAUUAAGCGAUAUUGUAACAAAGGAUGGUAUUUUAAAUCUCUUUAAAGUUUUUAAUUUUCGACAUUAAAACAUUAAUUCAUCAAUUAGGUACCAAUUUUUGGCGAGACGAGUGUGCUAAUCUUUCUUCGCACAUAACCGACUCCCGAACCCGUUUUUCUUAAAUUUCAUAGACCAAAAUCAUUAUUUAAGUAAAAUCGAAACGUUUUAUUAAAAUGAUUAAAUUACAAGGUGAUCCGAUCACAUCUCGAAAAAAUAUCGGUGGCAACUCCAGUUUUUUCAUUUUCAUUUUUAAAAUAAAAGUAGACCCCUUUUGUUUCAAAAAUGGAGAAAGUGUGUUCCUAUCUUUUGUCAGCUUUACCAAAAGGGAAAAUAAUUGGCGAUAGAAUGUUGCUUUCUUUUGUCAACUUUUUAGCUGUAUCCACUAAAUGAUAAGAACUGCAUUCUCAAGUAUUUGUGUUUCUUUAGGAUUCUAUUGUUUACAUCUCAAUUUUUUUUUUACAUUGAGUUGCACUUUGUCAAAUUACUUCUCGCAUUACUCUGUUAAGAAAAUUAUCUUUUCGCUCGUUCGUAACUACGAGAACUAAUCGCUGAAUCCUUCUCUUAUUCGUUGGAAAGGUACGCCAUCUGCUUUCAUUUUGGUUGAUUUGGUCUUACUUCUUGGUUUACAGAAGCUUUACUUUUUGCUCAUUUGAUUUGUAACUUUUUCUUCUGAUUUUGUUUUAAUCUUUGUUGUCGCUGUGGUUAUUCAGUUUACUUCUUGUUUGACCUCUCAAUGGAGUCUGUUACUACCCUAGUUGGCUCUAUUGUCACUAAAGCUGUAGAGUAUACGAUCUCUCCUAUCAAAAACCAUGUCAAAUACCUUUCCAAUCAUCAGCAAUAUGUUGAGACCCUCAAGGACCGAGCUGAGAGGCUGAAAGAUGCAAGGGACAGAGUGCAGCAUUCUGUUGAUGCAGCUCAACGAAACGGUGAAGAGAUCGAAGGGGAUGUUGGCAAAUGGUUGUCUGCAGUCGACAAAAAGAUUCUUGAACAAGCAGAGAAAGUGAUGCAAGAUGAAGAAAAAGCAAAGAAAAAGUGUUUCAUUGGUUUGUGUCCUAAUUUCAGGACUCGUUACAAGCUUAGCCUGAAAGCCGAAGAGGAGGCAAAGGCUGUUGCCGAGCUACUUGAACAUGGCAAGUUUGAAAGGGUUUCCUAUCGUGCAGCUCCGCAAGGUAUCGUGGUUGCACCAGUUAAAGGUUAUGAGGAAUUCGAGUCAAGAACGUCCAUUUUCAAUGGAAUAAUGGAGGCACUAAAAGAUGAUAGCGUCAGCGUUGUUGGGGUGCAUGGUAUAGGUGGGAUUGGAAAAACAACGCUGGUCAAAGAAAUUGCUAGAAAGGUCAAGGACAAGUUGUUUGAUUCGGUUGUCAUAGCAACCGUAACUCAAGCCAUCGAUAUUGAGAAGAUUCAGAACCAAAUUGCAGACUUCUUGGGCUUGAAAUUUGAGGAACAGAGUAUGGUUGGAAAGGCAUUUCGACUACGAGAAAGAUUGAAGAAAGAGGAGAGGAUUCUGGUUGUCUUGGAUGACAUUUGGGGAAAGGUUGAUAUUGAGGAAGUAGGGAUUCCUUUGGGAGAUGAACACAAGGGCUGCAAAUUACUAUUAACUUCUAGAGAGCUCAAUGUUUUAUCAAAUGGGACGGAUGCUCAGAAAAAUUUUCCCAUUGGGUUUUUAAAUGAAAAGGAAGCCUGGGACCUGUUCAAGAAGAAGGCUGGCGACUGUGAUGAAAGUUGCGAUUUGAAGCCUAUAGCUAUGGGGGUAGCCAAAAAAUGUGCAGGACUGCCGAUAGCUAUUGCGACAGUUGCAGGGGCUUUGAGAAACAAAAGAUUGUUUGAAUGGAAGAAUGCUUUACGAGAACUGGAGAGGCCUUCGUCAAGCAACUUCACGGGGAUAACUGCGGCAUAUUCAGCUAUAGAGUGGAGUUUUAAUUAUUUAGAAAGCGAGGAAGUUAAGCGGACUUUCUUGCUUUGCAGUGUAAUAGGCCAUAAUGGUCUCGUUGAGGACUUGGUAAGAUACACUCUAGGUUUGGGUUUAUUUGAUGGUGUCAACACUAUGGAAGAAGCUAGAAAUAAAGUAUUGACGGUUGCGGCUAAUCUCAAAGCGUCUGCCUUGUUGCUUGAUAGUUAUAAUGAUAAGCGCUUUGAUAUCCAUGAUGUUGUUUGGGAUGCUGCUAUAGCUAUUGCAUUGAAGGACUACCGUAUGCUUGUUUUGAGAGAUCAUGCUCCAAAGGAGUGGUCCGAUAAGGAGAAAAUGAAGACGUGGAGUGUGAUCAGCUUACGUUGUCCUCAGAUUAUAGCUAACCUUCCUAAGGAGAUGGAGUGCUCAGGACUUUCCUUUUUCCACAUGGCCUAUAAUGGCGCGGUUAAAAUUCCUCUCAAUUUCUUCAAACAAACCGUAGGCCUGAAAGCCUUAGAUUUGGUCGGAAUGCAGUUUCCAUCCCUCCCUGAAUCAAUUAUUCACCUUGCAGAGCUUCACAUGUUGUGUCUAAAAGGAUAUGCAGUUGAUGACAUAACCAUCCUUGGAGAGCUCAAGAGUUUAGAAGUACCCAACCUUUCUCGCUUAGGUAUCAAAGAACUACCUAAGGAGAUGGCACAAUCGACUCAAUUAAGGUUGUUAGAUUUGCGUGGGUGUAGAGAACUCAAAAUCAUCCCACCGAAUGUCUUAUCAGGUUUGUCUAAAUUAGAAGAAUUAUAUAUGAGUAGGAGCUUUGUUGAAUGGGAAAAGGGAGGAGUAGUUGAAAAUGAGAGGAAAAAUGCAAGCCUUGAUGAAUUAAACAAUUUGCCUUGUCUAACUACUUUAUAUGUUGAUAUUCUUGAUGUCCAAAUGAUACCAAAACACCGGUUUGUAGAAACAUUGGACAGAUUCAGGAUUUUCGUAGGUAAUUAUGGAGGAUAUAAUUGUUGCCAGAAUUAUGAAUCUCCGAAAGCAUUGAAGCUCAAGUUAUAUACAAACAUUGAUUUGGACAAUGGGAUGAAAAUGUUGUUGAUAAAGACAGAAGAUUUGUGCCUAGAGGGACUUGAAGGCGUCAAGAAUGUACUUGUGGAGUUAAAUAAUGGGAAAGAUCUUUCAAAUUUAAAGAGAUUUCAUGUCAAAAAUGGUAGGCACGUCCAACAUAUCAAAAUGAACAAAAUUGGAUUUUCUGAAUUAUGCUUCGUUAAACUUGAAAAUCUACCGCAACUCGUUAGCUUUUGCUCUCCAGACGAAAGGUGUUCCACUAAGCCCUUAUUACUUUUCAAUAAACAGGUAUUUGUUUGGCUUUACUUAUAUUUUCUUAUACUACUUUUAUUUAUAUGCCCAUUAAUACUUCUAAUAGUAGAAAUAAAUAAUAUUGUGUAAUGGUUUCUCCGGAGCUCAAAAAUAAAUUUCAAAUCCAAAACAAAUUAAAAUUUAAUUUUUAAUCCAAACCGAUUCAAAAUCAAUUCAAUAAUCUAAAUUUAAAUCCAACAAUUUUUUUUAAUUCUGAGAAUAAAAUUUGAGCCCACAAAUCGAACUAAAAUUAUCUUUAAAAUAAAAAAUCAUAUUUUCAAAUUAUGUUACAUACUAUCUUUCCCUAUGGAAAAAGAAUUGUGUAAAUAUGUGCAAUUUAUUUUCCCUCACUUGGAAAGCUUGUAAUUGUGUUCCAUUAACACGAAAAGAAUAUGGCACAACCAGACAUGUCAUUGGGUUACGAAUUUGAGGAGCUUGAUCAUCAAAGGAUGCGGCAAGUUGGAGCAUCUGUUAUCACCCUCUCUCGCUAGAAGUCUGGUGCAGCUCCAAUGCUUUGAGAUAGAGGAUUGCAAUUGCUUAAGGGACAUAAUACUUACAGAGGAAAUUGAAGAAGCAAGGAAAGAUGUGAUUUGUUUCCCUCGAUUAAACUCCCUGCAUAUAGAUCGUCUUCCAAACCUCAUCUUCUUCAACUCAGGAAACCACAAUAUUGAGUUCCCAUUGUUGAAAGUGCUAAAGAUUCAGCGUUGCCCCAAGUUAAUAGAAUUCAUUAGUCAGAAUAGUAAUCAGUCCGGCAUGCACGCUCUCUUCAGUGAGAAGGUGAUUUAUUUCAUUAGUCUUACAUUCUUGCAUAAAUCUGUUGAUUUGUCCUUGUUUUUUUUUCUGCCUUCAUUAUUUGAGCUAACCUUAUCAUGGGCAUGGAUUAUAUAUAUAUAUAUAUAUGAAUAUAUAUGAAUAGGUUGCAGUUCCUAGCUUGGAAGACAUCAAUAUCUGGGACUUGAGUAAUGUGAAGAUGAUAUUUUAUAAUGACCUAGCACCAGGUUCCUUUAAAAAUAUACGAAAAAUAAAUGUUUGGGGAUGUGGGAGUUUGAAAAAUCUAUUUCCAGUAUCAAUAGCCAAAGAUCUUCCACAACUUGAACAUUUAAGCAUCACUGAUUGUGGAGUUGAGGAGAUUGUAUCGAAAGGGGAUGGAGUGGAGGAGCAGCCUGUGAGGUUUGAGUUUCCGCAAGUAUCUUUCCUUGAGGUUACAUGGGUAGAAAAGCUCAAAUGUUUCUAUGAAGGGCAACAUACAAUAGUCUGGCCGAUGUUGAAAAAAUUGAGAACAGAUAGUUCUGCUUUGCUAAAGAUAGUGGCAUCGGAACAUCUUAGAUUAAUCCAAGGAAAUAAGCAGCCAGUUUUGUUGGGUGAAGAGGUAUGUAUAUCAUUACAACUAUAUUUCAUUUUAUGAUUUAAACCACUGCCACAAGCAUCUCAAGUUGAAAUAUGCCACGAUAAUGCAUUUCUAAUUUUUAUAUUUUGUUUUAUUUGGAUUUUUUUUUCGUAUUUUUGAAUUUUCAAUAUAUAUUUUAAAUUUUUUGUUACAUUUAUAAUUAUUUUUUCAUUUUUUUUAAAAACAAGACUGAAUAAACAUAAUAAGUAAAUAUUGAGUGAAUGCAAUUCAAUUUAAUAAAAUGUAUAAAUAUUGAGAGUUAAAUUUAUUAUUAUGUAAAAAAAAAGCUUAAAAAAAUGAAAAUAUUUUAUUUGUUUUUAAGUAUCCAAAAUGAAAAUAUUUUAACACUAAGUGACUGUAUAUGUAAUUUACCCUGCAUUUAAGUAGUGGGUCAAAACUAAAUAGAACGUUUAAUUUGCUAAAAACAAUUGCCACUCAAUAAAAAAUCAAAACUUUAAAAGUUAAUUACACUAGACAUCUCAAACUAUGACCUUCAUUUUAAAUUAGUCUUAAAAUUUAAAAUAUUCUAAUUACAUUCUUAAACUAUUGAGGUUAUAUCAAUUACGUCUUUCUCUUAUUAAAUUCGUUAAUUUAACCAUCAAAUUAAAUCAAUGUAAUAUUUUAAAACCUUGGUGUUUUAUCUCCACUAUUCUGCUUAUAUUUUUUGUCAUAGAAAAAUAUAUAUAUAUAACAAUGGUUGUUUAUCUAUUUUAAUCUAGAUUUGCUACUCUUCUUUCGGCUUUCAUGUUCUGUAAUUUUUAUCAGUUUUUAUUCUCAAGGUAUUGUGUUUUCUUAAAACAAAAAAUUCAUCUACUCUGGAUUCAUUUGAUUUAAUAUUGAUUUUGUUGGGAUUUAAUCAUCAAAAUCAAACACUAAAAUUGUAAAUCUCUUUUUUUUGUUUGUUUGUUUUUUUAAAGCAUAUACAUCAACAUUGAGCCUAACUUGUAUAUGUUUAAUUGGUUUCCAAGGUCAUUCCCAAAUUAGAGGAACUUGAGUUACGAAAUUUUGGUGAUAUGGACCAAUUUCCACCAGACUUGUUUCAACAUAUUAAAGUUUUUGCACUGAGUGGUGGCUCUCCAUUUUCUUUGUUUCCUUUCGUCCGAAGAUUCUACAAUCUGAAAAGACUUGAGGUUUCUAAUUUUGAUUUCAAACAUGUAGUCCCUUGUAAAGGAGACGUCGGGACUCUCCCAUCAAUUAGAAAUCUGAAAUUGGUUUCUGCCAGAAAUCUUAAGCGUAUUUGGAGGAAAGAUUCGGAGCUUGACCAUAUUCUUUCUGAUCUUCAAACACUCACAAUUCACAAUUGUGAUGAUUGGAUAAACAUUAGAGUCUUCUCAUCAUCUUUACAAAAUCUCACAAUUUUGAAUGUGUCACUUUGUAAAAUGAUGACAAACUUAGUUACACCCUCAGUACUUCAGAAUCUUGUGCAAUUAACGACAAUGAUCGUAAGAGGGUGCACUAAAAUGACAGAAAUAGUGGGAAACGAGGGAGACUGUCAUCAGACAAUAGUUGUUAGUAAAUUGAAAUGUUUACAACUAUGCAAUUUGAAGAGCCUCACAAGCUUUUGUCCAUGGUAUUACAACUUCGAGUUUCCUUGUUUGGAAGAAUUAGUUGUGGAACAUUGUCCUUGGUUAAAGAUCUUUUCUGAGGGAGUUUUAAGCACCCCACAAUUACAGAGAAUAAAACAGUCGCAUUACGGUGAGAAAUGGAGUUGCAAGUGAGAGUGGUGAUGCAAGUGAAAGCGUGGUUGGCGAAGGGGGCAUCUAUGAUAACACUGCAACUUUUUUCAGCAAUAAGGUAAGUUUGGUAUUCAAUAUUUAUCUGCACAACUUAUUUCACAUUUUCUUUUGAUUUGAUCAACAUGAGUGUGUCUGGUCUAUAUAUACAUACUAGUGCUACACCUUGUCAAAAUUGAAUAUAAUAAAAUCCAUAAAAAUAUUAAUAAAUAAGACAAUAUUUAAAAGAAAAACUGGAGUUUAAAAGUAUAAAUAAAUAUAUAAAAUAAGAAUUGAAGGAAAAACUUAAAGUGAAAUACUAAAAAACAAUAAGAAUUUAAGAGAAGUUUAAAAUUAAAUAGUAAUAGACAAUAAAUAAUAAAAUAACAAUAGAAAAAAGAAAACUAAUCUUCCUUUAUUUUAAUUUGUGGGUGUAUAAGAAGGAGAUAAUUGUGGAAGACCUUCACAAAGGUCAUUUGAGAUCAAAGGAGAAGAAGCAUGAAAACAAAAGGUGAGGAGUUUGAAGAAGAAAGAACCAAAUAUAUGGGUUUGAUUUAAAGAUUUAAUGUUUUUUUUUUAAUUUCAUAUAUAGAAAAAAUCAUUGAAAGAAAAAAAAAGUUCAAUAUAAUUACUUAAAUUUACCUGUCGGUUUUUAUAAAAGUAACUUAAAUUUUUGAUUAAUUAUGAAAAUGACUCAAUUUAAAAAUUAUGUACAUAAAUUAUUCGAUUUCUAUAGUGUUUGUCGGUGCCCCCAGACACAAUGGCGAUAUCAGACUGAAGUGUGAUUAUAUAAAAUGAUUGUAUUUAUGUACAUAAUUUUUAGUAGUGUUGUUGGAAAAAUUGGCGAUAUCAGACUGAAGUGUGAUUAUAUAAAAUGUUCAUGGACUUAACGAAGUAAUUACCCUUUUUUAAUUAGCGGAAAAAGGGGUCUUCCGGUGAAUAUGGGGCACCAAAUUAAAUGAUUUUCAUCUUUUGGUCUAUUUGCAUGUUUCCCUUUUUGAAAUUAAAUUUAGAUAACCCUUAAGAAAUAUAAGAAUAACAAAAAGAAAUCAUUCUCAUUUAUUUUAUUUUAUUUUUAAAAAAUAAACUUAAAAAAUUAUAUAAAAUGCUUAUUUAAAUUACCCAAAUAUAUCCCUCACACAACUUCCUCAAGUUUAUCUAAAUUCAAGCAUUUUCAAUUCAUUCCCUAGAAUAUUUAAAUUUAGAUAAACUUAAGGAAAUUUUUUGAGGAAUAUAUUUGGGUAAUUUGAAUAAGAAUUUUAUAUAAUUUUUUAAGUAUUUUUUUUCAAAAAAAAUGAAAAUGUUAUAGUUUUGUUAUUAUUAUAUUUUUAAGUGCUAUUUAAAUCUAACUUCAAAAGAGGACAAACGUAACAUGCAAAUAGGUCAAAUGUUGAAAAACAUUUAAUUUGGUUCAGAUACCAACGACACCCCUUUUUCAACCAAUCUAAAACCGUUAACCGCUUCAAAAGAUCCCUGCACGUUUUAUAUAAUCACAUUCAGUCUGGUGCCGUCAAUUUAUUAGGCAAAACCACUACAAUCUUUUUUAAAAAGCAAUCAUUGGCUGAUGAUGGAGGUCAAUGCAAUAAGCACGAUAGAUAUCAAGUCAUUUACGUAUAUGAUUUUUAAGUUGGAUCAUUUUCGUAAUUAACCAAAAAAUUUUGGUUACUUUUAACUGCCUAGUUGAUAUGUGAAUAUUAACCUUUAGAUCAGUUUAUAAAUCUUCAUACUCAUCUACUCAUUUUGAUUGUCUUUCAAAGUACAGAAGGAAGACUGAUACUAUCUUAUAAUAAUAUUUAUGUCAACAGGUUGUCGUUCCUCGUUUGGAGCGUCUGGAUUUGUCCUCGAUCAACAUUCAUAAGAUAUGGCACCACUCAUCCUCCCCAUCUAUCGGAUACCUAAAUUUCUUGCGGGUGAAGAGGUGUCACAAUUUGAAAUACCUGUUCCCGUUUUUCUUAGCAAAAGAUCUUGAGCAACUCCGAUUCCUUGGAAUUUUGGACUGUAAUAUGAUGGAACAAGUAAUAUUCACGGAUGGAUUGGUUGAGGAACAUCAAGGGAGGAAUCAGAUGUUUUUCUUUAAUCUACAUUCGCUGUGGCUAAACGACCUUCCCAAAACUCACAAGUUUGUGCUUUGAAAAUUACUUUGAAUUUCACUGUUUAGCAGAUUUAACACUAAGAAAUUGUCCAUUGCUAAAAACAUUCAUCUCUAAAUGUGUACCCGGAGAUGAACCUCAAAUUGGCCAACAUGUACAGGCAAGUAACUUGGAGGUUCAUAACUCAUCUCUCCUCAAUGAAAAGGUAAUUUCUUCAAGGAUCCUCCUUUUAAUUUAUGUUACUUCGAUUGAUUUUAUUCAUUUGAAGUUCUUUCUUUUUCAUACAUAUUUCAGUUAUUAGCCUAAUGAAAUGAUUUAUUAGAUUGUUUUCUCUAGUUUGAAGUACUUGUCGAUUCAGAAUUGUGAUUCGUUAGAAGAAAUUAUUGAGCUGGAAGGACUCAUUGCUGAUGAGUCACAGUCAACAUCAGCUGCUCAAUCUACUGUGGCUGAAACAGUGACGACCAAGUUUGUAUUUCCCAAACUAAUAAACCUUGGAUUGGAUAAGGUGCCAAGAUUGAAAAGUUUCUACUCUAGGAUGCAUACCACCCAGUGGCCUUCAUUGAAACGAAUGAGCAUUAUUGAAUGCCCCAAAGUACAGAUAUUUACUCGACAAUGUCCUGUGAGUCAGGUUGGAAUCUCAAACCAACAACCCUUGUUUUGCGUCAAUAAGGUAAGCUCACGAACAGUUUCAUAUUCCAUGAUCAUUACUUGAGAUUACCUAUAAAAUGCUUUUUGAAAAAACUAAUAUUCUCUCCUCUUUUAAUUUUAUGAGAGUCUAGUUCUUACUAAUUUAAAACUCUUUCAUCGAUGUCUAAUAUAUUCGUUGCCAUCCAGGACACUUUCCCUGUAUUAGAAGAACUAACACUGAAGACGAAUGAUAUGGGGAAGGGGAUAUGUGAUGGACAACUCUCAUUGCAGUGUUUCCAAAACCUUAAGCAUCUUAACCUCCAAUUCUUUCCUGAGACAUCCACUACUCUUCCGUAUUCCUUCAUUCGGUCACUACCAAUGCUUCAUAAGCUUGUUAUAGACAAUGCUUCCAUUUGUCAAAUAGUACAAUCUGAAGGACUCAGCGACCAGGAAUGGCAUACAGCAGCAUUCUAUCAGCUAAAGGAAUUAAGUUUGUCUCAACUUCCAGAGUUGACGUUAAAGACUUUUGAACCAUCAUUGCUGUCUUUCAAAAAUCUAACAACACUGAAAGUUUCAAGAUGCCAUGGGUUCAUCAAUUUAAUCGCAUGCUCAACAGCUAAGUGCCUGAGGCUACUGGAAAGUUUGAGCAUAGAUGAUUGUGAGAUGAUAGAGGAAAUCUUAGCGUGUGAGGCUGAAGAAAUACAAGGCGGCAUUGUAUUUCCCAAACUGAAGUAUUUGCAACUAAGCUGUCUGCCAUGUCUAGCAAGCUUUUCCUCGGCCCAUCACUCGUUGGAAUUCCCAGUCUUGCUAAUGGUGAAGGUGACAAAGUGCCCCAAAAUGAGGAAUUUCUGCCAAGGAGAUUUAAGCACACCAAGGCUGGAACAAAUGCACUUAACAAGAGAUGAGGAAGGUGAGCUGCAGUGGGAAGGCGACCUUAACACUACCAUAAAACAUAUGUUCGAUGAAAUGGUACAAAUCAUUUAAAGGAUUUAAAUUCAUGGGUUUUUACAUACAUACAUACAUACAUACAUAGUUAAUUGAACAAUUCUUGGUUUGUUAUGAUCAUGCACAGAAUGUGCAAAAUUCUGAGGUGACGGAGGUUACUGAUCAAUUGCCCAAGCUGGAAUAAGGAAAUAUGUAUGGGUGCUUAUGCGAAAAGCUCAAUUUCGUUUGAAUUCAAAACAAAUGGUAAUUGACUCUUCUAUUUUCAUCAUGGCUUAACUAAUGCUUUAUAAAGUGACCAUAGAGACGCCCUUUUCAUUGUAGGUUGAGUUGCUCUACUGAAGUACGAGGCUGCAACUUUUGGUAAAAUGUGAAAGGUUAUUUCAGUUUUGGUAAAACUACUAUUUGAACUGUUCCAUUUCACAUUAUACCCUCAAAAUUGAACUUCAUUGGGCUACAAACAUGUAAACUUUUACUAGUAAGGUUGAGCCCUGUUUUAAGUAUUUGCCAACUUUUGAUGGUUGCCAUAUCAAUGUCAGCUUAAAGCUAUCAAGUAUCUUUACAAAUAUAAGAUAUAUAUAUAUUAUUCCUUAAUGAGGGAUAAAAGUAGGCAGCUAUGUACUAAUGAUACGGUUGAUUCUGAAAAGACGGCCGAAAUUGAAUCAAUGGGUUGUUGGUAUUUGCCUGAUGGAAGAACAGGGCCUAAUGUUGCGUGGAUUCUGGUCAAGUUUUAAAUUUUCAGUUGUGGGCAUUACUGAUUGUUGUCAUUUGGUUGUUGAUCCUCUGAUUUUACGAUUGACUGUCUUGCUUAUUCGUUGCAAGGUUGGCGGGUCUCAAGUAUGAAUUUCCAAACCGGCUUUCAUCCAUAAUUAACUAAGUGUUCCAAUCCAUGGAGUUUAUGGUUUAUUAGCGUAACUGUCCAUUUUAUUUGUUGAGGAAAAAAAAUAUGAGGAUUAAUCUGAUAUUUAAUGUUUGGGUUUUUGAAUAUUUUUGUGCCUUUAAUGAAAGAAAGCAAAUAAAAUAGAGACGUACAAGAUCACAUCCAUAGAUCAACAAAAGGGUUUAAUAUUUCUAUAAAAAAUUGUCCCAAAAAGGCCUUAUGGGAAUUGAUCAUAUAAACUAAUGAAGGCCAUUGAAAAUAAAGCUUGUAAAAGUUUACAGAAGGAAUUGAUGAGAAUCUGAUACACUAUUCAUUUUGUUGCGAUAAGAGUUUAUGGCCUUGUAGGAGCCUCUCCCCAAAUUGCUAGCAAAAGAAACAAAAGGAUUAAUGCACGUCGAUAAUGGCAGAUUUAUAUUUGCUACAAAAGGUGAAGAGCCCAAGACCCUCCAACCUCCUCGGAACAGUUUGAAAUCGUUCCAAAAUAUGCUCUAGCAAAUGUUCCAAGCCAUCUCAUGCGACAGUUUUCCCUUAAAAGCAUUAGUGGCUGAGUCUAGUCUUAAUUUUUAUUUGUAUCUUUUAUAUCCGUUUUAUAAUUCAUAUUUAGGAUUUGUAUUAUUUAAAAAAGGAAAAUCUUUGAAAUAAAAAAAAACAGUAUGUUUUAUAUAAUUAUUUAAAGUUACUCUCACAUUAUUUUUACCCAUUCAAAGCUAGCAAGUCUUUUAUGUACAAAAUCGUAUAGCUCUGCAAUUUGGAAUAACAUUUUGGUCACCUCCAUGUGAAGUGAGAGAAAAUUGAGAAUGUCACACAAUUAUUAUUUUUCCCUCCAUACCCCUAUGCCACCAAAGAAACUUGAAUUAUUAAGGCACAAAAGCACUAAGGAGUAGGAGCUAGAAAAAGAGGGGCAUGAAAAUAAAGAGAGUUACAUUUAUUAUUUGCAUAAUACAAAAUUAGUCUUUAAUAUUUACACAUUUUAUUAUUUUUAUUUUUUAUUAAUUAAAUUUGGCUUUAAACUCUUUAAAAAGAGUUGAAUUUGAACAUCAACCUUUUAAAAAGAGUUAUAUUAUUAUUUAACGGAAAUGUUAAAUUUUGAAAUACAUAUAAGAAUAUAAUUUUAUUAAAUUAUAUAUUUUUAUUAAAUUAUAUUAAAUUAUAUUUAAUAAUAAUUAUUUUAAAUUAUAUUUUAUAGUAUUAUAUAUUAUGAUUUUAGUAAAUUCAUAUAUUUUAUUAAAUUAUAUAUUUUUAUUAAAUUAUAUUUAAUAAUAAUUAUGUUAAAAUAUGAUUAAAUUAUUUAUUAUUUAUAUUAAUAACCUUAUUAAAAUUUAAUAACAAUAACAAUAAUCAUCGACCUAAAAAAAAUUCUACUAAGGGUAUUCUCGUCAUUUUAGCUUUUUUCCUUAUGCUAUUACACCAUCAUUCCCUUCAACCAAACACAAGAAUAUUAUUACGCCUCUAUUCCAUUCCAUUCAACCAAACAAAAGGAUUACCUAUUACGCCUUUAUUCCAUUACGCCUCUAUUCCAUUACGCCUCUAUUCCAUUACAGCGAACCAAACGUGCCCUAAAGGUUCAAAGAUUUCUGCUUAAAUUUGGACUUCACUCCUUAAGCUUCAAGUUCAAGUUUUUUGGUAUAUAAAUUUUGGACCUUAAUUUGGUAUGUAUUUAAGCUUAUUAGUAAUAAUGUGAAUUAUGUACGAAAGAUAAUGUUUUGUGUUAUAAAGUAUCUCGGUUAUAAUGAAAUAAGAAUAAAUUGAAGUGAUGAGUUUAGUGUUAAAUGUAGCAUCUCUUACUCAAAUUUGUUAUCGAAUCGGGUGAGAGGUGUUACUACUAGAAUAUAAAUUACCCUUUCUUUUUUCUUAAGAUAAAUGUAUUUUUUUUAAUUAAAUUCGUACAUAAAAUGAUAUUUUUACUAAAAUAUUAAAUUCGAAAAAGAAAUUUAAGACAAAAACAUUUUAGCCAACAACAUAUUCAUUGUAGGAUCAAAAACAUUAAUGCAAGAAACUUAAAACAAGGAAUCAAAAGUCUAGAACAAGCAAUCAAACUUAUUUUAUAUGAUCCACCAUUAAAAUUUUAGAAUAUGAUAAACAAGCAAUCAAAUAUUAAGUGCACAAUUUUAGAUUCACUAUACAAGAGCUGAGAACGAGAAAGCUAUCACAUCAGAUGGCUUGGUACAAUUAAUUAGACCGUGUUGCAGUACCUCUCUGGCAUCAACUUCGCUUGUAAAUUUCUAUAAGCUGUCACUUCAAUGGCCUUCAUCAACUUGCAGCUCUAAUCUAAAUUGUACAAAACCAAUUGAUAACAAAUUCACAAUCCACAGAUUGUGGGCUCAUAAUGCUAAUGACAAAUCAAUGUCUCGUUAUGAUUCAAGUAAUCCAUACACCGUUGGAUAGGUGCAAGGAUUGUUUGGAUCAUAAGAGAGCAUUGGUUUGUUCUUAGAAUUAUGUGUCCAUAUACCAUGGAUCUUGAACUCAUUAAGGAUUGGUGGUGUACAACUCAGACUAAAGCUAUAGGCUAAUAAAGGCCAUUGAAGAAAAAGCUUACGAAAAUUACAAGCGAAGUUGAUGCCGGUAGGGGUGCUGCAAAUGCUGCUCAAAAUGAAAAGAGAAGAACAAGAGGAGUACUCUCUCUCUCUCUCUAUAUAUAUAAGUAUAUACUCUUCUCCAUGCUGCACAUUAUUGCAAAAAAAGAAAACACACAAGGGACCAAUCUUAGAUCUUCACAAAGGUCAUUUGAGAUCAAAGGAGAAGAACAAGAAAAACAAAGGUGAGGGGUUUGAAGAAAGAGCCAAAUAUAUAAAGGAAAAAUUAAGUGAGAGAGAGGAUGGGUUUAAUUUAAAGAUUAAAUGUUUCUUUUUUGGUAAACACAUUUCUUUGGUCCCUCUCAAUUUUGAUGUUGAGCAAAUUAGCCCAUUUCUAAAAAUUUUGGAGAAAUUUGAUCAUUGUUGAUUUUGAAAGUGAGCAACUAAAUACAAUUAAUCAUAACGUUUAUGUUUUUCAUCAGUUCUACAAUUUUUUUCUUGGUAUAAUAAAAAAUAUAACUUUCAAAGUUUACACAUUUUGUCAAUUUGAUCUUGAUAUAACAAAUAUAACUCAUAACAUUUUCACAAUAUUCCAUCAAUUUGGUCCUAAUUUAACAAAUUUAGCCCGUAAUAUUUACACUUUUUGUCAAUAGUUACGCAGAAUAUAUAAACAUCAAUGGCUAAAUUUAUUAUUAUACCAAUCAAAAUUAUGUAGAAUCGAUGGAAAACAUUAAAGCUAUAAUUAAUUGUCCGUAGUUACUCACAUUUAAAAUUGACAGGAAUUAAAUUGUUCUGAUUUUUUAAAAAGAUCGAUUUACUUAAUAUCAAAAUUGAGAGAAAUCAUAAAGAUAAUUUUACUUUUCUUAAUUUAAUAGGUAAGAAAAUUUAAAAUCAUUGAAAAAAAAAAGUAAGUUGUAUAGAUUUAUUUAAAGUCACACUCACAUUAUUAUUUUUCCCAUUCAAAGUUGAAAAGUCUUUUAUGUAAAAAAUAGUAUAGCUCUUCAAUUUGGGUUAACAUUUUGGUCCCCGCCAUGUGAUGUGAAGGAAAAUUGACAACAUCACAACAAUCAAAUCUAUUUUUUCUGCCAUACCCCUGUGCCUCCGAAGAAAGUUAAAUUAUUAAGGCACAAAAGUACCAAGGAGUAGAAGCUACCAAAAGAGGAGCAUGAAAAUAAAGAGAGAUACAUAUAUUACUGGCAUGGAAUAUUUACAUCUUUUAUUAAUUUAGAUUUUUUUAGUUAAUUUUAAUUUUAAAUCCUUUAAAAAAAAGUUGAAUUUGAUCAUCAACGUUUAAAAAGAGUUGAAUUAUUAUUUUUUAAUAAAAAUAUUAACCAAAAUGUUAAAUUUUGAAACAUGGCAAUCCGUAAAACAAUCCAAGUGUAGUUCAUGCUUGUUUUUAUUUGAUUUUUUAUGAACUCUUUUUGUGGGAAAUUUUUAUUUUUUUAAUAUUUUUAUAAUUUUUAAUUUAUUGGCGUGACAUAUAAGAUAAAUAAUACUAUGUCAACAUAAAUGACAUGUAGACUGCCACAUGGGUUGCCAUGCCAACUUCGUUAAAAAUUAAUAUUUUAGUCAACAUUUAAAAAAACACGAUUUGACUCUUUUUUAAAGGUUAAUUGUCAAAUUUAAAUUAAGAAAUAAUAAUAAUCAAAUUGACAAAAGAUGUAAAUAUUAAGUGUUGAAUUUAUUAUUAUACUUUUAAGUAAAAUUUUUGGAUUUGAAUUUGAAUUAUUUUGGGAAAUUUAAAUAGUUUUGAGCUCAGAACAUUUCAAGAGAAAAUUAGCAAGUCAAAUUACAAUUAUAAAAUAAUAUAUGUCAUUUAUAUGUUUGUCUAUAUAAGUUUAAAUUACAAAUUAAUUACUAAAAGUGAUUAGGGCAUUAGUAUUUGUGUUGUCACAUGGGAGUUUAGGUUCAAUCUCUUGAUUGAAAUAAUAUUUUUAAAAUAUUUAUUUAAUAUUUCUAUAUACAUCAAAAUCCUUGUUAAAUUUUAAUUUUGUUUUUGUUAUUAGAAUACUUGAAUCAAUAAAAUUUUAAGGCACAUAUCAAACCCAACAAUCAAAAUUAAAUCACACCAAAAUAAGGCCAAGAAAUUCUUAAACAGCUCACCAAGCAACAUUCAAAUAUCAUAACUUAACCCCCUUGCAAAUAAUAAGAGCAUAGACGCUUGCUGCAGACAAAAGGUCCCAUGCCCAUUACAAGCUCUGCCCAUCAGUUCCUGCCAGAGGAGCCAUGGCCAAGAAAACUAUUAGUCUUAAUGCAAUCCACAAAACGUGUGGGACUUUUCCUUAAGGUCAGCUCUUUUGAGUUCAAGUCCUUUUCGCUGGCAAAUUUGUUGAUAUAGGAGCAACAUUGGUCAUCACAAUCAACAAAGGUCUUGUGAAAAAAAAUAGAAUGUCGGUAAUGAUAAUAUACCGCAAAGAAAAGAGAAAUAAAAAUAAAGAACAUAGAUUUUACGUGGAAACCCUUUCGGGAAAAAACCACGGGUAGAGGAGAAGUAAAUUCACUAUGUCGAAUUCGAAUGAUUACAAGAGGAGCUUCGACUACAUCUAUUUAUAGGUUGAAAAAAACCUAAUUCUAAUCAAAGUCGAAUAUAUUAUGCUAAUAAAUGCUAAAUAUAUUAUACUCAUAAAUACUAAAUAUUCUAGAAAGAAGAUAUAUUUUGUUCAACUUGACUUGCAAGCAAUCUCUUAGAAUUUGGGUUACACAACUCUAACAAUCUCCACCUUGACACAAAUUCUCAAUGAAUAAGUUCUUCAUCGCGAACUCUCAACGAACAAGUUCUCUAGCUCUUCCAUAAAACCCCUUAAGGGUUUAACUUCAACAAUGAACACCAAUCAAGUCUAAGAAAUGCUUAAACUUGGUUAUAGGAAGUGACUUAGUCAUCAUAUCUGCAGGAUAUUCAUGAGUACUAAUUUUACUCACAACAAUAUCUCCACGGGCAAUAGUAUCACGAACAAAAUAAUACCGAACAUCAAUGUGUUUUGUUUUCUCAUGAAACAUUUGAUAUUUUGUAAGGAAGAUGACACUCUGACUGUCACAAAUACUGUACUGAUUUGAAGGUUUUCAUUGAGUUCACUAAAGAGUCCCUUCAACCAAAUAGCUUCUUUACAAGCCUCAGUAAUUACCAUGUACUCAGCUUCAGUGGUAGACAAAUCGAUUGUAGUUUGCAAAGUGGCUUUCCAACUUAUUGCACAACCUCUGAUUGUAAAGACAUAACCUAUGAGAGAUCUUCUUCUAUCAAGGUCUCCAGCAAAAUCAGCACCAACAUACCCAAUGACUCUAUCUCUAGUUCUUUCAAACUGUAAGCAAACAUCAGUAGUACCUUGUAAGUAUCUUAAAAUCCACUGAAUUGCUUUAUAAUGUUCUUUACCGGGAUUCGCCAUGUAUCUGCUAACUGCACUGACUGUAUAUGAUAAAUUUGAACGAGAACAAACCAUAGCAUACAUAAAAGAUCCCACUGCACUAGAGUAUGAAGCAUGUGACAUGUACUCAAUCUCAUCAUCUGAUUGUGGAGACAAAGCUGAUGAAAGUCUGAAAUAGGCUGCUAAAAGAGUACUAACAGACUUAGCAUUCUGCAUAUUAAAUCUGCAAAGAACUUUCUCAUGUACCCUUUCUGACUUAGGUACAAUUUACUUGCUUUUCUAUCUCUGAGAAUCUUCAUACUUUUUUGCUGGUCCCAAAUAUUUUAUCUCAAAUUUUUCACUUAGUUAGGCUUUGACCUUUCUCAUCUCUCCUUUAUCUUUCGCUGCUAUCAACAUGUCAUCAACAUAAAGGAGUAGAUACAUAAAAGAACCAUCAUUGUUUUUCUUAAAGUAAACACAACUGUCAAAACUACUUCGUUUAAAAUCAUGAGAAGUUAUAAAGGAAUCAAAUCUCUUGUACCACUAUCUUGGUGACUAUUUCAAACCGUAAAUGGACUUUUUCAACAAGCAAACAUAGUCCUCUUUUUCUGAAACUAUAAAAUCCUCUGGUUGUUGCAUGUAAAUAUCCUCCUCAAGUUCUCCAUGUAAAAAAGCAGCUUUUACAUCUAACUGCUCAAGCUCCAAAUCAUGCAUGGCCACAAUACCAAGCAAAGCUCGAAUCGAGGUAUGCUUCACAGCUAGGGAGAAUACAUAUGUGAAGUCUACUCUUGGAAUUUGACUGUAACCCUUUGCAAUAAGCCUUACUUUAUAUCUAGGUUAUUGAACUCCUUGAGUCCCCUCUUUCUUUUUAAACAUCCAUUUACAACGAACAACCUUUUUACCUUUAGAAAGUUUCACAAGAUCCCAUAUUUUAUUUUUGUGGAGUGAUUCCAUCUCCUCUUGCAUAGCAAACAUCCACUUUUCUAAGUCUUCAUGGUUAACUGCAUCAGAAUAAUUAGAUGGCUCUUGGUUUGCAUUUAUAUCUUCAGCCACGUUUAAAGCAUAAGCAACUAGAUCAGCCUUGGCAUACUUCUUUAGAGGUUUAAUUUCUCUUGUAGUUCUGUUUUUGGCGAUAGAGUAUUGUGGUGAAGAAGCAACUCUAUUUUGAAUUUUUGUACUGGCUUGAGGAGUUGACUCCAUUGUAGAUUCUGGAUUAAUCUGAUGCUCUACUUGCUUUUGAUUUUUCUUUAUUAGAAGAGUCUUUAAGAUAUAAGUUAGGUAGCAUAACAAUUUCAUCAAAAACAACAUCUCUUCUAAUCACAACUUUUCUAAUUUCAGGACACCAUAACUUAUACCCUUUUACACCAGCUUUAUAACCAAGAAAAACACAUUUAAUGUAUCUCGGUUCCAAUUUUCAUGAUCAAUAUGAGCAUACGCAGGUCACUCAAAAAUCUUUAAAUCAGAAUAGUCAACAGGAUUACCAGACCAUACCUCUUGUGGAGUCUUUUUCUCAAUGGCAAUGGAUAGAGAUCGGUUGAUUAAAAACAUGCAGUAGAGGCUGUUUCGGCCAAAAUAACUUUGGUAAGUUGGCAUUUGACAACAUACAUCGAACCUUCUCCAUGAUCGUUCUGUUCAUUCGUUCUACAACGCCGUUUUACUGUGGAGUAUGACGAACUGUCAAGUGUCUCACGAUUCCUUCUGACUUGCACAGUUUAUUAAACUCAUCAGAACAGAAAUCUAAGCCAUUGUCUGUACGGAGAUAUUUUAUUUGUUUUCCCGUCUAUUUUUCAAUCAUAGUUUUCCAAGAAGCUGCUUGCCACCAAUGCAGCUCAGUUGAAAUAUUUAGAGUCACGAGCGGAAAAUGUAGAGCAGAAGGCCAAGGAUGCUGAAAAAAAAAUAGUUGAACUCGAAAGGUAGCUUAAGGCUAAGGUAAAGGAAGCUACACAAUGGAGCAAUAAGCUUGAGGAGGUUGGUAACUCAUUGAUGGACUAGAUGAUAAAAAUUCAGAAAACACUAGGAUCCUUUGACUCAACAGGUAUCAACUUUGAUAGAGCAAAGAUAUCUAAGGCUUGUUCUGUGUGCCUUUUUGAUACUAUGAUACUUCUAUAUUGGUUUUAGAUCGUUGAGAAUCGAAAAUAUGGCUGGGCUAUGGAUUACGCAGGAAGAGGAACUUCAAGGUAAGAUAAUGAAGGAUUGAAGGAAUUGAGAAAUGAAUGGGGUGAAAUGAUCUACAGGGCCGUUGUUGUUGCAUUACUGGAAAUGGAAGAGUACAAUCCAAGUGGGAGAUACAUAGUUUUUGAACUUUGGAAUUUCAAAGAUGAUGAAAAGCCAGCUUAAAAGAAGCUAUUGAGAUCUUCAUCUACCAUUUACAGAACAAAUUGAGUCAAUCCCUGUACUCAUUGAACUGAUGGUAAGCUGAGUUGUUCCUGGUACUAGACUAUGUAACAGCCCGAUUCUGGGCCUAGUCGGAAUAGUGGUUUCGGGACCACAAAUCCGACGAGAGAAAAUAUUAUUAUCAUUAUAUUUUUAUGGUCUACAAUUUCACGGAAUGAUUUCGUGAAAAUUUCGUUCGAAAAUUUCAACGUUUGAGCACUCAAUUUAGUCAAAAAGGACUAAAUUGUAAAAAGUGCAAAAGUUGAGUUCUAGAAGCUAGAGGUGUUAAAUUGCUAUGAAAUUUUAAAUUGGAGGUCCUUAAAUGGUAAUUAAACCAUUAGUUAUUUAUGGACAAAAAUAGACAUGGUUAGUAAGUAAGCUAUUUAAGGGCAUUUUGAUAAAAUGCCUUAAUUAAUGAAUAAAGACAAAAUAACAUGAAAUAAGUUAUCAUCUUCUUCAAUUCUUUUCUCCAUGGCCGAAUGUAGCAAGGAAAUACCAUGGCUAGGGUUUUUUCAUCUUCCAAGCUUCAUGGUAAGUCCGUUCUAGCCCCAUUUUUCUUGUUAUUUAUAUUUUUAGAAUCCCGGUAACUUGCUUAAUCUAAUUCUACUAUUAAUUUGAGCUAGAAUUUAUGUUUGAAAAAUUACCCAUAGGUGAAAAGUGUGAACUUUGAUGUUUCAUGAUAGAAUAUGAAGCUUAGAAUUAUGUUAAACGAUUUUUGCUAAUCGAUUUUCAGUAAAAACGAGUAAAACGACAUAAUCAGUAAAAAUAUCUAAUGUUCAUAAGUAAGUGUUGAGUGGGAAUUUGAUGUUUCCAUAGAAGAGAAAAAUGUUCAGAAUGUCAUAAAAAAUAAGAAUAAGAGAUGAAAUUUAAUUUCCGAGCUUUGGGGCAAAAGUGUAAAUAUGCAAAAGUUUAGGGGCAAAAAUGUAAUUUUGUAAAAAUAUGAUUUUUGGACUGAAUUGAAUAAUGUGAGUGUUAAAUAAGUUAAAUGUGUUAUUAUAAGUCAAGAAAGACAAGGAAUUGACUUUGAUUAGUAAAAAAAUGAGAAAAAGUGAGAAAUUUCUCGAUUGAACAUUCAGAAUAAAAAGGGAUACGAAUGAAAUGACAGAAAUGAUCACAUAUGUGGCAUGGACUGUGUGUAGGCCACUAUGUGAAAGUGAAAGUGAUGGUCACAUGUGUAGUACUAUGUGAAGGCUACUACGUGUACCAGAAUGAUAGGUCGCAUGUGUAGUACUAUGUACAGGCUACUAUGCGUAUCGGAUAGCUUCGAUCACGUGUGUAGUACUAUGUGCAGGCUACUACGUGUAUCGGAUAGUGAUGGUCACAUGUGUAGUACUAUGUGCAGGCUACUAUGUGAACCCAUAUCAUUGAUUAUAAGGUGGUUGCUAAGUGCUGAUUCCACCAUAUCUUAAAUGUGAAAGGGGUUGCUAAGUGCUGAUUCCCCGAAUCACUGGUGGUUGCUAAGUGCUGAUUCCACUGUAUCCUUGAUUGUGAAAGGGGUUGCUAUGUGCUGAUUCCCCGUAUCAUUGAUUAUAAGGUGGUUGCUAAGUGAUGAUUCCACCGGGAUCCUUUGAACAUGAGGUGGUUGCUAAGUGCUGAUUCCACCAUGUAACGGUUAAUAUUCCGAAGUGUUCAUCGGGGAAAUUGGAUAAGUGAAAAUAUAUGUGAAUCGAAUAAGGUUACGGGAUGAAUAUUGGAUUCGAUAUUUAAUCGACCCUUGAGUAAGAUGAAAAGAAGUAAUGAAAUUGUGAAAAAGAAAAAUGUGCAACAAAACAGUUUUGGACAGUAACAAUAAUGUGACUUUGAAAAAUCACCAAAAAUGGUGGAAAUUGAAUUAGAGAGUUAAUAAGAUAUUAAAUGAAAGCUUAAGGAGUCUAUUUUUAUGUAAAAGAAACAGAGCAAGUAAAAGAGUUAGACAUUCUGAGAUAUUUGAAUUUUAGUGAGGCAGGGUAGGAUUGAUUUCGGAAUCCCCUGUUCUGAAUUUGGAAAAUAAUUAAAAAUUGUAAAAAAAUAAUUACUAGAUAUAAUUUAUACGAUUAGAAUCCUUAAUGAGUCUAUUUUUAAGGGAAACAAACAGAAAAAUCAUCCAAAUUCUGUACAAUGAGAUAAUUCAUUUUUAGUGAAGAGAGGUCAGAGAUGUUGAGCAGUGAAACAGGGGUGACUUUAAAGAAUAAACUGUACUAAUUGGAAAAGUCAAAAAUUCUGAAAAUUUUAUGGUAAGAAGAUAUGUGAGUCUAGAUUCGGGGAAAAUUAACGGAUCUUAAUUUGGAGCUCUGUAGCUUUGGAUAAAUAUAAUUUAGUGACUCUGACUCGAAUAGACAGCUUUGGAUAUACAUGUGAAUGAAUAGUGAAAUUAUGUAUAAUGCUAUUUAAGCAUGUUUUAUACAUAAAGGAUGUGGAAUGGAGAGGGGGAGGAGGAAAAUUAAUUAUAUAUAUGAAUGAUUUGUGUAUAAAUGGUUAUAUGCUCAAUUAUAAUCGAUAAACGUUAAAAUAGAAAUGAUGCUUACAUUUGCGUAUUAUUGAUCAUGGUUUAAGCUCAUAUGGGAAAAUAAAGUUUCAUAGUAUGUGAGUGUGGUUUAUUUGAUAUAUGGGUUGGUAUGAAGUAAGGCCAUGAAUGGUUUAUGGAUUAAUUCAUGUUGGUAGGUUUGGUACAUGAAUAAAUGUUGAACUUGGCCAUACUUAUAAUGCUUAUGCUAUAUGUUUAUUUGGCUAACAUGUGUAGUGUACAUGCUUAAGCUUUGGCCAAUUGGUGGCUGAAUUAUGCCACGUUAAAUUUAUAAGUUAUGCAUUGAAAUGGUAAGUGCCUAGAUGGGAAUAUGCUUAUGAUCAUGGAAAGGGUGGUAACGUUUAAAUUAUGUAAACUUACUUGGAAUGGUUUAUCAUGUGGUUAAUUCCAAAAAAGAAUUAUGUUUAAUGUACUAGCUUGUGACUAUGGUUGAAUGAUAUGUUAUUGUUUUGUGUGAUAUUUGUAGGAAAUGGGUGUGGAAAGGAAAUGAAAUACUAAGUUCAUACUUGAAGAAUAAAAUGACGAAAAAGGGAAUGAUGAGUUGAUUUGAUGUUGUUAUUUAAGCUUAAGUGAUGUUUUCAUUGUAAUACUAAGAAUUUUAUAAAUGUGUUAAUGAAUGGUAUAAUUGAUAAACGUUGAGUUAAAUGAUGAACACGUAUUAGUAUUGAACUUAACAAUAUUGAAUUGUACAUGAAUUAAAUGGAAGUUUUUAGUGAUAUGAUUUGAAUUAAAAGAAUUGUUGUGGUAUUGAAAUAUAUAUAUUGGAUUGAGAAAUUGAUUUGAAUUGUGAACAUGAAAGAUUUUGAAAUGAAUAAAAUAGAAAUGAAGCAUUGAAUUACAUGAGUAAGUAUCGGGUCUUGUAGGCCCAAUUUGUUAUGAAUAUAAUAUUUCAAGGAUAUGUUAUAAAGAAUUAUAAAAUCAUGUUAAAAAUUUGAAAAGUUUAAAUUUGAAUGAAAUUUUGUAACUCGGUUUAAUACGUUUACAUGUGUAAGUGUUCUAGUAAUGCCUCAUUCCCUAUUCCGGAGUUGAAUACGGGUAAGGGGUGUUACAGACUAUCAACAAGCCAAGUUAAUCCCAGUAUUCUGCGUAACAUUUCCAUGUAGUUAAUCUUAUUUUGCUAAUAUAUAAUCAAAUGACCAGUAUUUUGUUUAACCCUCAAACAUCCUGCGUGGAAGCAAGUUAUUCAUAUGAAUUGCUUGAAUUGCUCAUAUGUCCAAUGAAUUAUAAAGGAAUGCUGUUGAAUUCCCAUCGAUACAUACAUGCAUACAUAUUAGUGAAGUAUAUUCCAAUAUAAUAUCAAUAUUGGGAUUUACGUUUUAUAGAGCAGCAUUAAUGAUUGGUAAUAUACAUUCGUUCCAAGGCAAACCCAAAUAUUGUAACCUACAACUGUGGCAAAUCAAAUUUUACAGUAACCCAAUUAUAAUGUGAAGUCAAAUAUGAAAGUAACAUUGGUUUAUAUUUUUUUUUCUCAAAAUUCUAAUAAUCAAGUUGGGAUAAGUGAUAAACACUGAGCUUGCCACGUGUGUUAAACCACAUUUUUGUUAUGUGCCACUCCAAAGAUAUCGGGCCUCUAUUCAGGCUGGCAUAGUCAGGACGUGGUAGCAUACUUCAGGACCCUGGUUAGAAAAUAUCCCACAUCCGAUAAAAUUGGAACGAUACAGAGAAGAUUAGCAUGGCCCUGCGCAAGGAUGACAUGCACAAAUCGAGAAGUCCAAUUUUUUUCCCUUUUUUUCCCCACAUUUUAACAGCUCUGCUUCUUCUUCUUUUUUUCCCCUGGGUUUGAUGUUCAUAUUCAUGGGUUUUUGUGCACUUAAGAUUGCAAUUAGAGUUUUCUUUCUUUCUUUUACUGGGUUCGGUCUGUUUUACUCUCUUGAACUGUGAAUUUGAUUUUUUUUUCCAUUUUUUCAGCUUUGUUGCUUUUUUCCCCCUGGGUUUAGUUUUCAUGUUCAUGGGUUCCGCCCACUUAAGAUUGCAUUGGAGUUUUUUUUUUCCUUUUUACUGGGUUUUGGCCAGUUUUACUCUGUUGAACCGUGAAUACCUCUGGGAAAAAAAUUGUUGCUUAUAUAUUUGCUAGUCAACAGUGCUAAUUUUCUGAUAUAUUGGCCAGAAUUGAGGGAAGAAGGUCCAAUUUUGCUUUUGAUUCUUCUACUACUAUCUUAAGAUUUAAAAGAAAUUCAAUUAAACAAUUUCUUCCAAUAAAAUUAAACAAGAAGGGACCUGCACACUUAGACAUGUUUCUCUUUGAAAAAAAUUCAAACAGGGUUUUAAAAUUUGCAAUGUGUUUUAUGUAAAUCAAAUGAUACCCUGAAUUUUGCUAAGGGUGUUUCAUAUCCUUGAAUCCUUUUUUUGCUUGGCAAGUGAUUCAUUGAGUUUUUGUGAUAAAUUUCAUGUUUCUUUUUUUAGUAUGGGAAUUUGUGGGAAAAUGCUUGGCAAUAUGGAAAUGAAACCAGUUUCCAUUUCCAAAGGCAACAGCAAAGUGGUGAAGCUUAUUGUUGAAAAAUUCUUCAAUAAUGUCAAUAAUGAAAAAGUAGAAAAUGGAAAAACUGAUAAGUACAUGCCUUUCUUGAAUAAAGGAAUGUGAAUCUGUGUGAACUUCCAUUUCCCUUGAAUUAUGCCUAAGUAAACCUUGACUAAGGAAACAAAUAAGCAGAGACCUUACAAGAAGAAAUUUGUGUUUAAUUCAGUCACACACAAUUUUCAAAGAAUCUUACUUCAUUUUCUUCAUAAAUUGUUGCGUAAGAUACUAACACUUGAAAAACUAAUAACAUUAGACCCAACCAUUUUAAACAGGAUGUAAUAGCACCAUACAAAUACAAAACCAAAAUGAAACAACGACCAACACUAUAUAAAUAUACACCAUUGAUCAAAAUAUACACUAACAACAAUUAUGAUAAGAUAACAUAGAUGAACAUGAUACAAUUUGUUAAAUCUAAGGUACUGACCAAUCAUUUUAUUGGAGCAUUACUUAAUGUAUAAGGCUCAAUCCCCCCCCGAUGCUAGAUACUGAUACACUCAAACGAAUAUGAUUUUCUUCCAUUCAUUUCAAUAUGGUAAUGUUGUUUUUACCCUAAGUUAAAAUCCUUUUUUUUUACUGCACAGAAAUCUGAAUUCACCAACCCUGAUGGAAGGCUUGUGAUUGUGACCAACUUUACAGGCAAAAAUGAAAAAGGAUCUACAACCUUUGUUAACUGUUUUGUAAAAUACAAGAAAAUCCCAUACCCAAGCAUGAUUUUAUAUACACCCUGCUACAAAAACACGUUUUUUCCUGCAAAAACAUCAUUCAUGGCAAGAUGUCAAGAGAUUGGUGAAAAAGAAAAACAUCCAACAUUUGGGGUUUUAAUCUCAAUAUAUGAACUUGGCUUUAUUUCUUAGUGUUAUUGUUGAACUUUUUAGGAUGCCUCUGUCUUAAUCCAUUUAUGUGAUUUGAUAAUGAUAUUUGCAGGCACUUAAAUCUGUUGGAACAAUGGCAGCAGCAAACAUCAAACAAAGUUACAACACAGUGUUUGCAAGACUGAAGCAAGAAGAAUCGAAGCAAAGAAAGAGCAAAGCAAAGCAAAAAUUUGAUCAAAUUGAAUACUCAGCAAAGUUGUAACUGAAUAUUACAUUUUUCAUUCAAGAUUAGAAUAUAUAAAAGUACUACAAUUUUGGUUCAUUUGACAGAUACCUAAUGACAUAACUACUCCCACUUAAACUAAACUAAUACAAGCUUAAGUCAAAUACAAAUAAGCUGACAUAUCAACUUUUACAUCACCAAUCCAAUCACAAACUUAAUCCAACUAACUAUUAAAGCUAGUUACAAUCAAACUGAACUAAGUUACAUCAAAACAAAACAGCAAUAUCAGUUGCUUCAUUUGGUCUGAAAACCAUUCGUGCACACCAAGCAAAAUGAGCUGAGCUCGAUAGCUGCUGGUCUCGAUAGUAGCAUGCUUCCGGCUCCAUGUUGCAUUGCAGUCCAUCUUUCAACACUCCUCCUUGGACUGUAUGCAACACAUUCCAAUUGCACUUCUCAAAGAUUCAAAUCGAACAGCCCCUAAGGGCUUUGUCAUUAUGUCAGCCAAUUGAGCUCUUGAGCUGCAAUGCACAAGGCUGACUUACUUUGCUUGUUCAGCUUUUCUAACAAAAUGCAGUUUGAUUUUAAAAUGCUUAGUCUUACCAUGGAACACAGGGUUCUUGGCUAUUGCAACUGCAGACUGAUUAUCUACCCAAAUUUUAGUUGCUUCAUCUUGAGUUUCAUUAAGGUCAUAAAGCAGCUUCCUUAGCCAAAUGGCCUGAUUAACUGCUCCUGCUGCAGCAAUGUACUCUGCUUCAGCUGUGGAUUGAGCAACAGUUUGUUGCUUCUUUGAACUCCAGCAAAACAUGCCCGAUCCAAGUGUGAAGAAGUAUCCAGAGGUACUCUUCAUGUCAUCGAGAGAUCCUGCCCAGUCACUGUCAGAGUAGCCUUCUAGUUUCAGUUGAUUCCUACUUUCAAACAUUACACCAAAACUAGCAGUGCCCUUGAUGUAUCUAAGGAUCCUCUUUCCUGCCUUCAAAUGUGCCUCACUACAACAAUGCAUAAAUCUCGAUAACAGGCUGACACCAAACAUGAUGCCUGGCCUGGUUGCUGUUAGAUACAACAGACAACCAACUAGGCUUCGAUAGUGCCUCUCAUCAACCCUCUGCUGAUCACCACUGCUAGUCAGCUUUUCUCCUUGGGCCACAGGUGUGCUGACUGCUUUACAGUUAUGCAUGCAGAAUUUGUCUAGGAUCUUCAAAGCAAAUGAGUGUUGGCUGAUGAAGAUACCUCGAUUAGACUGGUGCACUUCCAUGCCAAGGAAGUAAGUCAUGAUCCCCAAAUCUGUCAUCUCAAACACUUGCUGCAUUUGGACCUUGAACUGAUCAAUGAGCUCAAUUUUGCUCCCUGUCACAAGCAAAUCAUCCACAUACAAGGAGACAAUCAGCAAGGUUUCAUGUUCUGACCUUUUAACAUACAGAGUAGGCUCACUAAGGCUCUUUACAAAUCCAAGUUUGGUCAGGUAAGCAUCAACUCUGUCAUACCAGGCCCUUGGUGCUUGUUUCAGGCCAUAGAGGGCCUUUCUCAACUUAUACACUUUGUCUUCAUGUCCAACAACUUCAAAACCUUCAGGUUGCUCGAUAAAGAUCUCCUCCUUGAGAAAACCAUUUAGGAAUGCUGAUUUGACAUCCAAUUGGUGAACUCUCCACUGCUUCUGAGCUGCUAAAGCAAAUAGCAGCUUAAUUGUAUCCAGUCUUGCCACUGGAGCAAAAGUUUCUAGGUAGUCAACACCAUACUGCUGACUGUAGCCCUUCACCACAAGCCUGGCCUUGUGCUUGUUCAGUGAGCCAUCAGCAUUGUACUUGGCUCGGUACACCCAUUUAACUCCUAUGACCCUCUUAUGUUCUGGUCUGCUCACCAACUCCCAAGUCUGAUUUUUGUUGAUCAUUUCCAACUCAGCUUCCAUAGCUUUCAUCCAGCUUCUGUUCUUAGCAGCCUCUUCAAAGUCUGAGGGCUCAAUCACAGCAACAUUGCACCUCUGAUAGACAUCAGCCAAAGUUCUGGUCCCCCUCACUGGUAUAUCAUCGACAGCAUCAUUACUUGGUCCUUCUUCUGCAGGUUCAGCAACCAAGUCUAACUGGUCCAAUUCAGACAAGUCAGCCUCAACACCAUUCCAAUUCCACACAUUUUCCUCAUUAAACUUUACAUCCCUGCUGACUAAAACUUUCUUUGCUGUAGGAUCAUACACUCUAUAGCCCUUCUUGUUGCUGCUGUAGCCAACAAAGAUUCCUGGAGUUGCUCUACUCUCAAGCUUGGUCCUUUUCUCUACUGGAAUAAGUGCAUAACAUACACAGCCAAACACUUUUAAGUGUGUUACCAUAGGUUUGACUCCAUGCCAAGCCUCAAAAGGAGUCUUAUCCUUGACUGCUCUAGUUGGCAGUCUGUUGAGCAGAUACACUGAGGUGUUGACUGCCUCAGCCCAAAACUAACUUGGAAGCUUGCCUUGAAACAAGAGGCACCUGGCCAUGUUCAGUACAGUCCUAUUCUUUCUCUCACAGACUCCAUUCUGUUGAGGAGUAUAGACUGUUGUGAGCUGAUGGUGAAUCCCAGCACUGUCACAAAGCUUCUGAAAUCUCUCAGACACAUAUUCAGAGCCAUUAUCAGUCCUCAAGGCUCUAAUUUUACAGCCUGACUGAUUUUCAGCAUAAGCCUUGAAUUUGCAGAAGGCUUCAAACACUUCUGACUUUUGCUUCAAGAAGUAGACCCAGCACAACCUUGUUAAAUCAUCUAUAAACAGGGCAAAGUACCUGUUCUCACUGAUUGAAGGUGUUCUCAUAGGGCCACAAACAUCAGAGUGCACCAAUUCGAGCUUGUUUUGAGCUCUCCAAGCACUGUCAGCAGGAAAAGGCAGUCUAGCCUGCUUACCAAGCUGACAAACCUCACAAACAUUCCCACUAACUUCAAUUUUUGAAAUGUCAUCAACCAAAUUCAGCCUAUGUAACUGAUCGAUGGAUCUAAAAUUUGCAUGGCCUAGUCUCCUAUGCCACAAGUCAGUGCUUUCAACAAGGCUGGUGUAUGCCUUUCUUUCUAUUUGGCUAACAUCCAGCAUGAAGCACCUAUCAGUCAUAGAGACUGUGACUAACUCCAGACCAUUCAUGUCUUGAACAAUACAGCAACCAUCCUUAAAAACCAAUGUAUAGCCCUUUUCAACUAAUUGGCCUACACUAAGCAAAUUCUGGUCUAAGUCAGGUACAAAAAACACAUCUGAGAUCAGCUUGUUACCUGAACCAGUGCUAAUCAACACACUGCCCUUGCCUUUAGCCUCAAUCAGCCUACCAUCUCCAAUUCUAAUCUUCGAGUGGAAGCUUCUGUCUAGACCUUUGAACAGCUUCUCAUCUGCUGCCAUAUGGUGUGAGCAGCCACUAUCUAGUAGCCAAUCAUUGCUGGCCUUGGUUGUGCCAGCAAAACAAGUUGCUGUGAACACUUGCUCCUUCUGAGCUUGGAUGUCCUCAGCAGGUCUAGCUUGUUGUAGAGCAGCCUCCCUUGGUUUGCCCUUGCACACCUUCUCCACAUGGCCAAACUGCUUGCAUUUUCUACACUGAAUAUCUGGCCUAAACCAGCAAUACUUUUCUGAAUGUGUUAUCUUCUUGCAAUGAACACAUGGUGCGAACACCCUUUUUGCAUCAUCUCUUCCUGACUUGACCCUUCUAUUGUGCCAAGGCUUCUUGCCUUUUGCACUCACACUCGAGCCUUCACUGGCUUUAGCCUGGAAAGUAGCUUCAGGAUUCUCCUCCUGCCUAUUUGCCCUCCUUUGCUCAAGUGCAUACAGGGAGUUUAUCAGCUCAGACAAUGAAAUGGCUGAUAAGUCCCUCGAGUCCUCAAGUGAAGAGAUUUUAGACUCAAAUUUCUCAGGGAGAGUUGUAAUAACCUUUUCAACAACUCUGCUCUCUGUGAAGUCCACUCUCAGAAGCCUAAUGCUGUUGACAAUGGCCAUUAUCCUGUCUGAGUACUGCUUGAUGGUCUCAGACUUCUUCAUCCUCAAAUUUUCAAAGUCUCUCCUGAGGUUGAUCACUUGCUGUUGCCUUGUCUUAUCAGUCCCCAUGAACUCCUCCUUCAGCUUCUCCCAAGCCUGCUUUGGUGAGUCACAGGCCAUGAUGCGAGUAAAUAUCACAUCAGAGACUCCAUUUUGUAAGCAGGCCAUAGCCUUAUGCUUCUUGGCUCGCUCCUCAGUAUGUUGCCUCAUCUGUGCAAUGGUGGGAUUGGCUCUCAAUGGAGGUGGUUCAGCAUCAUUCUCGAUCACACUCCAAAGAUCAUGUGCCUGGAGAUAAGUCUUCAUUUUAACUAUCCAAAUGUGAUAGUUUUCUCCAGUGAACACUGGUGGAGGUGGUGGAGUGAAACUCAUUCUGCUAAACUGAUUUUAAGUGCUUCAAUCUUACCAAAUUUUGAACUUGCUGUUGGUUUUGAUUCGAACACAACAGAUUGCAUACAAAGGCCCCUCAAAGACUCGGGCUCAUGAUACCAUUUGUUGGAACAAUGGCAGCAGCAAACAUCAAACAAAGUUACAACACAGUGUUUGCAAGACUGAAGCAAGAAGAAUCGAAGCAAAGAAAGAGCAAAGCAAAGCAAAAAUUUGAUCAAGUUGAAUACUCAGCAAAGUUGUAACUGAAUAUUACAUUUUUCAUUCAAGAUUAGAAUAUAUAAAAGUACUACAAUUUUGGUUCAUUUGACAGAUACCUAAUGACAUAACUACUCCCACUUAAACUAAACUAAUACAAGCUUAAGUCAAAUACAAAAUAAGCUGACAUAUCAGCUCUUACAUCACCAAUCCAAUCACAAACUUAAUCCAACUAACUAUUAAAGCUAGUUACAAUCAAACUGAACUAAGUUACAUCAAAACAAAACAGCAAUAUCAGUUGCUUCAUUUGGUCUGAAAACCAUUCGUGCACACCAAGCAAAAUGAGCUGAGCUCGAUAGCUGCUGGUCUCGAUAGUAGCAUGCUUCUGGCUCCAUGUUGCAUUACAGUCCAUCUUUCAACAAAAUCUUCCAUUGAAAUGGAGAACACCAACUACGAGGAGGAGCUGAAGAAUGAUCGCAGGCUUGUUUGCAGUCUCAUAUACGAGAUUAAUUGCAAAAAAGAACAGUUGUCCCAAAUGGAACGUGAAUAUAACGAGAUGACCGCAACUCUUCGAGGACUCAUCAAUGGCCUCAUAGCAAAAAUUAACUCCAAGGACAGUAAUCUGUGGGGUUGGGUGCUUCAAUAUAAUGUAACCGUGAGCAGUUGAAUGGCAAGAAUGCUGCGUUGCGCCUUGCGUUUGCUCAAGGUACUUUAGAUUAUAUAUGCGUAUGUAGUGAGCAGAAUACUAUGUGCUAAUUGAAUCGUUUGGUACCCUUUGAUUGAUCUUAGGGAAGGGGAUAUAAAUGUCAGGAUUUGAACCCCAAACUUAGCUUUUAUUACGGGAACUGGAUCAAUUUAGGCUCGGAUAAGCUUAAUGUGUUCAGAACCAGAUAAGAACAUAAUAUAUGGGAACACUUUGGCCAUACGAGGCUAAUGCUUAUAUGAUUCGCAUUAAAGACUACAUGCUCCUAGUGAUAACUCUUCUGUAAGUACUAUUAGUUGAAUAGCUUUAUGAUGUAUUAAUCUAUAAAAUCUGGGUGUCAUAUUAUGAGUUCCAUUGCUAUGUUAAUCUAUGUACUAACAAUAUUAUGAAGUAAGGCAAUUUUGUGUACAUUAUAUAUAUAUAUAUGAAGUUAAGAACGUAAGUGCUGUUAAAUGGUACAUUACUCAGAUUGGUAAUAUAUUGGUGCCGAAUGUUCUAAAAUUUAACCAGCAUUACUGGUAAUAUAUUAGUGCCAAAUUUGACUAAUUAUUGUUGAUAUAUCUUCAAAAUUUUCAGAUUUGAUAAAGAUAAAAUGGCAAUAAUGAAUAAAAAUACUGACUUUUUAAGAUCGUAUUUAAUGAAGGGAAGUUGAAUGUAGAAACUAAAACGACCUAAGGGAAAUAAAAGCAAAAUAUGGAGAAGUUUUCUCGGGAAAACAAGUGUUAUCCUUCAUUUAUCUUGAUGAUUCUCUAACGCCGCCAAUUUCCCCCCUAAGUUUACAGCAAGAAGAAGAAAAAAAAGAAGACAAACGGCAACGUUAAGCCAUUUUGUUACCUAUUUAUUUUAUGUUUUUGUAAAUUAAACAUUUUUUGUAUACAUUUUGUUACCUAUUUAUUUUAUGUUUUUGAAGUUUCCAUUGCCAUUUCUACCUUUCCAAAAUGGUGUCUUUUUACUUGUUUUUUACUGGGUUAUUUCUUUGAUUUUAGGGUUCUAUAUGUAUUUUUUUUAUGAAUUUGAACUUGAGUUAGCCAUAAAAAUUCCACCUUUAAUCUCAAUAUAUGAACUUGGCUUUGCUUCUUAUGGUUAUUAUUUGUUUAAUUUUUUAAGAUAACUUCUUGAGAUCUGAUUAUUUAAUCCAUUUAUGUGAUUGAUAAUGAUAUUUUCAGGCACUUAAUCUUCCAUUAAAAUGGAGAAAGCCAACUACGAGCUGGAGCUGAAGAACGAGCGAAGGCGUGUUUGCAGUCUCUUAUACGAGAUUGAUUGUAGAAAACAACAGUCGUUCGAAAUGGAACGUAAAUAUUGUUGGAUUGCUGGCACCCCUACGGCGCAGCGGAAAAAAAUAAAAUCGGCGACCCUAACCAUGGAUCCAUGUGUGAGGAACGAAUCGGGGUGAUCAAGGUUACGAAAUUACCUAAUGUUUAUUCAGAGUAGACAGCAACACCUCUACAACGAAUAGUCUGAUCUGCUGUCGAACCAAGCCGCAAUCAAUCGUGAUCCCGGCCUCUACGUAAUCCACCCAGUUGACUACGAACGAAAGGAAUCCCCAAAAUAGUUUUGAGAGUUAUUUUUCUUUGACGGUUGCUAGACCAAAAAUAAAGAAAAACGGGAUUCUUAUAUCCUAUUAUUAUAGGGUUUUUAGGAAUUAAAUAAAUAUAAUAAUAUUUUAAAUCGAAAAUUAUAAUUACAAUAAUUAUAAUAUAAUUUCGGUAAACCAUAUAUUUAUUUGAAUUCAUAUGCUAACCAAAUUCAUGUCCUCAUUAUGCGUACAACAAACUUGUACAUAAUGUGUUGGAAAUUUGAUUACCGAGCGAAACCCAAAAAUAAUACCAACUAUGGUUUAUUCCGUUCAUUUCAACUAUAGGGUGUGACCCUGUAGGUUCUUGUAACGUUAGCAGUAAUACUAGAACGAUUCCAAUGUUACAAACAAUGAGUGACAUCUAGCAAUGCAUCAUUGCUACCUAAGUCACAAGAGAUCAUGAUUCGACACAACCUUUUAUGAUUAACCUUUUAUGCAAUAAUCCUUAAGUCCUUUAUCUCUGGAUUGGACACAAGUCAUGGAAUAGUCACACUUGUAUAGUCCAUUCCAUGUUCCUUGAUAUUUUAAGUAGACUACGAUAUACAAAUAAGUAUGACAUCUCAUAUCAACUUAUUUGAGCAUGCAUGGCCAUGCAUUUCUAGUCUCACUUAAUCAAGUGGCCUAAGCUAUUACUCCUAUUAUGUAGGAGGGACUUAUUCUAUAUCGACCAACCAUAUCCCUCUACAUCGAUUGUGGUAUAUCCAACACCAGCCUUUAUAGAACAACCAGUUACGGUGUACGUUUGACUGUAUCAAAAUAUACUACUCACGAUGUUGGGAUUAUGAUGAUCUCAAGUCUGAGGAUCAUAUACAUAUUAAUCACUAUGAGUAAUGUCGUGACAAUUACAUAAUAAUCCAAGAAACAUACUCAUAAUGGGUCAGUCCAAUAUGUUGUUCUCUAACACACAUAUUCAUGCGUCGAUUCUGAUAUUCCAUAUCAAUGAUAACUCUUUAUCAUCACUCAACUACAUGUUAGUUUUAAUGCAUUAUCGUUGUCCUAUCCAACAAUAAUACUUGACUAAGGAUCUUUUAAGAAUAAUCAUAUUAUUCUUAGGACAUUAUUAGAAAACAGUUUAUUUAUACACACAGAAAAGAAACUGAAAUAAUAAUGGUAAUGCCUUAUAUUAAUAAACAUGAUAAAUCAAGUAUGUUAUUACAACCAUCUCAUGAUUGAUCUUUGGGCAUACUCUAACAAAUAUAACAAGACGACAGCGACUCUUCAAGGACUCGUUGAUGGCCUCAUAGCGAAAAUUAACUCCAAGGACAGUUGUUUGUGGGAUUGGGAGCUUCGAUAUAACGAAACCGUGAGACAGUUGAAGAGCGAGAACGCGGUGUUGCGCUGUGUGUUUGCCGAAGGUACUUUAGAUUAUAUAUGCAUACAGUAGUGAGCAUAAUACUAUGUAUUAAUCGAAUCAGGUGGUACAAUGAACGACUUCUUGUCUUUUGAUGUUACACGAUUUGCAUCUAGAGCUUUGAUUGAUCUUAGGGUCGUUCUUUCGGUACGAAAGAAGUCACGGAUUAAGGAUUGGGAAGGGGAUACAAUUUUCGGGAUUCGAAUCCCAAACUUAGCUUUUAUUACUGGAACUAGAUAAAUUUAGGCUUGGAUAAGCUUUAAUGUGUUCGGCACCUUUCCAACUUGUUUUCUUUUAUGCAGAAAAUCGAAAGGAAAAGGCUGAAAACUUUAAGCUGAGGUGUGAACUUAGACGGCGAACCAAGGAACUCGAAGAUUAUAAAUCUCGGGAUGAUAACAAUAUGGAACGAAGAAGCUUGUUGAAUGAAAUUGAAGCGGUUAGCAUACUCAGUCUUAAUUUUCGUUUUUGAUAUAUGAACUAUCUUUUAUCGAGAUUCGCUGGGAAAACCUGCAGUUAAAUUGUUGAUGGUUAUGAUCUACCGAGUGGACAUUUAACAAUGGGAUUGUAUCUGAUACAGCCGAAGGAGAAUGUGCCUUGUCGAGAUCUUGUUGAACUCGAGAAAACUACAAGCGAUUAGAUUGCUGCUCUAAAGGAACAAUUGGAGGAAACAUUAGAGGCACUGAAAGAUAUGGAAAGCCGAUACAGUUGUACGGUGAAACAAAUCUUAACUAAUCAAGAACUUUAAGAUGCUUGAAAAGAAUCGAUAAUUGUAUUUCCUCGUUUUCCUUUGUUUUCUUGGAUGUUUUAUUUCUUUAGGUGCAAGAAACACCUCUUCGAAAUCAGGUAUGAAAGUGUUAAACCGAAGACUUCUCUAGUUCUUGAUAUGAAGGGUCUAAAUGAUGUAUUGACAAGCCAAACAACUCUUGUAGUAAAAAGAAUGGGAGAGAUCGAUCAAAAAGCUUUUGAAGUUGCUAGCUCUGGGAAGUUCCCGAACGAAGAUUGGCAAGAAACAUGUGCUAAAUUAUGUUCAUUAUGGCAACAAAACGUGCAGGAUCCGAAAUGGCACCCGUUUAAAAUGAUCAAUAUCCGAGGCAACUUGCAGGUAUAGUGCAUACACCAACUAUUCUGUUAUCCGGUUAUCGAAAAUCCGUUUUUUUACUAAACGUGCUAAACAUGUAUGUCAGAAUUGAGCCAGUUUAUUACUCAAACUUACAUAUAUUAAAGGGAUGGCUACUCGGUAGUGUAGGAAAUAGUAGACGAAGACGACGAGAAGCUGAAGGAGUUGAGAAAUGAAUACGGUGAUGUCAUGUACGAGGCUGUUAGCACCGCAUUGAUGGAAAUGAACGAAUAUAAUGUGAGCGGAAGGUAUGCAGUCAUUUAAGCUAGUUGAGUGACCUGCAAUCUAGUUUAUCAUUUUUUAAAUAUUUAUAGUCUAUGAAUUUUGACUUUUCUUCCAAUAAUAUAUCUCCAAAAUUCUAACUUAACCUUUUUAAACUUUCUCAUGUCAUUAUUGUUAGAGUUAAUUGCACCAAAUAUCUCCAAACUAUAGCCCUUAUUCUAAAAUAGUCCUCAAACUCAAAAUAUUGUAAGUUACAUUUCCAAAUUAUCAAUAAUAUUCUUCUGAUGCUAAAAUCAUUAAAUGAGACGUCAAAUCUUAUGAGACAUAAUUUAAAAUAAAAAACUUAAAAGAAAAAUGAAUAUUAUAAAAAUAUUGAUUUCAAGGUUGAAGUUAUUACAAAAACUAUCAUUCAUUUUCUCUUUUACUUUAUUUUUAAUUUUUAUUUUUAAAAGUUGUAUCAACUACAUUUUACUUUUCUUUAAAAAUAUCAUUUUAAAUUAUUAGUGUCAAUAAUAAAAGGAUGAGAUAAAUAGUUUAAAAUAUUUUAAAGUUGGGAGAAUAAUUUAAAAUAAAGAUGCAAUAUUGUUAAUCUAGUACUAUUUCAUAAUAUCAUUUUAUCGUUUCAACUUUUGAAGACAACAUUUUUAUUUUUGAAAUAUUUUAAAGACAACAUUUAAAGAUUGAUUAUAAUAAUAUUGUUGCAUGGAAAAAGAAUUUCCACGUCAGCGAAAAGGCUUACGUCUGACGUGUGCUUAAUGUUAUUCGAAAAGUCAAAGGUCGAGAAAGUUUAGGGCGGGUCACACAUAUCACACGCCAUGCACAGGUUUUCUUAUUUCGAGGCUAAAAUACCAAAAUACCAUCACAUUUCUCGUUAAACUUACCACUUAAUCAACGAUCCUCUAAAACGAUGUAAGGACAUAUUAGAAAUUUUAAUCACAAUAAUAUCACCAAAUCUGAAAAGUUACAAAUGAGGCAAAAAAAAAUACGAGUAAUAUUUGGCCAUAAAAUGUAUAUAUUCAUUCCCUCUAAACCAGUCGGUUAAGCCUCACAAUCCAACGUAACUGUAAAUCUUUCUUGGCAGCCAUGAAAUCAGUUCUAAAAUCCCUUGCAAACUCAAUCUUCCUUGUUCUUUUCAUCAUCUUUUCAUCUUCUACUCCACUUGUAUUGGCUCAAUGUGAAGCAGAGACCAAGACUAAUGGAUGCCAUAACUACAGAGAAUCCAUGAAGCUAAAAAUCAUUGCCAUUGUCGCAAUUUUACUAUCCAGCAUGAUUGGCUUGUGUGUACCAUUGUUUUCUGGUCAGGUUCCGUUACUUAAACCCGACAGGGACUUGUUCACCAUUGUCAAGGCAUUUUCCUCCGGUGUUAUUCUAGCGACUGGGUACAUGCACGUGCUACCGAAUUCUUUCAACGACCUUAUGUCCGGGUGUUUGCCUAAAAACCCAUGGAGGAAGUUCCCUUUCACAACCUUCAUCGCAAUACUGUCGGCUGUGUGGACCCUUAUGGUGGAUUCAUUUGCAAUGAGUGUAUACAAGAAACGUUGCGGUAAAGCUUUAAUGGCGGAUGCUAACAAUGGUGGUGGAUUGGAAAAUACGAACGUUGUACCAAUCGAUAAUUUUGAACACGGCCAUAGCCAUUCACUUGAGAUGAAUGACGACGUAUCAUCACAAUUGUUAAGGCAUCGAGUUAUAGCUCAGGAAUAUAUACAUGUUUGAAUCCUCAAAUUCGAUGAUUUUGCUUUUCAAGUCUUUACAUUAUAUAUUUCCUAAAUGUAGGUAUUAGAGUUGGGAAUUGUAGUUCAUUCAGUGGUGAUUGGUCUUGCAAUGGGAGCCUCUGGCAACCAAUGCACCAUUCGAUCACUCAUUGCUGCCCUUUGCUUCCAUCAAAUGUUUGAGGGGAUGGGACUUGGUGGAUGCAUACUGCAGGUAACCCCCAACAUUGCACUAUUUUCUCAUUCAAACAUCCAUUUAGUGUACACUAUUGAUUAACAUUAUGUUUGAUAUGUGCAGGCUGAAUAUGAUAUAAAAAUGAAAGCAAUCAUGGUAUUCUUCUUUUCAGCCACAACACCACUUGGAAUAGUUCUGGGAAUUGGUUUGUCCAAGGUUUACAGUGAGACGAGUCCAACUUCACUUACGGUGGUGGGACUACUUAAUGCUUGCUUAGCAGGGUUGCUGAAUUACAUGGCACUGGUUGAUCUCCUUGCAGCUGAUUUUCUGGGCCCUAAGCUUCAAACAAAUAUGAAGCUCCAGGCUUGGUCAUAUGUUGCAGUUUUACUUGGUGCUGGAUUUAUGUCUUUGAUGGCAAAAUGGGCUUAGUCAUUUCAACAUAUACAUGUCUUUUUGUAGUUUUUUAAUCUUUUUUUUUUUUUGCUUCAACAGAUGAGUUUAUAGUGAAUCAACAGUUAUUCAAUCAAUUAUAAAAUUUAGGCAAAGAAUUUAGGCAACAAGGCUUGAACAUUGACCUUUAAGAUCGUUUACUCCAUAUUGCAGGGCUCAUCACAAAGUAUAUAACUAUAUAUAUCAGAGAAGUAUGCAAACUUCAAUUUUGUGUCAGUAUCAUUAUAAUUUAAACUGUUUAAUGUUAAAUCAGAUGUAGAUGUCUUUAAGCCAAUGCUUAUAGCCACAAAGUCUCUUUGGUGCAAGCUAUAAGGACAGAGUUAUGCUAUAAAUAAACAAAUAAAUGUUGUAUAAAACCCUUCUCCUCAAAAACAAAACGAUAGCGACAGCCUGCUUUCGGUAGAUGGAAGAUUUUCUAUUUCCUCCAUUUACCAUCUCUGGUUUGCUUAUCUGCCUUGUUGCCCUAUGUUGGUUGGGCCAAACAAAUAGCUUGAAAUCUUUAAGUAGCACUUUCAUCCCUCCAGUUAUAUAUGCAAUUUUAUAUGUUGAACCAUCAUACCAUGCCAAUUCACUGCACAUUAAUUGACUAGUACCUAACAGGAUUAAUUUACAGCUUACUAGAAUCAUCCACAAGACUUUGAGGGAUUAAUUGGGGGUCAAAAGACAGUUUUAAAUAUCAAAAAGGCUUCUACUGUUUCUGUUUUUUUCCAGAAGUUUCAAAUGGAUCAAUAGUUAAAGUUGAUCAUAUAGGAUGAGCAAGUGACUGUGUUACGUUCUCACAAUAUAAGAAAUAAAAAUACCAAUAGAACAGUAAUUUUGGGAAGAAAAUGGACUGGUAUUUGAUGGAAUUAUAACGAAUUACAAGGAAAAUUUGCAGAAAAGAGAUGAGAGAAGAAAGUUACAGACUUAGGGGAUGAGAAAAGAACAGAAACAUAUUGCUGCAAUGAUGAUAUUUUUCUGGUAUUUUUCCUCCUUAAAACCAGGAUAGCUGCAUAGAGGAGUGUGAACCGUUAUUCCCUUCCACGUGCAACUAGCUGAGGUGUCACUUGACAAAAUCCUUCAGCCAUUUGGAAGCCAUUCUGGGCCGAGUGCUCCCUCUAGUAGCCUGUGUAGUGGCUAUUCCAGUAGCCUUCUGCGGCCUUGGUGGGUCGUUCACAACAUUACCCCCCACAUCGAGACACACCUUGUCCUCAAGGUUGAGAUCAGGAAAUAACUUCAACAUGUGAGCCUUAUCUUCCCAAGUUGCUUCAUCAAUAGAUGAACCGUCCCAUUGUACCAGCCAUUGCUCAAUCAAUGAAUUAGCCCGCUGAAUAGACCUCAUCUCCAGUAUAGCAGUUGGUUGCAAUAUAAGGGCAGACGUAGAAUCAGCGAGGUAGAGAGGUGUUACCUGUUGAUCUGGUUGUCCGAGGCAUUUCUUGAGCAAGGAAACAUGAAAUACAGGAUGGAUAUGCGCGAAUUCCAGCAGCUCCAAUCUGUAAGCAACCUCGCCAACACGGCCAAUUACCUUAUGAGGACCAAAAUAACGUCUACUCAGCUUGUGGUGGCGUUGCAAACGAAUAGAAUGUUGGCGAAACGGUUGGAGCUUGACAUAGACCCAAUCUCCCUCGACAAAAGUCACCUCACGACGGCUCCUAUCAGCUAGUAACUUCAUCUGAUUCUGUGCUCGCUGUAAAUUCUCCUUUAGCACCCGAAGAACUUGAUCACGUUCCACGAGCUGAGCUUCCACCAAAGCAUUACCAGAAGUAUCUCGCACAUAACGAGCAACAGUAGGAGGAGGACGACCAUAUAGAACCUCAAAGGGUGUCAUUUUGGCAGCCGUUUGAUAAGCCGUAUUAUACCAAAAUUCAGCCCAUGGCAACAUGUUUGUCCAAGUCGAGGGAUGAUUCGAAGUAUAGCAUCGAAGAUACAUUUCAACGCAUUUAUUCAAUGCCUCAGUUUGGCCGUCGGAUUGUGGAUGGUAGGUAGUACUCAUACUCAGAGUUGUACCCUGCAAAUGAUGGAUUUCCUUCCAAAAGUCACUGAGAAAUCGAGGAUCGCGGUCUGAAACAAUCUCUACUGGUACGCCAUGGAAACGAAUAAUCUCCUGAACGAAAACAGCAGCCACUAAAAUGCUAGUAAAAUUAGUGGGCAAUCCGAUGAAAUGGCCGUAUUUGGAUAAUCUAUCAAUGACAACGAAGAUAACGGUUUUGCCUUUGGAAGAAGGUAAUGCCGUGAUAAAAUCCAUAGAGAUGCUCUCAAAAACCAAAUUGGGAAUCGGUAAUGGCUACAGCAAACCACUAGGACUUAAGGAUGAGGCUUUCAUUUGCUGACAAAUUUGGCACUCUUUGACAUAUUGCUUAACAUCCCGACGCAUAGAAGUCCAAAAGAAAUUUGAUGAAAGACGAUGAAAGGUGCGUGUAAUACCAGAAUGGCCACCGAUAGGAGAUGCGUGAAACUCAUGAAUAAGCUGUAAACGGAUAGGAGAAUCAGCUAGAAUCAUUAGGCGACCCCGAAAUAGUAACAGCCCCUCAUGGAAACUAAAGUCGGGAAAUUGUGCUGGGUCAGCGCACACUCGUUGCUGCAUACUCAAAAGUUAAGGGUGUUGUAAGUUGGCUGCACGAAGAUCAGCAAUAAGAUCAAAUUGCACAGUAGAUAAAGCAAGCAAUUAAGAGGAAGGGAUGCGAGAAAGAGAGUCAGCAGCAGCAUUCAACUUCCCAGGGCGAUAGAUAAUGUCAAAGUCAUAACCAAUAAGCUUGCUCAACCAUUUCUGUUGCUCGGGGGUUUGUAUAACUUGUUGCAUGAGAUUCUUAAGUGGCUGUUGAUCAGUGAUAAUUGUAAAUCUCCUCCCCAACAAAUAUUGCCGCCAUUUCGAAACAGCUUGGGUGACCGCAUACAUUUCACGUUGGUACGUUGAGGAUUGUUGCAUGCGAAGACUCAGUUGCUGGCUGAAAAAUGCUAUUGGAUGCUUAUCUUGGGACAAAACGGCUCCGACCCCGGUACCGGAAGCAUCUGUUUCAACUGUAAAUGAUUUCGUGAAGUCCGGCAAAGCUAAGACAGUGGCUGAACUCAAAACUUCUUUCAACUUGAUAAAAACAUUGGUAGCAGAUUCAGUCCAAAGAAAGUUAUCUUUGCGAAGAAGAUUAGUAAGGGGUCCUGCAAUAGAGGCAAAAUGUUGAACAAAGCGUUGAUAGUAUCCCGCGAUACCAAGAAAUCCGCGAAUCUCCUUAAUUGAACGUGGCAAUGACCAUUUUUGAAUUGCAACAAUUUUAUCAGGAUCGACGGAUACACCUUGGCUAGAGAUGAUAUGCCCCAAAUAUCCAAUAGAAGUUUGGCCAAAAAUACAUUUGGAUUGCUUUGCCACUAAUUGAUGGUGUCGUAAAACCGAGAGCACAAGAAGAAUGUGCUCCAAGUGAGUCUCCCAAGAAGGGCUGUAAAUUAAGAUAUCGUCGAAGAAAACGAGUACAAAAUCCCGCAAGUAAGGUUGAAAAAUGUUGUUCAUGAGACUUUGAAAGGAGGAUGGCGCAUUGGACAAGCCAAAUGGCAUUACGAGGAAUUCGUAAUGCCCCUCAUGAGUUCGAAAGGCAGUUUUGUACUCAUCGCCAAUACGAAUUCGCAGUUGAUGAUAGCCGGCCAACAAAUCCAAUUUAGAAAAAUACACCGCACCAUGUAACUCAUCAAAAAGUUCAUCAAUGGAUGGAAUAGGAAAUCGAUCCUUAAUGGUAAUGGCAUUUAGGGUGCGAUAGUCAACACAAAAUCGCCACGUACCAUCCUUCUUGCUCAUAAGUAGUACUGGAGAAGAGAAAGGGCUAGUGCUUGGUCGAAUAAUUCCAUCCCGAAGCAUUUCAGCAACUAGUUUUUCAAUCUCAUACUUCUGAAAAUAUGGAUAACGGUAAGGUUUAACAUUGAUUGGCUCAUGGUCAGGCAACAAAUGUAUCGCAUGAUCACAAGCGCGAAUAGGAGGGAGACCUUGCGGUUUGAGGAACACAUCAGAAAAUGAAGCAAGUAGCUGUUCUAAUUCCAAGGGGAGGGGCGUGGAAUUAACAGGAUGAGAGGAAACCAAUUCCAAAUGAAAAUAUUCUGCAAUAGCAUUGAUUUGUUGAAGGCGGCGUAACCAAUUAAAUUGUACCGAUUGAACCGAGGAUGAGGCUUCUCCUGUCCAUCGAAUAGACUGACCGUGAUGCUUGAACUCAAAAACAGAUGACCCAUAAUCCAUCAUAACUGGUCCGAGGGUGGAUAACCAAGUAACACCAAGGACCAUGUCCCAUCCCUUUAAUGGUAAGACAUAAAAAUCAAUGCAUAUUUCACAGCCUUGAAUUACCAAUGGUACUUGUUUGACAAUGCCAGUGCCAAUUAAACGCUCUCUACUGCCGACCAAUACAGAGAAACUAGGAGAGGCAGUUAUUGGAAGAUUCAAAUACUUGGCCACACGGGUUUGCACAAAGUAAUGUGUGCUCCCACCAUCGAGUAACACCCGGACUUGUUUGCCAUAAACUGUACCCUCAAAUUGAAGAGUAGAAGAAGAGCAACCUUCAGCAAGGGCAUUAUAAGAAAUCGAAGAAUGGAGCUGUAACGUGGUGUCAGGUGUGGUGGAAUCAGGAACAGCAGGUGAAGAUGGCGAUAAAAAUUCAGGCGCGAGAGCAUCAGGUGGCUCGGACUCUUCUUUCAAGAGUAACAGGUGGGAUUUUGCUUUGCAUUUGUGACCCCACUCAUACUUCUCAUUACAAUGAUAACAGAGGCCUUGUGAACGGCGGUGAGCAGCCUCAGUAGGAGUAAGGCGGCGAAACGAAACACGGUUACCUCCGGGCAAGGUUGCGCUUGCUGUUGGGAUGGAAGGAGAAAAUACUGAAGUACCAGGAGAUUGUUUGGGAGUUGGUAACAAUGGUUUAGAACCACUCAGGCUGGGCUUAAGUACCCCACGUUCCAGCUGAAUGCGUUGUUCAUGGAGCUGGGCUAGAUGCAUGGCUUCGGACAAGGUGGCUGGUUUGUGAACCAAAACGGAGUGUUUAAUGUCAGCGUAGAGCCCUGAAAUAAAGCAAUGAGUCAAGAACUGAGUCAGAAGAUGCACCGUGUGAUUUGUAAUGGCUUCAAACUCAGAGCGAUAAUGAGCCACGGUAGAGUUCUGCUGCAACUUUGCCAAAAUUCCCUCGGGUUCCUCCAGGUCAUGAGAACGAAAUCGCUGCAAUACAGCAGCUGUGAACGCUGGCCAGCCCGUAAGUUGCCUGUUUCUAUGCAUCCAGUCAUACCAAUCUGAAGCGGCACCAUCAAAAUAAAACGAAGAAAUAGUUACCCGAUCGUCUAGUUUGAUUUGAUAAAAAUCAAAGUAACGCUCUGCCUGCAUUACCCAACGUUUAGGAUGAUCGCUGGCAAAUCGAGCCAUCUGUACCGGAGCGGGUUUAUGACGGCCCAAAGGAGUGAAACUGAUGAAGUUGGUUCAGCAUGCAGCAAACUCGACAGCAUGCAGGCCAUGAAGACCAAGUCAUGCAGGAGCUGCUGAUGCAAGCUUAUUUUGUUUAUUUUGUAAUUCCUAGUCAAUGAAAUGUAAUCUUAGUUCAUUUCUAACUAAGUUAGAUUGUUGACUGAUGUAAUUAGCUUAUGUAUAAGCUGUAAACACAACUUUGUGUAAGUUUACAAGCCAAAAUUUCAAGUUUCCAUGUCAUUAAUGGAGGUAGGUGAUGUUUAGGUAAUUACUUACUGUUUUUGACAAGCUUAGUGCCUGUUUUAUGUAUUGGCAUUGUGCCAUUAUGCAUUUUAUGAAUGAAGUUUAGUUUGUUCAUCAAUUUCUCUAUUCAUUUUUCUUAGCUUUUCUUCCUUUCUCUUGCUCGAAUUCUCUUGUUUGCUCAGCAAGUCUCGAGACUUGCUUAACAAGUCUGCACUGAAUCUGUUAGUUUUAGUUACAGCACCAACAAUUAGUAUCUAGAGCCUAUUUCUUAAGGGAUCUGUUACACAAAUCCAUGGCUUCAUCAAGCUUUUCACCAGUUGCACCUCAAGUCUUCAAUGGAGAAGGCUAUCACAUAUGAGUGGUCAAAAUGAAGACCUACCUGCAGGCUUUCGAUCUGUGGGAGGUGGUCAACUCUGAUGUUGAACCAGAGCCACUUAGAGCUAAUCCAACAGUGGCUCAGAUCAGGCAGCAUGCUGAUGAAAGGACCAAGAGGCACAAGGCUAUGUCUUGCAUCCAAAACUCAGUGUCUGAUGUGAUUUUCACAAGGAUUAUGGCCUGUGAAUCACCAAAACAGGCCUGGGACAAGUUGCAGGAAGAGUUUCAAGGGACAGAGAGGACAAGGCAGCAACAGUUGUUAAACUUGAGGAGAGAUUUUGAGAAUUUGAAGAUAAAGGAAGAAGAAACUGUCAAGCAAUAUUCUGACAGGAUUAUGGUUGUGGUUAACAGCAUCAGGCUCCUUGGAGAGCAGUUCAAUGAAGCUAGGAUAGUGGAGAAGGUUAUAGCAACUCUGCCUGAGAGGUAUGAGGAAAAAAUCUCAUCUCUCGAGGACUCAAGGGACCUGUCCACCAUCUUCCUGACAGAGUUGAUCAAUGCUCUAUAUGCUCAAGAGCAUAUGAGAGCAAGCAGACUGGAGGAGCACCAAGAAUGUGCCUUUCAGGCAAGAACAAAUACUGCCUACAAAGGCAAGAAGGCCUGGAGAGACAAGCCAAAGAAUGAUGCUGCAAGGAAAGAAGGUCAGACUUGCAAGCACUGCAGAAAGGCUGGUCAUUCAGAAGAAAAAUGCUGGUUCAAUCCAGAUGCUGUGUGUCAGCAUUGUAAGAAGAAAGGUCAUGUUGAGAGAGUCUGUAAGAGCAAGGCCAAAUCAAUGCACAAUCAGUUUCAACAGAUGAAAGCUGAGGCUCGAGUAGCUAAGGAGGACAGUGACCAAGAGGAGCAAGUUUUUGCUGUGUCAUGCUCAGCUGCUCAGGAAAGGUCCUCAUCUGGUUGGCUCCUAGACAGUGGAUGCACCAACCACAUGACACCGGAUGCUGCAAUCUUCAAGUCUUUAGACAGAAGCUGCAGAACUAAAGUCAAGAUAGGAAAUAGUCAUUUUAUUCAAGCUGAAGGCAAGGGUGAUGUGCUGAUAUGCACCCUUACAGGUACCAAAGUGAUUUCAAAUGUGCUGUUGGUGCCUGAAAUUGACAGAAACCUGCUCAGCAUAGCUCAGUUGCUGGAAAAAGGUUAUUCAGUUGUGUUUAAAGACCACCAGUGCCAAAUCAGUGAUCCAAGUGGAUCCAAACUGAUGGCAGUCCCUAUGGCUGAUAAGAGCUUUGUGGUUGACUGGACAAAGAAGUCAGACAUUGCCUACACAACCACUUCAGAUGAAUCCAAGCUGUGGCAUCAAAGACUGGGACAUGCCAACUUCAUAUCGAUGGCCCGAAUGAUCAGAGAAGACCUGGCUGAAAACUUCAUCAACUCAGUGGACCAUGAUGAUGUAUGUGAAGUAUGUCAGCUAGGAAAGCAGGCCAGACUCCCAUUUCCCUCGAAUCAAGCCUGGAGAGCCUCUGAAAAACUCUAACUGGUGCAUACUGAUGUGUGUGGCCCUAUGAAGACUGAGUCAUUAAGUGGAAACAGAUAUUUCAUACUGUUCAUUGAUGAUUUCUCGAGAUAUUGCUGGAUUUACUUCUUAAAACAGAAAUCAGAGGUGGCCACUGUGUUUUGGAAGUUCAAAACUUCUGCUGAGACUGAAACAGGCUGCAAGGUGAAGACCAUAAGGUCUGAUAAUGGGACUAAGUACACCUCAGCUCAGUUCCAAGCCUUCUGUGAUAAGGCAGGCAUCAAACAUCAACUUACCAACACAUAUACACCUCAGCAGAAUAGGGUAAGUGAAAGGAAGAAUAGGAGUUUGAUGGAUAUGGCCAGGUGCUUGAUGAUUCAGAAGAAUCUGCCUAAAGCACUAUGGGCAGAAGCAGUUAACACUGCAACAUACAUUCAAAAUAGACUUCCAACCAAGGCUUUGGAUCAAAAGACCCCAUUCGAGGCCUGGUUUAGCUUCAAGCCAUCACUGGCUCAUCUGAAGGUCUUUGGAUGCAUCUGUUAUGCACAUGUACCUGCUGUUAAAAGGGACAAAUUGUCUGAAAGGGCUCGACCUGGUGUUUUGGUGGGCUAUAGCACUGUUAAGAAGGGCUAUAAGAUUUUAGAUCCUUCAACAAACAAAGUGUCAAUAAGCAGAGAUGUGGUAUUUGAUGAGAGGUCAUGUUGGAACUGAGAAAGACAUGAACCUGAAGAAGUUUCUGAAGAACUUGCAACAGACCAAGCUGAGCCAGACCAAAAUGUCCCUGAAAUGGAUAUUGAUGAUGAACCAGUCAGAGGAACAAGGCCAUUGGCUGAAAUUUAUGAAAGGGCUCAUGUAGCCAUAGCUGAACCAAGCAACUUUGAAGAGGCUGAGGCUCAGUAAGGGUGGAAGCAGGCAAUGGCUGAGGAGAUCAGCAUGAUUGAGAAGAACCAGACCUGGGAAUUGGUUGAAAGGCCAGUCAAAAGAAAGGUGAUUGGGGUGAAAUGGGUGUACAAAGCCAAGCAGAAUGCUGAUGGUACCUUGAACAAGCUGAAAGCAAGGCUAGUUGUCAAGGGGUUCAGUCAGAGGUAUGGCUUGGACUACCUGGAGACCUUUGCACCAGUGGCCAGGCUCGACACCAUCAGACUGCUGAUUGCCUUAGCAGCACAUCUUGAAUGGAAGAUCCAUCAACUUGAUGUGAAAUCAGCCUUUCUGAAUGGUUUCUUAGAUGAAGACAUCUAUGUUGAACAACCAAAAGGGUUUGAAAUAGCUGGCAGAGAGCAUAUGGUCUACAAACUGAAGAAGGCCCUAUAUGGAUUAAAACAGGCUCCAAGGGCUUGGUAUAGCAGAAUCGAUGGCUACUUGACUGAUCUGGGAUUCGAUCGAAGCAAGAGUGAGCCAACACUGUAUGUCAAGAAACAAGGGACACAAAUACAACUUAUUGUGUCCCUGUAUGUUGAUGAUCUUCUGGUGACAGGAGGAGAUCGAGUAGUGCUGGCUGAUUUCAAGACCAAGAUGCAGGAAGUGUUUGAUAUGUCUGAUCUUGGGGAGAUGUCAUACUUUCUUGGAAUGGAAGUGUCUCAAGUACAGAAUGAGAUAUUUCUAAGCCAGAGAAGCUUUGCCACAAAGAUUCUGACCAAGUUCUCCAUGCAAAACAGCAAGGCAACUAAAACACCUGUUGCUGUUGGAGAAAAACUAUCGAGCCAAGGUGAUUUUAAGAAAGUUUGUGAAACAACCUACAGGAGUCUAGUUGGUUGCUUGCUAUACUUGACUGCCACUAGACCAGACAUCAUGUAUGCUGUAGGAUUACUCUCAAGGUUCUUGCAUUGCUGCAAUGAGAAGCAUUUCCAAGCUGCAAAGGGAGUGCUGAGAUAUGUCAAAGGCACUUUAAACUAUGGUUUGAAGUACAGCAAAGAAGGAAAUCUGAAGCUGGUUGGCUACACUGAUAGUGACUGGGCUGGCUCGAUAGAUGACAUGAAAAGCACCUCAGGGUAUGCUUUUAACCUUGGUUCAGCCAUGUUUUGCUGGAGCUCAAAGAAGCAAAGCCUAGUAGCUCAAUCUACUGCUGAAGCAGAGUAUGUGGCAACAGCAAGUGCUGUCAACCAAGCCAUAUGGCUAAGGAAAAUAUUGGCUGACUUGAAUGUGCAUCAAGAGGAAGCUACUGAGAUCUUCUGUGACAACCAAUCUGCAGUAGCAAUUGCUAAAAAUCCAGUGUUCCAUGGAAGAACAAAACAUUUCAGCAUCAAGUUGCAUGUUGUUCGAGAAAUGGAGCAAGCUCAGGAAGUAAAGCUGAUCCACUGUAAUUCAGAGGAUCAACUUGCAGACAUUUUAACCAAAGCCCUUAGUGUCACAAGGUUCGAAUGUCUAAGAAAGAAGCUAGGUGUUUGCUCCAUGCAAACCAAGGAGGAGUAAUGAAGUUGGUUCAGCAUGCAGCAAACUCGACAGCAUGCAGGCCAUGAAGACCAAGUCAUGCAGGAGCUGCUGAUGCAAGCUUAUUUUGUUUAUUUUGUAAUUCCUAGUCAAUGAAAUGUAAUCUUAGUUCAUUUCUAACUAAGUUAGAUUGUUGACUGAUGUAAUUAGCUUAUGUAUGAGUUGUAAACACAACUUUGUGUAAGUUUACAAGCCAAAAUUUCAAGUUUCCAUGUCAUUAGUGGAGGUAGGUGAUGUUUAGGUAAUUGCUUACUGUUUUUGACAAGCUUAGUGCCUGUUUUAUGUAUUGGCAUUGUGCCAUUAUGCAUUUUAUGAAUGAAGUUUAGUUUGUUCAUCAAUUUCUCUAUUCAUUUUUCUUAGCUUUUCUUCCUUUCUCUUGCUCGAAUUCUCUUGUUUGCUCAGCAAGUCUCGAGACUUGCUUAACAAGUCUGCACUGAAUCUGUUAGUUUCAGUUACAGCACCAACAGAAACCAACAAAAUCCGUCGAAGGAGAAGCUCCUGGAGAAUCCACAAUGGAUGUCCCCUUGAGUUUAGCCAAAACCUCCUGAAGAAGACGCCUCUGAUCUUCCACUGAAGAAGCUAACAGGUCAAAAUCACGACGCAUUGUUGCUUGAGAAUCGGCAAUUGCCUUGGUGGGUCGUUCACAACAGACUGACAUUAAUAGUGACCACAUAUCAAAAGAAAUAUAAAGAAAGAAGGAAGAGCAGAAUUAUUGAAAAAGUUUGAUCAUGUGGCUAUACUAUAUAUAUUUCAAUGUGCAAGAAAGGAGAUAUAUGAGUCAAAUAAUUUUGUCCUAUUCAAAUAAAAAAAAUGGGGAGGCCACAAUAGACCAAAGUGUCCCCUCAUGCAAUAAAAGGCUUUUUGUGAGUGGCUUUGGUAUAGUAUUCCAUGUGAAUGAGCACUUAUUUGCCUCCACACUCUUUUAUAGGCCCUAUGAGGAUUUAGCUAUAUCGCAGAAGUGAGGUUAAUUUUAAUGAGACUAAUGAUAAAAUGAAACAAUAUUUUGAGGGUUAAAUUAAAUUGAAUAUUUUUAUGAUAGCGAAAAUGUAAUUUUACCAUUUUAAUAGUCUAUAUAUAAAAAGAUCAAAUAAAUUUUUUAGCCUUAAUUUGAUCUUUACUUUUUAAAAUUACAUAAAAGUUCAGAAUUAAAAAGAACACAUAUUUUCAGUAAAAUCCAUUAAAAAAUUGUGGAAAACACUCUUUAAAGUUCGUGGAAAAAAGGGAUAAGAAGGGGUGACUAUUAGGAAAGCUGCAUAAGCACUUUUGUUUGUGAUCUAUCAACAACUUGUGGCUUCAUAUUGUGAAGUUAUAAAAUAUAAAGUUAUAAACAUUCAAGAAAUUAAUUUCACUAAAUAGAUUCAAAUUAUAGCAGCGACCAAAUUGGUGUCCACGCAUUUCUUUGUAAAAGCGUGUUCUCACUGACCUAUAUGAUUCCACACGUAAUGAAUUAAUUGGCCAACAACCUCAAAGUUUCUAUUUAUGAUCUAUCAUGUAAACAUAGGGGAAGACUUAACAAGAAAAAUUUGUCAAGUCGCCAGAAAAGGAAAAGAACUGAAAUGGCGGAGAUAGCUGUGGGUAUAGUUAUUGAUAGAUUAAUUUCAUUCCUUGGUGCGGAGGUGAAACUAUUUGGACGGCUUAAGAAAGAAGUUGAAGACAUCCGGAUCGAGCUCGACUACAUUGCUUGUUUCCUUAGACAAGCAGAUCCAAUGGUAGACAAAGAGGAUUCCAAUGGUGGCUUCAAACUAUGGGUGCAACAUGUAAGGGAGGUGGCUUUCCAGAUAGAAGAUGUUAUGGAUGAAUACAAGCUUUAUCAUGUUCCAGUUGCACAACAUCAGCAGCAGCAAGGUUUAAUGGCUUCCCUGAGCAGAAUAGCUCAUAUGGUCCAGACCGUGAAAAGGCAUCUCCAGGCAGCAUCAAAGAUCAGAGAUAUCAAAACAUCUGUUAAUGAAAUCAAGGAAAGAAGUGAAAGAUACAGGUUCAACACCCUGCAACAUGUUCCAGGUGAGAACUGUAACGAGCCGAUUGACCCUCGAAUGGGACUUCAUUUUGUCAACAGUGAAGCACUCGUGGGCAUUGAUUCUUCUCGACAAGAGUUGGCCCGUAGAUUGGCAGAUGCAGAGCUGAAACGCACAAUUGUUUCAGUGGUGGGGAUGGGAGGGGUUGGGAAGACGACCCUUGUUAAGAAAGCUUUUGAUGAUGAAAUCAUGGCAGGACACUUCGACUGCCAUGCUUGGAUCACCGUCUCUCAAUCAUACAGGGUGGAGGUGUUGCUAAGGACCAUGAUGAAGCAGAUGUAUGAGUCUCGAAAGCAGUCCCCACCUGUUAGGGUCGACGCAAUGGAUGGUGUAGAAUUGAUAAGCAUAUGCAGAGACUAUAUAUAUGAUAAAAGUUACAUCGUGGUGUUUGAUGAUGUAUGGAAGGAAGAUUUUUGGCGACAUAUAGAACAUGCUUUAUUGGAUAACAACAAAGGAAGCAGAAUUUUAAUGACAACAAGAAGUAUGAAUACUGCUGAGUUUUGCAAGAAAUCUUCACUAGUUCAUGUCCAUAAUUUGGAACCUCUUCCACUAGAACAGGCACAGGAGCUCUUACGCAGAACUGCUUUUCAGUAUGAUGAAGAUAAACAAUGCCCUGAAGAGUUGAAUGGUUUAACUUUUGAAUUAGUCAAAAGAUGUGAAGGACUUCCCCUUGCAGUUGUGGCCAUUGCUGGACUUUUGGCAACCAAAGGCAAGGAUGUUGGUCAAUGGAAACGCUUACUUGAUAGCCUUAGUGCUGAGCUAGACAGUAGUCCACAUCUUUCAUAUGUAAAACAGAUACUUUCUUUUAGUUAUUAUGAUCUGCCUUACCAUCUCAAGGGUUGUUUCUUGUUCAUGGGCAUGUUUCCUGAAGAUUAUCCCAUAAGUUGCAAGAGACUGAUUCGGCUGUGGAUCGCAGAGGGGUUCGUAAAAGGGAAACACAAUAUGACCUUAGAAGAAGUUGCGAUGACGUACCUAUCCGAAUUGAUUAACAGAAGCUUGGUUCAAGUAUCAGUGAUUGAUUCUAUUGGCAAUGUCAGAAACUGCCAGCUCCAUGAUUUGAUGCGCGAAGUUGUUGUUUCCAAGUCCAAAGAACUGAGUUUCAUUCAAACAUGUCCAGAAAAUUUGUCCAACCAUUAUCGUGUAGCUCGACAUCUUUCCAUCUGCAACAAAUCAAACAAUUUCCCAAUGGUUGUUGGUAAUUAUCAAACUCAUUCAGCAAUUUUCUUUGACAUAGAAGAGUUACCUAAAUCAUUCUGCUUCUUACAGUUCACAAAGUCCAAAUUGUUGAAAGAACUGGACUUUGAAGGAGCCCCAUUGACUUAUAUUCCAGAGGAACUGGGAAAUCUGUUCAAUUUGAAAUACUUGAGCAUAAGGGACACAAAGGUGAAAAAGCUCCCAAGAUCUAUAGGUAAAUUGCAUAAGCUUCAAACUUUGGAUCUAAAACGUUCUUUUGUAAGCGAGUUACCAGUUGAAAUCAACAUGCUCUUCAAUCUUCAAUAUCUUGUAGCUUACUACAAAGAUAAACAAAGCAUCUACAGUAUCAAUACUCGAAGAGGGAUGAAGUUAUAUUCCAACUUUGGGAGCUUAGAGUCCUUAGAAAAGCUGUAUGAGGUGGACUUGGAGGCCUACAGUGGUGGUAACUUCUUUCGCGAGUUAGCAAGAUUGAAGCGGUUGAGAAAACUAUGCAUCACUAAACUAAAAUCAGAAAGUGUGAAUGCUUUAUGUGAUGCAAUACAGCAGAUGAUCCACCUUCAGUCAUUGAGAAUUUCUUCUAUAAAAGAGGAAGAGCUUCUUCACCUACAUAAAAUGUCAUCCCCUCCGGUUUUUCUCCGUUGCCUCAGGCUACGAGGAAGAUUAAUGAAGUUACCUGGUUGGAUUUAUGAACUGAGGAACCUCACAAAACUUACCUUAGAAUGGUCAAGAAUAUCAGAUGAUUCACUUCAAAUCCUUGGUGUUCUACCAAAUUUACUCUUCUUUUGGAUUUUUGAGGGAUACAGUGGAGCUCAACUGCAUUUUCACAAGAAUCACUUUAAGAAACUCAAGGACUUGAGGCUUUGCUGGUUAAAUGAUUUAAAGAGACUGAUAAUAGAUGAAGGAUCAUUAACACUUGUAGAACAUCUAGAACUUGGACCUAGCCCCCAAUUGGAGGAGUUGCCUGCUACCAUUUCUCAUCUAAAAUGUCUGAAGACUCUUUCAUUUAACAAUAUGCCCAUGGAGUCGGUUCGAAAAUUGUUGCCUGAUGGAGGCUCUGAUCAUUGGAAAGUCAGGCAUAUUCCAAAUAUCUAUUUCCUUUACUUCACGGUUAAAGGAACACAGCAUGAAACCUACAAGCUUGGUGAUUCACGCUUGUUAGAACUCCUUAGUUGAAGCACUUGGAUGGAUCUCCUUCCAUGUCUUAAAAUUCCGAUGUUGGUACUGUGUCAGACACAGUUGAGUGGCCAAUAAAGAGGUAUGUUCAAUCUUUUUCUAAGUCUUAACAUGCAUUUGAGUGGUCCUUAGAGGAUCAUAUCUCCAUAACCAUAUUAUUUCAAGAAAAAAGAGCGAGAGCAACAUAGAUUUUACAUUGUUCUGGUUUGCUAUUUCUUUUAUUUUAUGUUUUUUGGAUGAUUUUACUUGUAGGACAGGGCAGGGACUCAAUGGUUUUCAGAUGGAUCAAUUCAACUGAAUGUAGAAUAACCAUAUAGGAAGAGACUAAAUUUGAAUCUACCAGUCUAACUGGUUAUAAUUACUUACCAGAUCAAUGUGGUUGAUUGAUGUAUGUUUCCUUCCCGGCCCCCAAUCUCAUAAAUAGCUCCUUGUACCUUAUGUCGUUUUUGCUUGUUAUAUUAUACUCAUUGUUUCACUUCACGUCAAUAGCUUCCACCUCAAAACCUAGAAAAUAUCAUCUUACAUGCAAUGGUAAAUUACAGGUUGCGUACAUGGAAGACAGUUUUCCAAAUAAAAAGGUAAUAAGUUAAGCAACGAAGUAUAUAAAAAAGGACUAAAUGAGAGGAAAUAAAUAAAUGAACUAAAGAGGGUUAAGCCUUUAAAAUACAAUGAACUACAAGAAGUACAUUCAGAAGUUGCAAUCAACAAAGCUAUGUUACCUGGACUCUUUAAUUUCCUAAAGUACUUAUUUGGACAUAGGAACGUGGUAUGAUCCUCCAAACAUAUUAAAGUCUUCAAAAAAAAAAAAGAAGAAAAAGCAUACUCAUAUCAUACACAUACAAUACUCAAGCCAAAUUUAGGUAACAGAGCUCCACAGGAAGAAAGUGUGGAGUUUCUUAAUCUAUUAUACAAACAGGGGCAACUGAAGCAACUUGAAAUUCCAAUAAACCAAAUACAUAGAGCAACUAAAACAUCAAGUUCCAAUGAACCAAACAUCCAUAUACGCAAGAAAAUGCAUAGCCAACAAAAGAGGGAGAAUCCAUAUAAAACUUCAUGCAAACUGAUAAAACAAAAGAUAAAAAAUAUCAAAUUUACAAUGAAAGCGCAUAAAGAGAGGACUGUGAAAGAGUUAAUAGCCAAAAAGUUGAGAGAAAGUGAUUCAAGGCAGAAAAAUUGAAACUCAAAGCUACUGCCUCAGCCAGUAUCAUACAUCUACAGCUUAAUUGAAGUUGAUUUCAGCUUCCAUUAUUACCCAUUUUAUUCUUUCCAUAAGAGAUUGAAGCAGAAAAAGGCUUAAACCAGAGUCAGCAAAUUUCAACAUCUCACCUUUGAUUUUAUUAAACUAUUGAUCCCGAAAAGAAACAUUGUUCAGGAACUGAUAACAAAAAGCAUUGAAGUUUGUAGCAAUGCAUUCAUAACUCCAAUAAAUAGAAGAGCUACAAUAUUAAAACUAACAAAAAGGGAGAGUAGGCUAUAGUUUAACUGGUGAUCAUUGUGCCAGCGCCCUCAUCGGUCAUAAUCUCAUGAAGCAACGAGUGCUCAACACGACCGUCAAUAAUGCUAGCAGUGGUAACCCCUUGAGCAAGCGAUCGAAUACAACAAUUCACUUUGGGAAUCAUCCCACCGCCUACCUUCCCUUCCUCAACCAUUUUCUUCACUCCCUUUAUAUCAAUCUCUUUCACCAAGCUUCCAGGGUCCUCUCGGUUUCUCAGAAUCCCUGCGACGUCGGUCAACAGAAUCAGUUUCUCACCCCCCAAUGCCGCCGCCACCUCACCAGCUACCGUGUCUGCAUUGAUGUUGUAAGGCUGACCAUACUCAUCCGCCGCCACUGAAGCAAUCACCGGGAUGCUUCCGUUGUCCACGAUCGUUUGGAGGACUGUGGGGUCCACUCUCGCAACCUCUCCGACAAACCCCAACUGUGCAGCGUUUGGGCUGGGCCUGGCAACUAAAAGGCGGCCGUCCAUGCCAGAAAGGCCCACGGCGGUGGCUCCAGCGUAAUUGAUACGAGAAACCAGGUCUUUGUUAACUUUUCCAACAAGGACCAUAGAAACAACUUCCAUGGUCCUGGCGUCGGUUACACGGAGCCCAUCGCGGAACUGAGCGGGGAUAUUGAGCUGAUUGAGAAGGACGUUGAUUUCAGGACCACCGCCAUGGACGAGGACGGGACGGAGGCCAACGCAGGAGAGGAGGACGAGGUCCCUGACAACAGAGGCCUUGAGCUCCGCAGAUUUCAUGGCGGCGCCUCCGUAUUUGACGACAAUGGUUUUUCCCCUAAAUUUCUGAAUGUAGGGGAGUGAUUCAGAGAGGAUUCGAACUCGAAGUUGAAGAUCGGAAUUGGUGAGAGAGGGAAGAGGCGGGUCAUUGAGGGCGGUGGAGGAGGGUGAAGAAGCUCUAAUGGAAAGACGAAGGCGACGAGAAUUGGGGGUUUGGAGAAUCUGAAGUUGAGGUUUAGGGUUUCUGCUUUUGAUUUUGUCUUUGUUAGGGAGAGAAAUGAAAGGGGGUCCUGUGAAGAGCAAAAAUGGAGAGAUUUGCCGGUGGCUGUUGCGCCCAUUUUUCUAUCUUCCUCUCCUCUUCUCUGCUGCUUUGGCUCUGGCUUAGAAGGAGCUAAUGGUGCACCCACUCAUUCACGACCCAGGAGUGUAAGCAAAUUAUUACAUUCUAUUUUCAAAAGAAUUUAUAAUAAUUAAAAAGAUAAAAUAAGAAACUAAAAUGAAAUUUUAUUAAAAUCCAACAGUGUGAUAUUAUCCUUCAUCCUUAUUAUUAUAUUAAAAAAAUUAUAAAAAAAAGUAUGUAAAAACAGGAUAAUAUCAUUUGUUUUGGACGAAAGACUUCAAUUUAACUUUAUUUUCGAUCUCAACCAUAUUGACACAAUUAUCUCCUUUUCUUUCUUAUCAAACAAUUGAAAAGGUCACAUUAAUUAUAUAUAUUAUUGACAUCUAAGUAAUAUUUAAAUUAUUAUGAGAAAAUAUUGUUUUAAUAUAAAAUUUAAUAAAUUAUGAUCUGUCAUGUCAAAUAAUCAAUAACAAGACUAUGUAUAGAAGUGUAUCUGAAUCCAUUGUUGAAGAUUGCGAAAGUUUUGAUCUUUCAAGAAAAUAGUUUUUCUUCUAGUAUAUCUCUGAAAUGGGGAUGGAAAAGAUAUAUGAGAUAACUCUAUUUCUUGGGAAUAAUUGAUUAUUAAAUUAGUUUUGAGUAUUUAUAAUUUGACCCCUCAUCAAGUUAUAAAUACAACUUACAACUUAUGAUAUCUACAUAUUAUUUUCAUGACACUUUGAUACCUAUGACACUUAUAACAUAAUUGGUCACUUAAUUUUGAUCAUAUUUUAUAAUAGCAUUAUACAUUAUAUAUAUGUGUCCAUAAUUGGGGAUUUUAAUCCAACAAUCUCCCACUUGGGCAACAUAUAUUUCCUGAUAAAUGUACAACUUUAUGGGCUCAAAAUUUUCUAUAAUAUAACAAGUAUUCUAUAACAGUCUUGUCCAUCAACUAUAUCCAUAUAGGAUCAAAUUAGUCUUUGUCAUAUUAAUCAUGACUAAACUCAUCAAUAGUCAGAUAUACAAAUAUAGUCAAAUGAUAUGGAUCAAUCAUAGAUGUGUAGCAUGGAAAUUACAUGCAAUGUGAACCAAACAUGCAUAUUUCCAACUGGUCAUCCUUAAACUUAAGCGAUGUCAAUAUCAAACAGAGUGAAUAAAUUAAAUAUUUCAUUUCUGAUCAGAAAAUAACCAAAUACAUAAAUGUCUGAAAACAAACAUAAAACAAAUAAAGCACAAACCCUCACUAAACCAUGAUGCCCUCAAAUAAUAUAACAUGCUGGGGAAUGUGCCCAUCUUGUAUUAAACAUGUAACUGUUUUCUAUUUAUUUGAACGAUGAAUAAAUAAAUAAAGUUAAUUUCACAUUCCACUAUUAUGUCAUUGUAUUUUCUGUUUUUUAUAUUUUGCAUGCAUAGCGAAAUUAUGACAAACAAAUAUUAGCUCAUUGAUUGUCUAAAGUUCAAAUUGAAGAUAAGUGACAUUGUAAAUAACGUUUACAUUGCGAGAAAGAAAACUUACUUCAGUAGAUAAUCUAAAUGAGUUUGUAAUUUUGUAAAAUAAUCAAAGUGAGCAUUUGAUUCAAAUACUGAGAAGGAUUAUUAUGUCGUCUACAAUUCCAAUUGGGGAGAUGACUAGUCUUGGCUAUUGGAGCAGUUGACUCCACAGGUAGAAACAUAGAUGUAUUCAUUGGUAGAAUGAUAUAUUGGACUAGACUCAAGAUGAAUUAAUUCUGAAUUUGUUUGUGAAUUAAUUCACUUGUGACGUUCAUGGUGUGAUUUACCUAAAUCCUAAGUUAGUCACUGACCAUGCGUAUGUAACUCAUGUGCUUUAAUAUAAUUGGAGGCUUAUGCUAUAAAGAUGAUCGAGCCCAUAGCCGAUAUGUUGGGUACAUGAUUUGUGUAUGGCAUGGCUUUACUAGAAAUAGUGGAAUUCAUAACUCAAUUAAAGAAUUAAUGAUAUCCUAUUAUUGGCAUUGUUUGGAUUGAUAAAUAUGGAACGUGGUGACGGAUCGCUAGUUCUCGAAUGAGUAAUUUAUCAUAAUCAUUUGUUGACAGUGACCAUAUUAAUCAUUAAGAAGACACAAUGGUGACAAUGAGAUAAAAUAUGAUUGUAUUAAGUGAACGGAUUUAACUCAAAGGAAUCAAAGAUAUCAUAUGAGGAUAACAACACUUGAUGAGGUCAUUGGACAAAGUAGUUGAAUGAAUUGCUUUCACAAACAGUAUACAAUAAGGAGUUUUCAAUCAUGGUAUUUCUUGUGGACUGACUCUAUGAUUAAGUAAUUGUGAAUUAUCGAAACGAUGCUUCUGGACAUAAUUGCAAUCAUUAGAGAAUAAUUGUAUAUGUUUGAUUGGUCCCUCCGUUAGCUCAACAAAAGCUUGAUCGAACUGCAUUUGAAUCAAAAAUAAAUUCUACGACUUUGGGAAUAAUUUAAUUGAGUUAAUUUAUUCAAUGUGGAAAUAAAUUAGGUGGUCGUAAGAAAUAUUCAACUAGAGAAUUUGAUUAAAGAAUUAUCUUGAAAAAUUAAUUUGGAAAAUCUAAGUGAUUUUUGGAAAAAUUAAUUUUGAUCAAGUAAAAUUAAAUUAAUCAAAUCAAUUAAAAUUAAUUUGAUAUUAUUGGAAAUUAAUUUUCAAGUUAGACAAUUGGACCAAUGAGUAAUUGAACUUGAAAAUUAGACCUGAGAUCGUAAAUUGGGCCUGGGAGCCCAAAAUCGAGACCAAGACCCAAAAACUGGUCAAAUCGAGCCCAAUAUGUUAAACCGGGCUGACAAUCCAACAAGUGGCUAGAUUGGACCGGUCGGGUCGUCAUUGACCUGGACCGAAUCGACAGUAGUCGAACUGGCUCAGGGUGCCAUAUGGAUGUCUGUAAUGACCCAAAUUCAAAGUUAUCGGAACAGUGGUUUUGAGACCACAAAUCCGAUGAGGAAAAAUUUAUUUUUCUUAUAUUUUUAUGGUCUACGAUUUUAUAAAAUGAUUUGGUGAAAAUUUCGUUCAAAAAUUUCAACGUUUGGGCACUUAAUUUAGUUAAAAUGACUAAAUUGUAAAAAGUGCAAAAGUUGAGUUCUACAUGUUAGAGGUGCCCAAUUGUUAUGAAACUUUAAAUUGGAGGUCCUUAUAUGGUAAUUAGACCCUUGGUUAAGUUGGUAGACAAAAAUAGACAUGAGAUAAGUGAAAUAUAAUAUUUUUAAGUUAGGGGUAAUUUGGUAAUCUAGUAAUUAAAAUGAAUUAAAAGGGAAAAAGAUGGCAAAUUGUGCUCAUCUUCUUCAUUUGGACGAAAUCAGCAAGGGGGGAAGCCAUAGUUAGGGUUUUGAAGCUUCCAAGCUCCAUAGUAAGUGAUCCCAAGCCCCGUUUUUAAUGUUCUAUUCGUUUUUGAGAUCCCGGUAGCUUAAUUUAGCUUAUUCUAGCAAUAAUUUAACCUAGGGUUUAUAUUUGGAAAAAUACCUGUACAGCCCAAUUAUUGCCCGGGCCCAAUUAACAGAGCCCAAACACCAACCCACAAGCCCAAUUACAACCCAAACCUGAGGCCCAAAUUCGGAGCCCAAUUCCCCCCAAAAAUCCAACUAGGGUUUCAGAAAAAUGAAACCCUAGCCAAACCUAGCGCCGCACCCAUCCCUCUGCCCUUCGCCUUGUCCCAUCGUCACCCACCGUGCCUAGCUUCAUCAACACCUGCAAAAUGGCAGAAAAAGCCGGAGCACGCAACAGAUAGUGCAAAGCAAUAGAAUACAACCAAAAAAUACAAUGUAAAUUGGCUAUAAAAGCCAAACAAUAUCUCUGUACAUUUUUUAGAGACAGCAUUUUGAAUUCAAGAAAAAGAAAAAGCAAAUCAAAAAAGGUUGACUCUAGUUAUUUCUACUCUGUUCUCGUGUUCUUAUUCAUUUUAUUUCUUUUAUUUUUGUUUAUUUUUCUGCAAUCGUUUAAUAAAUAAAGCGGGACUAAAAGGGAAAGGGGAAGAUACCUUACUGCUUCGGUGGGCUGGUGUCGGAACUCCGCCUUUGCCGUCGUCGGAGCCGAGCAAAAAGGGGCGUUUCAUCCCUUUUCCUUUUGGUCUCGCGGUUGAGAAGGCAUAGCCUUCGGGGACGCCGCAAAAGGGGGAGGCCUAGGGGCCGUUCUCGUGCAGCUCCGGCCACUGGCCAUGGAGGCGGAGAUGGUGGCCUGAGCUUUAAGGCCGAGGGGGGCGCAGAGAGGAGAGCAUUCGAGCUCUCUGUUCUCUUUUCCUGUUUCUUUUUUUUUAUUUUUUUUAUUUUUUCUCUUUUCAUUAGAAAAUGAAAUGGAGGCUACCAGAUUAGGGUUCUUUUUGGCCCUUACAUGAUGUGUGAAACGAUGCCGUUUGGAGUCUGAUCAGUGGCUCCAAAACGGCGUCGUAUUGAGCUCUGACCCGCGCGGUGACCCGACCCAAGGGAAGGAUCCGCGUGUUUUUUUCUUUAAAUGGGAUAUUUGUGCGCGUAGUCCCUCCGACUUUGUAGCGCGUUGCAAUUUGGUCCUGUUUCGCUAUUUCCUAUUUUUCAAUUUCGCCCCAGAAUUCUGUUUUUGUUCUAUUUUGACCUUCUGCUGCACUGCGUUUUGGGGCUUCGGGGUAUUUAUGAUUUUGGUCCCCCCCUUUUUCGCGCAUAUUACAUUUUGAUCCUUUAUUCCAUUUUAUUUUUUAUUUCAGCCCUGAGAUUUCGUUCCCGUUUUGAAUUAGUCCUAUUAUUAUUAUUAUUAUUAUUAUUAUUAUUAUUACCUAUUUAUUUAUAUUAAUUUUAUUUAAACUUGUGGUACAUAUAUAUAUUUAUAUAUUUUACAACUUAUGUACCUAUCUAUAUAUCUAUAUACAUAUUUUCAUUUUCAUAAAUACAUACAUAUUUAUAUAUAAUCUUUAUAGUCUAAAAUACACCUUUUUUAUAUUUUUUUAAAUCCGCAUAUACAUACACAUUUUCAAUAUAUUUUUAGUAUGUAUAUAAAUUAACGUAUUUAUUUGUAUACAUAUGUAUAUUUUCAUUAGUUUUAAACUUUAGUUUGUACAUAUAUACUUUUUCUUUUAUUUUACAAUAUAUAUAUACACUUACUUUUUAUAUGUAUUUCUUUAUCUUCGUAUUCCAUAGUUUUAUACACCUAUAUAUGUACAUAUUUUUUUAUACAUACGCGUAUUUAUUUAUUUUAUAUAAAAUAUACUUUAUAUAUUUUGUUAAUUCAUGUAUACACAUAUUUUAGUUCAUGUCUAUAUAUAUCUUUUUAUACUUAAUUGUAUUUGCUAUUUAUUUAUUUCAUUUUGUUAUUAUUUUGAAUGAAUGAUUUAACUUUAUUCGUUUUUUUUUAUUUUGUUAUUUUGUAUGUUGUAAGUUUGAUCGUUCAUAUUGAUUGCUAUAGCUUGCAUCGUUUUUAUAUUUUCAUGUUCAUUAUGAUUUUGCCAUGCAUAAAUAAUGUAAUUUGCUUUCACUAUAAUUUUUUGCUUUAUUUUUACUCGAUAUAACAAAAUUUAUUUUUUUAAAAAUGGCAUUUCGUGUUUGGAUUCGAGAAAAUCGUGCCCUAACUUACUGGGUUUCGAUUUUCUCGAUAAAUCUAAAUGUACGAAUCUUUCUAAACUCAAAUUUUAGAUGACCUCGGGAUUAAAAAAAUCACGUCCUAACUUACUGGUCGUGAUCUCAUUUUUAAAUCCGAGAUGGCUAAAAUAUCUUUUAAAUAAGCAUUUUUCAUUCGCGUAUCGAGAAUUUGAGAUAUUGUAUUCUAACUUACUGGAUAUGAUUCUCUUCCUCGAUUAACGUGAAAUAUAUUUCUUUUUCCAAAAAUUUUCAUUUUAAUACAAGGAUCGUAUUUUUAAUUCUUUCAAGUUCUCAAUUUUCGACAUCGAGACAUUAGAUAAUCAACUAGGUACCAAUUUCUGGGCGUUACGAGGGUGCUAAUCCUUCCUCGUACGUAACCGACUCCCGAACCCAUUUUCUAAAUUUCGUAGACCAAAACCGUUGUUUUAAUAAAAUCAAAUUAUUUAUUAAAAACAACCUUUUUCCAAGGUGACCCAAUCACACCUCAAAAAGGAUUGGUGGCGACUCCCUUUUUCAUUUUCAAAACCCAAGUCGACCCCGUUUUUCAAUAAAAAAAAUGGUGUCAACAGCUUGGCGACUCCGCUGGGGACUCAAAAAAUUGAGAGUCAAGCCACGAGUUGAUUAUCUCUUGUCCUUUUGUCAAAAGUUGAAAAUUUGAGUUAAAUAUCCGAUCCUCUCAUUGCAUUUUAUUUUGAGUUAUAGUUUUUAUCAUGUUUGGUAUUUUAAGUUUUUAUAUACCUCUGCACAUUGCAUUGCAAGACCGUUGGUCACACCUCUUAAGUGGGAGUGAGAAGCUACGCCUUCGUGAGGUUUUCACCUCCGCAUGGGAUAGUGAAUCGCUUCCGGGAUACAUCCGUACCUAUGUCUUCGUGAGAUUUUCAUCUCCGCAUGGCCACAGGGAAAUGUAUUCCCCUGAACUGAACUCGGUUCGUAUGACCCUAUAAUGGGUGAGGAUUGAGGAAUCUGCUGGUUCAGGUACCCUGCUUAGAACCAAACCACAUGUAAUGACCCAUAAGAACCGACCUAGGUAGAGCUACGCCAAACCUCAGUGCUUACCUAAAUGGAUGUUAUAUUUAUCGUCAUUUACGUUAAAUCUUGUUCUGCGUAAUAUUAUCUUUGCUUUAUUUGAUUGUAUAGCAUUGUCAUUCUAAAAGAGGUGUCGAUUCAUGUUCAGUGUCUAAAACGAAAGCUUAUCAUGGAAAAGGGAUUUCUUGAUAAAGUAGAAGAUAAUGCGGCUGUGCGAGUUUGGGCUGAAACGACACAACGGGAGAAAGGCGAUAGUCUUACCGAGGGGCACGUGUCAGAAUUAUGGGAUUUCACCCGUAUCAGUGUAAUCCAGAAUGACCUUCGAGAAAUGAAAGAAGUCUGGGAUCAGUGGGAUGUCAGGACCAAGCAGCUGUUCUAUUGUAACUACGGUGACCUACCUUAUCUACUCAGUGUCAAAGUGGACAAGUAUUUAUUCCGAGCCCUUGCUCAAUUUUGGAAUCCUGCCUACAGUUGUUUCACUUUUGGGAAAGUCGAUUUGACGCCUACUGUGGAGGAGUAUACGACCUUGCUGCGGUGCCCAAAGUUUCAAGUCGAUAGAGUUUAUUCUAGAGCUGCUUGUGUCCCUUCAUUGUUAAGGAAAUUAAUGAACAUUACCGGGAUGAGCGAGCAGUGGGUCGCUGCUCGAAUCCAACAGAAGGGCGACAGUAAAUGUGUCCCUUGGAAAAGCUUACGAGAUUUGGUGCUUGUACAUCCUGACGUAAAGAAAAGGGUCGAUGUCUUCGCUUUAGGUAUCUACGGGCUAGUGGUCUUCCCCAAGGCUUUAGGGCACAUCGACGAUGCUGUAUCUGAUUUGUUUGAUCGGCUUAGUAAAGGGGUUACACCGGUUCUGGCAAUACUGGCGGAAACUUUCAGAUCCCUGAGUGCAUGUCGGAAAACAGGUGAGGGAAGGUUUAUUGGAUGCGCACAACUUUUAUUGGCAUGGUUUCAUAGUCAUUUCUGGAAAAUGGAAAAGGUCUCUUAUCGAGUGUUCUCUAACGGUUACUCCCCUCUAGAGGAAUUGGUGGCCACACCAAGACGGGAUGAUCUUUCAGAAGAAAGAUGGAGGGAGAUACUCCAGAAUCUCCAGGAUGAAGAUAUUGAAUGAAGGGCUCCUUGGUUAAUUCCUGAUGAGAUAUUGUACCGGUGUGGAGAUUUCGACUAGGUUCCUCUGCUCGGGAUGUGGGGAGCUAUCGGAUAUGCUCCCCUACUCGUAUCUAGACAGUAUAGAUCACGACAAUUCGUACCAGCAACGCUGGGGUUGGCCUAUUCUGAUUUUUCUUAUAGGGAGGACAAUUACAAGAAAAAGGUUCGAGAGGUGUCUAAUGCCUGGAACCAAACUCGCCGAAUGAGAAUUUUAGCCGUGGGUCCGACGAUGACCCCCGAGUAUAGCCAGUGGCGUGAUCAAAGGGUCAACGAUAAUAUCCCGGCGUCUAAUCCAGAAACUGCUCGAUCUUUAGAGGAACACCUACAGGUACUGCCCUCUGAGAUAGAGAUUAUCAAGCAAGAAUUUGAAAAGAGGAGUUUGGAGAUAGGAAAGAAAGUAGAGAAGUUAGAGGAAGAGAAAAUGUAGUUAGGACUAGAUUUGGACAUUCAAAGAUUAGAGGCCGACAAAUUAAGGAAAGGGAAGAACAAGGCAGAAGAAGAUUUAGACAGCCUGAAGACUGAUUACAAGAAGUUGCGCAGGUCGAUAAGAACUGUUGGCUUGGGUAAAACGUCAGAACAAUGGCGGCAGGAAAUUCAGAAGGAAAGAAUGAAAGCUAAUCAGUGGGAAAAGAAAUUUCAGGAUGCUCAAACUCGAGAGUUACUUUGGGAGAAAGUCUGCUAGUCUGCCAAAAUGAGAAGACGAAGUUGAAUGCCCGAAUAACUGAACUGGAAAGGCUACUUCACCAAUACCGUAGUCGUAAUUCUGUGAUUGAAUUAAAGGCAGGCUUGAAAAAAAUUGAAGAAUUAAAGGGACAAGUAAGAGAGCUCGAGGACGCAUUGCAAAGCAGCGAAUUCCGAAUAGAGCUUCUGGAAAGAAGUAGUGAGCAGUGGCAAGGGCGAUUCCAGCGGUCUCAAGAUCAGAUUAGAGACAGAGAUUAUGUUAUGGGUGAGGCAGUGGUUCAAGUACGCGAGGUAGCUGAUCACCUGCAAACCUUAGCGGUUCAAGCUGAUCUAUUAAGUUUAAAGUUUGAGGUGGAAUCGGACCGGGGCCGAGAAUUAGCUUGGCUCCUUAAAAAGGUUAAGGCUUUGGGCAUAAGGGCAAAGCCGUAUAUGUAAUCUAUUUUAUGUAAAGAAAUUUCUUCUCUAGUAAAGCUCUCUAAUGAAGUUGAAUUAGAAUCAGUGCCUCUUUUUUGCAUUCAUGCAUUUACAUAUCAUCAUAUGCAUUAAGUUUUAAAAAGGGAGCCUAAUUAAUUUAAAAUUAUGACAGAACUACCCUGGAAACUAACAAAAAUUCGCCAAUCGUUUAUCACUACGGUACCCGUCGCAAAACAAAAGCCAUGGAUCAAAGACUCGAAAGACUCGAACAGCUCCAAAGGGAGAUACAAGAACAAAUGCAAGAGCGGUUAGAGAAGAUUCAACAAGAUAUGAAGAACGAAAUGAUAGAGUCUCAAAAAAGCAUGAUAGCUGAAUUAACGCAAUUGUUCAAAGGGGGAAGCGACAAAGGAAAAGACCCCGUGGUUAAUACAGAAGAAGAAAAUAAUGAUAGCCCUCUCUAUCCCCCAGGUUUCACUCCUCCUCAUGCGCAAACCCAAGCUGAGGUGCAACCACGCAGAUCAUCUAUUACUAUCAGGCCUCAGCAAUUUCAAAUUGGUGCCUCAAUACCAGUAAAUUUCCAAACUGGAAUAGGUUCUCAUCUCGGAGAAGCCCCUACUAAUCCCAUAGUACCCGAUUUUGACGAAAUGAUGGGAAAAGAGAAAACAAAGGAAGAACUACCGAGUCGAUUGGAGGAAAGAUGUAAAUGGCUCGAAGAGAAAUUCAAAGCCAUGGAAAGUAGAGAGAAUUAUCAUGGGAUGGAUGCUAAAGAUCUAAGCUUGGUACCAAAUUUGGUCCUUCCUCCUAAAUUUAAGAUACCGGAGUUUGAAAAAUAUGACGGGACAAGUUGUCCUCAGGCUCAUAUCACUAUGUUUUACCGAAGAAUGACCGGGUACAUCAACAAUGAGCAACUGUUGGUUUACUAUUUUCAGGAUAGUUUGAUCGGGUCAGCAGCUAGAUGGUACAAUCAAUUGAGUCGAACCGAAAUCCACUCCUGGAAAGAUUUGGCGCAGGCCUUUAUAAAGCAGUAUAGACAUGUGAUGGAUAUAGCACCCGAUCGAAUUGUAUUGCAAAACAUGGAAAAGAAAACUAAUGAGAACUUUCGCCAGUAUGCUCGGAGAUGGAGGGAGGUAGCAGCACAAGUUCAACCACCACUUUUAGAGAAAGAGAUAACCAUGCUUUUUAUCAAUACCUUGAAAGCUCCAUUUCUCAAUCACAUGUUGGGCAGUGCCACUAAAAGCUUUCCAGACAUAGUGAUGUCUGGAGAAAUGGUAGAGAACGCCAUAAGAUGUGGCAAGAUAGAAGCAGGAGAAAGUAAUAAAAGGUCGGCUCCAAGGAAAAAGGAACAUGAGAUAAAUAAUACAAGCACGUUUAAUAAGGACCAUUCUAAAUCAAUCACGGUGGGGCAAGCCAGAGCAGUAACCGCUAAUCUGCAAAUUUUUUCGACACAGGAAUCCAAUCCAAGGCCAAAGGUAGAGAAACUUCAAUUCACACCCAUCCCAGUGACGUAUAGGGAAUUGUACCAGAACUUAUUCGAUGCACGUGUGAUAUCUCUAUUUUACCUCAAACCUAUGCAACCUCCAUACCCUAUGUGGUAUGACGCAAGCGUUCAAUGCGAGUAUCACGCGGGGACCAAGGGGCACUCAAUUGAAAACUGCACUGCAUUCAAUAAGUUAGUUGAAAGACUUAUCAAUUUGGGGAUCGUAAAGAUAGGCGACUCAUCAGGACCGAAUGUAGCAGAGAAUCCGUUGCCCAACCAUGAUAAUAAAGGGGUGAAUGCGAUAAUUGAAUAUGGAGGAAGGAGAGUCAAAGCCAACAUAGCAGAGAUAAAGACCCCCCUUGAAUGGGUUUGGAAACAAAUGAUGAAAAGAGGUCUCAUCAAGCAAGUUUCAAUAGAAAGGCCUGAAGGAACAAGGAAAUUUUGCGAGUUCCAUGCAGAAGAAAGCCAUGACAUCCAAGAUUGCACCGAGUUCAGAACCAUGAUGCAAAACUUAAUGGAUAGCAAAGAGUUGGAGUUUUAUGAAGAGAUUAAGGGAUUAGAAGGAGGAGAGGUUUAUGCUGCAGAAGAAGGAUCCACGGGGAAAGCCCAAAAGGCUAAUUACCCGGUGGUGAUUAUUGCAAAACCAAUGAGCAGAGAAUCUGGAAUACAAAUAGCACCAAAGGUCGUAAUCCAAAAACCUGUAUCCUUUCCCUACAAGGAUAGCAAAAAGGUUCCUUGGAAUUACAACUGCAAUGUAACAAUCCCAGGAGAGGAGAGCUUGAUAAAUGCUUCAGGAGAGGAUGAAGGAUUCUAUACACGAAGUGGAAAACGCUAUGAUCCGGCAAACGCAAGAGUGGAGUCUGGAAAAGGAAAAGCCUUAGCGGUUGAAUUGGGAAAAGUAAAGACAGACAAAAUCGAGCCGCGCAUCAAUCAGCUGGUAACUGAAAAUGAGGCUAGUGAAUUUCUAAAAUUUUUAAAACAUAGCGAGUACAGCGUGGUAAAGCAAUUACAUAAGCAACCGGCUCGUAUCUCGAUGCUUGAAUUGCUUCUAAGUUCAGAGAUACAUCGUAAUGCGCUGAUUAAGGUGCUAAAUGAAACUUACGUCGCUGAUGAUAUCUCAGUGAAUAAGUUGGACCGUUUGGUUAAUAAUAUCAGUGCUGACAAUUUUAUCUUCUUUAAUGAUGAUGAAAUACCACCCAGGGGAAGAGGAACCACCAAAGCCUUACAUGUUUCUACUUACUGCGGGAAACAUAUGUUGUCAAGAGUGCUAAUUGAUAAUGGAUCAGCCUUGAAUGUUUUACCCCUAUCCACCUUAAAUAGGUUACCGGUGGACAGCUCUCACAUGAAAUCAUGCCAGAACAUAGUGAGAACAUUUGAUGGUACCGAAAGAAAGGUGAUGGGAAGAAUAGAAAUACCUCUCUUGAUUGGCCCAAAUACGUACGAAGUGGAUUUCUUAGUGAUGGAUAUCAAGCCUUCGUAUAAUUGCUUACUGGGGAGACCAUGGAUUCAUUCAGUAGGGGUGGUGCCUUCAUCAUUGCACCAGAAGUUGAAAUUAGUGACAGAAGGCCGGUUAAUUACGAUUGACGCUGAGGAAGACAUCAUUGCAUCGGUAACCAGCGACGCACCAUAUUUGGGAGUAGAUGACGAUGCGGUCAAAUGUUCUUUUCGAUCCUUAGAGUUAGUAAAUGCAACUUUUGUCACUGAAGGAAAGAAAAUCCCAAUGCCCAGCAUAUCUAGAGCCACAAGGAUGGGACUACAAAUGACAGUUGGGAAAGGAGCUGUGCCUGGAAGAGGACUGGGAAGAUGCCUUCAAGGAAAGAUUGAGGCACCAGUGGUGAAAGACAAACAGGACCAUUUUGGUUUAGGAUUUAAACCAAAUGCCAAGCAGAGAAAGAAAGAGUUAGAGAAAAGACAAGACAGGAGGAAAGCGCGUUUGAACGGAAAAGAAGUUGAUUGGGAACCUAUGGCUUUCCCCCACAUAUCCAGGACAUUCAUAUCAGGAGGAACCAUGUAUUCUGGACUGAGGACUCCAAGAAAGAAGACCGCAGAGGAAAUGUUAGGAAACUUAAGCAUCAAUGCCAUAUUUGAAGAAGAAUCUGAAGAGGGAAGUACAUCAGGCAUCUAUCCCGUUGAACCUGGGAGUGUUGUAAACAAUUGGACUGCAGAAGAAAUGCCUGAAGUUUUUAGAGCUUUUCCAGAGUAAUAUUCAAAACAUAUUAAUUGUUCUAAGCCUAGAGAAAAUAAAAACUUUUGUGAACUAAAAUAGGCUUAUAUGUGGACAUUGUGAUUUCAAUGAAAUAUAUCUUCGCAUUUUGAGUAUAUAUAUUCUUUUAAAACUCUUUCCAUUCUUUCAUACGAAUAGUCAUCCCGAAUGCUUUUAUUCUGAAUCAUUCUUUUAUUCAUGGUCAUACUAAAUAAGAAUCCUUAAAUUCAUACGUUCCCUGUACAUUCUUUGAUACCUAUAACAGGUCCCAAGAUAUCAAUGAUAUGAGUGACUCUACUAUGGACUUAGAAAAUCCUUUUGAACGAGAUAUGUGUUUAGAGGAAUCUCAAGAUUUUGAAGAUAACACGGAUUACAACCUACCUCCGGACUUGUUGAGGAUGGUAGAGCAGGAAGAGAAACAGGUUCUUCCUCACGAGGAGACGAUAGAGACAGUGAUCCUGGAGGAGGGAAAGAUGGUAAAGAUUGGCACGUGCAUAGCUGAUGAAGUGAAAUGAAACCUCGUUAAAUUGCUUCGAGAGUUCAAAGAUGUCUUCGCAUGGUCAUACCAAGAUAUGCCGGGGUUAAGUACUGACAUCGUAGUUCACCGACUUCCUAUAAAGGAAGAUUACAAACCAGUUCGGCAAAAGCUCCGAAGGAUGAGGCCUGAUGUUGUGUUAAAAAUAAAAGAGGAGGUACAAAAACAAUUCGACGCUGGAUUCCUGCAGGUGGUCAAAUACUCCGAGUGGGUAGCCAAUAUCGUUCCUGUCCCUAAAAAAGAUGGGAAGGUCCGAAUGUGUGUAGAUUAUAGAAAUUUAAAUAAGGCCAGCCCCAAAGAUAACUUUCCCUUGCCGCACAUCGAUGCCUUGGUGGACAACACAGCAGGACAUUCGCUGUUUUCUUUCGUGGAUGGUUUCUCUGGAUAUAACCAAAUUAAGAUGCAUCCUGAGGAUAUGAAGAAAACUACAUUCAUAACCCUAUGGGGAACCUUUUGUUAUAAGGUGAUGCCAUUUGGGUUGAAAAACGCAGGGGCAACGUAUCAGAGGGCCAUGGUAACAUUGUUCCAUGAUAUGAUGCAUAAUGAGUUAGAGGUCUAUGUUGAUGACAUGAUUGCAAAAUCUAAAACAGAAGAGGACCACGUGCAGGUCCUUAAGAAAUUAUUUAUGAGGUUGAGAAAAUUUCAGCUAAAGCUAAAUCCAGUAAAAUGCACAUUUGGGGUCAGAUCAGGAAAAUUGCUUGGGUUCAUGGUCAGUGAGAAAGGAAUUGAGAUUGAUCCUGACAAAGUAAGAGCAAUACAAGAAUUACCCCCGCCGCGUACUCAAAAGGAGGUUCGAGGUUUUCUAGGAAGGCUGAACUAUAUUGCUCGGUUCAUCUCACAGCUAACUGAGAAAUGCGACCCCAUUUUUUGCCUCCUCAAGAAACAUAAUCCUGGUGUAUGGGAUGAGGAAUGUCAAAAAACUUUUGAAAAAGUCAAACAUUACUUAUCCAACGCCCCAGUGCUGAUGCCACCCUGCCCAGACAAACCACUCAUACUGUAUUUGGCAGUAUUUGGAAAUUCCAUGGGAUGCGUGCUUGGUCAACAUGAUGAAUCAGGACGAAAGGAAAGAGCAAUCUACUAUCUCAGUAAGAAGUUCACUGAAUGCAAAACAAGAUAUUCGCCAAUCGAGAAAUUAUGUUGUGCCCUAAUCUGGACCACUCGGAGACUGAGACAGUACAUGUUGUACCAUACGACCUGGUUAAUCUCCAAAUUAGACCCUUUGAAAUACUUAAUGGAGUCAACCGCUCUGAAUGGAAGAAUGGCCCGAUGGCAAAUUCUUCUAUCUGAAUUUGACAUAGUCUAUGUAAACCAGAAAGCGGUCAAAGGAAGUGCAAUAGCGGAAUUCCUAGCAAGUAGGGCUCUGGAUGAUUAUGAGCCAUUGAACUUCGAUUUCCCAAAUGAAGAUUUGAUGUAUAUCGCAACUGUAGAGAAAGAUUUCUAAGAAGGUGGUUCUUGGAAGUUGAGUUUUGACGGAGCUUAAAAUGCUAUAGGCAACGGAAUUGGGGCAGUACUCGUGUCUCCCAGUGGAGACUAUUAUCCUUUCACUAGCAAAUUAGACUUCGACUGCACAAAUAAUAUGGCUGAGUAUGAAGCUUGCAUUAUGGGCAUCCGGGCAGCCAUAGAGCGGAAAAUUAAGGUGCUAGAAGUAUACAGGGACUCUGCAUUAGUAAUUUAUCAGCUCAAAGGGGAAUGGGAAACAAGAGACCCGAAGUUGGUCCGCUAUCGAAAAUUGGCUAUGGAAUUGAUUGAGGAAUUUGAUAGUGUCACCUUUAGUUACCUCCCGCGAGAUGAAAACCAGAUGGCAGAUGUUUUGGCCACUUUAGCCUCCAUGUUUAAAGUGAACAAAUUAGAAGAUAUGAAGCCUAUCUAGAUCAGCAUCUACGAGGCUCCAGCUCAUUGUUGCAACAUUGACAGUGAAGAGGGAAAGGAUGAUCACCCUUGGUACCAUGACAUAUUGCAAUAUGUGAAGAGUCGUGAAUACCCUGACCAUGCGACAGAAAAUGAUAAGAAGACAUUAAGGAGAUUAGCCAUUGACUAUGUCCUAGAUGGGGAAAUUUUGUAUAAAAAGGGAAAAGAUCAAGUAUUGUUGAGGUGUGUGGAUGCUGUCGAGGCAAAAGAAAUUUUGGAAGAAGUGCAUGAAGGUAUCUGUGGAAUGCAUGCCAACGGCUUCACGAUGGCCAGACAAAUUAUGAGAUUUGGGUACUAUUGGUCCACCAUGGAAGGGGAUUGCAUUAAUUAUGCCAAAAGGUGCUAUAAGUGUCAAAUCUACAGUAACAAAAUGCACGCACCACCUUCACCCCUUCAUGUUAUGGUUUCUCCAUGGCCUUUCUCCAUGUGGGGAAUGGACGUUAUCGGGCCAAUAUCUCCAAAAGCUUCUAAUGGGCAUCGUUUUAUCUUUGUGGUUAUUGAUUACUUCACUAAAUGGGUGGAGGCUGCUUCAUAUGCAAAUAUCACGAAGUCGGCAGUUAGCAAGUUUCUGAAAAAGGAGAUCAUAUGUCGAUACGGGAUGCCUGAAAGGAUCAUAUCCGAUAAUGCGAUGAACUUAAACAACAACUUAAUAGCGGAAGUUUGUAGUCAGUUCAAGAUCAGACACCACAAUUCGUCACCGUAUCGUCCAAAAAUGAAUGGUGCCGUGGAAGCAGCUAACAAAAACAUCAAGAAAAUUGUAGGAAAAAUGACUGAAACCUACAAAGACUAGCACGAGAAAUUAUCUUUUGCUCUCCUGGCAUAUCGCACUUCCGUUAGAACCUCUAUUGGGGCAACACCGUUUUCUUUAGUCUAUGGGAUGGAAGCAGUUUUACCCAUAGAAGUUGAAAUUCCUUCCCUCCGAGUAUUAGCUGAACUAAAGUUGGAUGAGGCUGAAUGGAUUCAAUCUCGAUAUGACCAGCUAAACUUGGUAGAAGAAAAGAGGUUAAAAGCUAUUCGUCAUGGUCAGAUGUAUCAGAAACGAAUGACGCGAGCCUAUAACAAAAAAGUUCGUCCCAGAGAAUUUUACGAGGGGGACUUGGUUUUGAAAAAGAUUCUUCCUCUACAAAAGGAUUUUAGAGGAAAAUGGAUGCCAAAUUGGGAAGGUCUUUAUGUGGUAAAAAAGGCCUUUUCAGGAGGAGCUUUGAUCUUGAGCGAGAUGGAUGGUAAAAGCUUGCCAAAUCCUGUGAACUCAGAUUCAGUCAAGAAAUACUUCACCUGAAGGAGGAGGACCAAAGUGAAAACCCGUAAAGGGAAUUCAAAAAAAAAAAAGGGAGAGGCCAAGGUGAAAACCCGUAAAGGGCGCAUUGAGACCAAAGGGGAUUUGAGUUGAAAACCUGAAAAGGCGGCUCAAAUUUUGAAGAAGCGUGAGGUGAACGAAACAGCUCAAAUUUUGAUCAGGAUCUGAGGCAUGUGGUGGUCUUACUAUACCUGAAUCACAAGAAGGAAUAGGUGACAUCUUGGGGUAUCGACAGAAUACUGUAGAUUCCCUAAACACAUAUUAAAUGGUCUUUAGAAAACUUAUGCAGAGAAGCUCGUGCUGCGAUAUCUGGGGCACCUGUCGUUAUCUUAUAUUUUGAAUCUUGGCAAAAUUUGUUGUCUUGAUUAAUGUAUUCAUUUCAAGCUUUGCUCCCCAGUAAAAUUUCAUUUUGUCUAUUGUCUUAUUUCAUUUUUAUCUUGGCAAAAUUUGCUAUCUUGAUUAACUCAUUCAUUUCGAGAUUUGUUCUCAAUAACAUUUGUUUGAUCGUUGUGGUAAUCUUUUCGAAAAACAUUUAGAAUAACUAUUAAUGAACUGAAUGUUCAAGCAAAUUGAGUUUUGCAUAUUACUCUAGAAAUUUCUAAAUAAUGAAGGAACCUGAAACAGGACUGUUGUUUAGAGCACACUAAAUUCAAAGUGUCUAAAAGGGAAAAGUCCAAGUCAGGACUAUCUUUUCAAAUUUUGUUCUCCAAACAUUGAACAAAAUGACAAGAUGUCGUGUUAGUGGCAAAGCUUCAAUGAACAAACAAGUGAUGUUCACCAAGCAAUAAGAAAAUGUCUUCUGGGAGAAGAAAACUCUUCAUUGUGCAUGAGCAUUUGGUAUGACACCUUGGGAAUGGGGUAAAGGACCAAAGAGCUUCACAUUCUGUAUCAUUGAAUUGUGAUAGCAGAGGAUCGAGAAAAGGCCAGAUCUUCCUACCUUUGGGUUACAGCGGGAGAAAGAUGGUUCAAAUUUUGCAUCCAGUGGAUUGAACCUGGAGGUUUACAGUGGGGGGCAGUCUGGUUAAAUUUUUCUUUGGAUUUGCCAGUCGAGCAAGAAGGCGUUGUAGCACGUCAACGAUAAACCUUAAUAAGCUUUUGCGUGAUGAUAACCUAAGCAUCAAGAAAUCACUUUCAUAACAUUUCGACAUUCAUUCAAAUGUCAUUCAUACACGUCUAGUUAGGACCAUUUGAUUCAUUCUGGUCAUCCUAAUUACUAGACAUAAAUAGGUCCAUCAAAUGGAUUAUACAGGUCAUGUUCCCCAGAGAACAGAUCAAUGAAGAUAGCAGAUCUUGCCUUCCUGUAUUGACAGCGAAGCAGAUCGAAUAAACCAUAGUUUGCAAUUUAAAAGAUCAAAGCCACAACGGCGAAUCUUACUUCCAGGCGAUGCAGUGGAACAGAUUGAAGCUACAACAGCGAAUCUCACUUCCCCGACAUUGCAAUUUAAAAGAUCGAAGCCACAACGGCGAAUCUUACUUCCAGGCGAUGCAGUGGAACAGAUUGAAGCUACAACAGCGAAUCUCACUUCCCCGACAUUGCAAUUUAAAAGAUUGAAGCCACAACGGCGAAUCUUACUUCCAGGCGAUGCAGCGGAGCAGAUUGAAGCUACAACAGCGAAUCUCAUUUCCCCGACAUUGCAAUUUAAAAGAUCGAAGCCACAACAGUGAAUCUUACUUCUGGCAAUGCAGUGGAACAGAUUGAAGCUACAACGGUGAAUCUCACUUCCCCGACAUUGCAAUUUAAAAGAUCGAAGCCACAACGGCGAAUCUUACUUCCAGGCGAUGCAGCGGAGCAGAUUGAAGCUACAACAGCGAAUCUUAUUUCCCCGACAUUGUAAUUUAAAAGAUCGAAGCCACAACAGUGAAUCUUACUUCUGGCAAUGCAGUGGAACAGAUUGAAGCUACAACAGCGAAUCUCACUUCUCCGACAUUGCAAUUUAAAAGAUCGAAGCCACAACGGCGAAUCUUAUUUCCUCGGCAAGACUGGGCAAAAAUUGGUCUUUCUUAGUCUUUGCUCUGUUAUCGUUACACGACAACGAGCAAAGAGGGGCAGCUGUACAGCCCAAUUAUUGCCCGGGCCCAAUUAACAGAGCCCAAACACCAACCCACAAGCCCAAUUACAACCUAAACCCGAGGCCCAAAUUCGGAGCCCAAUUCCCCCCAAAAAUCCAACUAGGGUUUCAAAAAAAUGAAACCCUAGCCAAACCUAGCGCCGCACCCAUCCCUCUGUCGUUUGCCUUGUCCCAUCGCCACCCACCGUGCCUAGCUUCAUCAACACCUGCAAAAUGGCAGAAAAAGCCAGAGCACGCAACAGAUAGUGCAAAGCAAUAGAAUACAACCAAAAAAUACAAUGUAAAUUGGCUAUAAAAGCCAAACAAUAUCUCUGUACAUUUUUUAGAGACAACAUUUUGAAUUCAAGAAAAAGAAAAAGCAAAUCAAAAAAGGUUGACUCCAGUUAUUUCUACUCUGUUCUCGUGUUCUUAUUCAUUUUAUUUCUUUUAUUUUUGUUUAUUUUUCUGCAAUCGUUUAAUAAAUAAAGCGGGACUAAAAGGGAAAGGGGAAGAUACCUUACUGCUUCGGUGGGCUGGUGUCGGAACUCCGCCUUUGCCGUCGUCGGAGCCGAGCAAAAAGGGGCGUUUCAUCCCUUUUCCUUUUGGUCUCGCGGUUGAGAAGGCAUAGCCUUCGGGGACGCAGCAAAAGGGGGAGGCCUAGGGGCCGUUCUCGCGCAGCUCCGGCCACUGGCCAUGGAGGCGGAGAUGGUGGCCUGAGCUUUAAGGCCGAGAGGGGCGCAGAGAGGAGAGCAUUCGAGCUCUCUGUUCUCUUUUCCUGUUUCUUUUUUUUUUUAUUUUUUUUAUUUUUUCUCUUUUCAUUAGAAAAUGAAAUGGAGGCUACCAGAUUAGGGUUCUUUUUGGCCCUUACAUGAUGUGUGAAACGACGCCGUUUGGAGUCUGAUCAGUGGCUCCAAAACGGCGUCGUAUUGAGCUCUGACCCGCGCGGUGACCCGACCCAGGGGAAGGAUCCGCGUGUUUUUUUCUUUAAAUGGGAUAUUUGUGCGCGUAGUCCCUCCGACUUUGUAGCGCGUUGCAAUUUGGUCCUGUUUCGCUAUUUCCUAUUUUUCAAUUUCGCCCCAGAAUUCUGUUUUUGUUCUAUUUUGACCCUCUGCUGCACUGCGUUUUGGGGCUUCGGGGUAUUUAUGAUUUUGGUCCCCCCCUUUUUCGCGCAUAUUACAUUUUGAUCCUUUAUUCCGUUUUAUUUUUUAUUUCAGCCCUGAGAUUUCGUUCCCGUUUUGAAUUAGUCCUAUUAUUAUUAUUAUUAUUAUUAUUACUACUACUAUUAUUAUUAUUACCUAUUUAUUUAUAUUAAUUUUAUUUAAACUUCUGGUACAUAUAUAUAUUUAUAUAUUUUACAACUUAUGUACCUAUCUAUAUAUCUAUAUACAUAUUUUCAUUUUCAUAAAUACAUACAUAUUUAUAUAUAAUCUUUAUAGUCUAAAAUACACCUUUUUUUAUAUUUUUUUAAAUCCGCAUAUACAUACACAUUUUCAAUAUAUUUUUAGUAUGUAUAUAAAUUAACGUAUUUAUUUGUAUACAUAUGUAUAUUUUCAUUAGUUUUAAACUUUAGUUUGUACAUAUAUACUUUUUCUUUUAUUUUACAAUAUAUAUAUACACUUACUUUUUAUAUGUAUUUCUUUAUCUUCGUAUUCCAUAGUUUUAUACACCUAUAUAUGUACAUAUUUUUUUAUACAUACGCGUAUUUAUUUAUUUUAUAUAAAAUAUACUUUAUAUAUUUUGUUAAUUCAUGUAUACACAUAUUUUAGUUCAUGUCUAUAUAUAUCUUUUUAUACUUAAUUGUAUUUGCUAUUUAUUUAUUUCAUUUUGUUAUUAUUUUGAAUGAAUGAUUUAACUUUAUUCGUUUUUUUUAUUUUGUUAUUUUGUAUGUUGUAAGUUUGAUCGUUCAUAUUGAUUGCUAUAGCUUGCAUCGUUUUUAUAUUUUCAUGUUCAUUAUGAUUUUGCCAUGCAUAAAUAAUGUAAUUUGCUUUCACUAUAAUUUUGUGCUUUAUUUUUACUCGAUAUAACAAAAUUUAUUUUUUUAAAAAUGGCAUUUCGUGUUUGGAUUCGAGAAAAUCGUGCCCUAACUUACUGGGUUUCGAUUUUCUCGAUAAAUCUAAAUGUACGAAUCUUUCUAAACUCAAAUUUUAGAUGACCUCGGGAUUGAAAAAAUCACGUUCUAACUUACUGGUCGUGAUCUCAUUUUUAAAUCCGAGAUGGCUAAAAUAUCUUUUAAAUAAGCAUUUUUCAUUCGCGUAUCGAGAAUUUGAGAUAUUGUAUUCUAACUUACUGGAUAUGAUUCUCUUCCUCGAUUAACGUGAAAUAUAUUUCUUUUUCCAAAAAUUUUCAUUUUAAUACAAGGAUCGUAUUUUUAAUUCUUUCAAGUUCUCAAUUUUCGACAUCGAGACAUUAGAUAAUCAACUAGGUACCAAUUUCUGGGCGUUACGAGGGUGCUAAUCCUUCCUCGUACGUAACCGACUCUCGAACCCAUUUUCUAAAUUUCGUAGACCAAAACCGUUGUUUUAAUAAAAUCAAAUUAUUUAUUAAAAACAACCUUUUUCCAAGGUGACCCAAUCACACCUCAAAAAGGAUUGGUGGCGACUCCCUUUUUCAUUUUCAAAACCCAAGUCGACCCCGUUUUUCAAUCAAAAAAAAUGGUGUCAACAAUACCCAUAGGUGAAAUGUAUUUAUUUUGAUGUUUUAUGGUAGAAUAUGAAGCUAGAAAUUAUGAUAAACAACUUUUGCUAGGUGAUUUUAAUUGAAAACGAGUAAAUUGACAUAAUCGGUAAAAAUACCUAAUGUUCAUAAGUACAUGUUAGAGUGAGAAUUUGAUGUUGUCAUAGAAGGGAAAAAUGUUCAGCAUGUUAUAAAACAUAAGAAUAAGAGAUGAAGUUUAAUUUUCGAGCCUUGGGGCAAAAAUGUAAUUAUGCAAAAGUUUAGGGGCAAAAUCAUAAUUUUGACAAAGUUAGACUCGAGGGCUGUUUUGAUAAAUGUGAGUAUUAAAUGAGUUAAAUUUUCUAAUUUAGAUCAAGAAGAACGGAACUCGAGGUUAGACAAAGGGAAGAAUAAAGUUGAAGGCUAAGUUGGUGAAUUUGGCUAUAAUUGGUAUCGAGGUAAGUUUACAGUAAAUAAAUGCAAUAUUUCAAUAAUUAUUAUUAAUGCUGCUAUUUUCCAGCAACUAUGAAUUUAUUUCAUGAAUUUAUUUGAUGAUGAUCCGAGCAUGAAAUGAUAAAGAAUUAAUAUUAAAAAGUCCCGUUGAUACAUAAGGAUGGUACUGGAUACGAAUGUCAUGACAUUUGGGUAAAGAGGUCCCAUGUAAGACCAUGUCUGGGACAUGGCAUUGGCACUGAGAUGAGAGGUCUCAUGUAAGACCAUGUUUGAGACAUGGCAUUGGCACCGAGACCAUGUCUGAGACAUGGCAUUGGCAUCGAGAUGAGAGGUCCCAUGUAAGACCAUGUCUGGGACAUGGCAUUGGCACUGAGAUGAGAGGUCCCCCGUAAGACCAUCUCUGGGACAUGGCAUGGGCACCGACAUGAGUACAUCCCAUGUAAGACCAUGUUUGGGAUAUGGCUUUGGCAUGUUAUUAUCAGAAGAGACCCGAGUAUCCUUAUUAUUCCAAUGUAGCUCAACGGGUUAGUAAACAACUCAUGUUCAUGAAAGUUCAGUUAUAAGCAUAAGUGGCAAGCUCAGGUAAGUUAUAAGAGUUAAGAACUUAUGAUAUUAUCAAUUAAUACUCAACGUUUCAGCAAGGGAAGAGUAAGUUAUAAUCACAAGGUAACUAAGUAGACAAGCAAGAGAAUGAGAAUGAGAUUAAUUAAAGAGUAAAUUAGAGAUCUUGACAUUUGAGUAUAAUCAUUUGUGUUAAAUGUUGUUAUUUAUUUGCUAGUAAACUUACUAAGCUUAAUGCUUACUUCUUUUAUUUUUCUUUCUCUUAUAGUAUUGCCAAGCUACUUCAAGGAUCCUAAAGAAGUCGGAGAUCGUCCACACUAUCAACCACAACUGCUCGGUAUUUUAUGAUGAAACACGUUUGAGUUAUGGCAUGUAUAGGGAUUUAGUUAUUUUGUAUGUUUGUAAUUAUGAUUUUGCUAUAGAAUGAUGCAUAAGUAUUUGAUGAUGAAUGGUUGUUUAAAUGGCCAAGGAGGAAGAUGUUUGUUGUUAUAAAAGUCUAGGUGAUAAAUUAUGCAUGGAAAUUAUGAAAGGGUAAAAUUUUGCAAAGAAACAGAAUUCAGGCAGCAACAGUGACGUGAAUUUGAAAAAUCACCUAGGAUGGUAUAAAAUGAAUUAGAGGGUGAAUGAUAUAUGGAGUUAAAGCUUGUUGAGUCUAUUUUCAAAUAAAAAUAACGGUUUAACAAAAUUAAUUUUAUAUUUUGAUAUAUGUGUAUUUUAGUGAGAAAGGGUCAGAUCUAUUUUUUUGACUCCCCUGUUAAGAGUUUAGAAAAUCAUUAAAAAUUGUAAAAAAAUGGUUAAGAGUUAUAGUUUAUAUGUAUAGAUUCCUUAUUGAGUCUAUUUUAUGUAGAAACAAGUAAGGACUUUAUAUGAAAAUCCUACAGUGAGAAAAAUUAUUUUUAGUGGCAAGAGGUCAGAACAGUCAGGUGGUGAAACAGGGGAGACUUUAACUAAUAAACUGUACUAAUUGGCUGAACCAAAAAUUCUAAAAAUUUUAUGGUAAGUAGAAAUGUGAGUCUAGUUUCAGGUAAAAUUUACAUAAUUAAAUUUUGAGUUUUUUAGCUCGAGUUAUACUUAAUUUAGUAACUGCUGCGCGAUUGGACAGAUUUGCUGUAAAUAGUGAAAUAAAUUUUCAAACCAAGUUUUUAUGCUCCGAAUUAGAAAGAUAAGCUAAGUAAUGCCUCGUGCUCGAUUCCGGCAACGGUCUUGGGUAACGGGUCUUACAAUGUCGCACUUGCAUCACCAGACACGGUGGUGCCGGUGGCUGCGACAGCGGCGUCUCAGUGGGCGAUGGCGAGUGGUUGUCGGUAGUUGAGCAGUGGAAGAGUUACACUCCUAUUGGGACUCUACCAGAGAAUUUAAUUUCAGAUUAACUAUUUUAAAAAUAAAAUUAUUUUAAUAGUUUAAUAUUUAAUUUAAUUUAAUACCUAUCUUAAUAGUAAUUUUUUUAAUUUAAUAUUAAAGUGAUUAAGUUUAAUCAUAGUUGAACUCUCUAAACUCUUCCUAUAUAAAGAGAGCCAUGGGUUAUUAUUUUCACAUACUUGAAUUUAAGGGAAAGUUGUAGAGAGAAAAUUCUCUGAAGAUAUUAUUCUAGAAAAUUUGUAGAGAGAAAUUUAUUUUUCGCUGCAUUUUCUAAACUCGUUUUUCCAACAUAACACUAAUAUAAGCAAUGUGCUUAUGAAAGAGCUUGGGUGGUAAACCUUUUGUGAGCGGAUCCUCUAUUAUAGAGUUUGUCUCAAUGCGUUCUAUGGAUAUUUGUCCACUUUGCACUCUCUCUUUCACAACUUAGAAAUUUAUGUCAAUUGACUUAGUUGAGCUCCUGUUGUUGUUGGAAUAUAGCACCCCUAACUUAUUGUCACAAAAUAAUUUGAGUGGUGUUUCUACAUUCUCCAAAAUGCACAGCUUAGUGACAAAGUUUUGCAACCAUAUUCCAUGGUUUGAUACCUCAUAACAUUCUACAAUUUGCUACCAUAAUGGAAGAAGCUACAAGUGUCUAUUUGACAUUUUUCCAAUAUAUAGCUCCUCCAGCUAACAGGUAAAUAUAGUCUGAUAUAGAUUUCUUGCUAUCUUAACACCCAACAAAAUUAGAACCAAAAUACCCUACGACCUCCAAAUGAUUUGAUCUCUUGUAAGUGAGCAUGUAAUCUUUUAUUCUCUAAAGAUACCUCAUAACCCUCUUGGUUGUUAUCCAAUGGUCCAUACCAAGGUUGCUUAAAUGUCUACCUAACAUCCUAACAAUGUACACAAUAUCUAGACGCGUACAUACUUGAGCAUACAUUAAACUCCCAACAACUAAUGCAUAGGGCAUCUUUUGCAUUUCCUUAAUUUCAAGGUUACUUUGUCUCUUUUAGCAACAUUGGUGUCAUUUGGUCUACAACCGUACAUGUCAAACCUUUUGAGUACUUUAUCAAUAUAGAUCUUUUGUGACAAUCCAAAAAUAGCACAAGAUCCGUCUCAAUGUAUUUGAAUUCUUAAAAUAAAAGAGGCGUCCCAGUAUCUUUCAUCUCAAAAUGCUUAGAUAAAAAACCUUUUGGUUCCAUGCAAUAAGCCUAUAUCAUUAGUGGCAAGCAAAAUGUCAUCGACAUAUAGAACCAGAAAUAUAUAAAUAUAUACUUACUCCCACUGAAUUUGUUAUACACAUAAUCAUCAACAAUAUUCAUUUCAAAACCAAACAAGACAAUUACUUGAUUAAACUUGUGGUACCCUUGACGGGAAGCUUGUUUGAGUCCAUAGAUGGAUUUUGUUAAUUUGCAAACCAUAUUCUUUGGGUCUCUCAACUCAAAGUUUUCUGGUUGCACCGUAUAAAUUGUUUCUUCAAUGUCGUCAUUGAGAAACGUAGUCUUAACAUAUAUCUGAUGUAAUUAUUUGUACUUCUGAAAUCUUCCCCCUACCACUAUUAAGCAUUCAUGUUUAAUUCUUACCUUUACUACCCUUCUUUCUUUCCCUUUUUAUACUUUUGAGAUACCUAUCACCCAUUCUGCAUUUAUCUGCCAACCUGAACUUAUCCACAAUACAUAAACUAUUUAUAACAUAAAGGACUAAGCCAGACAAAAGUAUCAUGCAUAUGGGGGCUAUUUCUCAAUUUUCAAUGUCUAUAGGACCAACUAAACUGUACUCUGAUACCACUAAAUUGAAACCCCUUACCUAACCAGUUCGCCGGGUCCAGUACUAGAUGUCACAAUUAAACCCAUCCAAUAUACACUACAAUAAACUUAACUAGCCAAGUUUUAUUUGAUAGAUAAAUAAAUUUUUUUUACUAUAUAAACACAUCAAAUAAAGAAACAUUUACAAAUACUUCAAUGUAAUUAUCUAUUAAAAAUAAUCCAAUAGUCACCAUAUGAGUUGUUGCUUAAUUGCUCACUAUAAAGAUUUACUUCAACUUUACUAUAUAACAAUUUAAUUAUACAUGACAUAUAUCAACUCAAGUUCUAUUAAUAUUUCAAACCCUCAAGCAGAACCUAUAAGGAUGCCCCCUAUAUGCACGACACCAUAACCUGCAUAUCCUCUUAGACUCCACAAGGUCCGACUUGGUCUCUUCCAUGCUUUCUAUGCAUUCCUUGGUCUUGCAUCCAAGGCAGGUGAUAACACUCUAGAAUAAUAUAUUUUUAUGUAUUAAUUAUGUAUUUAUUCUGAGUAUGAUCCUGCUAAUUUGAGCUAUUUAUGAUCUUUUAUCUCAUAGGGACUAAAUUUGAGGCAAAAGUGAAAUUAAGGGCCAAAAGCGUGAAUUUAGAGAUAAAAUUGGUCAAUGUGCGACACAAGGAAAAGUUGAUGCCAAAAGUGCAAGCAUGGAGGACACAAGGGUUGAAAUGCAAAAAGAAGAGAUUUUAUUCUAUUAAACUCUAUUAAUUAUAUUAGGAUAAUUAAUGUUGAGAUAAUUAUUAAAGAUUAUUUUUAGGAUUUUAUUUUAUCUUUAUUUAUCUUCAAUUAAAUGUAUUUUUCUUUUAGGAAUUUAAGUAGGAUUAGAAUAUCUCCCCUAGCACUAUAAAUAGGGGGUAAAGUGACUCAAAAGGGGAUUCAUCUUUUCUUCUUCUGUAAACACUCUGUCCCCAAAAGUCUAGGCUUUUGUUCUUUUCAUAUUUCCUUUCAAUAAAAUCUUUAUUUUUAUUUUAUUUAUUUUCUUUUCUACCACAACCAUGAGCCACUAAACCCAUCUAGCUGAAGGUUGUCAAAAAUCCCCAAAAGGGUUCAUGAGGCUUAGAAUCCGUACUUAGCCUCCUCGCUGAGUAUUCAUCGUUUCUCCGCACUACGGGGCUGACGCUUCCGUCCAAGUCCCUUAAGAAGUAAGUUUUUCAACGUACGCAAAGGCGGCCGCUUUGUAUGUUUUGGGAAGGUUGCACAGUCGGUUCGUUAGCUUACUGCGUCAGAGGUUGGCGAGCCCAAGAGACAAAAUGGCGUGGGAUUCGCCAUUGAGAAGCGUUGAUUUAGCAUAAGACGAUCCCAUAGAAGCGAUUGUUGGCUAGAGUCAGGUUCCACUAAAUUGUAAGUCUAAAUCCUUGGAGCUGGUGGUCGUAGGCGUCCUCUUCCACUAUAAUUGGCUUAUUAGGUUUGGGAAGGAUCAUUUAAAAGCCGAGGAUUGAACCCAAGGCGGAACGAGACAACUGGAGGCUGGAAUCUCCCAUAAGAAUUUUCUUUCUCUUAACUCUAUUUUUAAUUUCUCAAAUUUUCAAUUCAAUAUUCUUAAUUCUGUUUUUAUUUUAUUUUUCGUUUCUAAAUCCCAUAAUUUAAUUCUUCUAUUAUUUUUCUUUUUUUUAGGAACGCAGGUUGUCUUGGGCAAGACUCUGCUUGGGAUUUCACGGAACAAGAUAUUUUGCGAGUCCAGUCCCUGAGGAUUUGACCCUACUUCCAUUUUACUAUUAUUUUUCAUUAUUUAUUAGGGAUAGGAUAUUUUUGGUGCUUUCAACGACCGCAUCAGCAGGCCACUUAUAAGUUCAUGCGAACUUAGUGAGGUUCCAUAUGUUCAUCACUACAUAAAAGAAUCAAUAAAAAGAAUUCAUGUAUAUAAUUAAAACUCUCUAUUUUUCAUUUAGACUUUAGCAUCUGCUGUUGUGUUUGAUGUUUAUAUGUUUUCCCUUUACAACUUCUAACAGACACUUUACAACAAUACAACUUCUUAAUAGAUACUCCUUAGCGACUCAUACCAUAGUCUCAAGCUUCAUCUCAGAUUUUCCAUUCUUCUUGCUUGAUAUUCUAUUGGACAUUUCAUCUUUUGGAUGGAUGUUUAUAUAUUUACCCACCUAGAUAACUUGACGAAUUAUUAUAUAUUACAUUGAGAGUGCAAAUUUUUUUCAUCAUCUUUACCUUCAUGAAGAUCUUGAUGUAGGUAUACGAUCUUGUUAUCUUUUCACUUGUUUAUUGCCCCUUUGGAAAAUUUAGUGCAGUUGAAAAAUCCCAUGAAUGCUUGACCUUAUCAGUAGGCAGUUUAAGCCUAAAAUCUGGUAGACCAUCGAUAAUAAACCCCUUUUAUAGAUAGUCAUAUGAGAUAGUCCUUAUGGCAUUACAAUUCCGAGAUAAUCCUAGCAAACUUCAUUUUACUUCAAUAAUACACGACAGAGUUUUAGAACAGAUAGUCCUUAUGGACAUCCCACAAGAUAAUCCAUGGUGGACUUCUUUUUACUUUGAUAAUACACGACAGACUUCUAGAACAAAUAGUCCCUAUAACCGUCCCACAAGAUAGUCCAUGGCAGACUUUCCAGAUAUGAUAAUCUUGACAAAUAUUCCAAACUACUAGAUAGUCCAUCUGGACCUUUCCACCUAAACUAGGUUCUGAUAGAACUUUAAUUCAUUUAGUAGUUCUCGUGAACAGUCCUGUCUUUUGGCAAAUCUUUGACUAACUUUACCAAAUAAGAUAGUCCCCAACUAACCUUCCAUUUAAGAUAGUCCUUUUUGGUGAACCCUGAAUGGUGGAUACCUAGUUACAAAUACUCUAUAAAGAAAAACCCUCCUCCAUACAUAUCCACGUAUGCAACACUUUCAUAUAUCUUUCUUACCUUCAUAACUUGGCGAAGCCUUAUCUCAGCAAUUUCACCAAUGCUUCUAUAUUUGACAUAAUUAUCCUAACUAAUUUCCUUGUUCGUUGUCCUGAUGGACUUUAUAAUCACGCGAAUCAUUUCAUAGUUCUCCUGUAUAUGUCAUGUUUUCUAUCCUAGCGGACUUUAUAUGUUGUCACAGCCCAGCUAUGGUUUUACACUAUAUGAUGCCAUAAUUUAGCAAUGGUCUUACACUAUUACAGGCUUAAAGCCUCCGAUCGAUGCCAUGGCCUUACACAUCAUUAUUGUUGUCACCCAUCCAUUCCCCCUCAAAUCCUCCUUGUUAAUUCGAACACCUAAAUAUUCACUUACAAGGCCAGGAAAUCACCUAUUUCAGUUGCAACACAUGCCAAAACGAAUUACGAAAAAACUAACAAAAAUUCUAUUUCCUAAUCCAUUCGUUCAUUCCUCCACAAUGACAAUUCCUACUCCAACUAACCCGGCAAUCAAUUUGCUCCGUACUCCAUAAUUCAUGAACACACAUAACACACAACAAUACAUUCAAAAUAUAAUAUGGAAUACACCACACCCAUUUCACAGAUACAACACAUAACAUAUUCUUAGAAAACAUAUUUUCAUCCUUCAUGUAGUCAAAAAACUAACACAUACAUAACACAUCCAAUCAACAGAAAUCCUAUAUCAUCACUGAACUCAACAUAGAAUCACAUCAGUCAUACAACAUCCAGACCAACACCCAAAUAUGGAGUAUGGAAACCCACCUGAUGUCUCUCUACUUUGCCAACUUAGCUUUUGCAAAUGCCAAAACCUCCUUUCUCUUGGUAGCUACGUAUGACAACCAAAAACACAAAUUAAAUCGAAGCAUUUAUGCUUCCAAAACCCAGAAACCAAAAUUCUCAGAAUUCUUUCAAAAGUUAUAGAAAUCUAUAUAUUCUCUUUUUCUCAAAUCCACAAGCACAGGAAGACUAAGAGGCUUACCAGUACACUAGAUUAUCUAUUUUUCUGACUCAAAUCCCAUGACUAUCACUGCAUGCAGAGUUUUCUUUAGCUUUCUCUUCUUCAGUGUAACCGAAGAAGUUGAAGAAAAAAAAAAUAGAACGGAAGAACAAGAAGCAGAAUAGAGAAAAUCCUCCUCUACAGAACAACCCUUCUCACUAUAUAUAUAACCACUACAUGCUCGAUCACCAACUCCCAUAGACACCAUACAUUGGCAAUCUUUUGUCUCCCACUAAGUAACAAAUCGGUUUUGUUGCAACCAAACUAGAACUAGAACCAACUGCUUGCUAACCAACCACUGGAAUUUCCAAAUUCUCACAAUUGAGUCUGCUGAACUAGUAGUUUCUUACAGUUAACUCUCACAUUGUCCCAAUUCAGACCUUAAUAAAGACCGGGUGUGACAUGUUGGGGAGAGCUUAGUCACAAUACUGUAGUGGAAUGACUUCAUGACUAAAUAAGUUUAUAAUUAAUAGGCGAAAAGUUGGAACUUAAUUAUAAAUCACUUAAUCCUCAAUCGCAUAUGUCCAAUUGCUCCAUAUUUUAGCUCGUUGAAACUAGAAAUGAAUUGUAUGUUAAAUCAAAUUAAAAAGAGGAAUAAAAAUGGUGAAAAUGGAGAAAUGAGAAAUCAUUUGAAAAUGAAAAUAGAGAAAUUGAAACAUUUGGAAAUGAUUAUGGUUUUCUCCAAAAUGAAAAUGAAAAUGAAAAUGGAGAAAUAAAAUCAUUUAGAAAUUAAUGUGGUUUUCUCCAAAAUGAAAAUGAAAAAUUAAAAUGACCUGAAAAAUGAAUUUAUGUUUUUUGAAUUAAAUGAAGUUUGAAAAUAAAAAAUAAAUCAUUUGGUCAUAGUGAAUUGUUGAAUAUAAAAAAUUAAAUACAUUUUCUCAUAGAUUCUUUUACGGUAAAAUCGUCAUGAUUUUAAUAGAAUUAGAAUUAGGUUGAGAAGAUUAUUUAAUUGGAAAUAUAUUGAGAAGUUUAUUUUGGAAAAUAAAAAAAUAUCGGGUUGGAUCAAAUUAUAAAGUAUUGGGUUAAAAGUCCGGAAAGUACUUAUAAUUGGAUCCGAUAUGGGAGUGGCUUAAAAGCCCCUCAUGUUAAAGGGGUGGACACUAACUAGGGCUGUCGCCUCUUAUACUUCUAGUUAUACUAGGAGUUCAUUUUUCUAGUUGAAAUAAACUUUUACAAUUCAACAAGGGUUCUACCUUCUCUUUUUAUAAAGAGAUGACACUGGCAGGACUAUUGACACAACUUAAAAGUAUUAUUACUCUAUUCGAAAAUAGAGAGAAUUUAUUCUAAACUAUUAAAUCUAUUUUCUGGAUUAACAAUUAUGUCGGUCUCUAUUUGAGAAGAGAUUUUUUUUUGUUUUUACACUAAAAAAAAAAGAAAAUUGUUUUUAGUUUUGUGUUUGAUUCAAUUUGUCCAAGCCCACAUUCGAAGCAGUUCGUGGUACGAAAAUAGCAGAGAAUAUCGUUUGGUUGAAAGUCGAGAACGAAAAGAAUUCGUCUAUUCAAAAACACAAGUGCGAAUUCGGUCUAGGGUUUAUUGUUAUAAAUAUCACAAACCUGGUCGAUUUUCAAAAUUUUUAUUUUUCGCUGUGUGAAAAUCGUUUUUGAACCGGAUAUUUUCCAACACAGACUAUGAUGGGAAAUGAUGGGUUGAACGCUGCCACCUUUCAUCUGAUCAUCGAAGCAGUUCGUGGUACUAAAAUAGCGAAGAAUAUCGUUUGGUUGAAAAUCGGGAACGAAAAGAAUUCGUCUAUCUGAAAACACAAGUGCGAAUUCGGUCUAGGGUUUAUUGUUAUAAAUAUCACAAACCUGGUCGGUUUUCAAAAUUUUUAUUUUUCGUCGUGCAAGAAAACCGUUUUUGAAUCAGAUAUUUUCCAACACAGACUAUGAUGGGAAACGAUGGGUUGAACCAACCUUUCAUCUAAUCAUGAUCGUGUUGAAGAAGAAGAAGAUGGAGGAGGCAUGUCAAGUGGCAGAUUUCAUGAGAGUCGCCGGAGUUUUGCCCAAUGUGAUGGCAUAUAAUUUUUUUACUGACGGCGUGCUGUUAUGAGUGUAAGUUGAUGGAGGCGAGCACGGUGGAGAAAUAAAAGUUUGGGGGUUGGGUUUUUGUUUUAAAUUUACACAAAUUUUUAAAAAUUAAAUAUUUUCAUUCUGUAAAUGUUGAGGGUUAAAUUUUUUGAUUUUUUUAGAAUUUGAACUACAAUGACAAAUUUUGUAAACAUUGAGGGUUAAAUUUGUUGAAUUUUUAUUUUUAGGCUCAAAUUAAUAGAAUGUGUAAGCAUUAUAGGGCUAAAUUUGUUAUUAGACCAAUAAAAAAACCCACUUUAGCACUUCUGUCAAAUUUCAAACGAAUGCUAACGUUUAGUGACCAAAAAAAUUGAUUUCAAAUAGUUUAGUGACUAAAUAGAAAAAAUUAAAAGCUUAAAUAGUUUAGUGACUAAAUCGAAAAAAUUAAAAGCUUAGUAACCAAAAUAGAACACGACCAAUAGUUUAGUGACCAUUUCUAUACUUUACCUAUUUAAUUAAUCGUAAGGAUUUUCUUUGCUUUUAGCUUAGCAUGGAAGAUUCUAAGAUCAUAUAAUAAAAAAAUUGUGUUUCAUAGAUAAUUAAUAAAGAUGAGUUAUUUGAGUUGAUUAUAUUUUGGAAAUAUAAAAUAAAAUUUAAAAUUUUAGAAGAAAAUUAAAUAAAUUAUUUUUAAUAUUAUAGUAACAAAUUGGUUAACACUAUCAAGUGAUGAAUUUUUUUCAAUAAUUUAUUAAAUUGAUUUUGAUGUCUUGAAAUUUAAAAUUUCAAUAAAAAAGUUAGAACUUUCGACAAUAGGGUAAACAUGUGCAAUUUGAAAGCGGCCUAGAAGUUGGGUGAUCAAAAUGAAAGUGUAAACAUAAUGUGACAUGUACAAUUAAUCGUUGUUAGAAAUUUAACACUUAGAUGACUAAAAUGAAAGCAAUUUAAAAGUGGGGUGAUAAAAUUACAAAAAGUUUAUUUUUGAUGACCAAAAUUAAAACACCCUAAAAGUUGGGUGACUAACUAGAUAGCUUACCAACUCAAGGCAUUAUUCUUAUUAAAUUUUCUACAUCUCUCCAUACUAUUAUUUAAGUUCAUGACUGAGUUGGUGACGCGGUUGGUGUCACCCUCAACCGGGUCACCAACUCGGUUAGAGAAAUUACGGACAUGCUUUUUUGUAAUUAAAAUAAAUUAUACUACUUGGGGUAUUUUAAUAUUUUUAAUUUUAAAAAAACAAUAAAAAUAAGCAUAUUAAGGGGUUUGAACCCAAACCAAUUGUAUUAGUAAAACUUUAAUUUAUCAUGCAACUAGAGCAUUAUGUUAAUAUUUUUAUACAUUUUAAUUUUAUUAUGCACUAUUCAUUACUUCCAUCAUUUGUAUAUAUUAAUAAUGUAUUUAAUUGAGUUGGUGUUACAAGUUAACUCGACACUGACUCAAGAUUAAAGACAACACAAUGAUAAAUAAUUUAAUUUAAUUUUUUUAAUUUUAAUACUGUACAUAUUUCAAUAUGUGUUAUUAUUACUUAGUUAAAAAUCAUGCAUUAUAUUAUUUAUUACACAUUAUUUUUAAACAUACAUUUAUAGUUUCCACGCAUAACUGCGUAUGAUAAACUUUAUAAGAAAACAUAAUGUUUCUCCAUUUAAACAAAUUCACCAAGUUAUUACUUAAAAAAUGAUGAUAUUAUUAUCAUAUUUUUUUAAUAACUAAUACCAAGUUAGGUUUAAGUAAAAGAAACUCUUUUAAAAUUCAAGUAUUACUCUUUAAACACCUCUGAUCUUAGUGGCCUUUUUUCCUUUCUUUGCCUUGCCUUGGUAUAUAUAUAUAUAUUUUUUUUACAAAAGAGAGAUUAACUCUAAUUAAUAAAAAACGAAAUUACAUUACAUCAGGUAGAUCAUCAUGUAAAGACUGAAGGAUUUCAUCCGGGGGUUGCAUGAAUGUAACCUUGCCAAAAGGUGUUGAGAAAGCCAUUUGUGCCAAACCGUCCACUACCUUGUUGCCUUCUCUGAAAGCAUGUAUUAAGUGAAUUGUCGAAUUACGUUGGAGAAGCUCUUUGAUGUUACGGAUCACAAAAGAAUCAUAUUGCUCUUUUCCAUAUUCUUGAAUUUCUUGAAUUGCUUCUUUACUGUCUGUCUCAAGCACCAUUUUCUUCAACCCGAGACUCCACGCUAUUUGGAGCUCAUCAAGUAUACCUCAGAGCUCAGCCAUGAGUACCGAGCAACUCCCGAGAUUUCUUGUGAAGCUUGCAACCCAUACUCCAACCUGGUUACGGAUUAAUCCACCCACAGUAGCAGUCCCUGAAAGUUGACACAUAACACCAUAAGUAUUCACCUUCUUCCAUCUAGUGGUUUACGUCUUAUGGCUUUACAAGAAUCAGCAUUUAUACGCCUCAAUGUCUGGUUCAACCCAUGGUUUGCAUUAAGAAAAAUGUCUUUCAUCCAACAACUUUUUCCCAAAAACACUAUCGGUUUCCAUAAACUCAGCAUGAAAUACAUAAUUAUUUCUCCUAAUCCAAAGUUGCCAACAGAUACUACCAAACAGUGUUACCCAACCGCUAGGAAUACAGGCAAAAUAUUCACGAUCAGAUAGAUUUUUAACAAACCAUUCUUCCAAGCUGAGACUCAUGUCUCGUUUCCACCUUAGUAACAGAAAGCCAAGUUUCCACAGCUGGGGUACAAAAUCGCAGUACAUGGUCAGUAUUUUCCAACGCGCUUCCACAAACCAUAUAACUUGCAUCAGUAAUCAUUUUUCUUCUCACUCUGUUCUCAUUGGUUAGAAUUCUAUCUAAAAAAUGAAAACACACGCCUUUUGAGGAACUCGAAUGUGCCAAAUCCGAUGCCAAAUCCCAUCGUAUCUGCUCCUUUCCACCCCCACAAUUAGUAGCGUAGACAGAUCACACUGAAAACAAAUUCUUUUUAUCGUGAACCCAACUUGUAGAGUCAUCAACGUCGUGAUCUGAUGGAGGCUUAUAAGUUGAGAUGUUUAGGAUGACUGGACGUGGCAGAACCGAGUUAAGAAUAGACCAAUUCCAAUCCCCACUCGGCGUAACAAGCUCCUUCAUAGAGACAUGCUUCUUAGGAAUGCCUUCGGGUUGUGUACAACUGUUUACUAGGGAACCUUGUAUAACUUUAAUUAACUUUUAGAUAAAUACAAUUCUUUUAACAUCUACAGUAAAAAUUAAAUUUCCAGCUAAUAUCAUAUAGUUUGGUAAAUACAUCCAACAAAUAAAAAAUUAAUAUGGUGGAUGCGAAUAAUAUUAUAGUAAGAGGAUUUGGAGAGAGAUUUAAAAUUAUAUAAAGAAAAUUAAGACUAAACUUAGAUGAAGCUGAAUAUACCCUAAACGCUAAGCAAAUUAUAUAAAAACCAAGCCAUACAUUGUGUAAGUGAACAUGUCCGUGAUGCUCUUGAUCUCUGGGUUGUCCAUGAAGUGCAGCUGGCCACCUUUCGUCACUUUCAAUAAAUUUUAUUUGGAUCGACCCACUCUAUGUGAAGCAAUAUAGGAUAAUCUUCGAUUAAGGAUAUGAUGGAUCCAUAAUUUUACUUUGUUUAACAAAUAUUCUUAUUCUUGUUUCUUCCUCAUUUAUUUAUCCUAUAAUAUCACCCAUUCCAUGCACGGAUUUAAAAUUGUUGUUCCUCUUCCAUUUUCUUUCUUCUUUAAACAACCAAUGCAACUCUUACAAAUUACAUCCAUCAACAAAUAACAUAUUAUUCUAUUAGCAAUGUAUUUUGAAUUAUGAAUAAAUUAAUAAUUUUAACAACUUUAUUCUAUUAACAUAAAUGAUGCUUUUAACUAGAUUACAAAUAUUUAAUAUAUAUUAAAAAUAUUUGUCGAGAAAUUCUUUGAUUUGAAACUUUAAAGAGUACAAAUAUAUGCUAGUGUGAGUAAAGGCAUGGAGAAAGUCAAAAAUUAGUAUCAUUGAUGGGAAUGAAGGAUUUCCAUUAGAAAAGUAAAUGGAGAUACCAAACUUGGAUGGACUUGAAGUCCUCCAAAGACAAAUAUGGGGAUAAACUAGCAUAUGAUAGCACUAUAAAUAUACAUUUCAGAUGCAUCCAUUCUCCAUUUCAGUUUUCAUAGCUACCAACAUGAAGCUUGUAGCAGCCAUGGACGCCUUUGAUUCUUUCAUGCCAUACUUACUCCACUUGGUGCUUCUAUACGUCUCUGCCGGUCUCUUUUACUUUCUUUACAAAUACAAAUCUAGCGGCGGCGGCGGCCCCACCCCCAACCUCCCUCCUGGUAAAAAGGGUCUUCCAUACAUCGGUGAAACCUUGGAUUUUGUAUUGGCGUCCAGAAGGGGAACUCCAGAGAAAUUCGUGACUGAUAGAACUACCAAAUAUUCACCUGAUGUGUUUCGCACAUCACUGCUUGGAGAAGACAUGGCCGUCUUCUGUGGCUCCGCUGGUAAAAGUUCCUUUUCUCCGGCCAAAACAAAUAUGUCACUUCAUGGUGGCCGGAUUCUAUUAAGAAAGCUUUGACGGACCCAUCUAGUGUUGACUGUUGACAAUUCUUCCAAAGAAGAAUCCACUAAACUUCGAGCUUAUCUGCCUCCUUUUCUCAAGCCUGAGUCCCUGCAACAUUUCAUACCAGUCAUGGAUAUAAUGGCCAAAGAGCACCUAAAUCAACAUUGGUCGCCGUAUAAUGAAGUCCAAGUUUUCCCACUCUCCAAGAAGUACACGUUCGCACUGGCUUGUCGUCUUUUCAUGAGCGUCACGGAUUACGACGAGAUAGAGAACUUCGCGAAGCCAUUUGCUCUUGCCACUGCGGGUCUCAUGUCGGUUCCCAUAGAUCUUCCAGGUACAACUUUCAAUCGGGCAGUGAAGGCCGGCAGACUGAUUCGACAACGGCUUUUAGCCCUCAUUACCCAGAAGAAAAAUGAGAUAUUGGAGAAAGGGAAAACAGUAGCCUCAGACUUGGUUGACAGCAUGCUGAUGGAUGGUAUGACUGAGGUUGAGAUCGGCAAUAAGAUUGUGGGCUUCUUUAUUGCCAGCCAUGACACAACAAGCACUGCCAUCACCUUCAUUGUUAGCUAUCUUUCGGAUUAUCCUGAAGUAUAUAACAGGGUCCUUGAAGGUACGUGAUUUAGCUUGAUUUUAAGCACCCAUGACAUUGGAAUGGGACUAUUCAUGAAUAAAGUAAUGUUUUCAACUAAUUGCUGGGAAUAUGCAGAACAAAUGGAAGUAUUAAGAUGCAAGGAGGCAGGGGAGCCGUUGAGAUGGGAAGAUAUACAGAAGAUGAAGUAUACUUGGUGCGUGGCAUGCGAAGAAAUGAGGUUGGCUCCGCCUGCUAAUGGAUCUUUCAGAGAGGCCAUAACCGACUUCACUUACGCAGGUUAUACAAUCCCAAAGGGAUGGAAGGUAACUAAUACCUAUUUUUUUUAAAAAUAAAAUAAUGCAACCAUAUAUAAUAAAUAUUGAUUUAAUUGUACUAAAAUGGUCAGGCGUUUUGGAUGGUGCAUACAACGCACAAGAAUCCGAAAUACUUUACGGAUCCAGAGAGAUUUGAUCCAUCAAGGUUUGAAGGGAAUGGUCCUGCACCCUACUCCUUUGUACCAUUUGGGGGAGGUCCUCGAAUGUGCCCUGGCAAGGAGUAUGCUCGACUCGAAAUCCUCACUUUCAUCCGCAAUCUGCUUACCACUUUCAAAUGGGUUAAACUCAAUCCCAAUGAGAAGAUUUCCUACAUUCCAUCACCCAUUCCUAAGGAGGGUCUUCCCGUCAAAAUGCAACCCCUUCUAAAUUAAUUGUUCCUAUUUAAUAACUUUUCCACAAGUGAGUUAAAUGUCUCACUCUUAUUUUUAAUUAUCGAUAGGGUUUCAAAACUCUAUAAAUGCUUGAUGUAAUAAUAUCUUUUAGGGUAAACUACACCCAUGGUCACUUUUGUUUACCUUAGGUUACAUUUCAGUCACUUAUGUUUGAAAUGUUACGUUUUAGUCACUUACGUUAUUGUGUUGUAACAUUUUAGUCACUGAGCCGUUAAUUGUCGUUAAUGGUGUAAUGGUAAGCUGACGUGGCACGUUAAAUUAUCAUUUCAAACAAAAACUUUAGGUUAAAUUAUACAAUUGGUCCCCAUAAUUUUUCGUUUUGAGCAAUUUAAUUCUUUUAUGUUCUUUUAACUUUCUUUCUUUCUUUUCUUUAUUUUCCAUUCUCUUUUGCUUCUUCCUCUGUUUUCCUACCUUCUUUUUUUUCUUUUAACAUACCAGGAAGUCGAAUUGGUAGUGAAGAAAGAAGCAUGGUAUGGGUUUAUGGAUUUUGGUUAUAGGCAAAUGAUGACAGUCGACUUCCUACUUAUUUUUUCACUGCCAAUUCGACUUCCUAAUAUGUUAAAAGAAAUGGGAAAGAUAUGAAAACAGAGGGAGAAACAAAAGAGAAUGGAAAAAAAGAAGAAAGUUUAAAAAACAUAAAAGAAAAAAAUUAAAUUACUUAAAACGAAAAAAAUAUGGGGAUCAAUUGUAUAAUUUAAACUAAAAUUUUGUUUGGAAUGAUGAUUUAACGUGCCACGUCAGCUUACCGUUACACCAUUAACGACGAUUAAUGGCUCAAUGACUAAAAUGUUACAACAUGAUAACAUAAAUGACUAAAACAUAACAUUUCAAACAUAAGUGACUAAAACGUAACCUAAGGUAAACAAAAGUGACUAUGGGUGUAAUUUAUCCUAUCUUUUAAAUAAAUUAUACAAUCAGAAAUAAAUGGCCAGUGCCUCGUUUGGGAAAACUAUGGGUUACUAAUUUGUCUCUAGUCAGCUUUCAUCCCUUUGGAAACCCACAGGUAAAAUCCAAUUUACAGGCUUAGGUCUUAACUACUUUAUUGUUUCCUUGCAUUAUAACUCUGAUUAGGAUUAUGUUAUGUUAUACAAAAUGGACCAUAGUUUAUUGGGGUCAUUUUCUUAUUGUGUGCAAAUGGGAGUCGAACCUUAGGGCAUCUACUGCUACAAUUUCCUAUGUUGCAGUUUGGUUAAAAUUAGGAGUGAGCAAAAUUUGAUUUGAUUCGAAAAGCUCGAUAAAAAAUUCAAAAUUUAAAUUAAAUAGUUUGAGUUAUUUGAAUUAAUCGAGUUAUUCGGAUCAACAUGAAUAAGAAAUCAAAUUUUUCGGCUUAACUCGAAUAGGAAUUACAUAAUUCGAGUUAUCUGAAAAUCUGAAUAAGAAAAGGAAAAACUACGUCGUUUUGAUAAAUGUUUACCUUUUCUAAAGUUAAAAGUCAAAACCAUUAAGUCAAAAGGCAAAACUACGUCAUUUUGAUAAAUGUUUACCUAUUAAGUUAAAAGCAAAACCAUUAUAUUUUUUAUAUAGUUAAAUAAUAUUGUACGUUGUCUACUAGUUAAAUAAUUGGUCCAUGUAAAUGCAACAUUGAGUAUAAUUAAUAGGAUUCGUUAACUUGAUUUGACUUGGCCCGAAAAUUUUUGACUCGAUUUGAUUUGAUUCGAAACGAUUUCAAAUUGAGUUCAAUUGCUAAAAUAGAAUUCGUCAACUCGACUAACUAGAAAUUUUUUGACUCGAUUGACUCAACUCGAUCGAAUGUUCACCCCUAGUUAAGAUCACCAGAAUUACCAGUUCAAUACUUUGAUGUGGAUAUUUUAAGAAAAUUGGUAGAGGUAUUGGAUCUCCCCUAAGAGUUGAUAGUCACACACUUGCUAAAGAAAAGGAUAGAUAUGGUCAUUUAUACGUUCAACUAAAUCUCCGUAAACUUCUUCCUCGUUUUGUUACUAGCGAAGGAUAUAAACAAGCUAUUUUUAUGAAGGUUUGAAUUCUCUCUUGUUGGAAGAUCAACCACUCUAUCGAAAAAUUUCAUGCUUCUACUUCUCCAUUUGUUAAUGCUAUUAACCAUUUAGAUCCAUCGCACUUGGAUGUUCAUACCACUAGUCCCUCUACUUUUGAUGGCUACGGUCCGUGGCUCAUUAUUCAAAGGAAAAACAAGCCAAAGCCGAAAGUAAUUGAUCUCAAGCCUACAACUAUUGAUCAAUUGUGAAGAAAAAUAUCUUGAAUAAAAAAGUGAAGGGCAAGGGAAAAAUUAUCUCAAACUCACCCAACUAUAAAUAUCCUUAAUCCCACUUUGCUUCCCCCAACAAAGCAAAAAGCUAUUAGCUUCCCCUAUGACACCAACAUCAAUUUUGAAUGGUCUAGUGGGAUACUACUGGCGAUUUGUUAAAGGAUUCUCGAUGAUAGCUCUCCCAUUGACUAAGUUACUACAGAAGAAUAUCAAUUUUGAAUGGUCCAAGAAAUGUCAGAAAUGUUUUGAGAAGUUGAAGACAAUGUUAACUAAGGCACCAAUACUAACACUGUAACAUCUCAUACCUGACCCGAUCAUUAGAUCCAAACUAUAGAAUGUCACAUUCGUUGUCGGAGUAAUUAUGAUUAAUCACAUGAAAAUUUCAACUUUAAAUGCCCAAAUGCUAAAAUUUCAACUUUAAACACGAAAACUAACCAUUUUUGGGUCAAAUAUGAGCUUAAGAAAGCUCAAUACCAUCCAUAGGUUGAACUAGGACCAAACUAAAAAGCUUUUAAAAUAUUUCAAGUGGGUGUUGCGACUUCCAAAGCUUGGUGUCACGUCAUUGAAGACAAUAGCCAAGCUUCCCAAUUUGAGGACCAAAUUACAAUUUUUUUAAAAUAAAACAGAGUCGACAUCGCGACCUCAAGCAGGAGCUGCUACGAUGAGAUGGCCUGAGGUUGCGGCAUUCAGGAUGUGAAGUUGCAACAUUGCAAGCAGACCACUAGGUUCCUGUUUCAAAUGUUUUCUACCUAGCAUGUUUAACAUCAUUUUGCAUCAAAGCCCUAAUUUCAUACUAUUAAAACAUGUACAAAAUAUGGUUAUCAAUCUAUUAACAUCACCUUCAUGCUUGACUAUAACCAAAAUCACAAAUCACAACCUUUAUACAAGUAUUUUGGACCAUUUCUAACAUUUGAUAAUAAUAAUAAAAACCCUAGGUACAUGUCAGUAGUAACAUAAUGAAAAAGGGCUAUAAAAACUUAGGUUGAGUUGAUUAGUGUCGCGUGGAUGCGGACUUCACUUUCCUGGGGAUUUGAGAAUACUUGAACUUGCAUACAGAAUAAAUAAAUCGUAUGCUGAGCAAUGGGGCUCAGUGGUACUUUCAUGAUUCAAGAUAACAAAAACAUUCAUAAAUUUUUAUAUAUAACACAUUUACAUAAUGUAUUCAAGUCUCAUCUAUCAAACCAAAUAAUUCACAUAUUUGAUACAAAUAAGAACAUAGAUAUGCCAAGUAACCAAUCCAUUCAUCAAUAUAUGCAUGACAAAUGAACUAUGCAUACCAUUUGACAAAUCACUUAUAUCUUUCUAGCUAUCCUUAUCAACUAUGUGGUCACAUAUAUCUAUAUGCAAUUUACAUUAUGGCAUUCAUGUUUCAUAGUACUAUUAUUUUCUUACCAUUCAAACUCAUUUAUGGAUUCUAUCAACUCAUUCGUACUCGUUUUGGCCCCCAAGGCUCGUUCUCAAAUAAUUUGCUCAAUAGCUUACAUGAUCUUUCUAUCACAUUCCACAUAGGAAUACAAGUGAAACGAUUUCAUCAUACAAUAUUACUUAUCAAGUUUGUCAUUUAUAAAUCUAUUAACAUGACUUAGACUCGGAAAUAUACACGGAUCGUCCAUCCAACACACCAAACUGGCACCAAAGUACAUCGGAUAAGCCAAAGUAAGGUAAACUGGCAUGUAAGGUGCAUAUUGGCACAUAAAGUGCAUCUUGGCGCACAAAUCGCAUACUGGCACAUGAAGUGCAUCCUAGAAAACAAAGUGUAUAUCUGGCAUACGAGGUGCAUCCUAGAGCAUAAGCGUAUAAUCUCAUACACAAACCAAUCCCAUGACAUGCCAAUUAUAUCCAACACAGCCCGAACAACUAAUAGGGUACCAACAUUUAAUCUAUUUUUAUGAUUUAAAUCAUAUAACAUUCCUUAAUCGUAAUCAUAAUCCAAAUCAUUAUCAUUAUCAAACCCAUACAUUUCAUAUUAUAUAACAUAUUCUAUUUCAAUUUCCAUAUCAAAUAAUAUAAUUCAUGUUUUUCAUUUCAUUUUCCAUUUUAUUCAUUUUAGUCCUCUAUCCUGAUAAUCCCUACCAAACUUGAUCAAAACAUGACAUACUAUCAACAUAUACUCACCUCAAUUAUUCACCAAUCAAUAAACAUGCAUACGCAAGCAAAUAUUUUUAUCUCAAAUCAUAAAAGUACAAAUCGUGGUCUCGUGUCACUCAUCGACUACUCUCGCUUUCCCUUUCUCUCUCAAAGUUUCUACGUCAACGUUAGCUAUGAAUAGUCAUGAAACAUAACACACUAUCAAUUUCCCACCAAUCCAUAACAAAAUAUCAAUGUAUGCAUAUUUUUUAAUUUAUUCAAUUUAGUCCCUACAACUGGAACAAGCAUAACUUUCAAUCUAAAGUUUCGGAUUAAAAUUCGAUUUCACAUACAUUCAUUAGGAACCCUCUACUUUCUAUUCCUACUAAAAUUUCAUAAUAAUUUUUCAUUUUAUUCAAUUUAUUCCUUAAUGUGCGAAACUAAUAAUUAAACUUUACAAUUUAUUAUUCAAUUUAUUCCUUAAUGUGCGAAACUAAUAAUUAAACUUUACAAUUUACUCAUUUUCUUAAUCUAAGCUUAAUUUUUUAACAAUUCCACACCUAAUUUAUUCAAUUCUCAAUAAUGGCAACUUAUCAAAAUUUAACCAAUUGGUCAAAGUGAUCCAUGGGUUAGCUUGGUCAAGCUUCCAUGACAAAAAAAAUCUAUAAAAACCAAAGAAAAAUUACUAAGGACUUACUUGUAAUAUUGAUCGAAUAUCAAACUAGGUUUUAAGCUUUCUUCCUUCUUCAAAAAUGGUGGAUGGUGGUUCUUGAAAAGAAGAUGAUAACUUAAUCAUCUUUUUCCCACUUAUUUAACUUAUAUAGCAUGAUUAAUUUUAGUUAAACUUAAUUAAUUUGCUUAAUCAUGAUUAAUUAAACCUUAAUCCUUAAUUAACUUAAGUUAAUGAAAUUUAACAUCACAUCCCACUAUGAUCCAUAUAAAAUAGGUCUGUUGGCCAUUUUAUUCUCUUGGAUAAUUACUAUUUAAGUCCUCAAGCCUUAUCCUAAUAAAAAUCUAUAGUGAUUAAAAUUUUACAAUUUAGUCACUAGGUCUUAAUUAACCCCAUUUUUUUUUGCUAAAUUACCUAAACAAAUUUCAAUUCAUCAAUAUACUAACUUCAUAAAUAUCACUAUUUAAUAUUUACAAACUCGAUUUACGAUAACGAGGUUCUGAAAUUGCAUUUUCCAACACCACUAGAAAUUAGGUUGCUACAAACAUAACCUGAAUUAGGAAAGGAUUUUGUAAUAUUCAGUAAUGCAUCUCAUAAUGGUUACCGAUCAUAGGAGUUUGACGAAUUUUUUAGUGUUCAAUGACGCGUCUCAUAAAGGAUGUGGAUUGAUGCAAUAAGGCAAAGUAAUUACAUACGUUUCUCAACAACUCAAACCUCACAAGAAGAAUUAUCCUACUCACAAAUCUGAACUUGUAGCCAUAGUUUCUGUUUUAAGGAGAAAAUACCUUUACGGUAAGAGAUGUCAUGCCUUUAUCGAUCAAAAAAGUUUAAAGAAUUUGUUCACGCAAAAAUUAUUGAAAUAUCUCUGUAAUUCAAACUUUUAAUCCAACUAUUCGGUUACUUAGAGAGCUCUCAAGAAUUCUUAACACAUUAUUGAGAAAGGUGUCCAAUGGAUUAUAAAAUAUGGUUCCCGAAUUAGUUUCUGGCAUGAUAAUUAAACGAGCAUGGGUCCUAUUCUUUUUUUUUCAUUACCCCUUUCUACCCAAGGAAGAUUGUUUCUUGGUGAAAAACUUUUAUGUUGGCUCUUAUAACUCUUCCUUUGCUAUUUCAAACAACAUCAAUGAUUGUAUUCUUAUGCACCCCACUUCUUUUUUUUUUAAAAGAUGGUUUUGAUGUUUUGUGUUGGAAAGCCACUUCUAAAAUACUCUUUUUCAUGAAAUUACCUUAUCAUAUUGCCUCCAACCUUAUCAAUGCUCUUCUUGAUUCUAGUAAUUGGUUAUUGUCAGGGGCGAAUUUAGGGGGGCUGGUAAGGGCCUUGCCCCCCUAAAUUUGUAAAAUUUCAAUUGUGCAACACCCUAGACCCGGCUUAGAUGUCCAGUCCAAGUUUAGAGAGUUACAUUAUAAAUACUCAAAUACUACUCAAGCCAUAAUAAUACCAAACCAUGAUUCACAUAAAAAUUCAACACAAAGAUUAGUUAAAUAUAUAAUCUUCCGAAGUCAUACACUAUUAUAGUUUAAUGAAAAUCCUAUCAAAAUAUUUUAAAGAAAGCUAAUAGUUCGACUAAGCUCCCACGGCACCAACCCAUUCAAGUCUGUGAACGACCUGAAAUUCAAGCAAUAACAGAAUAAGUUGUGAAAUCAGUGCGUAAAAGAAAUUUAUUCAAUUAAUGCUCAUUUAAAAAGUAGUUCCAAAUUCAGAGAUUCAGUUCGAUAUAGAAGUAAUUUCAGUUUAGAUUCAGAGCAAAUCAGCUACAAAUGUACAUAUAUGCAAUUACAGGUCAUACACGAUACAAAUCAGAUUCAGAUGCAAUAUUCUCAUCCUCGCCCACUGCACACCAUCUUCGGCCAUCCCAAUACACCAUUAAGGAUAUUCAAUGCUCAGCCAACCCUAUACACCUUAAACUGUUCGUUGACACUUUUACAGAAAUGCAGCUUAGCUAUUAAUUCAAUAUUCGACAAGCGCCAGAAUCAGAUUUAUACACAUUGUGGCGUAGCCACGAUUUAGAACAGAUUUCUUCCUCCUUCACAAUAUCCCAGCCCAUGUCGGUGCAGAACACAAAUACCCAUAUGAUGUAUUCAGUCAUUCUAAUUCAUUUCACAAUCAAAUAAGAUAGUUCAACAUCAAAAUAAGCAUUCCAGUGUACUUAUAACUAAGUUGUUCACAGAUCAAUCUCAGGGUAUCAGACAGUUCUAAUAUAAUUAAUUUCAAUCAUUCGUAAAUCGAAGAGGCCAGUAUCAGUGUUAAGUAACAUUUUUAGCCUCGAAAAUAGAUUUUGGGCCUCAAUAACAUGCCACACGACCAAGUGGCACACCCAUGUGCCUUGCUCGUUUAUUUUCGAAGCAUAAACAAUGAAUUACAUGGUCUGGACACACACCUGUGUCCCUGGCCGUGUGGCUUUGUACCCAACACAGUGAGUUACACUGCCUGGGCACACGUUCGUGUCCCUGGCUGUGUGGUUUUGUACCAGAAAUAGUAAGUUACACGGCCUGGGCACACGCCUGUGUCCCUGGCCGUGUGGUCUUGUACCACAAACAGUAAGUUACACGGCGUGAGCACACGCUCGUGUCUCUGGCAGUGUGAGCUCUGCACUAAUAUGGCCAUACACGCUCUAGACACACGACCGUGUGCCUUGUAAAAUUAAGGUUUUCGGUACACACCUAAUUUUGCUUUGACGGAGAAACAACACGAAGACUAUCCGGAACCUAAUUAAUCACUCAAUAAUCAAUUACACCAUCGAUUUCAAAAUUUUAGCAAAAUCAACCUACCGCCAAGAUUAUGUCGAAAGUUUUGAUGCAAUCCCAAGUCAAUUUGUAUACUCACCUCGCACGAAAUAGAGGAAAUCAGACUAACACGGCGAAAUAACGUCUCUUGUAAUAUUCUCGCCUAAAAAGAUAACCAAUCAAAUGAUUAAACAGAAUGUUCAAGCAACCGAGAAAAAUCCCAUUUCAAUAGAAUAUUGUUAACACCACAAAACUUGCAAAAUGAGAGAAAAUUGACGACGAAACUUGCUAAAUACUCGCACAAUCAACCUUACAAGUAACAAAGAACUUCCAAUUAAUGCAGAAUUGAAUAAUUUAAAAGGAAAAAUAAAAGAACAGAAGAACCAGAAAAGAAAACAACUUUUAAAAAACAAAGAAGAAGGUACGAUAGAAUUUCUUUAGACUAUCUUAAGUUAACCACCAUCCCACAUUCUUGCAUUUGCAAAAAAUAUUUCCUAAUGCAUAUGAUGGGAUUCGAACUCACAACCAAACAGAAUAUAGACAGAUGCUUAACCAGUGAACUAGCAGGCUCAUUCUUGAUACCGAUUUACCCAGAAUUGGACUUAACUACGAAACACAUGGAUGAAGGUUGUUUUAAAAAUAAUAACAAAACUUUUAACGAUGCUACUGAAACUUCAGACCUUAAACACAGAAGCAUAGCACAGAACCACAUAUACGAAAAUUUAAUUACUGUAAUUUCUCACAAUUAAAUUCUUAAAAAUUUGGGGCAUUACAACUCUCCCCCUAAAAGAAAUUUCGGCCUCAAAAUUUUACCUAAGUCAAACAGAUACGAAUACAGUCAUCGGAUUGAUUCUUUCGAUUCCCACGUGGCUUCCUCAGUACCAGGGUUCCAUCAUAGGAUUUUCACUAGAAGAAUAGUUUUCUUCCUUAGCAUCUGAACAUCACAUUCUAAGAUCUAGACAGGUUCCUCUUUGAAUGCUAAGUUCGGCCGCAAUUUAAUCUUGUCGACAGUAACAAUAUGUGACGGAUCCAACCGAUACCGUCUCAGCAUCGAGACAUGAAACACAUCGUCAAUCUAAUUUAGCUUCGACGAUAAUUCUAACUGGUAUGCAACAAGUCCGACACGCUUUAAGAUACGGUAAGGCCUAUUGAACCUCGGGUUUAAUUUGCCAUUAUGUCCGAAACAGAGGACCUUUUUCCACAGUAAUACUCUCAAGAAGACUUAAUCACCAACAGAAAACUCGAUGUCUUUUCUUUUUAAAUUAAUAUAGGACUUUUGCUGAUCAGAUGUGGCUUUCAAACGGUCCCGAAUUACUCUCACAGUGUUCUCAGUUUUAGAAACCAGCUUAUGACCCCAUAUCUGACGUUCAUUUAAUUCUAUUUAACAUAGCGAAGUACAACACUUACGACCAUAUAAGGCCUCGUAGGGUGCCAUCUGAAUACUAAACUGAAAGUUGUUAUUAUAUGCAAACUCCGCCAACGGUAGGUAGUCCUCCCAACUACCCCAGAAAUCUAUCACACAAUCUCGAAACAUAUCCUCCAAGAUCUGAAUAACUCGCUCCGACUAUCCAUCGGUCUAAGGGUGAUACGCAAUACUGAAUUUAAGUCAGGUGCCUAAGGCCUCAUGGAGUUUCUUCUAGAAUCGAGAUGUAAAUCGUGGAUCCCUGUCAAAGAUGAUUGAGAUCGAAAUUUUGUCUAAUCUCACAAUUUAGGUGAUAUAUAGUUUAACUAACUUCUGUUAGGAGUAAUCUGUCCGAAUGGGUAUGAAGUGGGCUGAUUUGGUCAAUCGAUCCACCAUGACCAAAACCGUUAGUAGGGAUUAGAGGCAACCCACUAACAAAAUCAAUCGUUAUCUUCUCCCACUUCCACUAAGGAAUUUUAACUGGUUGAACUAACCCGGAUGGCAGCUAAUGUUCCGCCUUAACCUUUUGGCAUGUCAGACAGUGGGACACAAAAGCGACUACCUCUCAUUUCAGUUCGGGCCACCAGUAGAAUUCUCGAAGAUCCUGAUACAUUUUGUUCCCAGUAAAAUGCAUAGCAUAUGGACUACUAUGCGCCUCCUGAAGGAUCGAAUGCCUCGACUCUUUGUCAUUAGGUACACAAAUCUGACCUUUAAAGCACAACACGUUAUCGCUAUUCAAGCCAAAAUCGAAAGUCUCAUUCGAAUCAACAUGCUGCAGACGCUGAACUAAGGACUCAUCGCUCAAAUGUUUUGCUCUAAUCUACUCUACCAAAUCGAUAUUACCUGUAAUUUAGCCAACAGCCCUCCAUCCUCGACCAAACUCAGACGAGCUAACAUUGCUCUCAGAUCAGUCACCUCUCUACGGCUAAGGGCGUUAGCUACCACAUUAGCCUUACCUGGAUAGUACUCUAUCGUGCAAUCGUAAUAUUUAAGUAACUCAACCCAUCGACGCUAUCGAAGAUUUAAUUCUUUUUGGGUUAGUAAAUAUUUAAGACUCUUGUGAUUGGUAUAAAUAAUACACGUUUCACAAUAUAGAUAGUGUCUACAGAUUUUUAGAGCAAAUACAACCACAGCUAGCUCAAGAUCAUGCGUAGGGUAAUUACCCUUGUGUGUCUUAAGCUAUUGCGACGCAUAAGCGACCACUUUACCAUCUUGCAUAAGCACACACCCAAACCUAACAUGUAAAGAAUCACUGUACACCAUAAACUCUCGGGCUGAUAUUCGGUUGAACUAAGUCAAAAGCUUGUGUCAAAACGGACUUGAGUUUAUCGAAACUAAACUGUUGUGCCUCAGACCACACGAAUGGAGUAUUCUUAUGCAGCAAUUUCGUCAGAGGUGACGCAAUUAGAGAAAAUCUUUCGACAAACCUUCAGUAGUAACCGGCUAAUCCCAGAAGCUACGAAGUUCAGAUAUAUUUUUUGGUCUUUCCACUCAACAAUAGCUUCUAUCUUCUUAGGAUCAACUAGGAUCCCUUCCACCAUUACUACAUGACCCAAAAAAGUGACUUCUUGCAACCAAAACUUGCACUUAUUAAACUUGGCAUACAACUAUUUUUCUUGGAGUAUCUGAAGUACAAUACGAAGAUGAUCAUCAUGCUCAGCUUCAAUUUUAGAUUAGAUCAGGAUAUCAUUGAUAAAAACCAUUACGAAUGGAUUCAAGUACGGUUGGAACACCAGAUUCAUUAAAUUCAUAAAUGCCAUCGGGGCAUUCAUUAAACUGAAAUGCAUUACCAGAAACUUGUAAUAUCCGUAAUGAGUCCUAAAGGCAGUUUUGUAAACAUCAGUCUCUUUGACCUUGAGCUGAUGGUAAUAAGAGAAUAAAUCGAUUUUGGAGAAAACGGAUGCUCCUCGAAACUGGUUGAACAAGUCGUUAAUCCUCGGUAGCGGGUACUUAUUUGUUAACUUGGUUAACAGCUACUAAUCUAUGCACAUCCUCUUUGACCCAUCUUUCUUCUUAACAAACAACACCGGCACCCCCCAUGAAGACACACUCGGCCGAAUAAAUCAUCUAUUAAGGAGUUUCUGAAGCCGUGCUUUUAACUUGGUCAGCUUUUUUGGACACUAGAGCAAUACUUGAUAACAAAUCAAUUCCAAACUCCACCUCUCUAUCUAGAGGUACUCCAGUCAAUUCCUCAAGAAAGAUGUCUGAAAACUCCCUCAUUGUGCGGAUAUCUCCCACUAAAAGUUUCGCGAGAACAUAAUCGGAUACGUAAACAAGGUAUACCUUGCACCCCUUUUGAACUAACUUGUCUGCUACAAGAGCGAAGAUUAAAUUAGAGAGGUAAUUUCGACACUCACCAACCAUGACCACCUCGUCAUUCUCAUUUGACCUCAAAGUAACUCUCUUGGUUGCACAAUCUAGACUGACCCGAUACUCAAUGAGCCAAUCCAUUCCCAAAAUUAGAUCAAACUUAUUAAAGGGUAAUUCCAUUAGAUCAACUGAGAAUACCAUACCCUAGAGCUCUAGGGGUACCCAUCUGUAUACUGUAUCAACUCAAAUUGACUGACCCAAAAGACUAAUCAUAGAAAACUCUUUAGCAGUAUUCUCAGCGGUUAAACCUAGAUUUACAGAAACAUCACUAGCUAUAUAUGAAUGAGUAGAGCCAAUAUUAAUGAGAGCAUAAUACGGAACAGAAUGAAUAAAGAAGGUACCUACUAUGACAUCAGCAUCAUCGCUCUCCUCGCAGUGUCUCGCUUCAUAAAUUAAUACUGAUUGACGAGCCUCAGCCUGACCUGCACCUCUACACAGUAUUCUCUGUCCUCUCCUAGAUCCAUUACCACCGAUACCAGUACCCAACCUCUGAAUGGUAAUUGAACCUCUCUCGGAAGCCAAACAAAAUUUGGCCCCGGAGUCUAUACCGCAGUUAGCACUGAAUCUGGUCGUCGAGGGCAAUCCCUAACUCGAUGCUCCAUUGACCCGCAAAGGAGGCAUGCUCUUAACUUCCUCCUGCACUUGCCCGGACGACGCUUCCCAUAACGACUACACAGCUGAAUCUCAGUCGCAACAGUUAGUGUCUCAACUCUCAGAGGUCUGUCAAACCUCAUCCGCUUCUUAGGGCAUUGACCCGAACUAGAUGAGCCUAAAUCCCUCUUAAUCUUAUUAUGAUCCUUCUCAUGAUCACGUCACUCGCACUCAGUACACUUCACUUCUUCCAAUACAUUUGCUUUGUCAAAUAAGACCGCAAAAACCCGCUCCUUCUAAGGAGCUACCAGAACUUGCGGAUCAUAUCUCAAUCCCUCCUCAAAUCGCACACACUUGUCGUAGUCGGACGCUACCAAAGUCCAUAUAUACGUACUCAGUUGCAGAAACUCGACUUCAUAUUUAGCCACAGAUCGGUCACCCUGAACUAGGCUCAUAAACUUACGUUGGUAGCUUCAACAUAAUUCCCCCACAUACUUACCCUAGAAGGCGUUCUUGAAAUAAUCCCCAUUAACAUGUUCAGGAUGAGUACCUUGUUCAACUGUCAACCACCACCAAUAGGCUUCAUCCUAGAGUAGAGACGCAGCACCCUCAAUAUCUAAGUGGGAGUACAGUCGAGAUCAGUUAUUAUACGCUCAGUAGCCUCGAGCCAAUAUUCAACAACAGUAGGAGCGACUCCUAUGACACUCUUUAAUAAUUUAGGCUCAUUCUACGGCAGUCGUUUAGUGAUCAACCCUCGACCUCUCGAUCUCGAAUGCGUCUCUGUAACCCUCUCUAAUGCUCGAAUCAUGGCCUGAGACAGUCUGUCAUCCCUAGCCAUUAGAGUAUGGGACUCCGUUUCAGUAGUAGGUGAACCAACCGUCUCGCUGGUCUCUAGAUUGGUCAUACUACCCAUAGAGGAUGACUCUACUCGAGCUCCUCCUCAAAAUCCUUAACGCUCCGGCAUACCACGUCCAUGACUACCACGCAAACUCAUUAUGGUAAUCUAGCUAGAAUAUCAGAAUACACAGAUCAAUUCACACAUCCAGCAGGAUGAUUUCACCAAUUCAUAUCAAAACAUUUUACCCAUAACAGUUUAAGUAUUAUAAUCUUUAUAACAGAAUGGAAAUACUUAUAGGGUCAGUGUCGGAAGCUCGGCCAUUCACUAAAAUGUCAGUGUUUCUAUAUUAGUUCAGAUACUAAAUUAUCACUAAGCUACUUUUCUCAUACAUUAUGAGCCCAAACACAAUUCGAGUGUUGACAUGUUGAUGCAGAACACAAAUACCCAAAUCAUGUAUUCAGUCAUUCUAAUUCAUUUCACAAUCAAAUAAGAUAGUUUAACAUCAGAAUAAGCAUUAUAGUGAACUUAUUAUAACUAAGUUGUUCACCAAUCAAUCUCAGAGUACCAAACAGUUCUAAUAUAAUCAAUUUCAAUCAUUUUUACUUCGAAAAGGCUAGUAUAAGUGUUAAGUAACAUUUUCAGCCUUAAAAAUAUAUUUUGGGCCCUAAUAACAUACCACAUGGCCAGGUCACAUGCCCAUGUACCUUGCCCGUGUGGUUCCAAAGCAUAAACAGUGAGUUACACGAUCUGGACACACGCCUGCAUCCCUACCCGUGUGACUCACACGGGCUGGGUACACGUCUGUGUAGCUUUGUACCCUAAACAGUAAGUUACACAGCUUGGGCACACGCUCGUGUCCCUGGUCGUAUUGUCUUGUACCACAAAUAGUGAGUUACACAGCUUAGGCACACGCUUGUGUCCCUAGCCGUAUGGUCUUGUACCACAACUAGUGAGUUACACGGCCUAGGCACACGCACGUGUGCCUAGAUGUAUGAACUUUGCACUAAUAUGGCCACACACGGCCUAGACACAUAAUGGUGUGCCUUGCCUAUGUGGCCCUAAAUCGAAUGAACAGUGAGUUAUAUGACCAACCACACGACCUGGGCACACGCCCUUAUGCCUGGCCGUGUAGCACCGACAACCACCAUUUUUGGUGACCUGAAACUUGCAAAAUUAAGGUUUCCGGUACGCACCUGAUUUUGCUUUGACGGAGAAACAACACGGAGACUACCCGAAACCUAAUUAAUCACUCAACAAUCAAUUACACCAUCGAUUUCAAUAUUUUAUCAAAAUCAACCUACCGCCAAGAUUAUGUCGAAAGUUUUGAUGUAAUCCCAACUUAAUUCACAUACUCACAUCACACGAAAUAGAGGGAAUCAGACUAACACAACAGAAUAACAUUUCUUACAAUAUCCUCACCUAAAAAGGUAACUAGUUGAAUGAUUAAACAGAACGUUCAAGCAACUGAGCAAAAUCUUGUUUCAAUAGAAUAUAGUUAACACCACGAAACUCACAAAACGAGAGAAAAAUAACGAUGAAACUUGCUUAAUACUAGCACAAUCGACCUUACAAGUAAAAAAGAACUUCCAAUUAACACAGAAUUGAAUACCAUAAAAGGAAAAAUAAAAGAACAGAAAGAGAACCGAAAAAGAAAAUAACUUUUGAAAAACAAAGAAGAUGGUACGAUAGGAUUUCUUCAGACUAUUUUAAGUUAACCACCAUCCCACUUUCUGGCAUUUGCAAAAAAAUAUUUCCUAACGCAUACGAUAGGAUUCAAACUUGGAAGCAAACAGAAUAUAGACAGAUGCUUAACCAGUGAACCAGCAAGCUCAUUUUUAAUACUGAUUUAUCCAGAAUUGGACUUAACUAUGAAACACAUAGAUGAAGGUUGUUUUAAAAACAAUAAUAAAACUUUCAACGAUGCCACUCAAACUCCAAACCUUAAACACAGAAGCAAAGCAUAGAACCACAAAUACGAAAAUUUAAUUACUACAAUUUCUCACAAUUAAAUUCUUAAAAAUUUGGGGCGUUACAAAUUGAGUCCUUUUGAAUUUCAAAAGAUUUUUUAUUUUGACCUUAUAACUAGUACUUAAAAUAAGAUAAAUUAUUUUGGCCCCCAAGUUUUUUCAUUGUUUCUUUUAAUUUGAUUUAUUUUAUAUAAUCUAUAAAUUUUUAUGAUAAAUUUAGUAACACUUUUAGUUUAAUUUGAUAAAUUAAUAUAAAGUAGUGUUUAAAUAUUUAUUUGCUAAAAUAGUCACAUAAUUUCAAUAUCUAAUCAUAAAAUAGUAUCUAAAUAUUAAUUAGGUAAAAAAAUAAACUUAAAUAAUUAUAAUAUUUCAUACAAAUUGAGUAUUUAACUUAAUUUGUUUUUUUCUAAAUGUUAAUUUUGGUGAUCAAGAUUAUCUAAAAUUUAAAAAUACAUUGUUUUAUGGGCCAAGCUUACUUUCAACAUGUCUAUUUUAUAUAAAUACUUCGCCUCCCUCAUUAUCAAUAUUUCUGGCUUCGCCCCUAGUUGUAGGUUUGGAACCUCAAACUUCCACUUACACUCUCCUUUUCUCAUUUUGGAAAUUGUGGCCCUCUUCUCCCAAUUUGAUCUUUUCUUUGUUUUAAAGGUCUUGACAUCUCUGUUGUAUGCACUUUCUGCAACUCUUACCCUGGGACAAUUGAACAUGUACUUCGAGAUUGUUCAUUCACUUAUCAUCUCUAGAGCCUUUUUUCCUUAUCCCCCUUCAACUAUAGGUAUGUUCUCCCUUCCUUUAAUGGAUUGGCUCAAUGCUAAUUUGACAUUUAAAUCCUCCUUUCCCCAUCAUCUCAUUCAUUAGCCAACCAUGUUUGCUUUCUUCCUUAAUGGGUUUUGGAUUGCUAGAAAUGCAAUCAUCUUUGACAAACCCAUAAGUGAAAAUGAUAUUCGAUCUAAAUUUAUCACUCUUGCUAUAGAGUACUUUGUUAUUUUACAUAAACCAAAUUUCGAGUAUAUUCUACCUCACUUCACGUCAAAUGGAACCUUCCUUUAAAUGGAUGGUUUAAAGUUAAUUAUGAUGGUUCCUCAUUAGGAAAUCCUGAAACUGUUGGUUUGGAGCCAUUAUUCGUGAUCAUAAUAGUAAUUGGAUUGUCGAUUUUCAUUGUUAUCCGAGCAUGACUACUAAUAUUAUGGCUUACCUUUGGGCUCUUAGUGAUGGCCUUGUGCUUGCUCACAAUGUAACAGCCCAAUUUCAGUAAUGUCGAAAAUGGUGGUUUUGAGACCACAACUCUGACAAGUGAGUUGUUAUUUUGAUAUAUAUUUAAUGUUUAUAGGGUUAGUUUAAGGUAUUAUUAAAUUUUUGUCAAGAAAUUUUGAAGAUUAAAUGGUUAAUUAAGUAAAAAGGACCAAAUUGUGAAAGACACAAAAGUUGGUCUUUAAUAGGUAAAUGGAUUAAAUGGCUUUUGAAAUGCAAAUUAAAGGACAUAGAUGGUAUUUAUACCAUAUGAAAGUUAAUAGACAAUUAUGGGUUUAUUUUUGUCAUUUUGUAAACUAAUAAACUAAGGAUAAAUUAAAUUAGUAAUUAAUAAACAAAUCUUAAACUAAAUUAAGCAAAUAGUGUCAUCUUCCUAAAAUUCUUCUCUUUCACCGAAAUUGAAGAAAUAAAACACCAUUUUUAUGGCUUUAAGGUUCGGCCAACAUAGGAGUAUUUCAUGGUAAGAUUUUGUGACUCGUUUUUAGUAAUUUUUAUAUUUUUGAGCUCGUUUCAACUUAAUCUACCUAGCCCAGGGGUUAAUUUGCAAAGUUGUUAAAUGUUGAGGAACCUGCAAAGUUGAUAGAUUAUUAAUUUUUAUUGUUAAAUUAACAUGAUUUGUUAAGUGAAUUUAGGAUUUAGCGAUUAAAUAGCUUAAAUGGUAAAUUCUAUGAAUUUUGAGUGAAAUGAGUAAAAAUGUGGAUUGAUAUAAGUAUAGGGAAGAAUCAGAUAACAUGUUUUGGGUUAGGAAAAUGGUGAAUUUUCAAGUUAUGGGCUUAAGGACUAAGUUAUAUAAAAGUUAAACUAUUAGGGGUAAUUUUGUAAUUUUAGAUUAAUAUGAAUUAUAGGUUGAAUUGAAUACUUGAGAUUAAUUGAAGUACUUAGUUGAAUUAAAUUAGUUAAUUGAAGUACUUAGUUGAAUUAAAUUAUCUUAGAUCAGGAUAAACAACAAUCGGACUUAAAUUGAGGAAAGGCAAAAGCUUUGGAUUAAUCUCCAACUCUACUUUUGUGACUAUGGUUAUCGAGGUAAGUUUGUAUGAACUAUAAUCUUAUUAAUGAUAGUUGAUUGAUUAUAUACUAUAUUAUGUUGGUUAUAAAUUGACUUGAAUAUAUAAAUAGAUUGACGUUUUGAGUAAUUGAUGGAUAAAUAAUAUCGUUUGAACCUUAAGAAUUCUUAAGAUACGAAUGACAUGUCAUUAGGGAUUUCAUGUUUCAAGUGUUGGUCUUAAAUGUCCUACUGAUGGUUGAGGUCCUGCAUUUGUUGCAGAUUCUCCACAGCUCGUGUGAGCAGCAUCGUGUAGCUAACAUUCUGACCUACAACUCGUGUGAGUACUAUUGAAAAGGAAAGGUUACGGUUAUAUGGAAAGGCACACUAUGUGUGAGCAUUCCCAAGUAUCCAAUGUAAUUCUAGAUGGUUCAAUGGGUAAGCAAAGGUUAAUGGCAAUGUAUGUAUACAAUUGUAUAAUGGUACAUAAUCUUAUGAAAAGGUUAAUGUAAUAAAUGGUGUGUACAUGUAAAUCUACUUAUGAUAUGGUUGAACUUAUAUAUAUCAUGUAUGAACUUACUAACUUGUAAAUUUGGUGGUGCUUAUAUAGGAUUUUACUAAGCUUAUGAACAUGGUAAUGUUGUUAUGUAUAAUUUACAAAUUGAGCUUAAGAAUGGUAAGUUAUGUUUGAGUUUAUACGAGCUUACUAAGGACUAGUUGUUUACGUAGUUAUUUUCCUUUGUUUCAUAUAUUAUCAGAAGCUCGAUCGAUUGGAAGCUUCUCAGAGAUUUAUCACACUAUCCAGCAAUCACUUUGGUAGUUUUUGAGUUAUUUUGGCUAAGGUUAUAAAUGGCAUGCAUAGGACCUUUUUAUAAUGAAUGUCUUUGAGUAUGUUAAUGAAAAUUUUGGUAUGAGUAUGUCUUUUAUGUAUUCACUUUGUUUGUGUGGACUUAUAAUGUUUUAGCAAAUUUUAUACCCUUAGGUAUUUUGUAAUAUAUGGUGUGGGUGGUUGUUUAUAUAUUAAAGCCAUAUGAUUAUGGUCAUUUUAGUAUGUUUUAAUGAAAGGUGAAUGGUUUGACAAUUGAUGUCAUUAGGUAGCUUAUUUGACUAUGUUUUUGUGUUUGAGGUAUGGUAUUAUAGCCUUUUUUUGAUUGAAGUUGUUUUUGUACAAAUGUGGUGCUUUUGAAUGGCAUAUUAGUUAGGUGAAAUAGGUUGAUUGAAUUUGUAACAACCCGAUUCUAGGCCUAGUCGGAACAGUGGUUUCGGGACCACAAAUCCGACAAGGGAAAAUAUGAUUAUUAUUAUAUUUUUAUGGUCUACAAUUUCACAGAAAAUUUUCGUAAAAAUUUCGUUCAAAAAUUUCGACGUUUGGGCACUUAAUUUAGUCAAAAGGACUAAAUUGUAAAAAGUGCAAAAGUUGAGUUCUACAUCUUAGAGGUGUCUAAUUGUUAUGAAAUUUUAAAUUGGAGGUCUUUAUAUGGUAAUUAGACCAUUAGUUAGUUGAUGGACAAAAAUGGGCAUAGAAUUAGUGAAAUAGAUUUUUUUUAAAGUAAGGGCAUUUUAGUCAUUUGGUUAUUAAAUAGAAUUAAAUGGGAAAAAGAUGGAAAAAUAUGCUCAUCUUCUUCAUGGUGAACGAAAUCAGCAAGGGGGAAGCCAUAUUUAGGGUUUUUAAGCUUUCAAGCUCCAUAGUAAGUGAUUCCAAGCCCCGUUUUUAAUGUUCUUUACGUUUUUAGAGUCUCUGUAACUUGGUUUAGCUUAUUCCACCAUUAAUUCGUGUUAGGGUUUAUAUUUGGAAAAAUACCCAUAGGUGAAAUGUGUUUAUUUUGAUGUUUAAUGGUAGAAUAUGAAGCUAAAAAUUAUGUUAAACAAUUUUUGCUAAGCGAUUUUAAACGAAAACUGGUAAAUUGACAUAAUCGGUAAAAAUACCUAAUGUUCAAAAGUGUGUGUUAGAGUGAGAAUUUGAUGUUGUCAUAGAAGGGAAAAAUGUUCAGCAUGUCAUAAAACAUAAGAAUAAGAGAUGAAUUUUAAUUUUCGAGCUUAGGGACAAAAGUGUAAAUAUGUAAAAGUUUGGGGGUAAAAUUUUAAUUUUUCAAAAAGUUGGGUGGAGGACUAUUUUAUUAAAUGUGAACAUUUAAUGAGUUAAAUUUGCUAUUAUAGAUCAAGAAAGACGAGAAGACUACCUCAAACGGGGAAAAAAGAAGAUAGUGGAGUAAAUUACAAAAUUACGAUAUUUUGCACCAAGGUAAGUAAACAUGUGAUUUAAUGCAUUAUUUUGACAUCAUUCAAUAUAUGUUGGGAUUUAAUAGAACAUAGAAUAAAUAUUCGGCAAGAUUCUAAAAAUGUGGUUAAGUUGGGAAAGGUGGUAAAAUGUUGAAAAUAUGGGUUCCGGUUGAACACUCGGAAUAAGCCGAAGUAUUUUAAAUGUGAAGGGGGUUGCUAAGUGCUGAUUCCCCCAACGGGUUGCUAAGUGCUGAUUCCCCGACUCAUUGGUGGUUGCUAAGUGCUGAUUCCACCGUAUCUUGAAUAUAAAGGGGGUUGCUAAGUGCUGAUCCCCCCAAGGGGUUGCUAUGUGAUGAUUCCCCGAAUCAUUGGUGGUUGCUAAGUGCUGAUUCCACCAUAUCUUUGAAUGUGAAAGGGGUUGCUAAGUGCUGAUUCCCCGAAUCACUGGUGGUUGCUAAGUGCUGAAUCCACCGAUAAUGGUUAAUAUUCCGAGUGUCCAACGAGUAAACUGGGAAGGUGAAUAUUUAUAUGUGGUGGACAAGCUUAUAGGAGGAAUAUUGGGUUUGAUACUUAAUCGACCAUGUAUAAGGUGGGAUGAAAUAUCAAAAAUACAACAGGAACAAUUUAAUUACAAAACUGUUUUGAACAACAGCAGUUGGGCAACUUUGAAAAAUCACCAUAAAUGGUGGAAAAUGAAUUAGAGGUUGAAUAAUAUAUGUAAUUGAAGCUGAAUGAGUCUAUUUUCAUACGAAAGAAACAUAGCAAGCAAAAGAGUUGUAUAUUUGGGGAUAUUUGAAUUUAUUUGAGACAGGGUUGGAUUGAUUCGAAAUCCCCUGUUCCAACUUUGGAAAAUCACUAAAAAUUGUAAAAAAAUAAUUUUGGCCUGAAAUUUAUAUGCCUGGAUUCUUUAAUGAGUCUAUUUUUAAUAUAAACAAACAAAAACAUUUUUCGAAUUUUUUACAGGGAGUUAAUUAAAGUUUAAUAAAGGGAUGUCAGAACCGUCAGGCAGUGAAACAUGAGAAUCUUUAAAGAAUAAACUGUACUAAUUGGAUAAAUAAAAAAUUCUGAAAAUUUUAUGGUGGAAAGGUAUAUGAGUCUAGUUUCGGGGAAAAUUUACGGAAUCCAAUUUGGAGCCCUGUAGCUGCAGAUAAAAAUAAAUUGGUGACUGUGACUCAGAAAAACAGCUUGCUGGAAAUUGAACAGUUGAUGAAAUUUAAGUGUGAUUAAAAUUAUGUUACUAUGUAAUCAUGUGAGGAAAUUAUUUAUUUGUCAUAUGUUUACUUACUAAGCUAUAUGCUUACUCGUUUUUAUUUUCCCUUGAUUAUAGUGACAUCAAUCAGCUCGGAACUUGAACGACGUCAGAUAAUCAUCCACACUAUCAUCAAUUUUUUGGGUGUUUUGCAACUAAUACUUUGGAAACAUGGCAUGUAUAGAUGACUUUAUGUAUUGCGGUUUAAAUAUGUAUAUAUAUAUAGUAUGGUUCGGUUUAAAAUGUUGGUGUUUGUUAAUGGAUAAAUUGUGUUUGAACAUACAACUGUAUUUGGUUGGAAUAUUGAAUAUGUUUGGGAUUGUGUUCGAAAAUUUGCAGGGGAUUUUAUGUAAAAAUAAGCAGAAAUGCUGCCGAAAAUUAAAAAAAAAAUAGUAAUAUCUCAUACUCAGUUCCGUUAAGGAAUACGGGUAAGGGGUGUUACAGAAUUGGUAUGUUUAUGUGUAUUUGAAAGAUGUUUUGGUCUAUUGAAUGUAUGCAUAAAUGGAGUGGGUGAUUGGGUAAAUUUUGGUCUUAAAAUGGCUUGUUUAGGGUCAAAUUAUGGAGCAUACUGCCUGGGACACGAGUUGUCACACAGCCUGGCUACGCGGUCGUGUGUCACUUAUUAUUUAAAUUCAAGACUCUGUUAAGCAUAUUCCUAAGUAGUCAGCUUCAACAUACCUACAAGGAGGGUACUUGUUGCACUAAUGCUUUGGCUAAUGCUAGAAUUCAUGUUAAUCCUAACCUUUUUGUCUCAUGUUAAUACCUCUAAUGACUUUUAUGUUGUGUAUUUUGAAAUCCCAGACUUUAUGCGUACUCUUGUGAAUGCCAACUUAGUUGGCACACCUUUAUAUCAUACUCUUUAUAACUAAAUAAAACUCUCCUUUUAUAACAAAAAAGAAAAGGACAGAAAGUGGAUAAAAAAAGAAAGAAAGGAAAAACGAAAAGGAGCGGAGAGGGUUGAGGAAAUAGCUGACUGAAUGUUGGUAGGCUUUUAUCUAGCAUGAUAAUCCAUUAUUCGAAAGGAGGGCAUUCAGGAGAGAGGGGAGGAGAUGAAAGAAAAAGAGAAUAAAAACGGGAUGAAGAGGGAGAAAAGAUGAGGAAGAGCUUAGCCAUCUACUAUCUAGUUGUCCUAAAGCAAAACUGCCACUUGUUUGUCUUAUCUAAUUGGGCUAUGGUUGAUUAUAGACUUGUCUAAUGACUAGGCCACUUAAAGGAAGAGGAAAAAAAACACUUUUUGUAAUAUUUGGAAAAACGAGUUUAGGGGGGGGAGAGAGAGAAUGUCCAUUUAGAAAAUGGUUUGAACUUGGAUUUCAAUAUUCAAUGCCCAAGCACAACCCAUUUUCUAACUUUAUAAUAUAAUAUAUUAACUUUAUUUUAUUGUUAUAUACUACGUAAUAAGAAUUAAAUAUAUAAUACUAUAAUGAAUAUAUAUUUUUAAAAGAAAAGUAAAAAAGAAUAGGUCUAAACAAGCUUGAAUUAGCUAUUUAUAAAUAUAAGUAAGUUUGGACAAAAUUUUAAGUUCAUAUUUCGGACCGAGUCAAACUUGUCCAAAUAUUUAUGAUAUUAUUAACAUGCAUAAAUUUGACUUGACUUAACCCAAGAGCACAUCUAAUUGAGCACAACCUCUCCUCCUUUCUUUUACUAUUUUUUUAUAGUUUAAAAUCUAAAAAAAAUCAUAAUAUUUUUUUAGCAAAAAAAUUAGAAUUUCUUUUUUUGAAUUCCUAUAUAAUUUUUUUAAAAAAAUUUCAAUAUACAUUAAACUUUUAAUAUUAUGCUUUUAAAUCUAUAAUAUUUUAUAACUUUACAAUAUGUUUGGGUAAAUAAUUAUAAAAUAUGUUUGAAUCUAUAUGUUUACUGCAAUAUGGUUAUUAAGAGGUUGAGUACUGCUUUAUCUCGUAGAAGAAGGAUUUGUACUAGAUGAUCAUAGGUUGGGUCAAUGUAAAAAUUUUAAAUUUGUUUUUCAGGUCCGGACUCGGCUUAACUAAACAAAUGGGCCUAAAAUUUUAUUUAAGUUCAACCCAGAUAAAAAAUACUAAAUCUGGACCCGUAUUAAAUUUUUUAGAUUUUUUAUAUAAAAAUAAAUUUAAAAAAUAUAAUACAUCAAAUACUCUAAACACAUUAAAAUAAAUAUUUCUCAACAAAUUGAAAAUAUAUUUUAAAAAAAUUCUUUAUAUUUAAAUAACACUAACAUAGUUAUAACUUAGCAAACAAAUGUUUCUAAAAUAAUUGAAAAAUUAAAAAUAAAAUAAGAGUUAUACAAUAUCUAAAUAAUAGUAGUAAAAUAGUAAUAAUAUAAUAGUGAAACAGUAGCAAAAUAACAACAUAACAGCAAAAAAAUAACAACAUAAAAUCAGUAAACAGCAGCAAAAAAAUAAUUAAAUUCGAGUAAGGUCCAAACUAAAAAAAAUCUUGUCUGAGGCUCAGCCCAUUUAAAACGCGAAUCUUAUUUUUUUCGAAGUUUAUUUUUUGGGUUUAUGUUAUUACCUAAACUCUUUGUGUUUUGAAUGGACUUUGUAAUUCGACUCAUGAUCAAGUCUACUUUAUAAUAAACGCUAUAUAUGAUUGGAAAGAUGGUUUGAUAGGGUACUAAAAUUAAAUGAAAAAUCAUUUAAAAACAAAUUAAAUAUUCAAACAUUAAAUAUAUAUUUUAUAUAUAAUUGGUUUGAACUAAAUUAACAAAUACUUUGAUAAUUUUCAGAAAAUUCCUGUAACGAGAGAAUUAGUCACUGUUGCUAGCGGUUAAUAUCUUUGAUUUCAAUUAAAAAAAUUAUCAAAAUACUUUUUUGAAUAUGAUUUAGUGCAAGUUGCACAAGUAGUUUAAAAUUUGAAGACAUUAUUACUAUUUAAGAUGUAAAUAUAUUUUUUAAAUUGAAACAUUUAAUAUACUUUAUUAUUUUCUAUUUUUUUUUUAAAAAUGAACUAAAUUAAAAAAUGUGCAACAAACUAAAUAGUUAGAAGUUUUAAAUUUAAAUCAAAUUUGAAAUAUAUGAUCUACAUGAAUAUACCAUAAAAUAUAAUGAUUGUAUCAUUAAAAUAUUAAUCAUAUAAAUAGUUACGGAAGUGUGUAAAAUUACUUUAAUUUUUACAUUGUGUAAGUAGAUCAUUCCCCUUAAUAUUAAUAAAUUUUCAUUUUGUUAUAACAUAAUAUUUAAAAUAUGAAUUAAGAUUAAAAAAUAAAUUAUAAAUAUGAAUAUAAAUAGGGUGAGGAAUUAAUACCUUUUUUUAUUCCACAAAUAACUUUAAAAAUUGACAUGUCUCUCUUUCCUUUAAAUAUUUUAUUAUACCAUUAUAAAACACUUGUCAAUCUCUUGGUACUGUUAGUGGAGUCUAAAAACUCCAUUGGCAGUGAACUAAAUGAUUUCUCAUAACUUAUUAUUGAAGUUAUUAAAUUCCACAAGUAAAGUCAAGAGGUUGAUAAAUACCUUUUAAAAGUAUAAUAAAAUAUUUUAAAAAUUAAAUAUUUUAAUAUUGCUUGUAGAAUAAAUAAAUAAAACAGUAUAAUUUUGAAUUAGUUGAAAAUAAUUUAAAUAAUAAUUAGAAAACUAUUUUUUAAAAGAUGUGUUGUAAAAUUUAUUCAAAGUGUAAAACACAAAUUAUUCCUUCAAUGCUUUGCAAAAAAAAAAAAAAAUUUCCUUCAAAAAAAGAUAAUUAUUAAAAAAUAUAGUUAGAUAUAUGUCUAUAUUAAUAAAAGAUUAUCUAUUAACAAAAUUACUUUACUUUAAUUGUCAUAAAGUAAAACAUUAAUCUCAUAUUUAUAUUUUUAAGAUUAUGCAAAUGAGUUCUUUUUAAAAAAAUAUAUAAGAUAAUUCAAGUUUUGGUCUUUGUUGUCGCUGUGGUUACUCAGUUUGCUCUCUCAAUGGAGUUUGUUAUUGCCAUCGUUGGCUCUAUUGUCGCUAAAGCUGUAGAGUAUACGAUCUCUCCUAUCAAAAACCAUGUCAAAUACCUUUCCAAUCAUCAGCAAUAUGUUGAGACCCUCAAGGACCGAGCUGAGAGGCUGAAAGAUGCAAGGGUCAGAGUGCAGCAUUCUGUUGAUGCAGCUAAACGAAACGGUGAGGAGAUCGAAGGUGAAGUUGACAAAUGGCUGUCUGCAGUCGACAACAAGAUCCUUGAACAAGUAGAGAAAGUGAUGCAAGAUGAAGAAAAAGCAAAGAAAAAGUGUUCCAUUGGUUUGUGUCCUAAUUUCAGGACUCGUUACAAGCUUAGCCUGAGAGCUGAAGAGGAGGCAAAGGCUGUUGCCGAGUUACUUGAACAUGGUAAGUUUGAAAGGGUUUCCUAUCGUGCAGCUCCGCAAGGUAUCGUGGUUGCACCAGUUAAAGGUUAUGAGGAAUUCGAGUCAAGAACGUCGAUUUUGAACGGAAUAAUGGAGGCACUAAAAGAUGAUAGCGUCAGCGUUGUUGGGGUGCAUGGUACGGGUGGGAUUGGAAAAACAACGCUGGUCAAAGAAAUCGCUAGAUAGUUCAAGGACAAGUUGUUUGAUUCGGUUGUCAUAGCAACCGUAACUCAAGUCAUCGAUGUUGAGAAGAUUCAGAACCAAAUUGCAGACUUCUUGGGCUUGAAAUUUGAGGAACAGAGUAUGGUUGGAAAGGCAAUUCGACUACGAGAAAGAUUGAAGAAAGAGAAGAGUAUUCUGGUUGUCUUGGAUGACAUUUGGGAAAAGGUUGAUAUUGAGGAAGUAGGGAUUCCUUUGGGAGAUGAACACAAGCGCUGCAAAUUACUAUUAACUUCUAGAGAGCUCAAUGUUUUAUCAAAUGAGAUGGAUGCUCAGAAAAUUUUCCCGUUGGGUUUUUAAAGGAAAAGGAAGCCUGGGACCUGUUCAAGAAGAUGGCUGGCAACUGUGAUGAACGUUGCGAUUUGAAGCCUAUAGCUAUGAAGGUGCAGGACUGCCGAUAGCCAUUGCGACAGUUGCAGGGGCUUUGAGAAACAAAAGAUUGUUUGAAUGGAAGAAUGCUUUACGAGAACUGGGGAGGCCUUCGUCAAGCAACUUCACGGGGAUAACUGCGGCAUAUUCAGCUAUAGAGUGGAGUUUUAAUUAUUUAGAAAGCAAGGAAGUUAAGCUGACUUUCUUGCUUUGCAGUGUAAUAGGCCAUAAUGGUCUCGUUGAGGACUUGGUAAGAUAUACUCUAGGUUUGGGUUUAUUUGAUGGUGUCCACACUAUGGAAGAAGCUAGAAAUAAAGUAUUGACGGUUGUGGCUAAUCUCAAAGCGUCUGCCUUGUUGCUUGAUGGUUAUAAUGAUAAGCGCUUUGAUAUCCAUGAUGUUGUUUGGGAUGCUGCUAUUGCUAUUGCAUUGAAGGACUACCGUAUGCUUGUUUUGAGAGAUCAUGCUCCAAAGGAGUGGUCCGAUAAGGAGAAAAUGAAGACGUGGAAUGUGAUCAGCUUACGUUGUCCUCAUAUUAUAGCUAACCUUCCUAAGGAGAUGGAGUGUUCAGGACUUUCCUUUUUCCAUAUGGCCUAUGAUGGCGCGGUUAAAAUUCCUCUCAAUUUCUUCAAACAAACCGAAGGCCUCAAAGCCUUAGAUUUGGUCGGAAUGCAGUUUCAAUCCCUCCGUAAAUCAAUUAUUCACCUUGCAGACCUUCGCAUGUUGUGUCUGAAAAAAUGUGCAGUUGAUGACAUAACCAUCCUUGGAGAGCUCAAGAGUUUACAAGUACUCAACCUUUCUCAGUCAGGUAUCAAAGAACUACCUAAGGAGAUGGCACAAUUGACUCAAUUAAGGUUGUUAGAUUUGAGUUGGUGUAGAGAACUCAAAAUCAUCCCACCGAAUGUCUUAUCAGGUUUGUCUAAAUUAGAAGAAUUAUAUAUGGAUGAAAGCUUUGUUGAAUGGGAAAAGGGAGGAGUAGUUGAAAAUGAGAGGAAAAAUGCAAGCCUUGAUGAAUUAGAACAAUUUGCCUUGUCUAACUACUUUAUAUGUUCAUAUUCUUGAUCUCCAAAUGAUACCAAAACACUGGUUUGUUGAAACAUUGGACAGAUUCAGGAUUUUCGUGGGUAAUUAUGGAAUAUUUGAUUGUUGCCUUAAUUAUGAAUCUCCGAAAGCAUUGAAGCUCAAGUUAUAUACAAACAUUGAUUUGGACAAUGGGAUGAAAAAGUUGUUGAUAAAGACAGAAGAUUUGUGCCUAGAGGGACUUAAAGGCGUCAAGAAUGUACUUGUGAAGUUAAAUAAUAGGAAAGAUCUUCUAAAUUUAAAGAGACUUCAUGUCAAAAAUGGUAGGCAUGUCCAAUAUAUUAAAACGAACAAAAUUGGAUUUUCUGAAUUAUGCUUCAUCACACUUGAAAAUCUACCGCAACUCGUUAGCUUUUGCUCUCCAGACGAAAGGUGUUCCACUAUGCCCUUCCUACUUUUCAAUAAACAGGUAUUUGUUUGGCUUUACUUAUAUUUCCUUAUACAACUUUUAUUUAUAUGCCCAUUAAUACUUCUAAUAAUAGAAAUAAAUAAUAUUGUCUAAUGGUUUUUCCGAGCUCAAAAAUAAAUUUCAAAUCCAAAACAAAUGAAAAUUUAAUUUUUAAUCCAAACCGAUUGAAAGUACAAAGUCAAUUCAAUAAUCUAAAUUUAAACCUAACAUUUUUUUUUAAUUCUGAAAAUGAAAUUUGAGCCCACAAAUCGAGCUAAAAUUAUCUUUAAAAUCGAAAAUCAUAUUUUCAAAUUAUGUUACAUACUAUCUUUCCCUAUCGAAAAAGAAUUGUGUGUAAAUAUGUGCAAUUUAUUUUCCCUCACUUGGAAAGCUUGUAAUUGUGUUCCAUUAACACCAAAAUAAUAUGGCACAACCAGACAUGUCAUUGGGUUACGAAUUUGAGGAGCUUGAUCAUCAAAGGAUGCGGCAAGUUGGAGCAUCUGUUAUCACUUUCUCUCGCUAGAAGUCUGGUGCAGCUCCAAUGCUUUGAGAUAAAGGAUUGCAACUGCUUAAGGGACAUAAUACUUACAGAGGAAAUUGAAGAAGAAAGGAAAGAUGUGAUUUGUUUCCCUCGAUUAAACUCCCUGCAUAUAGUGGGUCUUCCAAACCUCAUCUUCUUCAACUCAGGAAACCACAAUAUUGAGUUCCCAUUGUUGAAAGUGCUAAAGAUUGAGCGUUGCCCCAAUUUUAUAGAAUUCAUUAGUCAGAGUAGUAAUCAGUCUGGCAUGCACGCUCUCUUCAGUGAGAAGGUGAUUUAUUUCAGUAGUCUUACACUCUUGCAUAAAUCUGUUGAUUUGUCCUUGUUAUUUUGUCUGGCAUUAUAUGAGCUAACUUUUGUACUGGCACGAAUUUUAAAUAGGUUGCAUUUCCUAGGUUGGAAAAGAUGACAAUCAAAAAGUUGAGAAAUGUGAAAAUGAUGUUUCAUAAUAACUUUGCACCAGGUUCUUUUCAAAAUCUACGAGUAAUAAGAGUUGAGGGAUGUGGGAGUCUGAAAAAUCUAUUUCCAGUGUCAAUAGCCAAAGAUCUUCCACAACUUGAAGAUUUAUGCAUCACUAAUUGUGGAGUGGAGGAGAUUGUAUCGAAAGGGGAAGGAGUGGAGGAGCAGCCUGUGAGGUUUGAGUUUCCGCAAGUGUCUUCCCUUGAGGUUACAUCCCUAAAAGAGCUCAAAUGUUUCUAUGAAGGGCAACAUACAAUAGUCUGGCCCCUGUUGAAAAAAUUGAAAACAGAUUGUUCUGCUUUGCUAAAGAUAGUGGCUUCGGAACAUCUUAGAUUAAUCCAAGGAAAUGAGCAGCCAGUUUUGUUGGUUGAAGAGGUAUGUAUAUCAUUACAACUAUAUUUCUUUUUAUGAUUUAAGCCACCGUCACAUCCAUCUCUUGUUGAUAUAUAUAUUAUUUGAAACGGUGGUUGCUUAUCCAUUUUAAUUCGGAUUUUUUAUGCACUUCUUUCAGCUUAUUUUUAUCAUUUUUUUAUUUCUAAGGUAUUGUGCUUUCUUAAAACAAAAUAUUCAUCUAUUUUGGAUUGGUUUGAUUUAAUAUUGAUUUUGUUGAGAUUUAAUCAUCGAUAUCAAACACCAAAAUUGUAGAUCUUAUGUUCUUUUUAAGCAUAUAGAUCAACAUUGUGCCUAACUUGUUUAUGUUUAAAUGGUUUCAAGGUCAUUCCCAAUUUAGAGGAACUUGAGUUAUUAAAUUGGGUAAACUACACCCAUGAUCACUUUUGUUUACCUUAGGUUACGUUUUAGUCACUUUUGUUUGAAAUGUUACGUUUUAGUCAUUUACGUUAUCAUGUUGUAACAUUUUAGUCACUGAGCCAUUAAUCGUCGUUAAUGGUGUAACGGUAAGCUGACGUGGCACGUUAAAUCAUCAUUUCAAACAAAAUUUUAGGUUAAAUUAUACAAUUGAUCCCCAUAUUUUUUUCGUUUUAAGUAAUUUAAUUUUUUUUCUUUUAUGUUCUUUAAACUUUCCUCUUUUUUUCCAUUCUCUUUUGUUUCUCCCUCUGUUUUCAUACAUUUCUCAUUUCUUUUAACAUAUUAGGAAGUCGAAUUGGCAAUGAAAAAGAAGUAGGAAGUCGACUGUCAUUAUUUGCCUAUAACCAAAACCCAUAAACCCAUACAAUGCUUCUUUCUUUACUACCAAUUCGACUUCCUGGUAUGUUAAAAGAAAUAAAAAAGGUAGAAAAACAGAAGAAGAAGAAGAAGAGAAUGGAAAAGAAAAAAGAAAAAAAGAAAGAGAAAGUUAAAAGAACAUAAAAGAAUUAAAUUGCUCAAAAUGAAUAAUUAUGGGGACCAAUUGUAUAAUUUAACUUAAAGUUUUUGUUUGAAAUGAUGAUUUAACGUGCCACGUCAGCUUACCAUUACACCAUUAAUGACAAUUAACGGCUCAGUGACUAAAAUGUUACAACACGAUAACAUAAGUGACUAAAACGUAACAUUUCAAACAUAAAUGACUGAAAUGUAACUUAAGAUAAACAAAAGUGACCAUGGGUGUAGUUUACCCUAUUAAAUUUUGGUGAUAUGGACCAGUUUCCACCAGCCUUGUUUCAAGAUAUUAAAGUUUUUGUUGUGUGUGGUGGCUCUCGAUCUUCUAUAUUUCCUUUCGUCCGAAGAUUUUACAAUUUGGAUAGUUUUUGGCUUUUUGGUUUUGAUUUCAAAUACGUAGUCCCUUGUAAAGGAGACGUUGGGACUCUCACACCAAUUAGAAAUCUGAUGCUGGAUCGUGCAAUGAAUCUUUAUCAUAUAUGGAGGAAAGAUUUGGAGUUUGACCAUAUUCUUUCUAAUCUCCAAAAACUCGAAGUUUGGGAAUGUGAUGAUUUGAUAAAUAUUACAGUCUCCUCCUCAUCUUUGCAAAAUCUCACAACUUUGGAUGUGUCAUUUUGUCAAAUGAUGACAAACUUAGUUACACCCUUAGUGGUUAAGAAUCUUGUGCAAUUAACGAGAAUGAGUGUGGCGGGGUGCAGUAAAAUGACAGAAAUAGUGGGAAAUGGGGGAGACUGCCAUCAGACAAUAGUUGUGAGUAAAUUGAAAUGUUUAGAACUAAGCUAUUUAGAGAGCCUCACAAGCUUUUGUUCAAGGAAUUACACCUUCAACUUCCCUUGUUUGGAAGAAUUAGUUGUGGAACGCUGUCCUAGAUUAAAGACCUUUACUGAAGGAGUUUUAAGCACCCCACAGUUACAAAGAGUAAUACAGUCGCGUUACCCUGAGAAAUGGAGUUGGGCAAGUGACUUAAAUACCACCAUACAACAGCUCUACACGGAAAAGGUACUAAAUUAAUAAGUUCAUAAAACUAGUUAGCUUCUUCCUGUCCUAAUAAAAUUAAUUUUAUUAAUACUUCAUUAAUCAUUGAAGAGUGUUUAUCGUUAUUUUGUUAUUGUUUGCAUUUUCUAUUUGUGAUUGCUAUCUAGUGGAAUAAUAUUAUAAAUUUUUUUUUAGGAUGGAUUCUAUGACGGAUACAAUUUGGACAUCUCUGACACAAUUCCCAAGUCAAUAGAAAUAUGGAUUAGAAACCCUCAAGAAAUUUUGGGCUUCAAAAACCUUGUUUCGUUGCAUUUUUAUAAAUGUAGUAGCUUGAAGUACGUAUUUACUUCGUCUAUGCUUUUGAGCCUCAAUCAACUACAAUGGAUAAAAGUAAAAGAAUGCAGUUCAAUGGAACAAGUGAUUAGGGAGGAAGCAAUGACAGAUAAAUUCACAUUUCUUGCACUCUUCUCCAUAAGAAUUGAGUUGUGUUCCAACUUGACAAAUUUCUAUUUGGGAAGUCAAGCUCUUGAAUUUCCAGAGUUGUAUGAAAUCGCAAUAUUUGAGUGUCCAAAAAUGACUACAUUUUCUUCCUCGGUUUCAAGAGGAGGUGGUGAUGCAAGUGAAAACGUGGUUGGCGAGGGGGGCGUCUAUGAUAACCCUGCAAUUUUUUUCAGCAAUAAGGUAAGUUUAGUAUUCAAUAUUUAUCUGCACAACUUAUUUCACAUUUUCCUUUUAUUUGAUUAAUUUAUAUGAGUGUGUCUGGUCUAUAUAUAUAUAUAUAUAUUAGUGUUAAUGUCACGUGAUACGUGUUGAAAAAAAUUAAUAUAAUAAAAUCCAUAAAAAUAUUAAUAAAUAAGAUAAUGUUUUUUAAUUUGAAGUUUAAAGUAUAAAUAAAUAUAUAAAAUAAGAAUAAAGGAAAAACUUGAAAGUGAAAUACUAAUAAACAAUAAGAAUUUAAGAGAAGUUUUAAAGUUAAUACUAAUGGACAAUAAAUAAUAAAAUAAUAAUAGAAAAUAAAAUAAAAAACUAAUCUUCAUCUAUUUUAAUUUGAAGAAUAUUUGAUGUAUUGGUGGUACACAAGUUUCAUGUAUCAUCGGUGAAUAAAAACAUACAAUUAUCAUUAAAUACCACAAAAAUAUAGUAAAGGGUUAUAAAUAAAUACUAAUAAAUUUAUGUAAACAUAAUUAAAUAAAAAUUAAUUAUAAUUAAAUGUUAAAACCCUAAAUCCUAAACUUGAAAUUCUAAGCCCUUAAACAUAAGAUCUUAAAUCCGAAAGUUAUUAAUAUUUAUUUAUAAUAGCUACGACUAGUGUUAAAUAAAUUUUUCAUCUUUUUUAACUUUUGAACUUGCAUUUUUGUCAAAUCACCUUAAAAUGAAUGAAAAAGUUUAUGUUUGUUAACUUCGCUUAUGUGGCAAUCCAUGUGUAUGCAAAAUUAGCAAUUAAUUAAUUUUAAAAUAUUUUAUAUAUUUUUAAAUAUUUUUAUAAAAUUUUCAAAAUAAAAUAAAAAUUAAUUGUUGACAUGUCAUCUACGGGCAAUCCAAUGUAUAUAACAUCAGCAAAGUUAACAAAUGUCAAUUUUUUUUCUCUGCUUUGAAUGAUUUGACAAAUAACACAAGUUCAAAGGAUAAAAGAAAUAAAAAUUAAAAUAGAGAGCUAAAAUGAAAUUUUUUUAGAAAGUUGGAGGGUUAAAUAAAUUAUCUAUGCCUAACUCUUAAAAAAGGUAACUCAUUAAAUAACUUAAGUAAUUAAUGUAAAUCGUUAAUGGAAACUACAUAAAUAUGUGAGUCCAACUUAAUUAGAAACAAGCAUAUUCCCCUGUCGAAUUGCAUCAAUAAUAAUCAUUCAACAAUCAUUAUAGUAUAUAUGAAAGCUCUAAGUUGUAUAGAAAAAGGCUUCUUUCUUUAAAAAGAAAAAAAAACAAGUUUUGCUUUAGGUUAGAUUUAUGCUGCUGAACAUUUUAUCUAAAUAAAAAAGGUCCACGUCUGCUAGCUAUAUUUAUCAGUUUAUAAAUCUUCAUACUCAUCUACUCUUUUUGAUUGUGUUUGUAAGUAAAGAAGGAAGAGUUAUGGUGUUAUCUUAUAAUGAAAUUUAUGUCAACAGGUUGUCAUUCCUUGUUUGCAGCAUCUGGAAUUGUCCUUCGUUAACAUUCAUGAGAUAUGGCACCACCCAUCCUCCCCAUCCAUCAGAUUCCUAAAUUCCUUGCAAGUGAAGAGGUGUCACAAUUUGAAAUACCUGUUCCCAUCUUUCUUGGUAAAAGAUCUUGUGCAACUCCGACGCCUUGAAAUUUUGGACUGUAAUAUGAUGGAACAAGUAAUAUUCACGGAUGGAUUGGUUGAAGAACAUCAAGGGAGGAAUCAGAUGUUUUUCUCUGAACUAGAAUUGCUGUGGCUAAAAGACCUUCCCAAACUCACAAGUUUCUGCUUUGAGAAUUACUUUGAAUUCCAAUGUUUGACAGAUUUAGAACUAACAAAUUGUCCAUUGCUAAAAACAUUGAUCACUAAAUGUGUAUCCGAAGGUGAACCUGAAAUUGGCCAACAUGUACAAGCGAGUAACUUGGAGGUUCAUAACUCAUCUCUCCUCAAUGAAAAGGUCAUUUCUUUACGGGUUCUCCUUUUAAUUUAUGUUGCUUCGAUUGAUCUUAUUCAUUUGAAGUUCUUUCUUUUCCAUGCAUAUUUCAGUUAUUAACCUAAUGAAAUUGUAAUACCCAAUUUUAGCCCGGGCUCACAUAUGGAAACAUAAUUUUUGAGGAUAUGCAAUCUUAUAUAUGAUAUGCAAUCCUAGACAUUAUAUGCAAUCUUAGAUAUGAUGUAUAAUCUUUGAUAUGACAUGCAAUCUUAGAAGAUAUGAUUUUGUAAUCUUAGAGAUACCCUUUAAUUUCAGCCAUUGAUGUAAUUGAUCUGUACCGUUGGAUUUGGGGAGACUCAACUAUAAAUAGAGGCCUCUCCCUUCAUUGUAAAAGUGGGGGGAAGAGAAAAAAAGGGAAGAGAAAAAAAGAGGAAGAGGAAUAAAAAAGAGAAUGAUUGGCAGUUUUUAAAGGUGGCUUACUAUUUUUUUUCUUUCGAUUAUUUUUUUACUUAUUUACGAUUUUAAAAAGGAGAAGAAGGUGAUACCACUGUGAAUUUUAUUUAUUUAUUUUAUUUAGCCCCUCCGCCUUUUAAUGUUUUUGUAAUUAAGUUUUUUUUCUUAAUUUAUCCUUUUAUUUAUUUUUAUUUCAAUUGGGUCUAAGUUGAACGGCGUCGUUUUAGAGGAGAAGGGAAAAUUUCCCUUCCAGCCCCUCUAUGUAAUUCGCGUGUUCAAAUUAAUCCUUUUACUUUUAUUUAUUUGCGAAUUUACCCCAGUUUUUUUAUUGCAAUUCAAUUUAGUUUUUCUUUUCUUUCUUUUCAUUUAUUUUAUUAAUUAAUAACGUAAUCAUCUUUUUUAUUUUUAUUUUUUUAAAAUCUAUACAUGUAUAUUUUUAUGCACAUUUUUUUAAACUUAUAUUUUUCUCAGAUUUAUAUAUAUAUGUACGUAUAUAUAUUUUUUAAUGUACUCAUUAUUUAACUGUUUUUUAUCUAUAUAUAUUCCUUUUAUAUGUACGUGUAUAUAUUUAUUUUUAACGAAUAUUUUUCCUAUAUUUUUUUAAAUGAAUAUUUUCAUCUUUAUAUGUAUAUAUUUAUGAUUUUUUAAAAUGAUUAAAUACUCACUUUUCCUUUUAAAACACACCCUUUUUUAUUAUUUUAUAUAUGUACGUAUAAUUAUAUUUUUCUUUAUUUUCAUAAGUAUAUUAUGUAUUAUAUAUAUGUAUAAAUUCUAUAACCCAAAAUUUUAUUUGUAUAUUAUAUUUAUAUUUUUAAUCUUCAUAACUUUCAUGUGUAUAUUAUAUGUCUUCUAAUCUUUAUUUAUUUUGUUUGCUAUCCCAUCCAUUGUAUAAUUGUCUUUACAUUUAAUAUUUUGCAUGUCAUGGAUUACCUUUUUUUAUUUCGUUUAUUCAUUUGCUUAUAUUAUUUUUAUGUCGAUGAUGUAUUUAUUAUUAUUAUUAUUAUAGCAUUUGUAUGUAUAAAAUCACGUUACAUCAUUUUUUACUCAAAUUUAAAGAUAGAAAAUUUUUUAAAAUUGAGAUAAUGUUCGUAUUUGAGAUUUUCAAGGGAAUUGAGCCCUAACGUAUUGGGUUCUGAUUUUCUUCGUUAAAUCCGACAAUCGAGCAUUUCUCUUCAAUCAAGAAAAUAAUAAAAACUCAUUAUUGGGAAUUCAACACGUUGUGUCCUAACGUAUUGGAUGUGACGCAUUGAUUUCUCGAAAUGAAGAUUUUUUUUUAAAAUCAUGAAGGAAAUAUUCCGAGUUUGAGAUUCUAAAGGAAUUGUGCCCUAACGUAUUGGGUGUGAUUUCUUAAAUCUUGGAUAAGUGGAUGUUCUUUUAAAGUAAAGGAAAUAUUCCGAGUUUGGGAUUCUAAAGGGAUCGUGCCCUAACGUAUUGGGUGUGAUUUCUUAAAUCUUGGAUGAGUGGAUGUUCUUUUAAAGUUUUAUUGUAUAAGUAUUCUGACCUAAUUCAUUUUGGAGGAAAUUAGAAUGUUGUGCCCUAACGUAUUGGGUGUGGCAUUUUUGCUUCUCUGAAUUGAAAAGGGUCUUAAUAUGUAACGUUUUAAGUUUUUAAAGAUUAUAUUUUUAAAAUUUUCGACCUUAAGGCAUUAAUUAAUUAACUAGGUACCAAUUUUUGGGCGUAAUGAGGGUGCUAAUCCUUCCUCAUGCGUAACCGACUCCCGGACCCGUUCUUCUAAAAUUCGUAGACCAAAGUCGUUUUUAGGUGACCCAAUCACACCUUAAUAAAAGAUUGGUGGCGACUCCCAAUUUCAUUUUUUUUUAAGUCGACAACCUAAAAUUUUUGUUUUUCAAAAAUGGUUUCGACAGAAAUGAUUUAGCAGGUUGUUUUCCCUAGUUUGGAGAAGUUGCGGAUUCAGAAUUGUGAUUCGUUAGAACAAAUUAUUGAGCUGCAAGGAGUCAUUGCUGAUGAGUCACAGUCAACAUCAGCUACUCAGUCUAUUAUGGCUGAAACAGAGACGACCAAGUUUGUAUUUCCCAAACUAAUAAACCUCGGAUUGGAUAAGGUGCCGAGAUUGAAAAGUUUCUACUCUAGGAUGCAUACCACCCAGUGGCCUUCAUUGAAACAAAUGGACAUUAUUGAAUGUCCCAAAGUACAGAUAUUAACUCCACAAUGUCCUGAGUGUCAGGUUGGAAUCUCAAACCAACAACCCUUGUUUUGCGUCAACGAGGUGAGCUCACUAAUAGUUUCAUACUCCAUGUUCAUUACUUGAGAUUACCUAUAAAAUGCCUUUUGAAAUAACUAAUAUUCUCACCUUCCUUUUAAAUUUAUGAGAAAUAAAAUGGAAAUGAUAUCCAUUCUGUAGUCUAGUUCUUACCAAUUCAAAACUCUUUGAUCAAUGUUUAAUAUAUUCGUUGCCAUCCAGGACACUUUCCCUAUAUUAGAAGAACUGACACUAAAGACGAAUGAUAUGGUGAAGGGGAUAUGUGAUGGACAGCUCUCAUUGCAGUGUUUCCAAAACCUUAAACUUCUUAACCUCCAAUUGUUUCCUGAGGCAUCCACUACUCUUCCAUAUUCAUUCAUUCGGUCACUACCAAUGCUUCAUAAGCUUGUUAUAGACAAUGCUUCCAUUUGUCAAAUAGUACAAUCUGAAGGACUCAGCUACGACGAAAGGAAUACAUCAGUGUUCUAUCAGCUAAAGGAAUUAAGUUUGUGUCAACUUCCAGAGUUGACGUUAAAGACUUUUGAACCAUCUUUGCUGUCUUUCAAAAAUCUAACAACACUGGAAGUUUCAAGCUGCCAUGGGUUCAUCAAUUUAAUCGCAUGCUCAACAGCUAAGUGCCUGACGCUACUGGAAAGAUUGAGCAUAGAUGAUUGUGGGAUGAUUGAGGAAAUCAUAGCGUGUGAGGCUGAAGAAAUGCAAGGCGGCAUUGUAUUUCCCAAACUGCAGUAUUUGCAACUAAGCUGUCUGCCAUGUCUAGCAAGCUUUUCCUUGGCCCAUCACUUGUUGGAAUUCCCAGUCUUGCUAAUGGUGAAGGUGACAAAGUGCUCCAAAAUGAGGAAUUUCUGCCAAGGAGAUUUAAGCACACCAAGGCUGGAACAAAUGCACUUAACAAGAGAUGAGGAAGGUGAACUGCAGUGGGAAGGCGACCUUAACACUACCAUAAAACAUAUGUUCGAUGAAAUGGUACAAAUCAUUUAAAGGAUUUAAAUUCAUGUGUUUUUACAUACAUACAUAGUUAACUGAAUAAUUCUUGGUUUGUUAUGAUCAUGCACAGAAUGUGCAAAAUUUGGAGGUGACGGAGGUUACUGAUCAGUUGCCCAAGCUGGAAUAAGGAAAUAUGUUUGGGUGCUUAUGCGAAAAGCUCAGUUUCGUUUCAAAUAAAAACAAAUGGUAAUUGACUUCUAUUUCAUUAUGGCUUAACUAAUGCUUUAUAAAGUGACCAUAGAGACGCCCUUUCUAUUGUAGGUUGAGUUGCUCUACUGAAGCACAUGGCUGCAUCUGUUGGUAGAACGUGAAAGGUUAUUUCAGUUUUUGUAAAACUACAAUUUGAACUGUUCCAUUUCACAACAUAACCUCAAUAUUGAAUUUCAAGUGCAUCAUGCAUGACAUUGGGAACUACAAACAUGCAAACUUUUACUAGUAAGGUUGACCCCUGUUUUAAUAUUCGAAUUCUUCUUAAAGGUGGAUGGAUUUGCCAACUUUUGAUGGUUACCAUAUCAAUAUCAGCUUGGGGUUUAGACGAUGUGAUUAAGAUUGCUAUACAUACUGUGUUUGUGCUUGUGUCAUCUUUCUUGUUCUCUCUAUAAAGAUUAUUACGUACUUAUUUCUAUGCAAUCUCACAAUUUUCUGAUGAAAAAAGUUAAAGCUAAUAACUCCAUUCCCAAGUUUCCCAUAUUCAUCCUCACAAAAACAUAAAUGAUAAAAACCCCAUUUCUCUUUUAGUCAAUAGGAGAAACAAUCUAAAGUUAGAAUAAAACAAACCAAUGCCAUGUUUAUAUUGAAUUAAAUCGCAUGCAUACAUGUAUCAAUUGUUCUGUAGUGAACAGCAGUCACGUUAUAUUCAACUAUGGCAUCUCCAUCUUAUUAAACCAAGCUACAAUGUGAUUAUUCAAGUGCUAUCCAUGUGAUUAUUCUUAUAUUUAAAUAUAAUAAGUUCAUUUAAUAAUUUUUAUAAUAAAUAUAAUAAUUCAAUCAAUAUCAAUUAAGCGAAUUUUUAAUCAAUCAAUUGAAUUUAAUCUGAUUAUAAAAAGUCAAUAAUCCAAACUUAUUCAAUUCGGAUUCAAAUGAACUUGAAAGGGAUUUAUUGGAAAAUUCAAUCUUCAAACUCAAGUGAUUUGAAUUUUGUUAGGGAUUGACCCGGUUAAGCAACGAACAAGUAAAAAUAAGGAAAGAAAUUAAGAAAUUGAACACACAAAUUUAACAUGUUAAAACCCCUCCAAAGAGGAUAAAAAAUCACGAGUAAAGAUAAUUUUACUAUGAUGGCAAAAGAAUGAAGAGUAUAGAAGAUGAAGAUAAAAACUAAAUCCCAAAAACCAAAUUCAUAGGUCAAAUAAUAAUAAAAUAAUCUAGAUUAAUCAGAGUUUGAUUAAAAUAAAUAAAUACAAUCUAACUAUUGAUAACAAGUGCUAUCCAUGUGAUUAUUCUUAUAUUUAAAUAUAAUAAGUUCAUUUAAUAAUUUUUAUAAUAAAUAUAAUAAUUCAAUCAAUAUCAAUUAAGCGAAUUUUUAAUCAAUCAAUUGAAUUUAAUCUAAUUAUAAAAAGUCAACAAUCCAAACUUAUUCAAUUCGGAUUCAAAUGAACUUAAAAGGAAUUUAUUGGAAAAUUCAAUCUUCAAACUCAAGUGAUUUGAACUUUGUUAGGGAUUGACCCGGUUAAGCAAUGAACAAUUAAAAAUAGCAAAAGAAAUUAAGAAAUUGAACACACAAAUUUAACAUGUUAAAACUUCUCCAAAGAGGAUAAAAAAUUACAGGUAAAAAUAAUUUUACUAUGAUGGCAAAAGAAUGAAGAGUACAAAAGAUCAAUAUAAAAACUAAAUCCCAAAAAUCAUAUUGAUAGGUCAAAUAAUAAUAAAAUAAUCUAGAUUAAUAAGAAUUUGAUUAAAACAAAUAAACACAGUUUAACUAGAAUAUUAUUUCUCAAAUUUGACUGAAAUAGGAGUUAUACUCAACAAACUCAAACAUAAAAUUAUUACUUGGAUGUGAAUGAUUUGAAUUGAAAUGGUGUGAGGCCCCAUUAUGCUGUCAGCGAAAUCUAAAGAUUGGGGCCCCAAACCAUUCAAAUUCCAGGACUGUUGGAUGCAAGCUAAAGAGUUAGAUCGACUUAUUCAUGAUCGAUGGAAGGAAAUGGAGGUUCACGGCCAGGCAAAUCAGGCCUUGAGAAUGAAACUAAGUCCUUUAAAGUGUUCUCUGAAAAUGGAACAAAAAUUUCUUUUGGUAGUUUGGAUCAUAGAAUCCACUUGAUAGAAAAUGAAGUGGAGGAUGUUGAUAAAAGGGGCGAUAUUUCGGUCAUGACCGAGGAGGAUGUCAACCGUGGAAAAGAGACUACGGGUGAAUUAUGGAAACUUAAUCGUUCUCGAGAAAUCUUAUGGAGACAAAAAUCUAGAGUAAAGUGGAUUGGGGAAGGCGACCGUAAUGCAAGUUUCUUCCAGUGCAAAGCCAAAUUUAGAGCUAGGAGUAAUUGCAUUGAAGGUCUGUUUGCGAGCGGAUUUCUUGUCCGAACUUAGUCAAAAAUGCAAUUUGGGAAUACUUCCGAAAACAGUUCUGUGGCGUUCAUUGGGACAAACCUACUUUAAGGGGUUCGGAUUUUACGAUAUCUUUGCUUCUUCCCAAUGGUCUCAAAGCAUGUUUUGGUGUUUGAGUCUGAUUCAAUGGUUGCGUUGACAGGCCUGCCUCCUAUGUGGCUUGGCUGUUGUUUAUUGCACCUUUGUACUUCAAAAUAAUUUCAACUCUUUCAAUCCGAAUUAAAUUGAUUCGAACUUUAAAUAAUGAGUGAUAAACUUAAAAUUAUCUUAUUAGAAAAUUUAAACUUCAAAAUAAAUUGAGUGACUUAAACUUAAAUUUAACUUUAAUAUGAAACUGAUUUGAAUCCAAAUGAUUUUAAAAUUUCUAAUUUCGAAUUAAUCUAUCUAGAUCAAAAACCAACUCUAGUUAUAGCUUGACCCAUCACAAAAAUAUAAAAGAUAAUUUGAGAACAUAUGAGGCAACUUGUAGGUAUGGUGUAUAUGUAAUUGGAUAAUUACCCUCUCCCUAAAAAAUUAUGUCGCAGCGUACUCAAUUAUAUAUCUAGGGGUUUUUUUUCCCUUUUUGAUGUGGGAUUAAUGACUUUAAUCAUGUGUCCUUAAAUGACUCAGAGUUCGGAAUCACGAGUGAUAAAAGGCUCUGGUGUUUAACAAUCAACUAGACUCAACCAGAGCUCGGUAAUCAGCUGGACGAACAGAGUAAGCGAUAUCAAACAUUAAGCGCAUAAUUUCAGAUUCUUUGGACUCCAGCCGAGCUAAAGCUAACAUAAGCGAAAGCUAUCAUAUCAAACGGCUCGAUGCAUUUGCCGAAGUAUAAUUUGGAAAAUGUUUUGGACUGUUUUGAGGAGCUUGGGUGAUGUUGGCCAUUCAUAACAAAUAUAAAUUUCCCAUGGUUUAAGUGCAUUUGUCCUUUUGUUUCUAUAGCAUGCGAUCUAGGGAGAGGUCGUGUUGAUACAUUGAAUCAAUGGAUGUGAAGAUGGAAGGGAAUGAAUUCUAAGAAAACACACCAAAGUUAUUGAUUUGAUGAAAAAAUAAAAAAAAUGUUGUAUAAUUAUAUUAAAAAUAACCCGACUCGAAAUCUGACCUAGGAUCCGACCCUAUAUAAUAGAAUUCUACAAACAUCCCAUAAAAAAAGAAGAAUCUUCUUCUUUAUGGCUAGACAAGAAUUCUCUCUUCUCCAUCUCCACAUCCGUUGAUCUAAUGAAUCAACAAUCAGCAGUAUUUUAGACUGUAUAUUUGAUUUAUAAUGUAUUAAUUAGUUCAAAUGAUUAAUAUAAUUUGAAAGCAUAUUUUUAAAUCUAAAAAGUAGAAUGGCUAAAUUCUUGAAAAUAAAAAUAGAGUAACUAAGUUUUAAAGGUACGAAAUAAGACCUUCAAGUAUAUUUUAACCUUCAAUUUUUUACUUUAUAAUUUGAUACAAAUAAAUAACCAAUCCAAUGUGAAACAUAAAUGGAUUAUACUAAUUAUUGUAAUAAUUAAAUUUUUUUUAAUGUCGUUUGUGAAAUUAAAUAACAACGUUAAAAGGCUAAUCCUUUUCACAACAUGCCUAUAUCCUCAUUUAAUAAAUGAUUUUAAUUUUGGGUAAACUACAAAAAUAGUCACAUUUGUUUGUCUCAGAUUACAUUUUAGUCACUUAUGUUUGAAAUGUUACGUUUUAGUCACUUACGUUAUCGUUUUGUUACAAAGUGAUCACUCUAUUGUUAAGCUCCGUUACCUCCCUAACGGCGGUCCUACGUGGCAGUCCAAAUGAGUUUUAAUUGUCAACUUGGAUGUCCUAUGUGACAGUCCAAAUUGAAUUUUAUUUAAGUAAAAACCUAUUUUCAUCCCAACAACUAGACAUCCAAGUUGGCAUUUAAAACCCAUUUGGACUGCCACGUAGGACUUCUAUUAGGGAGGUAACGGAUUUUAACAGUAGUGUGACCGCUUCGUAACAAAACGAUAACAUAAGUGACUAAAAUGUAACAUUUUAAACAUAAGUGACUAAAAUGUAAUUUGAGGUAAACAAAAGUGACUAUUUUUGUGGUUUACCCUUUAAUUUUUAUAUAAUUCUUCAUUCAACUUAAUGUAGUUCAAAGUUGAUUAUAGAGGUGAAACUAGGAAUUUUUUUUUUGGAUCAGGGUUAAAUUGUACGAUAGUAAAAAUAUAAUUUUAUCAUUUUAAUAGUCUAUAUUUUUAUAAUUUUUAAAGGAUUAACCAAAAUUUUAUUAUUUGGGGGUUAAAAUAUAAUUUACUAUUAUUAGUUUAAAAAAUUUUAAAGGAUUAACCAAUGUUUGACAGAUUUAGAACUAACAAAUUGUCCAUUGCUAAAAACAUUCAUCACUAAAUGUGUAUCCGAAGAUGAACCUGAAAUUGGCCAACAUGUACAAGCGAGUAACUUGGAGGUUCAUAACUCAUCUCUCCUCAAUGAAAAGGUCAUUUCUUUAAGGGUUCUCCUUUUAAUUUAUGUUGCUUCGAUUGAUCUUAUUCAUUUGAAGUUCUUUCUUUUCCAUGCAUAUUUCAGUUAUUAACCUAAUGAAAUGAUUUAGCAAGUUGUUUUCCCUAGUUUGGAGAAGUUGUGGAUUCAGAAUUGUGAUUCGUUAGAACAAAUUAUUGAGCUGCAAGGAGUCAUUGCUGAUGAGUCACAGUCAACAUCAGCUGCUCAAUCGAUUAUGGCUGAAACAGAGACGACCAAGUUUGUAUUUCCCAAACUAAUAAACCUUGGAUUGGAUAAGGUGCCGAGAUUGAAAAGUUUCUACUCUAGGAUGCAUACCACCCAGUGGCCUUCAUUGAAACAAAUGGACAUUAUUGAAUGCCCCAAAGUACAGAUAUUUACUCCACAAUGUCUUGAGUGUCAGGUUGGAAUCUCAAACCAACAACCCUUGUUUUGCGUCAACGAGAUGAGCUCACUAACAGUUUCAUACUCCAUGUUCAUUAGUUGAGAUUACUUAUAAAAUGCCUUUUGAAAUAACUAAUAUUCUCACCUUCCUUUUAAAUUUAUGAGAAAGAAAAUGGAAAUUAUAUUCAUUUUGUAGUGUAGUUAUUACUAACUGAAAACUCUUUGAUCAAUGUUUAAUAUAUUCGUCGCCAUCCAGGACACUUUCCCUGUACUAGAAGAACUAAUACUGAAGAUGAAUGAUAUGGUGAAGGGGAUAUGUGAUGGACAACUCUCAUUGCAGUGUUUCCAAAACCUUAAGCAUCUUAACCUCCAGUUCUUUACUGAGACAUCCACUACUCUUCCGUAUUCCUUCAUUCGGUCUCUACGAAUGCUUAAUAAGCUUGUUAUAGACAAUGCUUUCAUUUGUCAAAUAGUACAAUAUGAAGGACUCAGCGACCAGGAGAGGCAUACAUCAGCAUUCUAUCAGCUAAAGGAAUUAAGUUUGUGUCAACUUCCAGAGUUGAUGUUAAAGACUUUUGAACCAUCUUUGUUGUCUUUCAAAAAUCUAACAACACUGGAAGUUUCAAGAUGCCAUGGGUUCAUCAAUUUAAUCGCAUGCUCAACUGUUGGAACAUUGGCAGCAGCAAAAAUUAAGCAAGCUUACACAACAAAAUUUGCAAAACUGAAGCAAGAAGAAUCGAAGCAAAAAGAAACAAAGCAAAGCAAAGCAGUGAACAAAGUUGAAUAUUCAACAGAAUUGUAACUGAACAUCAUUAUUUUUCAUUUAAAAUUUGAAAUAUAAAAGUGUUACAAUUUGGUUUAAUUUGACAGUUACCUAAUAAUCUAACUACCUCCACUAAUGUUUAACUAAUACAAGCUUAAGUCACAUACAAAAUAAAUUGACAUAUCAGCUUUUACAUCAUCAAUCUAAUCACUAGCUUAAUCCUACUUGCUUUGUAAGCUAGUUAGAAGAGAACUAAACUAAAUAACAUUAAAACAAAACAACAAAAACUGGUUGCUUCAUUCGGUCCAAAAACCAAGCUUGCGCACCAAGCAAAAUGAGCUGAGCUCGAUAGCUGCUGCUGGUCUCGACAGUAGCUCGCUGCUGGCUUUAUGUUGCACUGCAGUCCAGCUCUCAACACUCCUCCUUGGACUGUAUGCAACACAUUCCAAUUGCACCUCUCAAUGAUUCAAAUCGAGCAGCCCCUAAGGGCUUGGUCAGUAUAUCAGCCAAUUGUGACCCUGAGCUGCAAUGCACAAGGCUGACUUCCUUUGCUUGUUCAGCCUCUCGAACAAAAUGCAGUUUAAUUUUAAAAUGCUUGGUUUUACCAUGAAACACAGGGUUCUUGGCUAUGGCAACUGCUGAUUUGUUAUCCACCCAAAUUUCAGUUGCAUCAGCUUGUGUUUCAUUUAGAUCCUGAAGCAGCUUCCUAAGCCAAAUGGCCUGAUUGACUGCUGUUGAUGCAGUAAUGUAUUCAUCUUCAGCUGUGGACUGAGCAACUGUUUGUUGCUUCUUUGAACUCCAGCAAAACAUGCCCGAUCCAAGUGUGAAGAAGUAUCUAGAGGUACUCUUCAUGUCAUCGAGGGAUCCUGCCCAGUCACUAUCAGAGUAGCCUUCUAGUUUCAGUUUCUUCCCAUUUUCAAACAUCACACCAAGGCUAGCUGUGCCUUUGAUGUAUCUAAGAACCCUUUUUGCAGCCUUCAAAUGUGUCUCAUUACAGCAAUGCAUGAACCUCGAUAGCAGACUAACACCAAACAUGAUGUCUGGCCUGGUUGCUGUUAGAUACAACAGACAACCUACUAGGCUUCGAUAGUGUCUCUCAUCAACCCUUUGCUGAUCACCACUACUGGUCAACUUUUCUCCAUGAGCCACAGGUGUACUGACUACUUUACAGUUAUGCAUGCAAAAUUUGCCUAGAAUCUUCAAAGCAAAUGUGUGUUGGCUGAUGAAGAUACCUCGAUCAGACUGGUGAACUUCCAUGCCAAGGAAGUAGUCAUGAUCCCCAAAUCUGUCAUCUCAAACACUUGCUGUAUUUGAACCUUGAACUCAUUAAUGAGCUCAACUUGGCUCCCUGUCACUAACAAGUCAUCUACAUACAAGGAGACAAUCAGCAAGGUUUCAAAUUCUGACCUCUUAACAUAUAGAGUAGGUUCACUAAGGCUCUUUACAAAUCCAAUCUUGGUCAGGUAAGCAUCAACUCUGUCAUACCAGGCCCUUGGUGCCUGUUUCAGGCCAUAGAGGGCCUUUCUCAACUUGUACACUUUAUCUUCAUGUUCAGCAACUUCAAAACCUUCAGGUUGCUCGAUGAAGAUCUCCUCCUUAAGAAAGCCAUUUAGAAAUGCUGACUUUACAUCCAAUUGAUGAACCCUCCACUGCUUCUAAGCUGCUAAAGCAAGCAGUAGCUUGAUUGUGUCCAGUCUUGCCACUGGAGCAAAAGUCUCCAAGAAGUCCACACCAUACUGCUGACUGUAACCUUUCACUACAAGCCUGGCCUUGUGCUUGUUCAGUGAGCCAUCAGUAUUGUACUUGGUCCGAUACACCCAUUUAACCCUAAUAACCUUCUUAUGUUCUGGUCUGCUCACCAAUUCCCAUGUUUCAUUCUUAUUGAUCAUUUCCAGCUCAGCUUCCAUAGCUUUCAUCCAACUUCUGUCCUUGGCAGCCUCUUCAAAGUCUGAGGGCUCAAUCACAGCAACAUUACACCUCUGAUAGACAUCAGCCAAAGUCCUGGUGCCCCUCACUGGUGCAUUAUCAAUAGCAUCAUCACUUGGUCCUUCUUCUGCAGGUUCAGCAACCAAGUCUAACUGGUCCAUUUCAGACCAACACCAUUCCAAUUCCACACCUUUUCCUCAUCAAACUUUACAUCACUGCUGACUAAGACCUUCUUUGCUGUAGGAUCAUACACUCUAUAACCUUUCUUGUUGCUGCUAUAGCCAACAAAGAUUCCUGGAGUGGCCCUGCUCUCGAGCUUGCUUCUCUUUUCCACUGGUAUAAGUGCAAAACAUACACAACCAAACACUUUCAAGUGUGUUACCAUAGGUUUGACUCCAUGCCAAGCCUCAAAAAGAGUCUUAUCCUUAACUGCUCGAGUUGGCAGUCUGUUGAGCAGAUACACUGAGGUGUUGACUGCCUCAGCCCAAAACUAGCUUGGAAGCUUGCCUUGAAACAAGAGGCACCUGGCCAUGUUCAGCACAGUCCUAUUCUUUCUCUCACAGACUCCAUUCUGUUGAGGAGUAUAGACUGUUGUAAGCUGAUGGUGAAUCCCAGCACUGUCACAAAGCUUCUGGAAUCUCUCAGACAUAUAUUCAGAGCCAUUAUCAGUCCUCAAGGCUUUAAUUUUACAGCCUGACUGAUUUUCAGCAUAUGCCUUGAAUUUACAGAAGGCCUCAAACACAUCUGACUUCUGCUUCAAGAAGUAGACCCAGCACAACCUUGUCAAAUCAUCUAUAAACAGGACAAAGUACCUGUUCUCAUUGAUUGAAGGUGUUCUCAUAGGACCACAAACAUCAGAGUGCACCAAUUCGAGCUUAUUUUGAGCUCUCCAAGCAUUGUCAGCAGGAAAAGGCAGUCUAGCCUGCUUACCAAGCUGACAAACCUCAAAAACAUUCCCACUAACCUCAAUUUUUGAAAUGUCUUCAACUAAAUUCAGCCUAUGUAGCAGAUCAAGAGAUCUGAAAUUGGCAUGGCCUAGUCUCCUAUGCCACAAGUCAGUGCUGUCAGCAAGGCUGGUGUAUGCCUUUCUUUCUACUUGGCUAACAUCCAGCAUGAAGCAUCUAUCAGUCAUAGAGACUGAGAUUAACUCCAGACCGUUCAUGUCUUGAACAGUACAGCAACCAUCCUUAAAUAACAAUGUAUAGCCCUUUUCAACUAAUUGGCCUACACUAAGCAAAUUCUGGUCUAAAUCAGGUACAAAAAGCACGUCUGAGAUCAGCUUGUUACCUGAACCAGUGCUAACCAGCACACUGCCCUUACCCUUAGCCUCAAUCAGCUUACCAUCUCCAAUUCCAAUCCUCGAGUGAAAGCUUCUGUCUAGGCCCUUGAACAACUUCUCAUCUGCUACCAUAUGGUGUGAGCAGCCACUAUCUAGUAGCCAAUCAUUCCUGGCCUUUGUUGUGCCAAAAAAAUAGGUUACUGUGAACACAUGCUCCACUUGAGCUUGCAUGUCCUCAGCUGGUCUAGGUUGUUGCAGAACAGCCUCCCUUGGUUUGCCCUUGCACACCUUUUCCACAUGGCCAAACUGCUUGCACUUUCUGCAUUGUAUGUCUGGCCUAAACCAACAAUACUUUUCUGAAUGUGUUGUCUUCUUGCAGUGAACACAUGGUGGGAACACCCUUUUUGCUUCAUCUCUUCCUGACUUGACCCUUCUAUUGUGCCAAGGCUUCUUACCUUUUGCAUUCACACUCGAGCCUUCACUGGCUUUAGCCUGUAAAACAGCUUCAGAAUUCUCUUCCUGUCUAUUUGCCCUCCUUUGCUCAAGUGCAUACAGGGAGUUUAUCAGCUCAGACAAAGAAAUGGCUGAUAAGUCCCCCGAGUCCUCAAGUGAAGAGAUUUUUGACUUGAAUUUCUCAGGGAAAGUUGUGAUGACCUUUUCAACAACUCUACUCUCUGUGAAGUCCACUCCCAGGAGCCUUAUGCUGUUGACAAUGGCCAUUAUCCUGUCUGAGUACUACUUGAUGGUCUCAGACUCUUUCAUCCUCAAGUUCUCAAAGUCUCUCCUGAGGUUGAUCACCUACUGUUGCCUUGUUUUGUCAGUCCCCAUGAACUCCUCCUUCCGCUUGUCACAGGCCUGCUUAGGUGAGUCACAGGCCAUGAUGCGAGUGAAUAUCACAUCAGACACUCCAUUCUGCAGACAGGCCAUAGCCUUGUGCUUCUUGGCUCGCUCCUCAACAUGCUGCCUCAUCUGUGCAAUGGUGGGAUUGGCUCUCAAUGGAGGUGGCUCAGCAUCAUUCUCGAUCACACUCCAAAGAUCAUGUGCCUGGAGGUAAGUCUUCAUUUUAACUAUCCAAAUGUGAUAGUUCUCUCCAGUGAACACUGGUGAAGGUGGUUGAGUGAAACUCAUCCUGCUAAACUGAGUUUAAGUGCUUCGAUCCUUUUAGUCUUAGGCUUUGCUGUUGGUUUUGAUUUAAACACAAUAGAAUGCAGAGGCCCCUCAAAGAUUCUGGCUCAUGAUGCCAUUUGUUGGAACAUUGGCAGCAGCAAAAAUUAAGCAAGCUUACACAACAAAAUUUGCAAAACUGAAGCAAGAAGAAUCGAAGCAAAAAGAAACAAAGCAAAGCAAAGCAGUGAACAAAGUUGAAUAUUCAACAGAACUGUAACUGAACAUCAUUAUUUUUCAUUCAAAAUUUGAAAUAUAAAAGUGUUACAAUUUGGUUUAAUUUGACAGUUACCUAAUAAUCUAACUACCUCCACUAAUGCUUAACUAAUACAAGCUUAAGUCACAUACAAAAUAAAUUGACAUAUCAGCUUUUACAUCAUCAAUCUAAUCACUAGCUUAAUCCUACUUGCUUUGUAAGCUAGUUAGAAGAGAACUAAACUAAAUAACAUUAAAACAAAACAACAAAAACUGGUUGCUUCAUUCGGUCCAAAAACCAAGCUUGCGCACCAAGCAAAAUGAGCUGAGCUCGAUAGCUGCUGCUGGUCUCGACAGUAGCUCGCUGCUGGCUUUAUGUUGCACUGCAGUCCAGCUCUCAACAUCAACAGCUAAGUGCCUGAUGCUACUGGAAAGAUUGAGCAUAGAUGAUUGUGGGAUGAUAGAGGAAAUCAUAGCGUGUGAGGCUGAAGAAAUGCAGGGCGGCAUUGUAUUUCCCAAACUGCUCGUAUUUGCAACUAAGCUGUCUGCCACGUCUAGCAAGCUUUUCCUUGGCCCAUCACUCGUUGGAAUUCCUAGUCUUGCUAAUGGUGAAGGUGACAAAGAGUCCCAAAAUGAGGAAUUUCUGCCAAGGAGAUUUAAGCACACCAAGGCUGGAACAAAUGCACUUAACAAGAGAUGAGGAAGGUGAACUACAGUGGGAAGGCGACCUUAACACUACCAUAAAACAUAUGUUCGAUGAAAUGGUACAGAUCAUUUAAAGGAUUUAAAUUCAUGUGUUUUUACAUACAUACAUAGUUAACUGAAUAAUUCUUGGUUUGUUAUGAUCAUGCACAAAAUGUGCAAAAUUUGGAGGUGACGGAGGUUACUGAUCAGUUGCCCAAGCUGGAAUAAGGAAAUAUGUUUGGGUGCUUAUGCGAAAAGCUCAAUUUCGUUUCAAAUCAAAACGAAUGGUAAUUGACUCUUCUAUUUUCAUCAUGGCUUAACUAAAGAUUUAUAAAGUGACCAUAGAGACGCCCUUUUCAUUGUAGGUUGAGUUGCUCUACUGAAGCACAUGGCUGCAUCUGUUGGUAGAACGUGAAAGGUUAUUUCAGUUGUAAAACUACUAUUUGAACUGUUCCAUUUCACGUUAUAACCUCACAAUUGUAUUUCAAGUGCAUCAUGCAUGGCAUUGGGAACUACAAACAUGUAAACUUUUACUAGUAAGCAAAAUAAAUAAAAAAAAAUCAUAAAUUAGAGUAUGAAUGUAAACAUAUUAAAGCAUACUUUUUGGUUUCACAAUUUAAAUGAUUUGAGUUAAUUUGAAGCCAUAAAAUAAGAUAAAUUCAAUUAUAAAUUCUGAUGUUUGAAAAUUUUUCAAUAAUAAUAAGUAAAUGCUUAAUGUAGUAAUUAAGAUUAUAAGGCAACAAGCUUAAUUAAGAGGAGUAUUUGUAAAUAUUAGUAAAAUUUACUGUAAAUAUUGUAUGAAAUAAGCAAAUUUAUUUAUUAAUUAACCAAAUUUAUCUACGGUAAAUAUUGUAUGAAAUAAGCAAAUUUAUUUAUUAAUUAACCAAAUUUAUUUACGGUAAAUACUGUAUGAAAUAAGCAAAUUUAUUUAUUAAUUUAAAAGAAAAUUAAUUUCCUGAUAAAAAAUUUAUAUUUCAAAAAAAAAUUAGAAAGAUUUAAUUUUUAAAUAAUAGUUCAAAACAAAUUUUGAAAAAAUGUGUUGUAAAAAUAUUCAAAGUGUAAAAAGACAAUUUAUUCCUUCAAUGCUUAGGAAAAAAUAUUCCUUAAAAAAAGAUACUUAUUAGAAAAUAUCAUUAGAUAUAUGUUUAAUUGUUUAUAUUAAUAAAAAGUUAUCUAUUAACAAAAUAAAAGUAAAACAUUAAUCACAUAUUUAUAAUUUUAAAAUUUUAACUCUUCAAUGGUAGUUUAGAUUAUGCAAAUGAGUUUUCUUUUUUUUUUUCUUUUUUAAAUAUAAGAUAAUUCAAGUUUUGGUCUUUGUUGUCGCUGUGGUUAUUCAGUUUGCUCUCUCAAUGGAGAUUGUUAUUGCCAUCGUUGGCUCUAUUGUCGUUAAAGCUGUAGAGUAUACGAUCUAUCCUAACAAAAACAAUGUCAAAUACCUUUCCAAUCAUCAGAAAUAUGUUGAGACCCUCAAGAACCGAGCUAAUAGGCUGAAAGAUGCUAGGGACGGAGUGCAGCAUUUUGUUGAUGCAGCUAAACGAAACGGUGAAGAGAUCGAAGGUGAUGUUGACAAAUGGCUGUUGAAGUAAUGGUCAGCAUGCAGCAACCAAGACUGUCAAAGGCACUACAUGCAGAAGCUGCUGGUUCACCUAGUCAGCAAGCUGUUUAUGUUUCAUUUUGUAAUUUUAAGUUAGAGUAAUGUAACUUAGUUGCUUUAUAACUAUGUUAGGUUUAUGUUUGAUGUAAUUUUGAUGUUGACUGAGCUGAUAAAUCAGCUUUGUUUGUUUGUUCAAGCUAAUUAGCACAAGUUACUAUGUGUAUUAGUGGUAGUAGGUGAAGUUUAGGUCAACCUACUGUUUUGUCAAGAUUGUAAACUUGUUUUAUGUAUUGGCUUUGUGCCAUAUUUAGUUUAUGAAAUGAAUUCAACAAGUUAUCAUCCAUAUGCUCUUCAUUUUUAGUUUUGCUUAAAAAUCCAUUUGAGUUUUCUGCUUUGUUUCUCCUACAAGUCACGAGACUUGCUCGACAAGUAUCCUGUUGAAGCUUGCUGCUGCUGCCUCUUGAUCCAACAAUUGGUAUCUAGAGCCACAUUCUUAGAGGACCUGUUGUAGUUUAGUAUCAAAAUGAUGGCAUCAUCAGGUUUUUCACCAGCUUCACCACCUGUCUUCAAUGGAGAGGGCUUCAACAUUUGGGCAGUUAAGAUGAGGACUUACCUGCAGGCAUUCGACCUAUGGGAAGUUGUUAACUCAGAUGCUGAGCCAGCACCUCUUCGAGCUAAUCCAACAGUUGCUCAAAUAAGGCAACACACUGAUGAAAGAACAAAAAGGCACAAGGCCAUGUCAUGCAUACAGAAUUGUGUGACAGAUGUGAUCUUUAUGAGGAUCAUGGCCUGUGAAACACCAAAGGAGGCUUGGGACAAGCUGAAAGAAGAAUUUCAGGGGACUGAGAAAACAAGGCAACAACAGCUGCUCAACUUGAGAAGAGAUUUCGAAAAUCUAAAAAUGAAAGAGGAAGAAACAGUUAAGCAGUACUCAGAUCGGAUUAUGGCUGUUGUAAACAGCAUAAGGCUCCUAGGAGAGCAAUUCAGUGAAGCUAGAAUGGUUGAGAAAGUCAUGUCCACUCUACCAGAGAGGUAUGAAGCUAAAAUUUCAUCCCUCGAAGACUCAAGGGACUUGACAACUAUCUCCUUAACUGAGCUAAUCAAUGCCUUGUAUGCACAAGAGCAAAGAAGAGCCAGCAGACAAGAGGACCACCAGGAAGGUGCUUUUCAAGCCAAAGAAGCCUCGAGCAUCAAAACUCAUAAAGGCAAAAAGUUCUGGAAAAACAGGCCUAAGCCUGAUGCUGCUAGGAGCAGUGACCAACUCUGCAGACAUUGUAAAAGAGCUGGUCAUCCAGAAGAUAGAUGCUGGUUUAGACCAGAUGCAGUAUGCCAACACUGCAAGAAAAAAGGCCAUGUUGAAAAAGUUUGCAAGAAUAGAAGCAAACCAAGACAGAAUCAAUUUCAGCAACAAAAGGUAGAAGCUCGAGUAGCUGAAGAAAGCAGUGAUCAAGAAGAACAUGUUUUUGCUGUGUCAUGUGCAGCAAAUCAGAAGAAGGGUUCAAAGGGCUGGCUUCUAGACAGUGGGUGCACAAACCACAUGUCACCAGAUGCAACUAUCUUCAAAACCCUAGACAGAACCUGCAAAACCAAAGUAAAAAUUGGAAAUGGUCAGUUAAUCAAUGCUGAAGGAAGAGGAGAUGUGAUGAUUCAUACUUCUACAAGUGGCAAAAUCAUUUCAAAUGUACUUUUGGUACCUGAAAUCGAUAGGAACCUUCUCAGUAUAACUCAACUACUUGAGAAAGGUUACUCAGUUAUUUUCAAGGAGAAAGAAUGUCAAAUUUUUUAUCCAAGUGGAUCAAACCUUAUAACAGUCACCAUGACUGAUAAAUGUUUUGAAGUAGACUGGCCAAAUGACUCACAUUCAGCCUGCACAGCCUCCACUGAUGACUCAAGACUCUGGCAUCAGAGGCUUGGACAUGCAAACUACAAAUCCAUAGCCCGCAUGGUCAAUGAAGGUCUGGCAGAAAAUUUCAUCGACUCAGUGAAGAAUGAUGAGCUUUGUGAGAUAUGUCAGCAAGGAAAAUUGACAAGAUUGCCAUUUCCAACAAGCACAACAUGGAGAGCAUCAGAGAAGCUCCAGCUUGUGCAUACAGAUGUGUGUGGACCAAUGAAGACUGAGUCUCUCAAAGGAAGCAGGUACUUUAUUCUAUUUGUUGAAGUAAUGGUCAGCAUGCAGCAACCAAGACUGUCAAAGGCACUACAUGCAGAAGCUGCUGGUUCACCUAGUCAGCACGCUGUUUAUGUUUCAUUUUGUAAUUUUAAGUUAGAGUAAUGUAACUUAGUUGCUUUAUAACUAUGUUAGGUUUAUGUUUGAUGUAAUUUUGAUGUUGACUGAGCUGAUAAAUCAGCUUUGUUUGUUUGUUCAAGCUAAUUAGCACAAGUUACUAUGUGUAUUAGUGGUAGUAGGUGAAGUUUAGGUCAACCUACUGUUUUGUCAAGAUUGUAAACUUGUUUUAUGUAUUGGCUUUGUGCCAUAUUUAGUUUAUGAAAUGAAUUCAACAAGUUAUCAUCCAUAUGCUCUCCAUUUUUAGUUUUGCUUAAAAAUCCAUUUGAGUUUUCUGCUUUGUUUCUCCUACAAGUCACGAGACUUGCUCGACAAGUAUCCUGUUGAAGCUUGCUGCUGCUGCCUCUUGAUCCAACAAUUGGUAUCUAGAGCCACAUUCUUAGAGGACCUGUUGUAGUUUAGUAUCAAAACGAUGGCAUCAUCAGGUUUUUCACCAGCUUCACCACCUGUCUUCAAUGGAGAGGGCUUUAAUAUUUGGGCAGUUAAGAUGAGCACUUACCUGCAGGCAUUCGACCUAUGGGAAGUUGUUAACUCAGAUGCUGAGCCAGCACCUCUUCGAGCUAAUCCAACAGUUGCUCAAAUAAGGCAACACACUGAUGAAAGAACAAAAAGGCACAAGGCCAUGUCAUGCAUACAGAAUUGUGUGACAGAUGUGAUCUUUAUGAGGAUCAUGGCAUGUGAAACACCAAAGGAGGCUUGGGACAAGCUGAAAGAAGAAUUUCAGGGGACUGAGAAAACAAGGCAACAACAGCUGCUCAACUUGAGAAGAGAUUUCGAAAAUCUAAAAAUAAAAGAGGAAGAAACAGUUAAGCAGUACUCAGAUCGGAUUAUGGCUGUUGUAAACAGCAUAAGGCUCCUAGGAGAGCAAUUCAGUGAAGCUAGAAUGGUUGAGAAAGUCAUGUCCACUCUACCAGAGAGGUAUGAAGCUAAAAUUUCAUCCCUCGAAGACUCAAGGGACUUGACAACUAUCUCCUUAACUGAGCUAAUCAAUGCAUUGUAUGCACAAGAGCAAAGAAGAGCCAGCAGACAAGAGGACCACCAGGAAGGUGCUUUUCAAGCCAAAGAAGCCUCGAGCAUCAAAACUCAUAAAGGCAAAAAGUUCUGGAAAAACAGGCCUAAGCCUGAUGCUGCUAGGAGCAGUGACCAACUCUGCAGACAUUGUAAAAGAGCUGGUCAUCCAAAAGAUAGAUGCUGGUUUAGACUAGAUGCAGUAUGCCAACACUGCAAGAAAAAAGACCAUGUUGAAAAAGUUUGCAAGAAUAGAAGCAAACCAAGACAGAAUCAAUUUCAGCAACAAAAGGUAGAAGCUCGAGUAGCUGAAGAAAGCAGUGAUCAAGAAGAACAUGUUUUUGCUGUGUCAUGUGCAGCAAAUCAGAAGAAGGGUUCAAAGGGCUGGAUUCUAGACAGUGGGUGCACAAACCACAUGUCACCAGAUGCAACUAUCUUCAAAACCCUGGACAGAACCUGCAAAACCAAAGUAAAAAUUGGAAAUGGUCAGUUAAUCAAUGCUGAAGGAAGAGGAGAUGUGAUGAUUCAUACUUCUACAGGUGGCAAAAUCAUUUCAAAUGUACUUUUGGUACCUGAAAUCGAUAGGAACCUUCUCAGUAUAACUCAACUACUUGAUAAAGGUUACUCAGUUGUUUUCAAGGAGAAAGAAUGUCAAAUUUUUGAUCCAAGUGGAUCAAACCUUAUAACAGUCACCAUGACUGAUAAAUGUUUUGAAGUAGACUGGCCAAAUGACUCACAUUCAGCCUGCAUAGCCUCCACUGAUGACUCGAGACUCUGGCAUCAGAGGCUUGGACAUGCAAACUACAAAUCCAUAGCCCGCAUGGUCAAUGAAAGUCUGGCAAAAAAUUUCAUCGACUCAGUGAAGAAUGAUGAGCUUUGUGAAAUAUGUCAGCAAGGAAAAUUGGCAAGAUUGCCAUUUCCAACAAGCACAACAUGGAGAGCAUCAGAGAAGCUCCAACUUGUGCAUACAGAUGUGUGUGGACCAAUGAAGACUGAGUCUCUCAAAGGAAGCAGGUACUUUAUUCUAUUUAUUGAUGACUUAACAAGAUACUGCUGGAUUUAUUUUUUAAAACAGAAAUCAGAAGUUCCAUCUGUGUUCCUGAAGUAUAAAGCUGCUGUUGAAACUGAGUCUGGUUGCAAACUUAGAGCAAUGAGGUCAGAUAAUGGAACUGAGUACACCUCAGCUCAGUUCCAAGCCUACUGUGAAGAAGCAGGUAUCAAACACCAGUUGACUAAUGUAUAUACACCCCAACAGAAUGGGGUCAGUGAAAGGAAAAACAGAAGCUUGAUGAACAUGGCAAGAUGUCUUCUGUUUGAGAAGAAUUUGCCCAAAAGUCUGUGGGCUGAAGCUGUUAACACAGCAGUUUAUCUCCAAAAUAGGCUCCCAACCAAGGCUCUGGCUGAGAAGACUCCAUUUGAAGCCUGGUUUGGGUUUAAGCCAUCACUGGCUCAUCUCAGAACCUUUGGUUGUCUGUGCUACACACAAGUUCCAGCUGAGAAGAGAAGCAAGCUAGAUAAAAGAGCUCAAGCAGGGAUCCUGAUCGGCUAUAGCUUGGUUAAGAAGGGCUACAGAAUCCUAGAACCUGCUACAAACAAGAUAUUGGUUAGCAGGGAUGUUGUUUUCAAUGAAAAAGGACACUGGAAUUGGGAGAAGGCUGAACCAGAGGCAGUGGCUGAAGAUCUCGCAGUGGACCAAGUUGAAAAUGUUGAAAACACAUCUGAAAUGGAUGUAGAUGAUGUUCCAAUCAGAGGCACUCGAUCACUGGCUGAUGUUUAUGAAAGAGCACAAGUGGCUACUGUUGAACCAAGUUGCUUUGAAGAAGCAGAAAGCCAGGAGGACUGGAAGCAAGCAAUGAUUGAAGAAAUCAGAAUGAUUGAAAAGAAUCAGACCUGGAGUCUGGUUGAUAAACCAACAAACAGGAAGAUUAUUGGUGUCAAAUGGGUUUAUCGAGUAAAGAACAAUGCUGAUGGUAGCCUAAACAAGUUAAAGGCUAGAUUGGUUGUGAAAGGCUUCAGUCAAAGGUAUGGAUCAGACUACCUGGAAACCUUUGCACCAGUAGCCAGGCUAGACACUAUUAGACUGCUAGUUGCCUUAGCAGCACAAAAACAGUGGCUGAUACACCAACUUGAUGUAAAAUCAGCAUUUCUGAAUGGAUUCCUUGAAGAGGAGAUUUAUGUGGAGCAACCUCAAGGUUUCAAGGUGUCUGGCAAAGAAGAAAUGGUGUACAAGCUCAACAAAGCCUUGUAUGGCUUGAAACAGGCUCCAAGGGCCUGGUAUAGCAGAAUAGAUGGCUAUCUGAACCAGUCAAGGAUUUGAAAGAAGUCUCAGCGAGCCAACUCUGUAUGUUAAAUCAACUAGUGCUGAAACUCAGCUCAUUGUCUCAAUAUAUGUCGAUGACCUACUGGUGACAGGAGGAGAUCAUGAGAUGCUAAGCAACUUUAAAGUCAAAAUGCAACAGCACUUUGAAAUGUCAGACUUGGGAUUGAUGUCUUACUUCUUAAGCAUGGAAGUAACUCAAGCUAAGAAUGGGAUUUGGCUAAGUCAAAAGACCUUUGCUAUGAAGGUUCUCAACAAAUUCUCAAUGGAGAAUUGCAAAGCAACCAGCACACCAGUUGCUGUUGGAGAAAAACUCUCAAGCCAAGACAAGCAUGAAAAGGUUUGUGAAACAACCUAUCGAAGUCUAGUUGGAUGUUUGUUGUAUUUGACUGCUACUAGACCUAAUGUAUGCUGUGAGUCUACUCUCGAGGUUUAUGCAUUGUUCAAAUGAAAGUCAUUUUAGAGCUGCAAAAAGGGUUCUAAGAUACAUCAAAGGAACUUUGUCCUAUGGAAUGCAGUUUACCAAGGCUGAGAACUUGAAGCUAGUUGGAUAUUGUGACAGUGAUUGGGCUGGUUCCUUGGAUGACAUGAAGAGCACUACAGGCUAUGCAUUCAACAUAGGCUCUGCUAUGAUUUGCUGGAGCUCAAAGAAGCAGGGAGUAGUGGCUCAGUCGACUGCAGAAGCAGAAUAUGUGGCUGCUGCUGCAGCAGUCAAUCAAGCCAUAUGGCUUAGAAAAAUUUUGAAAGAUAUCAAUCAUGAGCAAAAGGAAGCAACUGAGAUAAUGUGUGACAACCAAUCAGCAGUUGCUAUUGCAAAGAAUCCUGUUUUUCAUGGAAGGACCAAGCACUUCAACAUCAAACUUCAUGCAAUUCGGGAAAUGGAACAAGCUCAUGUUGUUAAGCUGAUACAUUGCAGUUCUGAAGAGCAAAUUGCUGAUAUUUUAACAAAAGCACUAAGUGUUUCCAAGUUUCAACACCUGAGAGCUAAUAUGGGAGUUUGCAACAUGCUAACCAAGGAGGAGUGUUGAAGUAAUGGUCAGCAUGCAGCAACCAAGACUGUCAAAGGCACUACAUGCAGAAGCUGCUGGUUCACCUAGUCAGCAAGCUGUUUAUGUUUCAUUUUGUAAUUUUAAGUUAGAGUAAUGUAACUUAGUUGCUUUAUAACUAUGUUAGGUUUAUGUUUGAUGUAAUUUUGAUGUUGACUGAGCUGAUAAAUCAGCUUUGUUUGUUUGUUCAAGCUAAUUAGCACAAGUUACUAUGUGUAUUAGUGGUAGUAGGUGAAGUUUAGGUCAACCUACUGUUUUGUCAAGAUUGUAAACUUGUUUUAUGUAUUGGCUUUGUGCCAUAUUUAGUUUAUGAAAUGAAUUCAACAAGUUAUCAUCCAUAUGCUCUCCAUUUUUAGUUUUGCUUAAAAAUCCAUUUGAGUUUUCUGCUUUGUUUCUCCUACAAGUCACGAGACUUGCUCGACAAGUAUCCUGUUGAAGCUUGCUGCUGCUGCCUCUUGAUCCAACAAUGGCUGCCUGCAGUCGACAGAAAGAUCCUUGAACAAGUAGAGAAAGUGAUGCAAGACGAAGAAAAAGCAAAGAAAAAGUGUUUCAUUGGUUUGUGUCCUAAGUUCAGGACUCGUUACAAGCUUAGCCUGAAAGCUGAAGAGGAGUCAAGAAUGUACUUGUGGAGUUGAAUAAUGGGAAAGAUCUUCCAAAUUUGAAGAGACUUCUUGUCAAAAAUGGUAUGCAUGUCUAAUAUAUUAAAAUGAACAAAAUUGGAUUUUCUGAAUUAUGCUUCAUCACACUUGAAAAUCUAUCGCUACUCGUUAGCUUUUGCUCUCCAGACGAAAGGUGUUCCACUAAGCCCUUCCUACUUUUCAAUAAACAAGUAUUUGUUUGGCUUUACUUAUAUUUUCUUAUACAACUUUUAUUUAUAUGCCAAUUAAUACUUCUAAUAAUAGAAAUAAAUAAUAUUGUGUAAUGGUUUUUCCGGAGCUCAAAAAUAAAUUUUAAUUCCAAAACAAAUGAAAAUAUAAUUUUUAAUCCAAACCGAUUGACAGUACAAAGUCAAUUCAAUAAUUUAAAUUUAAACCCAAUAAUUAUUUUUUUAAUUUUGAAAAUGAAAUUUGAGCCCACAAAUUGAACUAAAAUUAUCUUUAAAAUCGAAAAUCAUAUUUUCAAAUAAUGUUGCAUACUAUCUUUCCCUAUCGAAAAAGAAUUGUGUGUAAAUAUGUGCAAUUUAUUUUCCCUCACUUGGAAAGCUUGUAAUUGUGUUCCAUUAACACCAGACAUGUCAUUGGAUUACGAAUUUGAGGAGCUUGAUCAUGAAAGGAUGCGGUAAGUGGGAGCAUCUGUUAUCACCCUCUCUCGCUAGAAGUCUGGUGUAGCUCCAAUGCUUUAAGAUAGAGGAUUGCAAGUGUUUAAGGGACAUAAUACUUACAGAGGAAAUUGAAGAAGAAAGGAAAGAUGUGAUUUGUUAAUUUCCCUCGAUUAAACUCCCUGCGUAUAGUGGGUCUUACAAACCUCAUCUUCUUCAGCUCAGGAAACCACAAUAUCGAGUUCCCAUUGUUGGAAGAGCUAUGGAUUGAGAAUUGCCCCAAUUUCAUAGAAUUCAUUAGUCAGAAUAGUAAUCAGUCCGGCAUGCACGCUCUCUUCAGUGAGAAGAUGAUUUAUUUCAGUAGUAUUACACUCUUGCAUAAAUCUGUUGAUUUGUCCUUGUUUUUUUCUUUUUUCUGCCUUCAUUAUUUGAGGUAACCUUAUUAUGGGCAUGGAUUAUAUAUAUAUAUAUAUAUAUAUGAAUAGGCUGCAGUUCCUAGCUUGGAAGACUUGAGUAAUGUGAAGAUGAUAUUUUAUAAUGAUCUAGCACCAGGUUCCUAUAAAAAUCUACGAAAAAUAAGUGUUGGGGGAUGUGGGAGUUUGAAAAAUCUAUUUCCAGUAUCAAUAGCCAAAGGUCUUCCACAACUUGAACAUUUACGCAUCACUAAAUGUGGAGUUGAGGAGAUUGUAUCGAAAGGGGAUGGAGUGGAGCAGCCUGUGAGGUUUGAGUUUCCGAAAGUGUCUUACCUUGAGGUUACAGGGGUAGUAAAGCUCAAAUGUUUCUAUGAAGGGCAAGAUACAAUAGUCUGGCCGAUGUUGAAAAAAUUGAAAACAGAUAGUUCUGCUUUGCUAAAGAUAGUGGCAUGGGAACAUCUUAGAUUAAUCCAAGGAAAUGAGGAGCCAGUUUUGUUGGGUGAAGAGGUAUGUAUAUCAUUACAACUAUAUUUCUUUUUAUGAUUUAAACCACUGCCACAAGCAUCUCAGGAUGAAAUAUGCCACGAUAAUGCAUUUCUAAUUAUUAUAUUUUCAUUGAUUUGAAUUUUUUUUUCCUAUUUUUGAAUUUUUAAUAUAUAUUUUUACAAUUUUUAAAAACAAGACUGAAUAAAUAUAAUAGGUAAAUAUUGAGUGUUAAUCUUAACUUUUUAGAAUGUAGUUCAAUUUGAUAAAAUGUAUAAAUGUUGAGGGUUAAAUUUAUUAUUAUGCAAAAAAAAAACUAUAACAUCCCGUUAGGGACUUUGAAGCAUAGCAAUUAAGAUAUUCAAUUUCUGUAACAACAUUGAUUAAAUUGAAAUUUUAUUUGUUUUUAAAUGGCCAAUGAAAAUAUUUUAACACUUAAGUGACUAUAUAUGUAAUUUACCCUGCAUUUAAGUAGUGGGUAGAAACUAAAUAGAAUGUUUAAUUUAUAAAAAGUCAAAAUUUUAAAAGUUAGUUACACUAGACAUCUCAAACUAUGACCUCCAUUUUAAAUUAGUCCCAAAAUUUAAAAUAUUCUAAGUACAUUCUUAAACUAUUGAUAUUAUAUCAAUUAGGUCUUUCUAUUAUUAAAUUCGUUAAUUUAACCAUCAAAUUAAAUCAGUGUAAUAUUUUAAAACCUUGGUGUUUUAUCUACACUGUUCUGCUUAUAUUUUUUAUCGUAGAAAUAUAUAUAUAUAUAACACAAUGGUUGUUUAUCUAUUUUAAUUUGCUACUCUUCUUUCGACUUUCAUGUUGUGUAAUUUUUCAGUUUUUAUUCUCAAGGUAUUGUGUUUUCUUAAAACAAAAAAUUCUAUCUAUUCUGAAUCCGUUUGAUUUAAUAUUGAUUUUGUUGGGAUUUAAUCAUCAAAAUCAAACACUAAAAUUAUAAAUCUUUUUUUUUUUGUUUGUUUUUUUAAAGCAUAUACAUCAACAUUGAGCCUAACUUGUAUAUAUUUAAUUGGUUUCCAAGGUCAUUCCCAAAUUAGAGGAACUUGAGUUACGAACUUUUGGUGAUAUGGACCAAUUUCCACCAGACUUGUUUCAACAUGUUAAAGUUAUUGCAGUGAGUGGUGGCUCUCCAUUUUCUUUAUUUCCUUUCGUCCGAAGAUUCUACAAUCUGGAAAGACUUGAGGUUUCUUAUUCUGAUUUCAAACAUGUAGUCCCUUGUAAAGGAGACGCCGGAACUCUCCCACCAAUUAGAAAUCUGAAAUUGGUUUCUGCCAGAAAUCUUGAGCAUAUUUGGAGGAAAGAUUCGGAGCUUUACCAUAUUCUUUCUAAUCUUCAAACACUCACAGUUGAGGAUUGUGAUGAUUGGAUAAAUAUUAGAGUCUCCUCAUCAUCUUUACAAAAUCUCACAAAUUUGAAUGUGUCAUUUUGUUAAGAAUCUUGUGCAAUUAACGACAAUAAAGGUAGAAUACGGCACUAAAAUGACAGAAGUAGUGGGAAACGAGGGAGACUGUCAUCAGACAAUAGUUGUUAGUAAAUUGAAAUGUUUACAACUAUGCAAUUUGAAGAGCCUCACAAGCUUUUCUCCACGGUAUUACAGCUUCGAGUUUCCUUGUUUGGAAGAAUUAGUUGUGGAACAUUGUCCUAAGUUAAAGAUCUUUUCUGAGGGAGUUUUAAGCACCCCACAAUUACAGAGAAUAAAACAGUCGAGUUACCGUGAGAAAUGGAGUUGGACAAGUGACCUUAAUACCACCAUAAAACAGCUAUACACAGAAAAGGUACAAAGUUAAUAAGUUCAUAAUGCUAGCUAGAUUCCUCGUGUCCUAAUACAAUUAAUUUUAUUACUACUUCAAUAACCAUUGAAGAGUGUUAAUCGUUACUUUGUUAUUGUCUGCAUUUUCUAUUUAUGAUUGCUAUCUAGUGGAAUAAUAUCAGAUUAAUUUUUAGGAUGGACUCUAUAACCCAUAUGAUUUCAACAUCUCUGACACAUUUCCGGAGUCGAUAGAAAUAUGGACUAGAAACCCUCAAGAAAUUUUGGGCUUCAAAAACCUUAGCAGCCUGCAGUUUUAUAAAUGUAGCAGCUUGAAGUACAUAUUUACUCCGUCUAUACUUUUGAGCCUCAAUCUACUGCAAAGGAUAGAAGUGCAAGAAUGCAGUUCAAUGGAACAAGUAGUUAGGGAGGAGGAGGAAGCAAUGACACAUAAAUUUACAUUUCUUUCGCUACUCUCCGUAACAAUUGAGUCGUGUUCCAGCUUGACAAAUUUCCAUUUGGGAAGUCAAGCUCUUGAAUUUCCACAGCUGAGGAAUAUCAGGAUAGCUGAGUGUCCAAAAAUGACUGCAUUUUCUUCCUCAGUUUCAAGAGAGAGUGGUGAUGCAAGUGAAAACGUGGUUGGCAAAGGGGGCAUCUAUGAUAACACUGCAACUUUUUUCAGCAAUAAGGUAAGUUUGGUAUUCAAUAUUUAUCUGCACAACUUAUUUCACAUUUUCUUUUGAUUUGAUCAACAUGAGUGUGUCUGGUCUAUAUAUACAUACUAGUGCUACACCUUGUCAAAACUGAAUAUAAUAAAAUCCAUAUAUAUAAAUAAAUAAGAUAAUAUUUAAAAAAAAACUGGAGUUUAAAGUGGAAAUUAAAUAAAUAUAUAAAAUAAGAAUUGAAAGGAAAACUUAAAGUGAAAUACUAAAAAACAAAAAGAAUUUAAGAGAAGUUUAAAAUUAAAUAGUAAUAGACAAUAAAUAAUAAAAUAAUAAUAGAAAAAAGAAAACUAAUCUUCCUUUAUUUUAAUUUGUGGGUGUAUAAGAAGGAGAUAAUUGUGGAAGACCUUCACAAAUGUCAUUUGAGAUCAAAAUAAGGAGAAGAAGCAAGAAAACAAAAGGUGAGGAGUUUGAAGAAGAAAGAACCAAAUAUAUGGAGGAGAAUUGAAGUGAGAGAGUGGAUGGGUUUUAUUUAAAGAUUUAAUGCUUUUUUUUUAAUUUCAUAUAUAGAAAAAAUCAUUGAAAGAAAAAUAAGUUCAAUAUAAUUAUUUAAAUUUACUUGUCGGGUUUUUAUAAAAUUAACUCAAAUUUUUGAUUAAUUAUGAAAAUAACUCAAUUUAAAAAUUAUGUACAUAAAUUAUUCGAUUUCUAUAGUGUCUGUCGGUGCCUCCAGACACAAUGGCAGCACUGACCUGCCAUCAUCAACCAAUGAUUGUAUUUUAUUUAAAAAAUAAUAGUUUUUUAGUAGUGUCAUUGGAAAAAUUGACGAUAUCAAACUGAAGUGUGAUAAUAUAAAAUGUUCAUGUACUUGACGAAGUAAUUACCCUUUUUUAAUUAGAGGAAAAAGGGAUUUGGUCUAUUUUCAUGUUAGGUCCAUCACCUUUUGAAAUUAAAUUUAAAUAACCCUUAAAAAUAUAAGAAUAACAAAAAUAAAUCAUUCUCAUUUAUAUUUAAAAAAUAACCUUUAAAAAUUAUAUUAAAUUCUUAUUUAAAUUAUCCAAAUAUAUCCCUCACAGAAUUUCCUCAAGUUUAUCUAAAUUCAAGCAUUUUCAAUUCAUUCCCUAGCAUAUUUAAAUUUAGAUAAAGUACUUAAGGAAAUUUUUUGAGGAAUAUAUUUGGGUAAUUUGAAUAAGAAUUUUAUAUAAUUUUUUAAGUAUUUUUUCAAAAAAAAUGAAAAUGGUUUAAUUUUGUUAUUAUUAUAUUUUUUUAACUGCUAUUUAAAUCUAAUUUUAAAAAAGGACAAACGUAACAUGCAAAUAGGUCAAAUGUUGAAAAACAUUUAAUUUGGUCCAGAUACCAACGACACCCCUUUUUCAACCAAUCUAAAAACGUUAACCGCUUCAAAGGAUCCCUGCACGUUUUAUAUAAUCACAUUCAUUCUGGUGCCGUCAAUUUAUUAGGCAACACCACUAUGAUUUUUUUAAAUAAGCAAUCAUUGGGUAAUGAUGUGCAGCGGUGCAGUAAGCACUAUAGAAAUCAGGUGGCCUUCAUUGAAACAUUUCUACUCUAGGAUUGUGUAAGGUGUAGUAACCUUAGAUUGUGUAAGGUGCCAAGAUUGAAAAAUUUCUACUCUAGGAUGCGUACCACCCAGUGGCCUUCAUUGAAACAAAUGGACAUUAUUGAAUGCCCCAAACUACAGAUAUUUACACGACAAUGUCCUGUAAGUCAGGUUGGAAUCUCAAACCAACAACCCUUGUUUUGCGUCAAUGAGGUAAGCUCACGAAAAGUUUCAUAUUCCAUGAUCAUUACUUGAGAUUACCUAUAAGAUGCUUUUUGAAAAACCUAAUAUUCUCUCCUCUUUUAAUUUUAUGAGAGUCUAGUUCUUACUAAUUUAAAACUCUUUCAUCGAUGUCUAAUAUAUUCUUUUUUUUUUUUUUGAAACAACGAUGUCUAAUAUAUUCAUUGCCAUCCAGGACGGUACUUUCCCUGUAUUAGAAGAACUAACACUGAACACGAAUGAUAUGGUGAAGGGGAUAUGUGAUGGACAGCUCUUAUUGCAGUGUUUCUAAAACCUUAAACUUCUUAACCUCCGAUUCUUUCCUGAGACAUCCGCUACUCUUCCAUAUUCCUUCAUUCGGUCGCUACCAAAGCUUCAGAAGCUUGUUAUAAACAAUGCUUCCAUUUCUGAAAUAGUCUGGUCUGAAGGACUUAGCAAAGAGGAAAGGCACACAUCGGUAUUCUAUCAGUUAAAGGACUUAAGGUUGUCUCAACUUCCAGAGUUGACGUUAAAGACUUUUAAACCAUCUUUGCUGUCUUUCAAAAAUCUAACAACACUAGAAGUUUCAAGAUGCCAUGGGUUCAUCAAUUUAAUCGCAUGCUCAACAGCUAAAUGCCUAACGCUACUGGAAAGAUUGAGCAUAGAUGAUUGUGAGAUGAUAGAGGAAAUCAUAGCGUGUGAGGCUGAAGAAAUACAAGGUGGCAUGGUAUUUCCCAAACUGAAGUAUUUGCAACUAAGUUGUCUGCCAUGUCUAGCAAGCUUUUCCUUGGCCCAUCACUCGUUGGAAUUCCCAGUCUUGCUAAUGGUGAUGGUGACAAAGUUCCCCCAAAUGAGGAAUUUCUGCCAAGGAGAUUUAAGCACACCAAGGCUGGAACAAAUGCACUUAACAAGAGAUGAGGAAGGUGAACUGCAGUGGGAAGGCGAUCUCAACACUACCAUAAAACAUAUGCUCGAUGAAAUGGUACAAAUCAUUUAAAGGAUUUAAAUUCAUGUGUUUUUACAUACAUUAAUUGAACAAUUCUUGGUUUGUUAUGAUCAUGCACAGAAUGGGCAAAAUUCGGAGGUGACGGAGGUUACUGAUCAGUUGCCCAAGCUGGAAUAAGGAAAUAAGUUUGGGUGCUUAUACGAAAAGCUCAAUUUCGUUUCAAAUCAAAACGAACGGUAAUUGACUCUUCUAUUUUCAUCAUGGCUUAACUAAUUCUAUUUUUCUUCACUGUAAGCUAUUUUUCUUCACUUACUAAAAUGCUUUCCACUCAAAUUUCAUUGCAAGAAACCUGAAGUUCUUCAAACAUUUGACCUUAUAUGUUAAUAGAUGGUAAUUGCGUUGCAAACUAAUGGUUUCUACUGUUGUCAUGGUGUAGUAUAUUAUGGAAUCUGAAUCAACCAUUGUAAUCAAAAGAAUGGGAGAACUUAAUCCAGAACCUUUUUUAGACGAAUGCAAGAAGAAAUUUGCUGUUUGACAACUGGUGUUUGAACUGUGAAUUUGAUUUUUUUUUUUGCCAUUUUUGCUGGUCAACAGUGCUAAUAUUCUGAUAUAUUGGCCAGAAUUGAAGGAAGAAGGUCCAAUUUUGCUUUUGAUCCUUCUACUAGUAUCUUAAGAUUUAAAAGAAAUUCAAUUAAACAAUUUCUUCCAAUAAAAUUAAACAAGAAGGCCCAGAAAUUGACCCGCACACUUAGACAUGUUUCUCUUUGAAAAAAUUCAAACAGGGUUUUAAAAUUUGCAAUGUGUUUUAUGUAAAUCAAAUGAUAUCCUGAAUUUUGCUAAGGGUGUUUCAUAUCCUUGAAUCCUUCUUUUGCUUGGCAAGUGAUUCAUUGAGCUUUUGUGAUCAAAUUUCAUGUUUCUUUUUUAGUAUGGGAAUUUGUGGGAAAAUACUUGACAACAAGCCUCAAUACUUGCUGUUGGGAGCUUCAAUAUAAUGUAACUGUUGGUGUUGAAAUCAAAGAACAGAUAAGCUCAGCUUGUAUCUUGUGCAACAAGCCUCGAUACUUGCUGAGUAAACAAUCAGAUUUGAAGCAAAAGAAAGAAGAAAAAAGCAAAGAAAAAUGAGAGAGUUUUGAUGGAUUUGAACUAGCUUUCAUUCAUACUCAAAAUAAUGGCAUAAUGCCAAUACAUAAACCAAGCAAUUUGCUUGUCAAAAAACAAUAAGCAGUCACCUAAACAAUACCUACCACCACUAAUUAUAUUGAAACUUGAAAAACAAAACUUGUAAGCAUGGACAAAGCUGAGUUUACAGCUCAUACACCAUCUAAUUACAUCAAUCAUAAGAUUAGCUUAGUUCAAAUUGAACUAAGGUACAUUACAUUAACUUAAAAAUACAAAAUGAACAAAAUAGGAACAGUUGAGCUUGUUCCAGCAGCACCUGCAUGGCACGAUCUUCAUGGCCUACUUGCUGUCUGCUUCUUGCUUCAUGCUGACCAACAUUCAUCACUCCUCCUUGGUUAGCAUGUUGCAAACUCCCAAUUUGUUUCUUAAGUGUUCGAAUCUUGUUGCAUUAAGGGCUUUGGUCAAAAUGUCAGCAAGUUGAUCCUCUGAAUUGCAAUGAAUCAGUUUUAGCUCCUGUGCCUGCUCCAUUUCUCGAACAACAUGAAGUUUAAUGCUGAAAUGCUUUGUUCUUCCAUGGAACACUGGAUUCUUUGCAAUUGCAAUAGUAGAUUGAUUGUCACAAAAGAUCUCUGUUGUUUCCCUUUGAUGCACAUUUAAAUCAGCCAUGAUUUUCCUUAGUCAAAUGGCUUGGUUGACAGCACUUGUUGCUGCAACAUAUUCUGCUUCAGCAGUAGAUUGAGCCACCAAAGUUUGUUUCUUAGAGCUCCAACAGAACAUGGCUGAACCAAGAUUGAAAGCAUACCCUGAUGUACUUUUCAUGUCAUCAAUCGAACCAGCCCAGUCAUUGUCUGUGUAGCCAACUAACUUCAGACUUUUAGCUUUGCUAUAAAUCAAGCCAUGGUUCAAGGUACCUUUGAUAUACCUGAGCACCCUCUUUGCUGCUUGAAAGUGCUUUUCAUUACUACAAUGCAAGAACCUUGAGAGCAAACUUACAGCAAACAUUAUAUCAAGUCUAGUGGCUAUUAAGUAUAGAAAACAACCAACUAAAAUUUUGUAGGUGGUUUCACAAGCCCUUUCAGAAUUAUCAUGGCUCGAUAACUUUUCUCCAGCAGCUAUUGGAGUCUUUGUUGCUUUACUAUUUUGCAUUGUGAAUUUGGUCAGGAUCUUGGAAGCAAAAACUUUCUGACUUAGGAACAUUCCCUGGUGUGUUUGUGUCACUUCCAUCCCAAAAAAGUAGCUCAUCCUUCCUAGAUCAGACAUCUCAAACAUCAGCUCCAUUUUGGUUUUAAAGUCAGUUAGCAUUGUUUGGUCUCCUUCUGUCACUAGCAGGUUAUCAACAUACAAAGAUACUAUGAGCUGAUUUAGUGUCCCUUCCUUUUUGACAAAUAAAGUUGGCUCACUCUUGCUUCUGUCAAAUCCCAAACCAGACAAGUAGUUAUCAAUCCUGCUAUACCAGGCCCUUGGAGCCUGUUUUAAGCCAUACAAGGCUUUCGUUAGCUUGUAGACCAUAUGCUCAUUACAAGCUGUCUCAAAGCCUUGUGGUUGUUCAACAUAAAUGUUUUCAUCAAGAAAUCCAUUUAGAAAGGCUGAAUUCACAUCGAGCUAAUGGAUUUUCCAUUCCAUUUAAGUUGUUAAGCCAAUCAGCAGUCUGAUGGUAUCGAGCCUGGCUACUGGUGCAAAGGUUCCAGAUAGUCCAGGCCAUAUUUCUGGCUAAAUCCCUUGACAACCAGCCUUGCUUUUAGCUUAUUCAAGCUUCCAUCAGCAUUGCACUUGGCUCGAUAAACCCAUUUCACCCCAAUGACCUUCCUUUUGGCUGGUCUUCCAACUAAUUCCCAAGUCUGGUUCUUCUCAAUCAUGCUAAUUUCAUCAGCUAUUGCUUGCUUCCACCCUUGCUGAGCUUCAGUUUCUUCAAAACAGCUUGGUUCUGCUAUAGCCAUAUGAGCCCUUUUAUAAAUCUCGGCCAAAGGUCUGGUGCCCCUGACUGGUUCAUCAUCAAUAUCUAUUUCAAGACCAUUUUGAUCUGGCUCAGCUUGAUUUGCUGCAAGAUCCUCUGAAACUGCCUGUGGCUUAUUCCUUUCCCAAUUCCAGCAUGACUUCUCAUCAAACACUACAUCUUUGCUUACUAACACUUUGUUCGUUGAAGGAUCUAAGAUCCUUUAGACCUUCUUGACUGAGCUAUACCCUACUAGUAUACCAGGUUUAGCUUUUCUGCCAAAUUUGUCUCUCUUCACUGCUGGUACAUGAGCAUAACAUAUGCAACCAAAGACCCUCAAGUAAGCCAGUGAAGGUUUGAACCCGAACCAGGCUUCAAAUGGAGUCUUAUGAGCCAGGGCCUUAGUUGGAAGCCUAUUCUGAAUGUACACAGCAGUAUUGACUACCUCUGCCCAUAUGGUUUUGGGCAGAUUCUUCUCAAACAGUAGGCACCUGGCCAUAUCCAUCAAGCUCCUGUUCUUCCUCUCACUUACUCCAUUUUGUUGAGGAGUAUAGGUGUUGGUGAGCUGAUGCUUGAUGCCAGCCUCAUUGCAAAAGACUUGGAACUAAGAUGAGGUGUACUCAGUCCCAUUGUCAGACCUUAUAGUCUUAAGUUUGCAGCCUGUUUCAGUUUUAGCAACAUUCUUGAACUUUUUAAACAUUGAGCCUACUUUUGAUUUUUGUUUUAAGAAAUAAAUCCAGCAAAACCUUGAGAAAUCAUCAAUAAACAGAAUGAAAUACCUACUUCCAUUCAAUGACUCAGUCUUUAUGGGGCCACACACAUCAGUGUGCACAAGCUGUAGUCUUUUAAAGGCUCUCCAGGCUUGAUUCGAGGGAAAUGGAAGUCUGGCCUGCUUUCCUAGCUGACAUACCUCACAAACCUCCUGUUUUUGAACUGAACUGAUGAAGUUUUCAGGCAAAUCAUCUCUGCAUAACUGAUCCAUUGAUCUGUGGUUGGCAUGACCAAGUUUUUGAUGCCAAAGCUUAGAUUCAUCAGUUGUAGCUGUAUAGGUAGUGUCUAAGUCCUUUGUCCAAUCAACUACAAAGCUUUUGUCAGCCAUAGUGACUGCCAUCAAUUUGGAUCCAUUUGGAUCACUAAUUUGGCACUGCUUGCCUUUGAACACUACAAAAUACCCUUUUUCUAGCAAUUGAGCUAUGUUGAGCAGGUUUCUGUCAAUCUUAGGCACCAAUAGCACAUUCGAGAUGACCUUGACACCUGUGGGAGUGCAUAUCAACACAUCACCCUUACCUUCUGCCUUUAUAAGGUGACUAUUACCAAUCUUAACUUUAGUUCUGUAGCUUCUGUCCAAGGACUUGAAGAUGGCAGCAUCUAGUGUCAUGUGGUUGGUGCAUCUACUGUCUAGGAGCCAACCAUUUGAAAGCCUCUCUUAAGCAGCUGAGCAUGACACAGCAAAAACUUGCUCCUCUUGAUCACUGUCUUCCUUGGCUACUCGAGCCUCAGCCUUUGACUGUUGAGGUUGAUUCUGCCUUGGUUUGCCUCUGUUUUUGCAGACCCUUUCAACAUAUCCCCUCUUCUUGCAGUGUUGACACAAUACAUCUAGUCUAAACCAACAUUUUUCUUCUGGAUGACCAGGCCUUUUACAAUGCCUGUAGGUUUGUUCUCAUUUUCUUACAGCAUCAAACUUUGGCUUGUCUUUCCAGAUCUUCUUGCCUUUGUAGGCAAUAUUAGUCUUUACUUGAAAGGCACCUUCUUGAUGCUCCUCCAGUCUGCUAGCUCUUCUCUGUUCUAGUGCAUAGAGAGCAUUAAUCAGCUCUGUUAGGGAGAUGCUGGUCAGUCCCUUGAGUCUUCGAGGGAUGAGAUUUUUGCCUCAUACCUCUCAAGCAAAGUUGAAAUAACCUUCUCCACUAUCCUUGCUUCAUUAAAAUUCUCACCAAUGAGCCUUAUUCUGUUUACCACAACCAUAAUCCUAUCUGAGUACUGUUUGACAGUUUCUUCUUCCUUCAUCUUCAAAUUCUCGAAGUCCCUUCUCAAGUUUAACAACUGUUGCUGCCUUGUCCUCUCUGUCCAUUGAAACUCAUCUUUCAACUUGUCCUAGGCCUGCUUUGGUAUUUCACAUGCCAUAAUCCUUAUGAAGAUCACAUCUGACACUGAGUUCUGGAUGCAAUACAUGACCUUGUGCCUCUUGGUCAUUUUAUCAGCAUGUUGCCUGAUUUAAGCUACUGUUGGAUUGGCUCUGAGUGGAUCUGGUUCAAAAUCAGAGUUGACCACCUCCCACAGAUCGAAAGCCUGCAGGUAGGUCUUCAUUUUGACCACCCAUAUGUGAUAGCCUUCUCCAUUGAAGACUUGUGGUACAGCUGGUGAGAAGUUUGAUGAGGCCAUCUUUUUAUACAACAGAUCCCUUAAGAUUAAGGCUCUAGAUACCAAUUGUUGGUGUUGAAAUCAAAGAACAGACAAGCUCAGCUAGUACCUUGUGCAACAAGCCUCGAUACUUGCUGAGUAAACAAUCAGAUUUGAAGCAAAAGAAAGAAGAAAAAAAGUAAAGAAAAAUGAGAGAGUUUUGAUGGAUUUGAACUAGCUUUCAUUCAUACUCAAAAUAAUGGCAUAAUGCCAAUACAUAAGCCAAGCAAUUUGCUUGUCAAAAAAUAGUAAGCAGUCACCUAAACAAUACCUACCACCACUAAUUAUAUUGAAACUUGAAAAACAAAACUUGUAAGCAUGGACAAAGCUGAGUUUACAGCUCAUACACCAUCUAAUUACAUCAAUCAUAAGAUUAACUUAGUUUAAAUUGAACUAAGUACAUUACAUUAACUUAAAAAUACAAAAUGAACAAAAUAGAAACAGUUGAGCUUGUUCCAGUAGCUCCUGCAUGGCACGAUAUUCAUGGCCUGCUUGUUGUCUGCUUCUUGCUUCAUGCUGACCAACAUUCAUCAGUAACUGUGAGACAGUUGAAGGGCAAGAAUGCUGCGUUGCGCCUUGCGUUUGCUAAAGGUACUUUAUAUUAUAUAUGUGUAUGUAGUGAGCAGAAUACUAUGUGUUAAUUGAAUCGUUUGGUACCCUUUGAUUGAUCUUAGGGAAGGGGAUAUAAAUGUCGGGAUUUGAACCCCAAACUUAGCUUUUAUUACAGGAAGAGGAUCAAUUUUGGCUCGGUUAAGCUUAAUGUGUUAAGAACCAGAUAAGAACAUAAUAUAUGGGAACACUUUGGCCAUACGAGGCUAAUGCUUAUAUGAUUCGCUUUACAGACUACAUGCUCCUAGGGAUAACUCUUCUGUAAGUACUAUUAGUUGAAUAGCUUUAUGAUGUAUUAAUCUAUAAAAUCUGGGUGUCAUAUUAUGAGUUCCAUUGCUAUGUUAAUCUAUGUACUAACAAUAUUAUGAAGUAAGGCAAUUUUGUGUACAUUACAUUGGGAUGCAAGCUGAAUUACCUUUAAUCAGCUUCAACCAUACAUACAUAUACAUAUAUAUAUAUGAAGUUAAGAACGUAAGUGCUGUUAAAUGGUACAUUACUCAGAUUGGUAAUAUAAUGGUGCCGAAUGUUCUAAAAUUUAACAAGUAUUACUGGUAAUAUAUUAAUGAAGAUAAAGAUAAAAGUUUUCUCGGGAAAACAAGUGUUAUCCUUCAUUUAUCUUGAUGAUUCUCUAACGCCGCCAAUUUCCCCCCUAAGUUUACAGCAAGAAGAAGAAGAAAAAGAAGACAAACGGCAACGUUAAGCCAUUUAAUUUCAUCCCAGGUUAAUUUUUUUUGUAAAUUAAACAUUUUUUGUAUACAUUUUGUUACCUAUUUAUUUUAUGUUUUUGAAGUUUCCAUUGCCAUUUCUACCUUUCCAAAAUGGUGUCUUUUUACUUGUUUUUUACUGGGUUAUUGACAUUUGUUCCAUAGAAUAAAUUUCUUUGAUUUUAGGGUUCUAUAUGUAUUUUUUUUAUUUAUGAAUUUGAACUUGAGUUAUCCAUAAAAAUUCGACCUUUAAUCUCAAUAUAUUUAUAGUCUAUAAAUUUUGACUUUUCUUCCAAUAAUAUAUCUCCAAAAUUCUAACUUAACCUUUUUAAACUUUGUCAUGUCAUUAUUAUUAGAGUUAAUUGCACCAAAUAUCUCCAAACUAUGGUUCUUCUUCUAAAAUAGUCCUCAAACUCAAAAUAUUGUAAAUUACAUUUCCAAAUUAUCAAUAUUAUAUCAAUAAUGUUCUUCUAUUGCUAAAAUCAUGAAAUGAGACGUCAAAUCUUAUCAGACAUAAUUUAAAAUAAAAAACUUAAAAAAAAUAAUUAUUGUAAAAAUAUUGAUUUCAAGGUUUUCGAAGUUAUUACAAAAACUAUCAUUCAUUUUCUCUUUCACUUUAUUUUUAAUUUUUAUUUUUAAAAGUUGUAUCAACAACAUUUUACUUUUCUCUAAAAAUAUCAUUUUUCAUUAAUAGUUUCAAUAAUAAAAGGAUGAGAUAAAUAGUUUAAAAUAUUUUAAAGUUGGGAGAAUAAUUUAAAAUAAAGAUGCAAUAUUGUUAAUCUAGUACUAUUUCAUAAUAUCAUUUUAUCGUUUCAAGUUUUAAAGACAACAUUUUUUUUUUGAAAUAUUUUAAAGACAACAUUUAAAGAUUGACUAUAAUAAUAUUGUUACAUGGAAAAAGAAUCCCACGUCAGCUAAAUGGCUUACGUCUGACGUGUGCUUAGUGUUAUUAAAAAAGUCAAAGGUUGAGAAAGUCUGAGGCGAGUCACACAUAUCACACGCCAUGCACAGGUUUCCUUAUUUCGAGGCUAAAAUACCAAAAUACCAUCACAUUUCUCGUUAAAUUUACCACUUAAUCAACGAUCCUCUAAAAAUGAUGUAAGGACAUAUUAGAAAUUUUAAUCACAAUAAUAUCACCAAAUCUGAAAAAUUACAAAUGAGGCAAAAAAAAAUACGAGUAAUAUUUAGCCAUAAAAUGUAUAUAUUCAUUCCCUCUAAACCAGGUGGUUAAGCCUCACAAUCCAACGUAACUGUAAACCUUUCUUGGCAGCCAUGAAAUCAGUUCUAAAAUCCCUUGCAAACUCAAUCUUCCUUGUUCUUUCCAUCAUCUUUUCAUCUUCUACUCCACUUGUAUUGGCUCAAUGUGAAGCAGAGACCAAGACUAAUGGAUGCCAUAACUACAGAGAAUCCAUGAAGCUAAAAAUCAUUGCCAUUGUCGCAAUUUUACUAUCCAGCAUGAUUGGCGUGAGUCUGCCAUUGUUUUCUGGUCAGGUUCCGUCACUUAAACCCGACAGGGACUUGUUCACCAUUGUCAAGGCAUUUUCCUCCGGUGUUAUUCUAGCGACUGGGUACAUGCACGUGCUACCGGAUUCUUUUAACGACCUUAUGUCCGGGUGUUUGCCUGAAAACCCAUGGAGGAAGUUCCCUUUCACAACCUUCGUCGCAAUGCUGUCGGCUGUGUUGACCCUUAUGUUGGAUUCAUUUGCAAUGAGUGUAUACAAGAAACGUUGCGGUAAAGCUCUAAUGGCGGAUGCUAACAAUGGUGGUGGAUUGGAAAAUACGAACGUUGUACAAAUCGAUAAUUUUGAACACGGCCAUAGCCAUUCACUUGAGAUGAAUGACGACGUAUCAUCACAAUUGUUAAGGCAUCGAGUUAUUGCUCAGGUAUAUAUACAUGUUUGAAUCCUCAAAUUCGAUGGUUUUGCUUUUCAAGUCUUUACAUUAUAUAUUUCCUAAAUGUAGGUAUUAGAGUUGGGAAUUGUAGUUCAUUCAGUGGUGAUUGGCCUUGCCAUGGGAGCCUCUGGCAACCAAUGCACCAUUCGAUCACUCAUUUCUGCCCUUUGCUUCCAUCAAAUGUUUGAGGGGAUGGGACUUGGUGGAUGCAUACUGCAGGUAACCCCCAACAUUGCACUAUUUUCUCAUUCAAACAUCCAUUUAGUGUACAAUAUUGAUUAACAUUAUGUUUGAUAUGUGCAGGCUGAAUAUGAGAUAAAAAUGAAAGCAAUCAUGGUAUUCUUCUUUUCAGCCACAACGCCACUUGGAAUAGUUCUGGGAAUUGGUUUGUCCAAGGUUUACAGUGAGACGAGUCCAACUUCACUUAUGGUGGUGGGACUACUUAAUGCUUGCUCAGCAGGGUUGCUGAAUUACAUGGCACUGGUUGAUCUCCUUGCAGCUGAUUUUCUGGGCCCUAAGCUUCAAACAAAUAUGAAGCUCCAGGCUUGGUCAUAUGUUGCAGUUUUACUUGGUGCUGGAUUUAUGUCUUUGAUGGUAAAAUGGGCUUAGUCAUGUCAACAUAUACAUGUCUUUUUGUAGUUUUUUAAUCUUAUUCUUCUUCUUCUUCUUUUUUUUUGUUUCAACAGAUGAGUUUAUAGUGAAUCAACACUUAUUCAAUCAAUUAUAAAAUUUAGGCAAAGAAUUUAGGCAACAAGGCUUGAACAUUGAUCUUUAAGAUCGUUUACUCCAUAUUGCAGGGCUCAUCACAAAGUAUAUAUAUCAGAAAAGUAUGCAAACUUCAAUUUUGUGUCAAUAUCAUUAUAAUUUAAACUGUUUAAUGUUACAUCAGAUGUAGAUGUCUUUAAGCCAAUGCUUAUAGCCACAAAGUCUCUUUGGUGCAAGCUAUAAGUACAGAGUUAUGCUAUAAAUAAACAAUUAAAUAAUUUGUAUUUAAAAUAUCAAAUACUAAAAACCAAUAAAUAAGAUUAGAAAACCAAAAAUCGGAUAAAGAAUCAAAUUUUUCUAGAUGUUGGGGCUUGUUUUACACAGUUUCCUUAAGAUAGAUUUGUCUACUCCUACUGUACUUGGUGAAAUGUUGGGAGACUAUCUAAUAGGAUACAACAAAACAAUGAUCGAAAUAAUAGCAUCUCUACAGAGACCAAUGAACAACCUUGCCUUUUUCUAUCACCAGAACAUUGGAAAAUAUAGAGAGAAAAAGAGAAGAAUUUUCGAGAGCAAAAUAAACUUGGUUUUAGAGAGUUUUUUAGUGUAAAAAAAUUUGAAGAAUUCUUAAGCAUUCAAGAUGGAGGAAUUUUGGAAAUAUCCAUAAUUAAAUAUACAAAAUCUGUAUUAAAUGAGCAAUUAAAUCAUAAUAUAUGUCCUUUUUAAAUUAGAUUUUAUAUAUAUUUGUUGAGAAAAUUAAAUUUUGUGUUGGGCUUAAAAUAUCCACAGGCCCAAUUGACUGGUCUAGACAUUUCACAUCGCCCAUGUAGUGCGAGUGCGCUUCAACCCCGAUGGGUUCGGAUCUACACCCCCCUCGCGUGGGACAAAGUUUCAAACUUAGUCAUUCAAUUAUCCUUCAAGUGGGUUCUCAUAUAUAAACACAUCUCACAUUUGGUAUUUAAUCAAUGUGAGAUCUAAGCUUUUCUUUUCCUCAACAAAUAUUCACAACUUACUUUGAGCAUUAAUUUCUCGCUCAUCACUCAACCAUUUUGAGCAUACGAUAUACUAUUGUAAAGGUAUCAUGGAGUAGAAUAUAAAAUCAUAAUUUUAUGAUUCAAUUCUCCACUUAUACCAAUUGAGAAUAUGCUUCAAAGUUUCUAAAAGUUACAAUUUUUUCAACAUUUUAUACAUCUACUUUAAAGGUAUAAUCAAGCCCAGCAGAGCCCGAAUAAUGACAAGCUUGAACUUGACUCAAACAUCACUUUUUAAGCUCAAUCUUGAUUCAAAACAUAAUUGAGCUGAUUAAGCUCGUUUAUCAAUUUUUAUAAUCAAACUCAUUUAUAAUUAAGCUCUUUUUAUAUAUCAAGGAUAAAAAUGUAAUUUUAUAAAUAAAAAAUAUUUAAAUGGAAUGCUUAAUUAGGUUUGUGGGCUACUUGAAUCAAGUAUUACAAUAUUUAAAUUCAGCUUAAUCAAUAGCUCGAGCUCUACUCAAUAAUUUUUGAUAAAAUUUUAAGAUUUUUUGAAUCCAAUUAGAAUAGCUUGCAAAUAUAAUGUAUCAUUGUACUCUUAAUUUUAAGUUUACAUUUUUAAUUCUUAAAAUAAUAUUAAAAAGUUCUUUCUUUCUAAAAAGAAACACCCAAUCAAUUGAAGGCUUUUUAGAAAGUGGUGGCAAAGUGCAUCCUUUACUUUAAGUCUCACUAUAUCUAAAAAGAAAUUAAUGCGAACUGUAGAAAGUGGUAGGAAUGUGCAUCAUUAUUGCUUUAAAAGAAUUUCAAUCUUUAAACGGAUAGAAUUAAAUUUUCAUAAUUUGGAAGAGUUAAAGUGUAAUUUUUUUAUUUUAAAAUUUUAAAAUUUUUUAAAGAGUUCAAAUAAUAAUUUUUUAUUUUAAGAGAGCCGGGCUCCUGUCAACUCCUGGAUUCGCCUCCGUAAUUUUCAAAAUUCAGUUAAAUUAUGUUAUUUUGAAUAAAAAGUUAAUUGAUAAAGAAAUUCUUUUAGUUUCGAAAAUUCAAUUUUUUUGUUUUAAAAAAAUAUUAAAAUUUAAAAAUUAAAAGAUUAAAGUAAUAAAAUUUCUCCCAAUAUCAAUGACUUUUUGAUACAUGCACGAAUGAAGUGAAAUUUAUUAGAUUCCAAUCAUCAAAACUACUAAUUUUCAGGCUUGGGAAAUUAGCAGACUUGCAAUGACUUUUUGGAUGGGAUUCUGGCAUUUUUGGGUUGAGAUGUCUCAUGGCAUUUGAAGAUCAAUCUCUUAGCUUUGAAACGCAUUUUGUAUCACUCGAUUUUGAGUUCGGGAGCUCAAGUUAUGACUGUUUUAGUGAAGAUUGCGCGAGCAAAAUUUCUGAACGAGAUUAUGACGGGAAUUACGAAUUUUGGGCUUUUAAUUCGUGUUUAAAUCAUAUUGAGUUCAGGUUUUAGACUUAAUUUUUAUUAUUAUAUAUGAGCCUAAUAUUAUAGUUGUUAGAUCUUAUUAUUUUAUUCCAAAAUUUUGAUAAUUAUUAAGUAUUUUAAGUUAUUUAGGAGUUUUAUAUUAACAAGAAAAUUCAAUUUAAAACUCCUUCUUAUUUAGAUUAAAUUAGAGUUCUAGUAUACUUAAAAGUUUUAUUUAGAUUUAUUUAGCUAGUCUAUAUGUAGGCCUUAUUCAUUAUUAUUCUAUUUCUCUUUUAAGUUAAUAAAUUCUCUCUGGGUUUUUUUUUUUCAAGAAUUUCUCUUGAGUUUCUUUUAGAAGAGUUUUAACAAUCAUUUUAGAUUGUGAGGAUCAUUUUCAAACUUUUUGUUGCCAAGGUUUCUAUCUUGAAGGGGAAAUUAGAGCCGCUUGAAGGAGGUUAUGAAUUAUUCGUGUUUCCAAGGCUUAUUAGGACUUCUACACGUCACGUUCUAUCUUUUCAUUUAUCUUCUUUAUUUGCUUCCUUAAUCUUUAAUUUAUUAUUUUAUUUUAGUUAUUUAUUUUAAUUGUUUUAUCUGACUUGGAUUCAAUUUCGUUUCAGGUUGUGUCAAAAUCAAAUUUCUUUUCGAACGUUUAGAACCCUAAGUCAAAUCCGUGAUUUUGACAAAUUUUAUGAUCCACUUUCGCGUUCAUCCUUCUCAUCCUUUAUCACUUUUGCUACUUUUCUUGCUUCUGUCGAUGCAUAUCCUGACAAGCCUUUAACUAUCAUGAGAAGCAAAGGAGAGAAGCAAAGGAUAAAUACACUACGUAUGAUAUAAAUAUGAUUAAUUUUCCUUGAAAUAUUAAUUAUUAAAUACAUAUUAAAAUAUAGAUAUGGGAAUACAAUCUUUUAUAAUAAUCACCCACUAUGACACCAUUUCGUUGUAAUUAUUAAUUUUUUACUAAAAUCGAUAUUAAUAUUUUAUUUUAAUCUUCUAUAACAACUUUUCACUUAUAAUAGCAAUAUCCAUAUACAUUCUUUAUUAAACUAUUUCUCUAUAACAUCGUAUUGUUUAAAUCUUUAAGUAAUAUAACGACCACCAUUUUAUAAAAGAUAAAAUCUAGACAGACAAGUUAAGUAAUUUUAGUUUAGUAAAUUGUAUUUUUUUUCUGAAUGAUUUAGAUUAAUUGCUUUUUUCCAACACCAUGAAAAGCUGAUUUCAAACACAAUAAUUGGCGAUAGUGUGUUCCUUCUUUUGUCACCUUUACCAAAAGGGAAAAUAAUUGGCGAUAGAGUGUUGCUUUCGUUUGUCAACUUUUCAGCUGUAGCCACCAAAUGAUAAGAAUCCAUGAAGCUCCACUCUCAAGUAUUUGUGUUUCUUUAGGAUUCUAUUGUUUACAUUUCAAAUUUUGUUUAGAUUGAGCUGCCCUUUGUCAAAUUACUUCUCGCAUUACUCCGUUAAGAAUAUUAUCUUUUCGCUCGUUCGUAACUGCGACAACUAAUCGCUGAAUCCUUCUCUUAUACGUUGGAAAGGUACGCCAUCUGCUUUCAUUUUGGUUGAUUUGGUCUUACUUCUUGGUUUACGGAAGCUUUACUUUUUGCUCGUUUUAUUUGUAACUUUUUCUUCUGAUUUUGUUUUGGUCUUUGUUGUCGCUGUGGUUAUUCAGUUUACUUCUUGUUUGAUCUCUCAAUGGAGUUUGUUACUACCCUAGUUGGCUCUAUUGUCACUAAAGCUGUAAAGUAUACGAUCUCUCCUAUCAAAAACCAUAUCAAAUACCUUUCCAAUCAUCAACAAUAUGUUGAGACCCUCAAGGACUAUAUGUUUAGUUGGUAAAAAAAGGAGAAAAAAAGAAGAAAGAAAACCACUUUGCUUAGUUGGUAAAAGCCAAAGUUGUGAGUAUUGAAUAAUCAGAUUCGGAAUUUAGAGUGAUAGCAUAUAGAAUAUUUUCCCAUUAAAAUAUGUUUUGGUAUACGACAUUUUAGGGUUGUUGGCUAGUCAUUACUGAGCUGCUUCCUUUCUUUUAAAGUAUGAUGAAGUCAUCUUUCUCAAAUCACUACUUUCUGGGUUUGCUCUGUUAAGAACAAGAAAAAAAGAAAAAAAUUGGAAGUUAUCGAUCACAGCCAAAAGGUACGCCAUCUGCUUUUCUUUUCCCUGCUUUGCUCUUACUCUUCUGAAAUACUUGUCGGUAUAAAUAAGCUUAGGCAGGCAGUUUUAACCAUGAAAAUGGACUUCUUUUAUGCUUUAAAUCUAUUUAGCCCUUCUAUUUUAGCUUUAGGAUUUCGAGUCCUGUACUUUUUCGAUUUAAAAUCUUCAUCUUUCCAUUCAAAUUUACCCUUAGUGUUGUUGACCUGACAUAUAUAAAAAGAUCAAAUAAAUUUUUUAGCCUUAAUUUGAUCUUUACUUUAUAAAAUUACAUAAAAAUUCAGAAUUAAAAAGAAAACAUAUUUCCACUAAAAUCCAUUAAAAAAUUGUGGAAAACACUCUUUAAAGUUCGUGGAAAAAAGGGAUAAGAAGGGGUGACUAUUAGGAAAGCUGCAUAAGCACUUUUGUUUGUGAUCUAUCAACAAAUUGUGGCUUCCACAUACUGCAAUAUGGUUAUUAAGAGGUUGAGUACUGCUUUAUCUUGUAGAAGGAGGAUUUGUAGUAGAUCUAAUCAUAAGUUGGGUUAAUAUAAAAAUUUUAGAUUUGUUUUUAGGGUCCGGAUCGCCUCAACUAAAAAAAUGCGCUAAAAUUUUAUUUAAGUUCAACCCAGAUAAAAAAUACUAAAUCUGAACCCGUCUGUAUUAGAUUAUUUUUAUAUAAAAAUAAAUUUAAAAAAUAUAAUACAUCAAAUACUCUAAAAAUAUUAAAAUAAAUGUUUCUCAACGAAUUGAAAAUAUAUUUAAAAAAAUUCUUUAUACUUAAAUAAAACUAACAUAGUUGCAACUUAGCAAACAAAUGUUUCUAAAAUAAUAGUAAAAUUAAAAAUAAAAUAAGAGUUAUACAAUAUCUAAAUAAUAGUAGUAAAAUAACAACAUAACAGCAAAAAACAACAACGUAAAAGCAGUAAACAGCAGCAAAAAAAUAGUUAAAUUUGGGUUAGGUCCAAACUAAAAAAAUCUUACCUGAAGCUCAGCCUGUUUAAAACGAGAAUUUAUUUUUUUCGAAGUUUAUUUUUUGGGUUUGUAUUAUUACCUAAAAUAUAAUGAUUGUAUUAUUAAAAUAUUAAUCAUAUAAAUAGUUACGGAAGUGUGUAAAAUUACUUUAAUUUUUACAUUGUGUAAGUAGAUCAUUCCCCUUAAUAUUAAUAAAUUUUCAUUUUGUUAUAACAUAAUAUUUAAAAUAUGAAUUAAGAUUAAAAAUUAAAUUAAAAAUAUGAAUAUAAAUAGGGUGAGGAUUUAAUACUUUUUGUUAUUCCACAAGUAACCUUAAAAAAUUGACAUGUCUCUCUUUCCUUUAAAUAUUUUAUUAUACUCUUAUAAAACACUUGUCAAUCCCUUGGUCCUGCUAGUGGAGUCUAAAAACUCCAUUGGCAGUGUACUAAGUGAUUUCUCAUAAUUUAUUAUUGAAUUUUUUAAAUUCCACAAGGAAAGUCAAGAAGUUGAUAAAUGUCUUUUUAGAAGUAUAGUAAAAUAUUUUAAAAAAAUUAAAGAUUUUAAUACUGCUUGUAGAAUAAAUAUGUACAAGCCCAAAUUUACCAGGGGCCCAAAAACCCAAUUACAACCAAAACCAAACCCAAAAGACCUAGCCCAAUACCCCUAACCCAACCCAAACAACAGACCCUAAACAUUUAAAAACCAAGCCCAAUUACAAUACCCGACCCAAUAACCCUAAGCCCGAUUAACAGUAGCCUAAAGCCUAACAUCAAAUCAGAAACAGACCCCCUGCUGCCGCUGCCGCGCCACUUGCUCUGCCACCGCCGCGCCUACUUCACCCACUUGCCUACAGAGAAAUGACAAGCAAAAAAUAUUGUAAAAAAUGGCUAUAAAGCCAUAACAACUAUUGUAAACGGGGUCUUCUUCCCCCCUUUUUUUCCACGAGCAUGAAAUAAAAAAACACAACACUUUCAAGGUUUUUUCUUUUUUCAUUUUAGGUACUUAUUUUGGUUAUAUAAUCCUUUUAUUUAUUUAUUUUACAUAUAUGAAAAUAUAAAAAAAAAGAGAGAAAAGGGAAAGAACCUACCGGAGUCAAUCCGCGUCUUUGUCGUCGGAGACCUCUUCUCUGGUGCCUAAAAUCAGUCGUUGAGAAUGUUGAUGGCCUCUUGCCCUUUGUUUUUUUGGUUGUUUUGAGGCCGGAUCCGAACUCAGUGGGUUAGUAUCUAAAAAAAGGACACUUUUUUACCCUCGUCGGCCUCCGUGCACGGUGGCAUCGAUGCUGGCGAUCGACGGCCGACACAGUGGCCUUUGAUUGAACGCUCGGCCGGAGUGUGGGGGAGUAGAGAGGAUUUUGCUUAGUUGUUUUAAGGGGGAGGGUGAAAAUGAAAAAAUUCUAAAAAUUUUGGCUUUUAUAGCCUAUGGGAAACGGCGCCGUUUCAUCCGGCCUCCACAGGCGCCAAAACGGUGUCGUUUUGGGGAGGCCGACCCGAACCUAACCUGUCUGCUCUAAGAUCCGCGCGUUUUAAGAUGGAAGGGCUAAUUGCACUUUUAGCCCUUCCGCCUUCUUUAUGUUUUUAAUUAAGUAUUUUUGUUUUUUCAAUUUUGCACAGUGAUUUUUUUGCGAUUUCGAUUUAGUCCUCGCUAAAACGAUGUCGUUUUGGGGGAAAGAGAAAAUUACCCUUUCAGUCCCUCCAUGUUAUUCGCGUGUUCAGAUUGGUCCUUUCCUUUUAUUUUACUUUUGAUUUUGCCCCAAAUCUUUUCCUUAUAAUUCAAAUUAGUCCUUUUUUGUUAUUUUAUUAUUUUAUUAAUUAACUCAAUUAUUUUAUUUAUUCCUCAUUAUUGUACUAUUAUGUUGUGUUAUUAUUGUUAUUAUAUUUCCAAUUUGUUUAUUGAUCUAAGUUUAAAUAUUUUUAAUCUCAUUAUUAUUAUUAUUAUUAUUAUUAGUUACUCAUUUGUACCUUUUUAAUUUUAGAUUUAAUUAUAUACAUACAUAUCUUUGAUUUAUAUAUAUAUAAAUACUUAUAUAUAUAUUUUUUACAUUUUAAAAUAUGUAUAUUUUUAUAUUUUUAUUUUUAUUUUUUUUAUGAUUCACAUAGAUAUAUAUUUAUAUUUUAUAAUUUUUAUCGAUAUUCUUUGUUGUUAUAAUUGCUUCACUUGGUGUUCACUUAUUUAUUUAUUUACAUGUCCAUUAUUAUUAUUAUUUUUAAAUGCUUUAGUUUUUAUUUGUUUAUUACUUGUUAUUGUGUAUACAUGAUUGAUUUUUUUAUAUAUAUAUUUGUCUUCUUAUUUAUUUAUCUUUUUGUUUUUGCUCGUAUUAUUUUUACUUACAUUAUCAUAAUUGUUAUUCCAUUACAUCAAUUUUUACCAGAUUUGUAAAAGAGAAAAUUUUGAAAAUAAAGGCAAUACUCAGUAUUUGGGAUCUUCGAGAGGAUUGAGCCCUAACGUAUUGGGAUCCAAUUUUCUUCGUUGAAUCUAAAUAAUCGAGAAUGCUCUUUAAUAAAAAACAUAAAUAAAAAGCUCAUUAUCGGGAAUUCAAUACGUUGUGUCCUAACACAUUGGAUAUGACAUGUUGUUUUCUCGAGAUGAGGAUUUUUCUAAAAAAAUAAUAAAGGCAAUAUUCAAUGUUUAGAAUUUUGAGAAAUUGUGCCCUAACGUAUUGGGCUGCGAUUUCUUCAUCUGACUUAAACAAUUGAAUAUCCUUUUAAAUUUUAUUGCACGAGUUUUUUGGACAAGCUCAUUUUUGAGGAGGUGAAAUGUCAUGCCCUAACUCAUUGGGUGUGACAUUUUAUCUCUCCGAAAUGAGAGGGUCUUAAUGGGUAAUUUGUUUUAUAUAAGUUUUUUUUUUACAAAAGAUCGUAUUUUUAAAUUUCUUUAAAGUUUUUAAUUCUCAACACUAAGACACUAAUUAAUCAACUAGGUACCAAUUUUAGGCGUUACGAGGGUGCUAAUCCUUUCUCGUACGUAACUGACUCCCGAGCCUAUUUUUUUGAAUUUCAUAGAACAAAAUCGUUGUUUUAAUAAAAUUAAAUUGUUUAUAAAAAACAACCAUUUUUCGAGGUGUCCCGAUCACACCUCAUCAAAAAGGAUUGGUGGCGACUCUAGUGUUCUUUUUGCAUUCAUUUCGUGCAUUUGCAUUACAUUACGUCAUGAACAUUAAAGUCCACCAAAGAGCCUAAUUGAUUAAAAUUAUUUCAGUUAAUAUGGAAAACCAACACCCUUGCGGUACCCGAACAGAAACUAAAGGAAUAGACCAAAGGUUGGAGAGGUUAGAGCAGAUGCAAAUAUAGAUGCUAGAGCAAUUGACCAAAUUUCAACAAGAUAUGAAGGAUCAGAUGCUAAAAGUCCAAAGAAAUCUGAUGAGCCAGUUAACCCAGUUAUUGGAUAAAGGGUUAGAAAAAGGAAAAAACCAAACGGUCUACUUUAGAGAUGAUAAUGAAGACCCUGCUCAUUUUCCAGACUUUACCCCAACAAACAUCCAAGCACAACCGAAUACAUAUCCACAAAGGGUAACUGUUAACAUCCGACCACAAUACCAGACUAGUACCUCGACACCGGUGAAUUUCGCGACAGGCUCAGGUUCCAACCUUAAGGGCAAUUUAACUAAUCCCGUUGUCCUUGAUGAUCUAGCGGGAGUAAAACAGGCGAGAGUGGAGUUCUCAAAACAAUUUGGAGAUAGUUACAAACAGAAAGGGCAAAAAUGGAGCCCCCAAAUCAAUACUUCGAAAGCACCGAAGAAGAGGAAAAAUGAGGUGAAUGAUGCGAGUAGGUAUAACGAGGGUUAUUCAAAGGCGAUUACUGCAAGCCAGCCAAGGACGGUUGCUUCUAGCCAUUAGAUCCCCCAGAGACAAGAAUCCGGCACAAAGCAAAACAUUGAGAAGUCCCAAUUUACACCAAUCCCAAUGUCAUAUCGGGAGCUGUAUCAGAGUUUAUUUGAUGCACACGUUAUUUCUCCUUUCUACGUGAAGCCUUUACAACCUCCGUACCCCAAAUGGUACGACAAAAAUGUGCAAUGUGACUACCAUGCGGGAAUUACGGAGCAUUCUAUAGAAAAUUUCCCUACCUUUAAAAGGUGGUUGAAAGGCUCAUCAGUAUGGGCAUUGUUAAGUUCGAUACAGAAAAUUUGUUGCCCAAUCAUAUUGAUAAUCGGGGUGAAUGCGAUGAAUGAAGAAAUGUUGGGAAAUGUUCACAUCAACGUCGUAUACAAAGAAACAACUGAAGAAGAGACCUUGUUAGAUAUCCACCUUUAUAAACUUGGGAGUCUUCUAAAUAAAUCGGACUGUAGAAGAAAUCUCUGUAUCAUUUAAAGCUUAUUUAGAGUAAUGUUCAAAACACUUUUGUUGCUUUUGGCCUAGAUGCAGUAAGAAUGUCUAUGUGAAAUAGGCUCAUGUCUGAAUAUUAUCAUUUUAAUGAAAUCCAUUAUUGUGAUUAUUUUGAGCUAGUAUUCUUUCAUUCUUUACAAAUAAUUAUGUUUGAUUCUUUCAUUCUUUUGGAUUUUCUUCCACAUCAUUCUUUCAUUUAUAAUUAUAUUGUACAAAUAAUUAUUCAUAAAUUCAUACAUUCUUUUUAUAUUCUUUUGUACCUACAAUGGGUCCCUAGAUAUCAAUGACAUGAGUGACGCUGCUACAGACUCAGAAUUUCCUUUUGAGCGAGACAUGUGUUUAAAGGGAUCUCAUUACUUUAUUAAAAUUUUUUUGGGUGCAGCCUGACCAAUGGGCAACACUAGACUAAAAUGUGAUGAUCUAAAAACUCUAGGGGCCUUAUAUGUCAAAUUUUCGUUUUUAUUGGCAAUUGAUUCAAAGGGUGUCGCAUGACAGGCGGCACCAAACUUUAAAAAGGAUAAAUUCACCCUAAAUCCCCCUUAUUUAUUAUUUUUCUUUAACACCAAAAAUAGAUUGCCUUUUAUAAAUUAGUCUAAAUUUUUUUUACCAAAAAGUAUUUUUGUAAGUAAACCGUUUCCAUUUGGAAAUAAUUUUAUUUCUUUUUAGAAAAUAUUUAUAAUUUUAUUAUCAAAUUGAUUUAUGUACACGGUAUAAAAUUAUAAUUAUAAAAGCUUUAGAAAAAUCUUAUUAUGUAUAAAUUAUAAUUAUUAGUUAAAUUUAUAGUUUCAAAUAUAAUGAGAGAAAAAGAAAACUACUAUAAAUAUAGUUAAUUGUAAUGUCAAACAUAAUGUGAAUUUUUUGUUUGAAAAAUAAAUAAAAGUUAUUUUGAGUUGGAAUCGACUUACUUUCAAAAAUACUUUUGGUAAAAAAAAAUUAGACUAAUUGAUAAGAGGCCAAUUUAUUAUUGGUGUUAAAAGAUAAUAAAAAUUAAUAAUAAAUAGGAGGUUUAGGGUGCAAUUUACCCUUUUAAAAUUUGGAGCCGUCAUACAGGCGGCACCCUUGAAGAGUUUUUCGACUGUCAAUUAAAAUGGAAAAUUUCCAUAUAAGGUCCCUGAAAUUUUUAGAUCAUCUCAUUUUAGCCUGGUGUGGCCGAUUGCUCAGGCUGCACCUGAAUUUUUUUUAAAUAAAGUGAUGCUGUCGAUUGGUUAGGCGGCACCGAUAUUUCACCGUUUCAUUUGACUAUUCUCAUAAAUAUUAAUCUCUUUAUCCUAUUUUGUAUUUAUUUAUUUAUUUUAUAUUAUUAACGUAAAAAACCCUAUAUUGUGACUUGCGGAAACGUGGAAUGAAAACCAAUUAGGUUUUUUUUUUAAGUUUUUCUUGAAUUAAAAUGCAACCAAUAAAAAUAAUUGAUAUUUUAAUUUAAUAAAAAUAAAAUUAAUUAAUAUUUGAGUAUUUAAUUUUAAAAAUUAUCAAGAUGUAAUUACAACAAUUAAUUUUAAAAGUUAUUAAAGAUAUUUAUAUAUGUCAAUUUUUUAUAAUUAUUAAUGACAUACAUAUAAAUUAAUCAAUUAAUAGUGUGUCUCUCAUAGAUGAUAUUGACAGUAGCGGAGUCAGAAAAUGUUUUUGAAAGACCGGAAUUAAUGUAAAAAUAUAUAAUUUAAAUAAUUUAAUAGCUUUUAUAAUAUUUAAAAUAUUAAAUCAAAAUUUUUUAUCAUUUUAAAGAAGAACAAAGUAUAAUUUUACUUUUAUUAAUUUAAAAUUUUAUAAAUUAUAAAAAUUAUAUAUGAAACCGGAUACUGUCAGCCCCUAUGACUAUGUAAGCCUUGAAAACAUCCUUCCUUAUUGAAUGUCUUUUUCUACUUUGGCAGUGGUGUGCUUUCUUUGAUUCUAGCAGCUCCUUUUAAAUAAAAUUUCCAAAAAUAAUAGAUAUUAUAUGAGGAAUAGUUGGUUGAAGAAAGAAACAGCAAAAAAAUAAAAAAAUUGGCAAAUGACCUUUCAAGAGCUGCAUUUAAUACAUGGAUACUUAAUAAUUCAUUUAUUUAAGGGUAAACUAUAAAAAUAGUCACUUUUGUUUACCUCAGAUUACAUUUUAGUCACUUAUGCUUGAAACGUUACGGUUUAGUCACUUACGUUUUCGUUUUGUUACGAAGCAGUCACUCUACCGUUAAGCUUUGUUACCUCCCUAACAGUGGUCCUACAUGGUAGUCCAAAUGAGUUUUAAAUGCCAACUUGAAUGUCCUACAUGACAGUCCAAAUUAAAUUUAUUUAAUUACAAACUUAUUUUCAUCCCAGCAAAUAGACAUCCAAGUUAACAUUUAAAACCCAUUUGGAUUGCCACGUAGGACUAACGUUAGGGAGGUAAUGGAGUUUAACGGUAGAGUGACCACUUCGUAACAAAACGAAAACGUAAGUGACUAAGACAUAACAUUUCAAACAUAAGUGACUAAAAUGUAAUCUGAGGCAAACAAAAAUGACUAUUUUUAUAAUUUACCCUUUAUUUAAUAAAUUAUUUUAGGGACCGAACAUAUAUCUUUUUCAUUUCGUCGAAAAUCAAUUUUACAGUAUAAACUCCUACGACCUCCCCUCCUAUACCAUGUAGUAAUGAUUCCUCUAACAAUUUCUCAAUUCAAUAAAAGAAAAAAGAAAAGAGGGUCUUAAAUAAUGAGAGAUAUGUAAAAAGGAACUCCUUUUUUACUUUCUAGUUUAUUUUCUAUUUUAGUAUUUUUUUUACAUCUAAAUUAUAUAGAAUUUUUUAUAUAGAUAUAAAUUUUAAAAUGAAUGAUUAAAAUAGGGAAAUGCUGUUGAGCAAAUAAAAUAUUUUAUGAUUGAAGUUAUUGAAUACUCAAGUAGUGUUACCUUAUAAAUCUCUCAUGUCUUCUGAGAAACAAAAUAACAAAUUAUAUUUCUAAUCUCAUUCCAAAGCAGUCUUAAUCAUAAACUUUGUUCCCACUUUGUUUGUUUUCUUUCAAAAGUUAGACAGAAACUAUGAACUUCUCCACUCUUCAUAAUUCACAAAACAAAUCCCAGUCUACCAUUAUUAACUAAAUCUGUAUUAACUAAUCUCAAUUUCCUAAUCCAACACUGUUUUCUCUUUUUUCAUUUCUUUAAAAACUGUUCCAUUUUUAUACUAUAUUACUCCAUUAUAUUGUGGUCAAGUGAAACAAAAGUAAAAUGUAGUGUAUUUUAAAAAUAAUAUAUAUUUAUUAUAAUUCGGGCCGGCCGGGCUGGGCCCAGGCCAAAAAAGUUUUGCUCAAGGCCCAGCUCAUUUUCUAAAUGGGCCCCUUUUUUUAUCCAAACUCAUACUUCGGGCCUAUAUUUUUACCCGAACCCUCCCAGAACACCUCUAAUUUGCACCAAUUCAUCCCAUUUAAUGCAAACAUAUUAAAUAUUUAUAUGUCCAUAAAAGAGUAUGGUUGGAAAGGCAUUUCGACUACUAGAAAGAAUGAAGGAGAAGAGGAUUCUGGUUGUGUUGGAUGAUAUUUGGGAAAAGUUAGAUAUUGAGGAAGUAGGGAUUCCUUUGGGAGAUGAACACAAGGGAUGCAAGUUGCUGUUAACUUCUAGAGAGCUCAAUGUUUUAGUAAAUGGGAUGGAUGCUCAGAAAAAUUUUCCCAUUGGGUUUUUAAACGAAAAGGAAGCCUGGGACCUGUUCAAGAAGAUGGCUGGAAACUGUGAUGAAAGUUGCGAUUUGAAGCCUAUAGCUAUGGAGAUAGCCAAAAAUGUGCAGGAUUGCCAAUAGCCAUUGCGACAGUUGCAGGGGCUUUGAGAAACAAAAGGUUGUUUGAAUGGAAGAAUGCUUUACGAGAACUGGAGAGGCCUUCUUCAAGCAACUUCACGGGGAUAACUGCGGCACAUUCAGCUAUAGAGUGGAGUUUUAAUUAUUUAGAAAGCGAGGAAGUUAAGCUGACUUUCUUGCACUGCAGUGUAAUAGGCCAUAAUGGUCUCGUUGAGGACUUGGUAAGAUAUACUCCAGGUUUGGGUUUAUUUGAUGGUCUCAAAACUAUGGAAGAAGCUAGAAAUAAAGUAUUGACGGUUGUGGCUAAUCUCAAAGCGUCUGCCUUGUUGCUUGAUAGUUAUGAUGAUGAGCGCUUUGAUAUCCAUGAUGUUGUUUGGGAUGCUGCUUUAGCUAUUGGAUUGAAGGACUAUCGUAUGAUUGUUUUGAGAGAUCAUGUUCCAAAGGAGUGGUCCGAUAAGGAGAAAAUGAAUAGGUGGAGUGUGAUCAGCUUACGUUGUCCUCGGAUUAUAGCUAACCUUCCAAAGGAGAUGGAGUGUUCAGGUCUUUCCUUCUUCCAUAUGGCCGGUGCAGUUAAAAUUCCUCCUAAGUUUUUCAAACAAACCGAAGGCCUCAAAGUCUUAGAUUUGUUCGGAAUGCAGUUUCCAUCCCUACCUGAAUCAAUUAUUCACCUCACGGACCUUCACAUGUUGUGUCUAAAAGAAUGUGCAGUUGAUGACAUAACCAUCCGUGGAGAGCUCAAGAAUUUAGAAAUCCUCGACCUUUCUAAGUCAGGUAUCAAAGAACUACCUAUGGAGAUGGCACAAUUGACUCAAUUAAGGUUGUUAGAUUUUAGUUGGUGUACAAAACUCGAAAUCAUCCCACCAAAUGUCUUAUCAAGUUUGUCUAAAUUAGAAGAAUUAUAUAUGGGUGGAAGCUUUGUUGAAUGGGAAAAGGAAUGAGUAGUUGAAACUGAGAGCAAAAAUGCAAGCCUUGACGAAUUAAACAAUUUGCCUUGUCUAACUACUUUAUAUGUUCAUAUUCUUGAUGCUUAAAUGAUUCCAAAGCAUCAAUUCGUUGAGACAUUGGACAAAUACAAUAUUUGUGUAGGUGAUUAUAAUAGGUUUGUAUGGGUCCAAAAUAAUGAAUUUUCAAGAACAUUGAAGCUCAAGUUAUGUACAAACAUUUAUUUGGAGAAUAGGUUGAAAAUGUUGCUGAUAAAAACAGAAGACUUGCGCCUAGAGGGACUUGAAGGCAUCAAAAAUGUAUUUGUGGAGUUAAAUAAUGAGAAAGAUCUUCCACAUUUAAAGCGACUUCAUGUCAAAAAUGGUAUGCAUGUCCAAUAUAUCAAAAUGGACAAAAUUGAGUUUUCUGAAUUAUACUUCAUCAAACUUAAAAAUCUACCGUAACUCAUUAGCUUUUGCUCUCAAGACGAAAGGUGUUCCAUGAGUUCCAAGUUACUACAACUUUUCAAUAAACAGGUAUUUGCUUGGCUUUAUUCAUAUUUUCUUAUACAAUUUUUAUUUAUAUGCCCAUUGUUUCAUAAUACUUCUAAUAAUAAAAAUAAAUAAUAUUAUGUAAUAGUUUUCGGGGCUCAAAAAUAAAUUUCAAACUCAAAACAUAUGGAAAUUUAAUUUCUAAUCCAAACUUAUUGAAAGUCCAAAAUCAAUUCAAUACUCAAAAUUUAAACCCAACAAUGUUUUUUUUUUAAAUUCUGAAAAUGAAAUUGGAACCCACAAUUCGAACUGAAAUUGUCUUUCAAAUCGAAAAUCAUAUUUCCAAAUUUAUGUUACUAUCUUUCCCUUUCCCCUCCUUUUAGAUUUUUAAGAGAAAAAAAGAAUUGUGUGUAAAUAUGUGCAAUUUGUUUUCCAUCACUUGGAAAGCUUGUAAUUGUGUUCCAUUAACACCAAAAUAAUAUGGCACAACCAGACAUGUCAUUUAUUGGAUUACGAAUUUGAGGAGCUUGAUCAUCAAAGGAUGCGGCAAGUUGGAGCAUCUGUUAUCACCCUCUCUUGCUAGAAGUCUGGUGCAGCUCCAAUGCUUUAAGAUAGAGGAUUGCAAGUGCUUAAGGGACAUAAUACUUAUAGAGGAAAUUGAAGAAGAAAGGAAAGAUGUGAUUUGUUUCCCUCGAUUAAACUCCCUGUGUAUAGAUGGUCUUCCAAACCUCAUCUUCUUCAGCUCAGGAAACCAUAAUAUCGAGUUCCCAUUGUUGGAAGAGCUAUGGAUUGAGCGUUGCCCCAAUUUUAUGGAAUUCAUUAGUCAGAGUAGCAAUGAGUCUGGCAUGCACGCUCUCUUCAGUGAGAAGGUGAUUUAUUUCAUUACUCUUAGGCUCUUAUAUAAUUCUGUUGAUUUGUCCUUGUUAUUUUGUCGGGCAUUAUAUGAGCUAACUUUUGUACCGGCACGAAUUAUAUGUAGGUUGCAUUUCCUAGGUUGGAAAAGAUAACAAUCAACAAGUUGAGAAAUGUGAAAAUGAUGUUUCAUAAUAACUUUGCACCAGGUUCUUUUCAAAAUCUACGAGAAAUAAGAGUUGAGGGAUGUGGGAGUCUGAAAAAUCUAUUUCUAGUGUCAAUAGCCAAAGAUCUUCCACAACUUGAAGAUUUAUGCAUCACUAAUUGUGGAGUGGAGGAGAUUGUAUCGAAAGGGGAAGGAGUGGAGGAGCAGCCUGUGAGGUUUUAAUUUCCGCUAGUGUCUUCCCUUGAGGAUACAUCCCUAAAAGAGCUCCAAUGUUUCUAUGAAGCGCAACAUACAAUAGUCUGGCCCAUGUUGAAAAAUUUGAAAACAGAUUGUUCUGCUUUGCUAAAGAUAGUGGCUUCGGAACAUCUUAGAUUAAUCCAAGGAAAUGAGCAGCCAGUUUUGUUGGUUGAAGAGGUAUGUAUAUCAUUACAACUAUAUUUCUUUUCAUGAUUUAAGCCACCGUCACAUCCAUCUCUUGUUGAUAUAUAUAUUAUUUGAAACGGUGGUUGCUUAUCCAUUUUAAUUCGGAUUUUUUAUGCACUUCUUUCAGCUUAUUUUUAUCAUUUUUUAUUUCUAAGGUAUUGUGUUUCUUAAAACAAAAUAUUCAUCUAUUUUGGAUUGGUUUGAUUUAAUAUUGAUUUUGUUGAGAUUUAAUCAUCGAUAUCAAACACCAAAAUUGUAGAUCUUAUGUUCUUUUUAAGCAUAUAGAUCAACAUUGUGCCUAACUUGUUUAUGUUUAAUUGGUUUCAAGGUCAUUCCCAAUUUAGAGGAACUUGAGUUAUUAAAUUUUGGUGAUAUGGACCAGUUUCCACCAGCCUUGGCAAACUCGACAGCAUGCAGGCCAUGAAGACCAAGUCAUGCAGGAGCUGCUGAUACAAGCUUAUUUUGUUUAUUUUGUAAUUCCCAGUCAAUGAAAUGUAAUCUUAGUUCAUUUCUAACUAAGUUAGAUUGUUGACUGAUGUAAUUAGCUUAUGUAUGAGCUGUAAACACAACUUUGUGUAAGUUUACAAGCCAAAAUUUCAAGUUUCCAUGUCAUUAGUGGAGGUAGGUGAUGUUUAGGUAAUUACUUACUGUUUUUGACAAGCUUAGUGCCUGUUUUAUGUAUUGGCAUUGUGCCAUUAUGCAUUUUAUGAAUGAAGUUCAGUUUGUUCAUCAAUUUCUCUAUUCAUUUUUCUUAGCUUUUCUUCCUUUCUCUUGCUCGAAUUCUCUUGUUUGCUCAGCAAGUCUCGAGACUUGCUUAACAAGUUUGCACUGAAUCUGUUAGUUUCAGUUACAGCACCAACAAUUGGUAUCUAAAGCCUAUUUUCUUAAGGGACCUGUUACACAAAUCCAUGGCUUCAUCAAGCUUUUCACCAGCUGCACCUCAAGUCUUCAAUGGAGAAGGCUAUCACAUAUGGGUGGUCAAAAUGAAGACCUACCUGCAGGCUUUCGAUCUGUGGGAGGUGGUCAACUCUGAUGUUGAACCAGAGCCACUUAGAGCUAAUCCAACAGUGGCUCAGAUCAGGCAGCAUGCUGAUGAAAGGACCAAGAGGCACAAGACUAUGUCUUGCAUCCAGAACUCAGUGUCUGAUGUGAUUUUCACAAGGAUUAUGGCCUGUGAAUCACCAAAACAGGCCUGGGACAAGUUGCAGGAAGAGUUUCAAGGGACAGAGAGGACAAGGCAGCAACAGUUGUUAAACUUGAGGAGAGAUUUCAAGAAUUUGAAGAUGAAGGAAGAAGAAACUGUCAAGCAAUAUUCUGACAGGAUUAUGGCUGUGGUUAACAGCAUCAGGCUCCUUGGAGAGCAGUUCAAUGAAGCUAGGAUAGUGGAGAAGGUUAUAGCAACUCUGCCUGAGAGGUAUGAGGCAAAAAUCUCAUCUCUCGAGGACUCAAGGGACCUGUCCACCAUCUCCCUGACAGAGUUUAUCAAUGCUCUAUAUGCUCAAGAGCAGAGGAGAGCAAGCAGACUGGAGGAGCACCAAGAAGGUGCCUUUCAGGCAAGAACAAAUACUACCUACAAAGGCAAGAAGGCCUGGAGAGACAAGCCAAAGAAUGAUGCUGCAAGGAAAGAAGGUCAGACUUGCAAGCACUGCAGAAAGGCUGGUCAUUCAGAAGAAAAAUGCUGGUUCAAUCCAGAUGCUGUGUGUCAGCAUUGUAAGAAGAAGGGUCAUGUUGAGAGAGUCUGUAAGAGCAAGGCCAAAUCAAGGCACAAUCAGUUUCAACAGAUGAAAGCUGAGGCUCGAGUAGCUAAGGAGGACAGUGACCAAGAGAAGCAAGUUUUUGCUGUGUCAUGCUCAGCUGCUCAGGAAAGGUCCUCAUCUGGUUGGCUCCUAGACAGUGGAUGCACCAACCACAUGACACCUGAUGCUGCAAUCUUCAAGUCUUUAGACAGAAGCUGCAGAACUAAGGUCAAGAUAGGAAAUGGUCAUUUUAUUCAAGCUGAAGGCAAGGGUGAUGUGCUAAUAUGCACCCUUACAGGUACCAAAGUGAUUUCAAAUGUGCUGUUGGUGCCUGAAAUUGACAGAAACCUGCUCAGCAUAGCUCAGUUGCUGGAAAAAGGUUAUUCAGUUGUGUUUAAAGACCACCAGUGCCAAAUCAGUGAUCCAAGUGGAUCCAAACUGAUGGCAGUCCCCAUGGCUGAUAAGAGCUUUGUGGUUGACUGGACAAAGAAGUCAGACAUUGCCUACACAGCCACUUCAGAUGAAUCCAAGCUGUGGCAUCAAAGACUGGGACAUACCAACUUCAUAUCGAUGGCCCGAAUGAUCAGAGAAGACCUGGCUGAAAACUUCAUCAACUCAGUGGACCAUGAUGAUGUAUGUGAAGUAUGUCAGCUAGGAAAGCAGGCCAGACUCCCAUUUCCCUCGAAUCAAGCCUGGAGAGCCUCUGAAAAACUCCAACUGGUGCAUACUGAUGUGUGUGGCCCUAUGAAGACUAAGUCAUUAAGUGGAAACAGGUAUUUCAUACUGUUCAUUGAUGAUUUCUCGAGAUAUUGCUGGAUUUACUUCUUAAAACAGAAAUCAGAGGUGGCCACUGUGUUUUGGAAGUUCAAAACUGCUGCUGAGACUGAAACAGGCUGCAAGGUAAAGUCCAUAAGGUCUGAUAAUGGGACUGAGUACACCUCAGCUCAGUUCCAAGCCUUCUGUGAUAAGGCAGGCAUCAAACAUCAACUUACCAACACAUAUACACCUCAGCAGAAUGGGGUAAGUGAAAGGAAGAAUAGGAGUUUGAUGGAUAUGGCCAGGUGCUUGAUGAUUCAGAAGAAUCUGCCUAAAGCACUAUGGGCAGAAGCAGUUAACACUGCAACAUACAUUCAAAAUAGACUUCCAACCAAGGCUUUGGAUCAAAAGACCCCAUUCGAGGCCUGGUUUAGCUUCAAGCCAUCACUGGCUCAUCUGAAGGUCUUUGGAUGCAUCUGUUAUGCACAUGUACCUGCUGUUAAAAGGGACAAAUUGUCUGAAAGGGCUCGACCUGGUGUUUUGGUGGGCUAUAGCACUGUUAAUAAGGGCUAUAGGAUUUUAGAUCCUUCAACAAACAAAGUGUCAGUAAGCAGGGAUGUGGUAUUUGAUGAGAGGUCAUGUUGGAACUGGGAAAGACAUGAACCUGAAGAAGUUUCUGAAGAACUUGCAACAGACCAAGCUGAGCCAGACCAAAAUGUCCCUGAAAUGGAUAUUGAUGAUGAACCAGUCAGAGGAACAAGGCCAUUGGCUGAAAUUUAUGAAAGGGCUCAUGUAGCCAUAGCUGAACCAAACAACUUUGAAGAGGCUGAGGCUCAGCAAGGGUGGAAGCAGGCAAUGGCUGAGGAGAUCAGCAUGAUUGAGAAGAACCAGACCUGGGAAUUGGUUGAAAGGCCAGUCAAAAGGAAGGUGAUUGGGGUGAAAUGGGUGUACAAAGCCAAGCAGAAUGCUGAUGGUACCUUGAACAAGCUGAAAGCAAGGCUAGUUGUCAAGGGGUUCAGUCAGAGGUAUGGCUUGGACUACCUGGAGACCUUUGCACCAGUGGCCAGGCUCGACACCAUCAGACUGCUGAUUGCCUUAGCAGCACAGCUCGAAUGGAAGAUCCAUCAACUUGAUGUGAAAUCAGCCUUUCUGAAUGGUUUCUUAGAUGAAGACAUCUAUGUUGAACAACCACAAGGGUUUGAAAUAGCUGGCAGAGAGCAUAUGGUCUACAAACUGAAGAAGGCCCUAUAUGGAUUAAAACAGGCUCCAAGGGCUUGGUAUAGCAGAAUCGAUGGCUACUUGACUGAUCUGGGAUUCGAUCGAAGCAAGAGUGAGCCAACAAUGUAUGUCAAGAAACAAGGGACACAAAUACAACUCAUUGUGUCCCUGUAUGUUGAUGAUCUUCUGGUGAUAGGAGGAGAUCGAGUAGUGCUGGCUGAUUUCAAGACCAAGAUGCAGGAAGUGUUUGAAAUGUUUGAUCUUGGGGAGAUGUCAUACUUUCUUGGAAUGGAAGUGUCUCAAGUACAGAAUGAGAUAUUUCUAAGCCAGAGAAGCUUUGCCACAAAGAUUCUGACCAAGUUCUCCAUGCAAAACAGCAAGGCAACUAAAACACCUGUUGCUGUUGGAGAAAAACUAUCGAGCCAAGGUGAUUUUAAGAAAGUUUAUGAAACAACCUACAGGAGUCUAGUUGGUUGCUUGCUAUACUUGACUGCCACUAGACCAGACAUCAUGUAUGCUGUAGGAUUACUCUCAAGGUUCUUGCAUUGCUGCAAUGAGAAGCAUUUCCAAGCUGCAAAAAGAGUGCUGAGAUAUGUCAAAGGCACUUUAAACUAUGGUUUGAAGUACAGCAAAGAAGGAAAUCUGAAGCUGGUUGGCUACACUAAUAGUGACUGGGCUGGCUCGAUAGAUGACAUUAAAAACACCUCAGGGUAUGCUUUUAACCUUGGUUCAGCCAUGUUUUGCUGGAGCUCAAAGAAGCAAAGUCUAGUAGCUCAAUCUACUGCUGAAGCAGAGUAUGUGGCAACAGCAAGUGCUGUCAACCAAGCCAUAUGGCUAAGGAAAAUAUUGGCUGACUUGAAUGUGCAUCAAGAGGAAGCUACUGAGAUCUUCUGUAACAACCAAUCUGCAGUAGCAAUUGCUAAAAAUCUAGUGUUCCAUGGAAGAACAAAACAUUUCAGCAUCAAGUUGCAUGUUGUUCGAGAAAUGGAGCAAGCUCAGGAAGUAAAGCUGAUCCACUGUAAUUCAGAGGAUCAACUUGCAGACAUUUUAACCAAAGCCCUUAGUGUCACAAGGUUCGAAUGUCUAAGAAAGAAGCUAGGUGUUUGCUCUAUGCAAACCAAGGAGGAGUGAUGAAGUUGGUUCAGCAUGCAGCAAACUCGACAGCAUGCAGGCCAUGAAGACCAAGUCAUGCAGGAGCUGCUGAUGCAAGCUUAUUUUGUUUAUUUUGUAAUUCCUAGUUAAUGAAAUGUAAUCUUAGUUCAUUUCUAACUAAUUUAGAUUGUUGACUGAUGUAAUUAGCUUAUGUAUGAGCUGUAAACACAACUUUGUGUAAGUUUACAAGCCAAAAUUUCAAGUUUCCAUGUCAUUAGUGGAGGUAGGUGAUGUUUAGGUAAUUACUUACUGUUUUUGACAAGCUUCGUGCCUGUUUUAUGUAUUGGCAUUGUGCCAUUAUGCAUUUUAUGAAUGAAGUUCAGUUUGUUCAUCAAUUUCUCUAUUCAUUUUUCUUAGCUUUUCUUCCUUUCUCUUGCUCGAAUUCUCUUGUUUGCUCAGCAAGUCUCGAGACUUGCUUAACAAGUUUGCACUGAAUCUGUUAGUUUCAGUUACAGCACCAACAGUUUUUGAAGUGCGUGGUGGUGGUGGCUCUCGAUCUUCUAUAUUUCCUUUCGUUCGAAGAUUUUACAAUUUGGAUAGUUUUAGGCUUCCUUCGAAGAUUUUACAGUUUGGAUAGUUUUAGGCUUCGUGAUUUUGAUUUCAAAUAUGUAGUCCCUUGUAAAGGACACGUUGGGACUCUCACACCAAUUAGAAAUCUGAUAUUGAAUCGUGCCAUAAAUCUUAAACAUAUAUGGAGGAAAGAUUCGGAGUUUGACUAUAUUCUUUCUAAUCUUCAAACACUCAAAGUUCAUAAUUGUGAUGAUUGGAUAAAUAUUACAGUCUCCUCAUCUUUACAAAAUCUCACGACUUUGAAUGUGUCAUUUUGUCAUUUUUUUUUAGGAUGAAUUCUAUGAGGGAGACUAUUUGAACAUCUCUGACACAUUUCCCAAGUCAAUAGAAAUAUGGAUUAGAAACCCUCAAGAAAUUUUGGAAUUCAAAAACCUUGUUUCGUUGCAUUUUUAUAAAUGUAGUAGCUUGAAGUACAUAUUUACUUCGUCUAUGCUUUUGAGCCUCAAUCAACUACAAGUGAUAAAAGUAAAAGAAUGCAGUUCAAUGGAACAAGUGGUUAGGGAGGAAGCAAUGACAGAUAAAUUCACAUUUCUUGCACUCUUCUCCAUAAGAAUUGAGUUGUGUUCCAACUUGACAAAUUUCUAUUUGGGAAGUCAAGCUCUUGAAUUUCCACAGCUGAGAAAUAUCACGAUAGCUGAGCGUCCAAAAAUGACUACAUUUUCUUUCUCAGUUUCAAGAGGAAGUGGUGAUGCAAGUGAAAACGUGGUUGGCGAGGGGGGCGCCUAUGAUAACCCUGCAAUAUUUUUCAGCAAUAAGGUAAGUUUAGUAUUCAAUAUUUAUCUGCACAACUUAUUUCACGUUUUCCUUUUAUUUGAUUAAUUUAUAUGAGUGUGUCUGGUCUAUAUAUAUAUUAGUAUUAAUGUCACGUGAUACGUGUUGUAAAAAAUUAAUAUAAUAAAAUCCAUAAAAAUAUUAAUAAAUAAGAUAAUGUUUUUUAAUUUGAAGUUUAAAGUAUAAAUAAAUAUAUAAAAUAAGAAUAAAGGAAAAACUUAAAAGUGAAAUACUAAUAAACAAUAAGAAUUUAAGAGAAGUUUUAAAGUUAAAUACUAAUGGACAAUAAAUAAUAAAAUAAUAAUAGAAAAUAAAAUAAAAAACUAAUCUUCAUAUAUUUUAAUUUGAAGAAUAUUUGAUGUACUAGCGGUACACAAGCUUCAUGUAUCAUCGGUGAAUAAGAACAUACAAUUAUCAUUAAAUACCACAAAAAUAUAGUAAAGGGUUUAUAAAUAAAUACUAAUAAAUUUAUCUAAACAUAAUUAAAUAAAAAUUAAUUGUAAUUAAAUAUCAAAACCCUAAAUCCUAAACUUGAAAUUCUAAGCCCUUAAACAUAAGAUCUUAAAUCCGAAAGUUAUUAAUAUUUAUUUAUAAUAGCUACGACUAAGGUUAAAUAAAUUUUUCAUCUCUUUUUGCUUUUGAACUUACAUUUUUAUCAAAUCACCUCAAAAUGAAAGAGAAAGUUUAUAUUUGUUAACUUCACUUAUGUGACAAUCCAUGUGUAUGCAAAGUUAGCAAUUAAUUAAUUUUUAAAAUAUUGUAUAUAUUUUUAAAUAUUUUUAUAAAAUUUUCAAAAUAAAAUAAAAAUUAAUUGUUGACAUGUCAUCUACAGCCAAUCCAGUGUAUAUAACAUCAGCAAAGUUAACAAAUGUCAAUUUUUUUUCUCUACUUUGAAUGAUUUGACAAAUAACACAAGUUCAAAGGAUAAAAGAAAUAAAAAUAAAAAUAGAGAGCUAAAAUGAAAAUUUUUUUUUUAUAAAGUUGGGGGUUAAAUAAAUUAUCUAUGCCUAAGUCUUUUUUAAGGUAACUCAUUAAAUAACUUAAGUAAUUAAUGUAAAUCAUUAAUGGAAACUACAUAAAUAUGUGAGUCCAACUUAGUUAGAAACAAGCAUAUUCCCCUAUUCAAUCGCAUCAAUAAUAAUCAUUCAACAAUCAUUAUAGUAUAUAUGAAAGCUCCAAGUUGUAUAGAAAAAGGCUUCUUUCUUUAAAAAAAAAUUUGCUUUAGGUUAGAUUUAUGCUGCUGAACAUUUCAACUAAACAAAAAAGGUCCACGUCUGCUAGCUAUAUUUAUCAGUUUAUAAAUCUUCAUACUCAUCUACUCUUUUUGAUUGUGUUUAUAAGUAAAGAAGGAAGAGUUAUGAUGUUAUCUUAUAAUGAAAUUUAUGUCAACAGGUUGUCAUUCCUCCUUUGCAGCAUCUGGAAUUGUCCGUCGUUAACAUUCAUGAGAUAUGGCACCACCCAUCCUCCCCAUCUGUCGGAUGUCUAAAUUCCUUGCAAGUGAAGAGGUGUCACAAUUUGAAAUACCUGUUCCCGUCUUUCUUGGUAAAAGAUCUUGUGCAACUCCGACGCCUUGAAAUUUUGGACUGUAAUAUGAUGGAACAAGUAAUAUUCACGGAUGGAUUGGUUGAAGAACAUCAAGGGAGGAAUCAGAUGUUUUUCUCUGAACUAGAAUUGCUGUGGCUAAAAGAACUUCCCAAACUCACAAGUUUAUGCUUUGGGAAUUGCUUUGAAUUCCAAUGUUUGACAGAUUUAGAACUAACAAAUUGUCCAUUGCUUAAAACAUUCAUCACUAAAUGUGUAUCUGAAGAUGAACCUAAAAUUGGCCAACAUGUACAAGCGAGUAACUUGGAGGUUCAUAACUCAUCUCUCCUCAAUGAAAAGGUCAUUUCUUUAUGGGUUCUCCUUUUAAUUUGUGUUGCUUCCAUUGCUCUUAUUCAUUUGAAGUUCUUUCUUUUCCAUGCAUAUUUCAGUUAUUAACCUAAUGAAAUGAUUUAGCAGGUUGUUUUCCCUAGUUUGGAGAAUGAUGAAGUUGGUUCAGCAUGCAGCAAACUCGACAGCAUGCAGGCCAUGAAGACCAAGUCAUGCAGGAGCUGCUGAUGCAAGCUUAUUUUGUUUAUUUUGUAAUUCCUAGUCAAUGAAAUGUAAUCUUAGUUCAUUUCUAACUAAGUUAGAUUGUUGACUGAUGUAAUUAGCUUAUGUAUGAGCUGUAAACACAACUUUGUGUAAGUUUACAAGCCAAAAUUUCAAGUUUCCAUGUCAUUAGUGGAGGUAGGUGAUGUUUAGGUAAUUACUUACUGUUUUUGACAAGCUUCGUGCCUGUUUUAUGUAUUGGCAUUGUGCCAUUAUGCAUUUUAUGAAUGAAGUUCAGUUUGUUCAUCAAUUUCUCUAUUCAUUUUUCUUAGCUUUUCUUCCUUUCUCUUGCUCGAAUUCUCUUGUUUGCUCAGCAAGUCUCGAGACUUGCUUAACAAGUUUGCACUGAAUCUGUUAGUUUCAGUUACAGCACCAACAAUUGGUAUCUAGAGCCUAUUUUCUUAAGGGACCUGUUACACAAAUCCAUGGCUUCAUCAAGCUUUUCACCAGCUGCACCUCAAGUCUUCAAUGGAGAAGGCUAUCACAUAUGGGUGGUCAAAAUGAAGACCUACCUGCAGGCUUUCGAUCUGUGGGAGGUGAUCAACUCUGAUGUUGAACCAGAGCCACUUAGAGCUAAUCCAACAGUGGCUCAGAUCAAGCAGCAUGCUGAUGAAAGGACCAAGAGGCACAAGACUAUGUCUUGCAUCCAAAACUUAGUGUCUAAUGUGAUUUUCACAAGGAUUAUGGCCUGUGAAUCACCAAAACAGGCCUGGGACAAGUUGCAGGAAGAGUUUCAAGGGACAGAGAGGACAAGGCAGCAACAGUUGUUAAACUUGAGGAGAGAUUUCGAGAAUUUGAAUAUGAAGGAAGAAGAAACUGUCAAGCAAUAUUCUGACAGGAUUAUAGCUGUGGUUAACAGCAUCAGGCUCCUUGGAGAGCAGUUCAAUGAAGCUAGGAUAGUGGAGAAGGUUAUAGCAACUCUGCCUGAGAGGUAUGAGGCAAAAAUCUCAUCUAUCGAGGACUCAAGGGACCUAUCCACCAUCUCCCUGACAGAGUUGAUCAAUGCUCUAUAUGCUCAAGAGGAGAGGAGAGUGAGAAGACUGGAGGAGCACCAAGAAGGUGCCUUUCAGGCAAGAACAAAUACUGCCUACAAAGGCAAGAAGGCCUGGAGAGACAAGCCAAAGAAUGAUGCUACAAAGAAAGAAGGUCAGACUUGCAAGCACUGCAGAAAGGCUGGUCAUUUAGAAGAAAAAUGCUGGUUCAAUCCAGAUGCUGUGUGUCAGCAUUGUAAGAAGUAGGGUCAUGUUGAGAGAGUCUGUAAGAGCAAGGCCAAAUCAAGGCACAAUCAGUUUCAACAGAUGAAAGCUGAGGCUCGAGUAGCUAAGGAGGAGUGUGACCAAGAGGAGCAAGUUUUUGCUGUGUCAUGCUCAGCUGCUCAGGAAAGGUCCUCAUCUGGUUGGCUCCUAGACAGUGGAUGCACCAACCACAUGACACCUGAUGCUGCAAUCUUCAAGUCUUUAGACAGAAGCUGCAGAACUAAGGUCAAGAUAGGAAAUGGUCAUUUUAUUCAAGCUGAAGGCAAGGGUGAUGUGCUAAUAUGCACCCUUACAGGUACCAAAGUGAUUUCAAAUGUGCUGUUGGUGCCUGAAAUUGACAGAAACCUGCUCAGCAUAGCUCAGUUGCUGGAAAAAGGUUAUUCAGUUGUGUUUAAAGACCACCAGUGCCAAAUCAGUGAUCCAAGUGGAUCCAAACUGAUGGCAGUCCCCAUGGCUGAUAAGAGCUUUGUGGUUGACUGGACAAAGAAGUCAGACAUUGCCUACACAGCCACUUCAGAUGAAUCCAAGCUGUGGCAUCAAAGACUGGGACAUGCCAACUUCAUAUCGAUGGCCCGAAUGAUCAGAGAAGACCUGGCUGAAAACUUCAUCAACUCAGUGGACCAUGAUGAUGUAUGUGAAGUAUGUCAGCUAGGAAAGCAGGCCAGACUCCCAUUUCCCUCGAAUCAAGCCUGGAGAGCCUCUGAAAAACUCCAACUGGUGCAUACUGAUGUGUGUGGCCCUAUGAAGACUAAGUCAUUAAGUGGAAACAGGUAUUUCAUACUGUUCAUUGAUGAUUUCUCGAGAUAUUGCUGGAUUUACUUCUUAAAACAGAAAUCAGAGGUGGCCACUGUGUUUUGGAAGUUCAAAACUGCUGCUGAGACUGAAACAGGCUGCAAGGUAAAGUCCAUAAGGUCUGAUAAUGGGACUGAGUACACCUCAGCUCAGUUCCAAGCCUUCUGUGAUAAGGCAGGCAUCAAACAUCAACUUACCAACACAUAUACACCUCAGCAGAAUGGGGUAAGUGAAAGGAAGAAUAGGAGUUUGAUGGAUAUGGCCAGGUGCUUGAUGAUUCAGAAGAAUCUGCCUAAAGCACUAUGGGCAGAAGCAGUUAACACUGCAACAUACAUUCAAAAUAGACUUCCAACCAAGGCUUUGGAUCAAAAGACCCCAUUCGAGGCCUGGUUUAGCUUCAAGCCAUCACUGGCUCAUCUGAAGGUCUUUGGAUGCAUCUGUUAUGCACAUGUACCUGCUGUUAAAAGGGACAAAUUGUCUGAAAGGGCUCGACCUGGUGUUUUGGUGGGCUAUAGCACUGUUAAUAAGGGCUAUAGGAUUUUAGAUCCUUCAACAAACAAAGUGUCAGUAAGCAGGGAUGUGGUAUUUGAUGAGAGGUCAUGUUGGAACUGGGAAAGACAUGAACCUGAAGAAGUUUCUGAAGAACUUGCAACAGACCAAGCUGAGCCAGACCAAAAUGUCCCUGAAAUGGAUAUUGAUGAUGAACCAGUCAGAGGAACAAGGCCAUUGGCUGAAAUUUAUGAAAGGGCUCAUGUAGCCAUAGCUGAACCAAACAACUUUGAAGAGGCUGAGGCUCAGCAAGGGUGGAAGCAGGCAAUGGCUGAGGAGAUCAGCAUGAUUGAGAAGAACCAGACCUGGGAAUUGGUUGAAAGGCCAGUCAAAAGGAAGGUGAUUGGGGUGAAAUGGGUGUACAAAGCCAAGCAGAAUGCUGAUGGUACCUUGAACAAGCUGAAAGCAAGGCUAGUUGUCAAGGGGUUCAGUCAGAGGUAUGGCUUGGACUACCUGGAGACCUUUGCACCAGUGGCCAGGCUCGACACCAUCAGACUGCUGAUUGCCUUAGCAGCACAGCUCGAAUGGAAGAUCCAUCAACUUGAUGUGAAAUCAGCCUUUCUGAAUGGUUUCUUAGAUGAAGACAUCUAUGUUGAACAACCACAAGGGUUUGAAAUAGCUGGCAGAGAGCAUAUGGUCUACAAACUGAAGAAGGCCCUAUAUGGAUUAAAACAGGCUCCAAGGGCUUGGUAUAGCAGAAUCGAUGGCUACUUGACUGAUCUGGGAUUCGAUCGAAGCAAGAGUGAGCCAACAAUGUAUGUCAAGAAACAAGGGACACAAAUACAACUCAUUGUGUCCCUGUAUGUUGAUGAUCUUCUGGUGACAGGAGGAGAUCGAGUAGUGCUGGCUGAUUUCAAGACCAAGAUGCAGGAAGUGUUUGAAAUGUCUGAUCUUGGGGAGAUGUCAUACUUUCUUGGAAUGGAAGUGUCUCAAGUACAGAAUGAGAUAUUUCUAAGCCAGAGAAGCUUUGCCACAAAGAUUCUGACCAAGUUCUCCAUGCAAAACAGCAAGGCAACUAAAACACCUGUUGCUGUUGGAGAAAAACUAUCGAGCCAAGGUGAUUUUAAGAAAGUUUGUGAAACAACCUACAGGAGUCUAGUUGGUUGCUUGCUAUACUUGACUGCCACUAGACCAGACAUCAUGUAUGCUGUAGGAUUACUCUCAAGGUUCUUGCAUUGCUGCAAUGAGAAGCAUUUCCAAGCUGCAAAAAGAGUGCUGAGAUAUGUCAAAGGCACUUUAAACUAUGGUUUGAAGUACAGCAAAGAAGGAAAUCUGAAGCUGGUUGGCUACACUGAUAGUGACUGGGCUGGCUCGAUAGAUGACGUGAAAAGCACCUCAGGGUAUGCUUUUAACCUUGGUUCAGCCAUGUUUUGCUGGAGCCCAAAGAAGCAAAGUCUAGUAGCUCAAUCUACUGCUGAAGCAGAGUAUGUGGCAACAGCAAGUGCUGUCAACCAAGCCAUAUGGCUAAGGAAAAUAUUGGCUGACUUGAAUGUGCAUCAAGAGGAAGCUACUGAGAUCUUCUGUGACAACAAAUCUGCAGUAGCAAUUGCUAAAAAUCCAGUGUUCCAUGGAAGAACAAAACAUUUCAGCAUCAAGUUGCAUGUUGUUCGAGAAAUGGAGCAAGCUCAGGAAGUAAAGCUGAUCCACUGUAAUUCAGAGGAUCAACUUGCAGACAUUUUAACCAAAGCCCUUAGUGUCACAAGGUUCGAAUGCCUAAGAAAGAAGCUAGGUGUUUGCUCUAUGCAAACCAAGGAGGAGUGAUGAAGUUGGUUCAGCAUGCAGCAAACUCGACAGCAUGCAGGCCAUGAAGACCAAGUCAUGCAGGAGCUGCUGAUGCAAGCUUAUUUUGUUUAUUUUGUAAUUCCUAGUCAAUGAAAUGUAAUCUUAGUUCAUUUCUAACUAAGUUAGAUUGUUGACUGAUGUAAUUAGCUUAUGUAUGAGCUGUAAACACAACUUUGUGUAAGUUUACAAGCCAAAAUUUCAAGUUUCCAUGUCAUUAGUGGAGGUAGGUGAUGUUUAGGUAAUUACUUACUGUUUUUGACAAGCUUAGUGCCUGUUUUAUGUAUUGGCAUUGUGCCAUUAUGCAUUUUAUGAAUGAAGUUCAGUUUGUUCAUCAAUUUCUCUAUUCAUUUUUCUUAGCUUUUCUUCCUUUCUCUUGCUCGAAUUCUCUUGUUUGCUCAGCAAGUCUCGAGACUUGCUUAACAAGUUUGCACUAAAUCUGUUAGUUUCAGUUACAGCACCAACAGAGAAGUUGCGGAUUCAGAAUUGUGAUUCGUUAGAACAAAUUAUUGAGCUGCAAGGAGUCAUUGCUGAUGAGUCACAGUCAACAUCAGCUGCUCAAUCUAUUAUGGCUGAAACAGAGACGACCAAGUUUGUAUUUCCCAAACUAAUAAACCUCGGAUUGGAUAAGGUGCCGAGAUUGAAAAGUUUCUACUCUAGGAUGCAUACCACCCAGUGGCCUUUAUUGAAACAAAUGGACAUUAUUGAAUGCCCCAAAGUACAGAUAUUUACUCCACAAUGUCCUGAGAGUCAGGUUGGAAUCUCAAACCAACAACCCUUGUUUUGCGUUAGCGAGGUGAGCUCACUAACAGUUUCAUACUCCAUGUUCAUUACUUGAGAUUACCUAUAAAAUGCCUUUUGAAAUAACUAAUAUUCUCACCUUCCUUUUAAAUUUAUGAGAAAGAAAAUGGAAAUUAUAUUCAUUCUGUAGUCUAGUUCUUACUAAUUGAAAACUCUUUGAUCAAUGUUUAAUAUAUUCGUUGCCAUCCAGGACACUUUCCCUGUAUUAGAAGAACUAACACUGAAGACGAAUGAUAUGGUGGAGGGGAUAUGUGAUGGACAACUCUCAUUGCAGUGUUUCCAAAACCUUAAGCAUCUUAACCUCCAGUUCUUUACUGAGACAUCCACUACUCUUCCGUAUUCCUUCAUUCGGUCUCUACCAAUGCUUCAUAAGCUUGUUAUAGACAAUGCUUCCAUUUGUCAAAUAGUACAAUCUGAAGGACUCAGCGACCAGGAAAGGCAUACAUCAGCAUUCUAUCAGCUAAAGGAAUUAAGUUUGUCUCAUCUUCCAGAGUUGACGUUAAAGACUUUUGAACCAUCUUUGCUGUCUUUCAAUAAUCUAACAACACUGGAAGUUUCAAGAUGCCAUGGGUUCAUCAAUUUAAUCGUAUGCUCAACAGCUAAGUGCCUGACGCUACUGGAAAGAUUGAGCAUAGAUGAUUGUGAGAUGAUAGAGGAAAUUAUAGCGUGUGAGGCUGAAGAAAUACAAGGCGGCAUUGUAUUUCCCAAACUGAAGUAUUUGCAACUAAGCUGUCUGCCACGUCUAGCAAGCUUUUCCUUGGCCCAUCACUCGUUGGAAUUCCCAGUCUUGCUAAUGGUGAAGGUGACAAAGUGUCCCAAAAUGAGGAAUUUCUUCCAAGGAGAUUUAAGCACACCAAGGCUGGAACAAAUGCACUUAACAAGAGAUGAGGAACGUGAACUACAGUGGGAAGGCGACCUUAACACUACCAUAAAACAUAUGUUCGAUGAAAUGGUACAAAUCAUUUAAAGGAUUUAAAUUCAUGUGUUUUUACAUACAUACAUAGUUAACUAAAUAAUUCUUGGUUUGUUAUGAUCAUGCACAGAAUGUGCAAAAUUCUGAGGUGACUGAGGUUACUGAUCGGUUGCCCAAGCUGGAAUAAGGAAAUAUGUUUGGGUGCUUAUGCGAAAAGCUCAAUUUCGUUUCAAACCAAAACGAAUGGUAAUUGACCCUUCUAUUUUCAUCAUGGCUUAACUAAAGAUUUAUAAAGUGACCAUAGAGACGCCCUUUUCAUUGUAGGUUGAGUUGCUCUACUGAAGCACAUGGCUGCAUCUGUUGGUAGAACGUGAAAGGUUAUUUCAGUUUUUGUAAAACUACUAUUUGAACUGUUCCAUUUCGCAUUAUAACCUCACAAUUGUAUUUCAAGUGCAUCAUGCAUGGCAUUGGGAACUACAAACAUGUAAACUUUUACUAGUAAGCAAAAUAAAUAAAAAAAUCAUAAAUUAGAGUAUGAAAGUAAACAUAUUAAAGCAUACUUUUUGGUUUCAGAAUUUAAAUGAUUUGAGUUAAUUUGAAGCCAUAAAAAAAGAUAAAUUCAAUUAUAAAUUCUGAUAUUUGAAAAUUUUACAAUAAUAAUAAAUAAAUGCUUAAUGAAAUAAUUAAGAUUAUAAGGCAACAAGCUUAAUUAAGAGGGGUAUUUGUAAAUAUUAGUAAAAUUUACGGUAAAUAUUAUAUGAAAUAAGCAAAUUUAUGUUAUUAAUUAACCAAAUAGUUGUUUUUGGGUAAAAAAAAUGUAGUAAUAUGUUACAAUUUUUAGGGUGUUAAAUUAAUAUGAUUUGUCUUGAUUAAAUGUAUUAAAUUUAAUGUAACUAUUUUGAAUUUUAUUUCGGGAAUUGAAUUGAUCCGCAAAUCAAUAUAUUAAAAAAAUAAUAUUUUAAAUUUGGGAAGGUUUACUAGUAAUAAUGCUAUCUAUCUAUUGAUAAAAAUAUAUUAUAAUCAAAAUAAUAUUUUCAUGGUAAGCUUAGCUAUCCUUUACCGUCAACAUCCUUUAUGGGUUGCUUAGAGUAUUAUAUAUAGAUGAAGCUUUAGUUCAACACUGAUCUUAAUUUAAUAUUUUGAUUUUACAUAUUGACAGAUUAAAAUUCUUUUUGAAGUUUUAUAAGUCAGAAAUUUUUUUAUUUUGAAUAGUCAACUUACAUUUUAAUUCAUUUAGGGUGAGUUUGGAUGGGCGGUGUAUUUACCUGCGGUUAGUGUAAAAACAACGGUGGCGGUGAGAUUAGAUACUGUAGUGAUACUGUAGCGUGAGACAAAAAGUAUGCUAAACACACCACACCGCACCCAAUCGCCCAUCCAAACCUACUCUUAGUAUGUUUAAUCACUUUAGGUACAAAUAUAUUUCGUGUACCAAUCUAAUCAUGCACUAUAAUAGCUAAUUUUAAUUAUAACUUGAUGGUUGGUGGUUGUUGUUGGAUUUGGUGAACUCUCAAGUGCUCGAGUCUGUUGAUCUAAAGGUUGUGGCCUUUCAUCUUUAAUUUCAGGGUCAGCAAAGGUUUGAGAAGGUUGCUAGUCAUCCUAAUUCCAAGUGUUCUCCCCAUCAAAAAUUACGUCUUGGGUAAUCACAAUUUCUUCGUUAAAGGAUUAAACAGUUUAUAUGCUUUAGAUGUUUCACUUGCACCUAGAAAGACACACUUUUCUCCCUUGUUAUCAAGCUUCUUUCUCUUUGCAUCUGGAAUACGUGCAUAAGCAAUGUAACCAAAAAUUUUGAAGUGAUCUACCGUUGGUGGUCUCCUUCGACACCAAGCUUCUUCAGGUGUCAUGUUUUGAACAACAAAAGUUGGGCUUCUGUUCAAAACAUGGAUGCUCCAAUUUACUACUUCUAGCCAAAAUCGUUUUGGGACCCUUCCACCAGAAAGCAUGCUCCUCACCAUAUUAAGUAUGGUUAUGUUUUUCCUCUUUGAUACGCCAUUUUGUUGGGGGGUAUAUGCAGUAGUAAGCUCUUUUCGAAUGCCAUGACUCUCACGAAAUGCUUCAAAUUCCUUGGAGCAAUAUUCUCCUCCACAUUAAGUGCAAAGAGCUUGAAUGGUUUUCCCGAUUUCAUUCUCAACAAAUGCCUUGAAGCUAGUAAAUGCACUAAAUGCUUCUAAUUUCUCCUGUAAGAACUAAACUCAUGUUUUCCGAGAAUAAUCAUGAAUGAAAGUAAGGAAAUAUUUUUUUUACCUCCAUUAGAUGAUGGUUUUAUUGGCCCUUAGAUAUUUGAAUGAACCAAUUCCAGCCACGUUUUGCUCUCAAAGACUUUCCUUUGGGAAAUUGUUCACGAUUUUGUUUGCUAACAACACAAUCUUCACACACAUGGGAAAGAAUGACAAUCUGAGGAAGGUCGCUGACCAUUUCUUUCUGUCUAAGAGUCUUCAAACCCCCAAAAUUAAGAUGACCAUAGUGGAAAUGACAAAACCACGAGUCAACCUUCACUUUAGCCAUCAAGCAAGGUUUUAAAAUAUCUUUGCUUCUUCCCAAAGGUCUCAAAGCAUGUUAUGGAGUUUGAGUCUGAUUCAAUGGUUGCGUUAUGUGGCUUGGCUGUAGUUUAUUGCACCUUUGUACUUCUUUCUUUUAUGAAUAAAAUCAAUGCUUAUUAGAAAAAAAGAAAACAAAAACAAAUAGUAGAUAGCAACAAACAAAGAAAAAAAAACCUUAUGCCCCACUAACAUUUUUUUUGUACGUUUAGUCAAAAUGAAUAUAAUUAAAAAUAUUAAAUAGAUGCCAAUUGAGUUUUAGUGUAGUUGGUAUUGGUAUUAUUAACUUUGCUUAGUCCAUAUCCCCAUAAUAUGCGAUGGUCAUAUGUGACUUUUAAUCCAUUUAAUCUAAUUUGUUGGCUUUAGUACUGAUUGUACUGACUUUUAUUCUUGUUGUGGUCUAAUGAUUUGAUUCUAUUUUGUAAUUCCUUAUAUCAUUCGUGUUGUAAUAGUUUGAUACUUGUAACAAACAAAUACAAUUUAAAAAAUGGCUAGUAUUUGGUACACUGUUAGAAUAUUAUUAUGAGAUAUUAUCUUUUUGGAAUAUCUAAAUAUAUUGUAUAUUAUUAUAUAUCUUUUAAGCAUAUAUUUAGGAAUAUAUUAUCUAUCUUUCCUAUUUCUACAUGACUAUUGUUAUAUAAAUAUUAUGUAUAUUCUUGAAGCUUAUCAAUAAGAUUGAAAUGAAUUACCCUAUUCUUGUCAUGGUAUCUAAGCUUGGUGUUUAACACAAAAAAAGAGAAAAAUUUAAUCGUUUUCAAUGGCUGGUAGUGAUUCUACUUCUCCACCACCAGGGGCAAGAUAAUCAUCAGGGGAAGGGCGACACUUCUUGGUUUUACUGCUGAGCAAUGACAAUCUCUUCUGGUGGUGUUUGGUAAUACACAAUCCACUACCAAUCAGUUGAAUGGACAUUCAUUUUGAGGGGGUUGAUUAGAGCGGGUGAGAGACGAGAUGGACUUUAUUACUCUGUUGGUUAAUAAGAAUGAAGUUUUCAAGCAGGGGAGAAGGUAGAAAAUUUUUCUAAGAGGGUCGAAAUUAAAUUGUAAUUUUUAAUAGUCUAUAUUUUUAUAAUUUUUAAAGGAUUAAAUCAAAUAUUAUCAUUUUAAGGGGACUAAAGUGUAAUUUUACCUUUACUAAUUUAAAAUGUUAAAAUUUCUAAAGAGCCUAAAUGGAUGAUUUUCCAUUUUAGGGGGAUUGGGGCCUUUGCCAACCCUUUAGAUCCGCCACAGUUUUCAAGAUUUUCAUGUCAUUUAUUACUAUGAUUCAUCGUCAUUUUUCUUAAUUAAUAGAUAAAGUUUGUUAGAAGUGAUAAUGAGACUGAAUUUAAUUGCCUUCGAGAUUAUUUUCUUACAAAUGACAUUAUUUUUUCAAACAUCUUAUGUUGGUACUCCUCAAAAAAAUGGGAGAGCGAAGAGGAAACAUCAACAAAUUUUAAACGUGGCUCGUGUUUUGCGUUUUCAAGGUAAUCUGUCUACAUUGUUUUUGGGGAGUGUGUUUUGCUGCAUAUAUUUAGGAAUAUAUUAUAUAUCUUUCCUAUUCCUACAUGACUACUGUUGUAUAAAUAUUAUGUAUAUUCUUGAAGCUUAUCAAUGAGAAUGAAAGGAAUUACCCUAUUCUUGUCAUGGUAUCUAAGCUUGGUGUUUAACACAAAACAAGAGAAAAAUUUAAUCGUUUUCAAUGGCUGGUAGUGAUUCUACUUCUCCACCACCAGGGGCAAGAUAAUCAUCAGGGGGAGGGCGACACUUCUUGGUUUUACCGCUGAGCAAUGACAAUUUCUUUUGGUGGCGUUUGGUAAUACAUAAUCCACUACCAAUCGGUUGAAUGGACAUUCAUUUCGAGGGAGUUGAUUAGAGCGGAUGAGAGACGAGAUGAACUUUAUUACUUCCGGCAAGUAUCAAUGGUCAAAGUGGUUUCGAUUAAAGCUUUAUCCUCUUUGGAACUUUGGCAUAGAAGAUUGGGUCACCCUUCCGAGAAAGUAGUAAAGUUAUUUCCUUACGUUAGUAACUCUAGAGAUUAUUUGAAUAAAGCAUGCAAAAUUUGACAUCGUGUUAAACAAACAAAAAAUAGUUUUCCAGUUAAUGAACAGAAAGCCACAUGUAUUCUUGAGUUAGUUUAUUGUGAUUUAUGGGGUUUUUAUGAUACUCUUUCAUAUUGUGGAUCUCAUUAUUCUUUUACAUUGGUUGAUGAUUUCUCUUGUGCUAUUUGGGUAUAUCUAUUGGUUAAUAAGAAUGAGGUUUUCAAGCAGGGGCGAAGGUAGAAAAUUUUUCUAGGAGGGUCGAAAUUAAAUUGUAAUUUUUAAUAGUGUAUAUCUUUACAAUUUUUAAAGGAUUAAAUCAAAUAUUAUCAUUUUUAAGGGGACUAAAUUGUAAUUUUACCUUUAUUAAUUUAAAUUUUUAAAAUUUCUAAAGAGCCUAAAUGGAUGAUUUUUCAUUUUAAGGGGCUGGGCCUUUGCUAGCCCCUUAGAUCUGCCACAAUUUUCAAGAUUUUCAUGUCAUUUAUUACUAUAAUUCAUCGUCAAUUUUAUGAAUAGAUAAAGUUUGUUAGAAGUGAUAAUGAGACUGAAUUUAAUUGCCUCCAAGAUUAUUUUCUUACAUAUGACAUUAUUUUUUCAAACAUCUUAUGUUGGUACACCUCAACAAAAUGGGAGAGUAGAGAGGAAACAUCAACAAAUUUUAAACGUGGCUAGUGUUGUGCAUUUUCAAGGAAAUCCGUCUAUAUUGCUUUUGGAGAGUGUGUUUUGCUACUUUUUAUCUUAUUGAUUGAACUCUUUCACCUCUUCUUCAUCAUAAAACACCCUAUGAAAUGUUGUUUGGUAGACUUCCUUUAAUUGAUGAUUUUUGUGUGUUUGGUUGCUUAUGUUUUGUUCAUAAUUAACAUUCUAAAGGUGAUAAGUUCAAUAGUCAGAGUAAAAAAGUAUGUUUUUGUUAGCUAUCAUUUUGUCAAAAAUAAAUAAAAUAUAUUUUAAGCUAUCAUUUUGUCAAAAAUAAAUAAAAUAUAUUUUAAUAUAAGACAUUUUGGGACUGUUGGCAUGUCAUUUCUGAGUUGUUUCCACGAAAUGCAAUCGAUACAUAAAUUAAUCAUUUUGUCAAAGAUGAUAUCUAAACCUUGAAAACAUUUCCUUAUUUCUUGUCUGUUUCUACUUUGGUGGUGAUGUGCUUUGUUUGAUUCUAACUACUCCAUUAAAUAAAUCAUCCAAAAACAUAUAUUAUAUGAGGAAUAGGUGGUUGAAGAAAGAGAAAGCAAAAAUAAUAAUAAAAGAAGGAAAUUAAUUAGGAAAAUGACGUUAUAUGAAAACACUCAUACAAUUGGAUAACUCACUCACUCGACCUUUAAGAGGAGAAAAAGAAAAACCUUGUUUAUGUAAUACAUGGAUACCUAAUAAUUCAUUUAUUUAAUAACUUAUUUAUACUUUGGUAUAAGACAUUUUGGGUUGUCAUUUCUGUGCUGUUUCCAUGAAAUACAAUCCAAACUUCCUUUCCUACUUUUAAAGUAAGUAAGAAGUCGUCUUUCUCAGUUUACUACUUUCUGGCUUUGCUCUGCUAAGAAGAAAAAAACAGAAGGGGGAAAACUAUCGGUUAUUGAUCAUAGCCAAAAGGUACGCCAUCUGCUUUUCCUUUCCCUGCUUUGCUCUUACUCUUUUGAAAUAAGCUUAGGCAGGCAGGUUUAACCAUGAGAAUAGACUUCUUUUAUGCUUUAAAUCUCUAAAAAGCUCUUUAAAAUUCGUAGAAAAAAAGGGGUGAGUAUUAGGAAAGCUGCAUAAGCAUUUGUGUUUGGGAUGUACCAACAACUUGUUGCUUCAUGGUUAUUCAGAGGUUGGGUGAUUUAUCUUGUAGUCGACCACCUUUUUUUUAUUCGAUGCUUUAUUUCCAUUCAAAACUAUAUGUGGUUGGAAAGCUGGUUUGAUAGUCCACUAAAAUUAUAUGAAAAAUCAUUUAAAAAACAGAUUAAAUAUAUAAUUUUUAUAUAUUUAAAAGUGUUUGUUUAUAUAUUAUUUAGAAAUUGCUUUUAUAACAUAAUUAUUAUUUUACUAUUUUAAAUUUUGAAAUUUCAAUAUUUAAAAAUUUAACUAAUUUAAAAAAUGUGCAGCGAACUAAAAAAAACAUUAAUAAACAAAAAAAUUAGCAUAUAUAAAAAUUUAAAAUAGGAUUUGAAAUAUAUUGUUAAUAUUUUCAAUCUAAAUUUUAAAAUAUUUAAAUUAUGAAAAUAUGUUGAUUUAAAAUUAUUAUAGAACUUAUAUUCCAAAAAAAACCAUUAUAAAAAGUAUUUAUUCAAGAAAAAACUUUUUGUUUUGGCCUAUUUAUAUAGUAUUAUAAAAUGUCGAUUUUAAAAAAUUAUUAAAAAGUAAUACUAAAUAACUAAUUUAUAUAUAAAGAAAUUAUAGUUUCUUAAAAUCUGAAUUAAAAUGCUUUAAACUAAAACUAAAACUAAAACCAAAAUUUUCUUGUAUUGUAAAAUUAUUGUUAGAAAUUUUUAGUAUAACAAAAAGAUAUUAUUGAUAUUAGUCACUUAAAAACUAAAACAGUUUUAUAGACUUUAGUAAUUAUUUAUAUGAUUAAUAUUUUAACGAUUUAACCGUUUAAUUUAUCAAUAUAAUUGUACUUGUAAUGCAUGUAAAUUUUCGAACCGAUUCGAUAUCUCUAUCGUAUCGAUCUAAAAUACUCUAUAUACUAAUAUAUAAUCAACGAUUGAAAUUUUUUUACAAAACGAAUAUAGUUAGAAGUUUUAAAUUUACAUUAAAUUUGACAUGUAUAAUCUGCAUGAAUAGACUAUAAAAUAUAACAGUUGGAUCGUUAAAAUAUUAAUUAUAUAAAUAGUUAGGUAAGUGUGUAAAAUUCCUUUAGCUUUUACAUAUAUAUAAGUGGAUCCUUCUCCUUAAUGUUAAUAAAUGUUAAUUUUGUUAUCACAUAAUAUUUUAAUUAUGAAUUAAUAUUAAAAAUAAAUAAUAAAAAAAAUAUAAAUAUAAAUAGGGCGAGUAUUUGGUACACUGACAAUGUACUUUUUUUAUUCCACGAGUAAUCUUAAAAAAUUGACAUAUUUCUCUCUUUUUUAAAUAUGUUACGACACUCUUAUAAGAUAUUUGUCAACCUCCUGACCCUACUUGUAGAGUCUAAAACCUCCACUUACUAAAUAAUUUCCACAAUUUAUUAUUAAUGUUUAUUAGACAAAACACGUUAGCGAACAAAAUAAAUAAAUUAUAAAUAAAUACAUAUGAAAUAAAAUAUAAAUAGAAUGAUUUAUAAUUAAUUUAUUAAAUAUGAAUCAAAUAAAAACAUAAGAAAAAGUUGAAAUAAAGAAGAAUUGAGAUUUUACGAAACGUUGAGGCCUUUGAAACACAGUUUCCUUAAAACAUAUUCGGCCGCUCCUACAGUACUUGGAGAAAUGUUAGUCGAAAUUCUCCCAGGAUACAACAACAAAAGUAAUCAAAGUAGUAGUACAUCUACAACAAUCAACGAACAAAUUUUGUUUUUUUUAUCACCGAUAUGUAUGAAAAAUGGAGAGAAAAAGGAAGAGUUUUGAAAUGAACAGAAUUUCAUUUGAAUAUGUGUUUAAUCCUUUAGAAUACACAGCCUUUUCUAGGCAUUUAGGAUAAGGAGCCAAAAAUCAAUUUGAUUUAAAAAUUAAAUCAAAUUAGAUACUGUCCAUAUAUAAGCAGAUUAUGUCUGCUGAGGAAAAAUAAAUUCGUGUUGAGCUUAAAAUAUUCACAUGGGCCAAACCAGUUUGAACAUUUUGUGUCACCCACGUCAUACAAGUGCGCCCAACCCAAUCAGAUUUAGACCUACACCACCCCUACGCAUGAGACAAGGUUGCAAGCAUAGUUAUUCAAUUAAUUUUAGAGAGAGUUUACAUAUAAAAGCACAUCUCACACUUGAUAUUUAACCAAUGUAGGAUCUAAGCCUUUACUUUUUCUCAACAAUAUUUUCAAGUAGCUUACUUUAAGCAUCAAUUUCUCAUUCACCACUAAACCAUUUUGAGCAUAUGAUAUACCAUUGUAAAAGUCUCAUGGGGUAGAAUAUGAAACCAUAAAAUUAUGAUUCAACUCUCCACUUUUACCUAUUAAGAAUAUGCCUCAAAGUUCCCAUAAAAGUAAUUUUUCAGACAAUGUUUUUAGACUCCAUCAGUAAAGUCAAGGGAUUAACAAGUGUCCUAUAGAAAUAUAGUAAAAUAUCAAAAAAUUAAAUAUUUUAAAAAAGAGACACAUAUAAGUUUUUUAAAACGACUUGUGGAGUAAAUAAAAUAUUGUUAGUAUACCAAAUAAUCACCCAUAAAUUAUUGCUUUAAUCAAAAUAUAAGAACUAGGUAUAAUUUUGAAUUAGUUUAAAUUAAUUUAAAAGAAAUUUAAUUUAAUGAUAAAAAAAUUAUAUUUCAAAAUAAUUAGAAAGAUUUUAUUUUUUGAAUAAUAAUUAAAAACAAAUUUUUAAAAGAUGUGUUGUAAAAAUAUUCAAAGUGUAAAAAGACAAUUUAUUCCUUCAAUGCUUAGCAAAAAAUAUUCCUUAAAAAAAGAUAAUUAUUAGAAAAUAUCAUUAGAUAUAUGUCUAUAUUAAUAAAAAGUUAUCUAUUAACAAAAUCACUUUAAUUGUCAUAAAACUAAAACAUUAAUCACAUAUUUAUAAUUUUAAAAUUUUAACUCUUCAAUGGUAGUUAAGAUUAUGCAAAUGAGUUCUUUUUAAAAAAUAUAUAAGAUAAUUCAAGUUUUGGUCUUUGUUAUCGCUGUGGUUAUUCAGUUUGCUCUCUCAAUGGAGUGUGUUAUUGCCAUCGUUGGUUCUAUUGUCGCUAAAGCUGUAGAGUAUACGAUCUCUCCUAUCAAAAACCAUGUCAAAUACCUUUCCAAUCAUCAGAAAUAUGUUGAGACCCUCAAGAACCGAGCUAAUAGGCUAAAAGAUGCAAGGGACGGAGUGCAGCAUUCUGUUGAUGCAGCUAAGCGAAACGGUGAAGAGAUCGAAGGUGAUGUUGACAAAUGGCUGUCUGCAGUCGACAAAAAGAUCCUUGAACAAGUAGAGAAAGUGAUGCAAGAUGAAGAAAAAGCAAAUAAAAAGUGUUUCAUUGGUUUGUGUCCUAAUUUCAGGACUCGUUACAAGCUUAGCCUGAAAGCUGAAAAGGAGGCAAAGGCUGUUGCCGAGCUACUUGAACAUGGAAACUUUGAAAGGGUUUCCUAUCGUGCAGCUCCGAAAGGUAUCGUGGUUGCACCAGUUAAAGGUUAUGAGGAAUUCGAGUCAAGAACGUCGAUUCUGAACGGAAUAAUGGAGGCACUAAAAGAUGAUAGCGUCAGCGUUGUUGGGGUGCAUGGUAUGGGUGGGAUUGGAAAAACAACGCUGGUCAAAGAAAUCGCUAGAAAGGUCAAGGGCAAGUUGUUUGAUUCGGUUGUCAUAGCAACCGUAACUCAAGCCAUCGAUAUUGAGAAGAUUCAGAACCAAAUUGCAGACUUCUUGGGCUUGAAAUUUGAGGAACAGAGUAUGGUUGGAAAGGCAUUUCGACUACGAGAAAGAUUGAAGAAAGAGGAGAGGAUUCUGGUUGUCUUGGAUGACAUUUGGGAAAAGGUUGAUAUUGAGGAAGUAGGGAUUCCUUUGGGAGAUGAACACAAGGGCUGCAAAUUACUAUUAACUUCUAGAGAGCUCAAUGUUUUAUCAAAUGGGAUGGAUGCUCAGAAAAAUUUUCCCAUUGGGUUUUUAAAUGAAAAGGAAGCCUGGGACCUGUUCAAGAAGAAGGCUGGCGACUGUGAUGAAAGUUGCGGUUUGAAGCCUAUAGCUAUGGAGGUAGCCAAAAAAUGUGCAGGACUGCCGAUAGCCAUUGCGACAGUUGCAGGGGCUUUGAGAAACAAAAGAUUGUUUGAAUGGAAGAAUGCUUUACGAGAACUGGAGAGGCCUUCGUCAAGCAACUUCACGGGGAUAGCUGUGGCAUAUUCAGCUAUAGAGUGGAGUUUUAAUUAUUUAGAAAGCGAGGAAGUUAAGCUGACUUUCUUGCUUUGCUGUGUAAUAGGCCAUAAUGGUCUCGUUGAGAACUUGGCAAGAUAUACUUUAGGUUUGGGUUUAUUUGAUGGUGUCCACACUAUGGAAGAAGCUAGAAAUAAAGUAUUGACGGUUGUGGCUAAUCUCAAAGCGUCUGCCUUGUUGCUUGAUGGUUAUAAUGAUAAGCGCUUUGAUAUCCAUGAUGUUGUUUGGGAUGCUGCUAUAGCUAUUGCAUUGAAGGACUACCGUAUGCUUGUUUUGAGAGAUCAUGCUCCAAAGGAGUGGUCCGAUAAGGAGAAAAUGAAGAUGUGGAGUGUGAUCAGCUUACGGUGUCCUCAGAUUAUAGCUAACCUUCCUAAGGAGAUGGAGUGUUCAGGACUUUCCUUUUUCCAUAUGGCCUAUGAUGGCGCGGUUAAAAUUCCUCUCACUUUUUUCAAACAAACCGAAGGCCUCAAAGCCUUGGAUUUGGUCGGAAUGCAGUUUCCAUCCCUCCCUGAAUCAAUUAUUCACCUUGCAGACCUUCGCAUGUUGUGUCUGAAAAAAUGUGCAGUUGAUAACAUAACUAUCCUUGGAGAGCUCAAGAGUUUACAAGUACUCAACCUUUCUCAGUCAGGUAUCAAAGAACUACCUAAGGAGAUGGCACAAUUGACUCAAUUAAGGUUGUUAGAUUUGCGCUCGUGUAGAGAACUCAAAAUCAUCCCGCCGAAUGUCUUAUCAGGUUUGUCUAAAUUAGAAGAAUUAUAUAUGAGUGGGAGCUUUGUUGAAUGGGAAAAGGGAGGAGUAGUUGAAAAUGAGAGGAAAAAUGCAAGCCUUGAUGAAUUAAACAAUUUGCCUUGUCUAACUACUUUAUAUGUUCAUAUUCUUGAUGUCCAAAUGAUACCAAAACACCGGUUUGUUGAAACAUUGGACAGAUUCAGGAUUUUCGUAGGUAAUUAUGGUGAAUAUAAUUGUUUCCACAAUUAUGAAAUAUCUCCGAAAGCAUUGAAGCUCAUGUUAUAUAUAAACAAUGAAUUGGACAAUGGGAUGAAAAUGUUGUUGAUAAAGACAGAAGAUUUGUGCCUAGAGGGACUUGAAGGCGUCAAGAAUGUACUUGUGGAGUUAAAUAAUGGGAAAGAUCUUCCAAAUUUAAAGAGACUUCAUGUCAAAAAUGGUAGGCAUGUCCAACAUAUUAAAACGAACAAAAUUGGAUUUUCUGAAUUAUGCUUUAUCACACUUGAAAAUCUACCGCAACUCGUUAGCUUUUGCUCUCCAGACGAAAGGUGUUCUACUAAGCCCUUUCUACUUUUCAAUAAACAGGUAUUUGUUUGGCUUUACUUAUAUUUUCUUAUACAACUUUUAUUCCCAUUAAUACAACUUUUAUUCCCAUUAUAUUUUUGGAGCUCAAAAAUAAAUUUCAAAUCCAAAACAAAUGAAAAUUUAAUUUUUAAUCUAAACCGAUUGAAAGUAUAAAGUCAAUUCAAUAAUCUAAAUUUAAACCCAACAAAGAUUUUUUUUUUAAUUUUGAAAAUGAAAUUUGAACCCACAAAUCGAACUAAAAUUAUCUUUAAAAUCGAAAAUCAUAUUUUCAAAUUAUGUUUCCCUAUCGAAAAAGAAUUGUGUGUAAAUAUGUGCAAUUUAUUUUCCCUCACUUGGAAAGCUUGCAAUUGUGUUCCAUUAACACCAAAAUAAUAUGGCACAACCAGAUAUGUCAUUGGAUUACGAAUUUGAGGAGCUUGAUCAUCAAAGGAUGCGGCAAGUUGGAGCAUCUGUUAUCACCCUCUCUCGCUAGAAGUCUGGUGCAGCUCCAAUGCUUUAAGAUAGAGGAUUGCAAGUGCUUAAGGGACAUAAUACUUACAGAUGAAAUUGAAGAAGAAAGGAAAGAUGUGAUUUGUUUCCCUCGAUUAAACUCCCUGUAUAUAGAUGGUCUUACAAACCUCAUCUUCUUCAGCUCAGGAAACCACAAUAUUGAGUUCCCAUUGUUGAAAGAGCUAACGAUUUGGCGUUGCCCCAAGUUAAUAGAAUUCAUUAGUCAGAAUAGUAAUCAGUCCGGCAUGCACGCUCUCUUCAGUGAGAAGGUGAUUUAUUUCAUUAGUCUUACACUCUUGCAUAAAUCUGUUGAUUUGUCCUUGUUUUUUUUUCUGCCUUCAUUAUUUGAGCUAAUUAACCUUAUUAUGGGCAUGGAUUAUAUAUAUAUGAAUAGGUUGCAAUUCCUAGCUUGGAAGACAUGAGUAUCUUCGACUUGAGUAAUCUGAAGAUGAUAUUUUAUAAUGACCUAGCAGCAGGUUCCUUUAAAAAUCUUCGAAAAGUGUGUGUUUGGCGAUGUGAGAGUUUGAAAAAUCUAUUUCCAGUAUCAAUAGCCAAAGAUCUUCCACAACUUGAACAUUUACGCAUCACUGAUUGUGGAGUUGAGGAGAUUGUAUCGAAAGCGGAUGGAGUGGAGGAGCAGCCUGUGAGGUUUGAGUUUCCGCAAGUAUCUUACCUUGAGGUUGCAUUGGUAGAAAAGCUCAAAUGUUUCUAUGAACGGCAACAUACAAUAGUCUGGCCGAUGUUGAAAAAAUUGAAAACAGAUAGUUCUGCUUUGCGAAAGAUAGUGGCAUCGGAACAUCUUAGAUUAAUCCAAGGAAAUGAGCAGCCAGUUUUGUUGGGUGAAGAGGUAUGUAUAUCAUUACAACUAUAUUUCUUUUUAUGAUUUAAACCACUGCAACAAGCAUCUCAAGUUGAAAUAUGCCACGAUAAUACAUUUCUAAUUAUUAUAUUUUGUUUGAUUUGAAUUUUUUCUUGUAUUUUUGAAUUUUUAAUAUAUAUUUUAAAUUUUUUGUUACACUUAUAAUUAUUUUUUCAAUUUUUAAAAACAAGACUGAAUAAACAUAAUAGGUAAAUAUUGAGUGUUAAUCUUGACUUUUUAGAAUGUAGUUCAAUUUGAUAAAAUGUAUAAAUGUUGAGGGUUAAAUUUAUUAUUAUGCGAAAAAAAAUGCAACAUUAGCAUCCCGUUAGGGACUUUGUAGCAUAGCAAUUAAGAUAUUCAAUUUCUCUAACGACAGUGAUUAAAUUGAAAUUUUAUUUGUUUUUAUGUGACCAUAAUAAAAAUAUUUUAACACUUAAGUGGCUAUAUAUGUAAUUUACCCUGUAUUUAAGUAGUGGGUCGAAACUAAAUAGAAAGUUUACCUUGCUAAAAAAAAUCGCCACUCAAUAAAAAGUCAAAAUUUUAAAAGUUAAUUACACUAGACAUAUCAAACUAUAACCUUCAUUUUAAAUUAGUCCCAAAAUUUAAAAUAUUCAAAUUACAUUCUUAAACUAUUGAGGUUAUAUCAAUUAGGUCUUUCUGUUAUUUAAUUCAUUAAUUUAACCAUCAAAUUAUAUUAGUGUAAUAUUUUAAAAUCUUGGUGUUUUAUCUACACUGUUCUGCUUAUAUUUUUUAUCAUAGAAAUAUAUAUAUAUAUAACAAUGGUUGUUUCUCUAUUGUAAUCUAAAUUUGCUACUCUUCUUUCGGUUUUCAUGUUGUGUAAUUUUUAUCGGUUCUUAUUCUCAAGGUAUUGUGUUUUCUUAAAACAAAAAAUUCAUCUGGUUUGAUUUAAUAUUGAUUUUGUUGGGAUUUAAUCAUCAUAAUCAAACACUAAAAUUGUAACUCUUUUGUUUGUUUGUUUGUUUUUUUAAAGCAUAUACAUCAAUAUUGAGCCUAACUUGUAUAUAUUUAAUUGGUUUCCAAGGUCAUUCCCAAAUUAGAGGAACUUGAGUUACGAACUUUUGGUGAUAUGGACCAAUUCCCACCAGACUUGUUUCAACAUAUUAAAGUUUUUGCACUGAGAGCUGGCUCUCGAUUUUCUUUAUUUCCUUUCGUCCGAAGAUUCUACAAUCUGGAAAGACUUGAGUUGUCUUAUUUUGAUUUCAAACAUUUAGUCCCUUGUAAAGGAGAUGCCGGGACUCUCCCACCAAUUAGAAAUCUGAAAUUGGUUUCUGCCAGAAAUCUUAAGCAUAUUUGGAGGAAAGAUUCGGAGCUUGACCAUAUUCUUUCUAAUCUUCAAACACUCACAGUUCAGAAUUGUGAUGAUUGGAUAAAUAUUAGAGCCUUCUCAUCGUCUUUACAAAAUCUCACAAUUUUGAAUGUGUCACGUUGUGAAAUGAUGACAAACUUAGUUACACCCUCAGUACUUAAGAAUCUUGUGCAAUUAACGACAAUAAAGGUAGAAGACUGCACUAAAAUGACAGAAAUAGUGGGAAACGAGGGAGACUGUCAUCAGACAAUAGUUGUUAGUAAAUUGAAAUGUUUACAACUAUGCAAUUUGAAUAGCCUCACAAGCUUUUGUCCAUGGUAUUACAACUUCGAGUUUCCUUGUUUGGAAGAAUUAGUUGUGGAACAUUGUCCUAGGUUAAAGAUCUUUUCUGAUGGAGUUUUAAGCACCCCACAAUUACAGAGAAUAAAACAGUCGCGUUUCCGUGGGAAAUGGAGGUGGACAAGUGACCUUAAUACCACCAUACAACAGCUCUACACAAAAAAGGUACAAAGUUAAUAAGUUCAUAAUGCUAGCUAGAUUUCUCGUGUCCUAAUACAAUUAAUUUUAUUGCUACUUCAAUAACCAUUGAAGAGUGUUAAUCGUUAUUUUGUUAUUGUCUGCAGUUUCUAUUUAUGAUCCUUAUCUAGUGGAAUAAUAUCAGAUUAAUUUUUAGGAUGGACUCCAUGACCCAUAUGAUUUCAACAUCUCUGAAACAUUUCCGGAAUCGAUAGAAAUAUGGACUAGAAACCCUCAAGAAAUUUUGGGCUUCAAAAACCUUAGCAGCCUGCAGUUUUAUAAAUGUAGCAGCCUGAAGUACAUAUUUACUCCGUCUAUGCUUUUGAGCCUCAAUCGACUACAAAGGAUAGAAGUGGAAGAAUGCAGUUCAAUGGAACAAGUAGUUAGGGAGGAGGAGGAAGCAAUGACACAUAAAUUUACAUUUCUUUCGCUACUCUCCUUAAAAAUUGAGUCGUGUUCCAACUUGACAAAUUUCCAUUUGGGAAGUCAAGCUCUUGAAUUUCCACAGCUGAGUGAUAUCACGAUAGCUGAGUGUCCAAAAAUGACUGCAUUUUCUUCCUCAGUUUCAAGAGAAAGUGGUGAUGCAAGUGAAAACGUGGUUGGCAAAGGGGGCAUCUAUGAUAACACUGCAACUUUUUUCAGCAAUAAGGUAAGUUCGGUAUUCAAUAUUUAUCUGCACAACUCAUUUCACAUUUUCUUUUGAUUUGAUCAACAUGAGUGUGUCUGGUCUAUAUAUACAUACUAGUAGUGCUACACCUUGUCAAAAUUUAAUAUAAUAAAAUCCAUGUAUUAAUAAAUAAGAUAAUAUUUAAAAAAAAUUGGAGUUUAAAGUAUAAAUAAAUAUAUAAAAUACGAAUUGAAAGGAAAACUUAAAGUGAAAUACUAAUAAACAAUAAGAAGUUUAAAAUUAAAUAGUAAUAGACAAUAAAUAAUAAAAGAAAAACGAAAACUAAUCUUCCUUUAUUUUAAUUUGUGGGUGUAUAAGAAGGACAUAAUUGUGGAAGACCUUCACAAAGGUCAUUUGAGAUCAAAGGAGAAGAAGCAAGAAAACAAAACGUGAGGAGUUUGAAGGAGAAUUGAAGUGAGAGAGUGGAUGGGUUUUAUUUAAAGAUUUAAUGCUUUUUUUUAAUCUCAUAUAUAGAAAAAAUCAUUGAAAGAAAAAAAAUUUAAUAUAAUUAUUUCAAUUUACAUGUCGGGUUUUUAUAAAAGUAACUCAAAUUUUUUAUUAAUUAUGAAAAUGACUCAAUUUAAAAAUUAUGUACAUAAAUUAUUCGACUUCUAUAGUAUUUGUUGGUGCCGCUAGACACAAUGGCGGCACCUACCUACCAUCAUCGACAAAUGAUUGUAUUUUAUUUCAAAAAUAGUAGUCUUGUAAUAGUGUCGUUGGAAAAAUUGGCGAUAUCGAACUGAAGUGUGAUUCUAUAAAAUGUUCAUGGACUUGACGAAGUAAUUAUCCUUUUUUAAUUAGCGGAAAAAGGGGUCUUCCCGUGAAUUUGGGGCACCAAAUUAAAUGCUUUUUAUCUUUUAGUCUAUUUGCAUGUUAAGUCUAUCCUCUUUUGAAAUUAAAUUUAAAUAACCCCUUAAGAAAUAUAAGAAUAACAAAAAUAAAUCAUAAUCAUUUAUUUUAUUUUAUUUUUAAAAAAUAAACUUAAAAAAUUAUAUAAAAUUCUUAUUUAAAUUACCUAAAUAUAUCCCUCACAAAAUUUCCUCAAGUUUAUCUAAAUUCAAGCAUUUUCAAUUCAUUCCCUAGCAUAUUUAAAUUUAGAUAAACUUAAAGGAAAUUUUUUGAGGAAUAUGUUUGGGUUGUUUGAAUAAGAAUUUUAAAUAAUUUUUUAAGUAUUUUUUCAAAAAAAUGAAAAUGGUUUUUUUUUUGUUAUUCUUAUAUUUUUUUAAGUGCUAUUUAAAUCUAAUUUUAAAAAAGGAUAAACGUAACAUGCAAAUAGGUCAAAAGUUGAAAAACAUUUAAUUUGGUUUAGAUACCAACGACACCCCUUUUUCAACUAAUCUAAAAUGUUAACCGCUUCAAAGGAUCCCUGCACGUUUUAUAUAAUCACAUUCAGUCUGGUUCCGUCAAUUUAUUAAGCAGCACUACUACAUUUUUUUUUAAAAAGCAAUUAUUGGAGGAUGAUGGUGGCCGGUGUAGUAAGCACUGUAGAAAUUAGGUCAUUUAUGUACAUUAUUUUUGGAAAAUUUUUUUAAUUAACCAAAAAAUUUUGGUUACUUUUAACUGUCUAGUUGAUGUAUUAACCUUUAGAUAAGUUUAUAAAUCUUCAUACUCAUUUUGAUUGUCUUUCAAAGUAAAGAAGGAAGAGUGAUACUAUCUUAUAAUGAUAUUUAUGUCAACAGGUUGUCAUUCCUCGUUUGAAGCGUCUGGAUUUGUCCUCCACCAACAGUCAUAAGAUAUGGCACCACUCAUCCUCCCCAUCUAUCGGAUACCUAAAUUUCUUGCAGGUGAAGAGGUGUCACAAUUUGAAAUACCUGUUCCCGUCUUUCUUAGCAAAAGAUCUUGUGCAACUCCAAGUCCUUGGAAUUUCGGACUGUAAUAUGAUGGAACAAGUAAUAUUCACGGAUGGAUUGGUUGAGGAACAUCAAGGGAGGAAUCAGAUGUUUUUCUUUAAUCUACAUUCGCUGUGGCUAAAAGACCUUCCCAAACUCACAAGUUUGUGCUUUGAUAAUUACUUUGAAUUUCACUGUUUGGCAUAUUUAGCACUAAUAAAUUGUCCAUUGCUAAAAACAUUCAUCUCUAAACGUGUACCCGGAGAUGAACCUCAAAUUGGCCAACAUGUACAGGCAAGUAACUUGGAGGUUCAUAACUCAUCUCUCCUCG
This 245877-nucleotide long non-coding RNA is filed under the name Gossypium barbadense (sea-island cotton). The record is from RNAcentral. Lineage: Eukaryota; Viridiplantae; Streptophyta; Magnoliopsida; Malvales; Malvaceae.